This 295161-nucleotide long non-coding RNA is filed under the name Erythranthe guttata (spotted monkey flower). Its description in RNAcentral is "long non-coding RNA (EGUT_LNC003843)". Lineage: Eukaryota; Viridiplantae; Streptophyta; Magnoliopsida; Lamiales; Phrymaceae. The record is from RNAcentral.
AGCACCAUUUCAUCGUCACCAUCAAACCAUCCUUCCAAUAGUGCAACCCAUUCUCCCUACCACGUACCUCAAUGCUGCCGCCACAUCGACGACUAUCGGUGCUCCAAAAUUUAUCGGAAUCUUCAUCAAAAGCGAAUUCAAGUCUUAAAGCCCUACUUUAGGGUCUGAGGUUUUGGGCUUUCUUCAACAUAGAGAAAGAAGAGGGCCAAGAUUCGAUUUUCAACAGGGCCGCCCUAACCCUCGAGACAGAGAAAGAAGGGACCAAAUUCCAGAUCCAUUUUUUUUUAUUCCGAAUUUUGGGAUUUUGGAACAAAGAAGAUUCACCCAUAUACACAGGGGUAGAGAGUUAAUUUGUGAGUGUAGCUCCACCAUGGAAUCCGCCGCCGGUUUGCGUCGCCACACCUUCCCCGAUGCUGGUUGAACCUCCGUUUUUCUGCGGUCCUUAUAUUAGGAGAAAAAAGAAGAUUGUUGGAAUUUUGUUAGUUUUUUGGGAAGAUCUGAAGGAGGGGAGGGAGAAGAGGAUGUAAGUGGAGGGGGAGGGGGUACAACGGCAAAAAGAGGGAGGAGGAAGGAGAUGGAGAAGAAAAACAAAAGAAAAAUAAAGUUCAUGUCGAAGAAGAUGAUCGGAAACAAGAAUCCAACCCAGAAGAUGGACCGUAGGCGGAUAUGUUUUUGGGAUUUGGAUAUUUUACUUUAUUAUUAUUUUUUAAUUAGGGGUAGUUUAGUAAUUUCACAUGGGUCAACAGCUAAUUUUAAAAUAAGGGGCAGUAUACUUUGUCAAAAAUAACAUAAGGGCUUUCUUGCUAAUAUUUUUAACACAAGGGUCUUUUUAACCAUUCAAGAUUACACAGGGGGUUAUGUGCAAUUAGCUCGUUAAUUUUAUUGUGUUAACAGUAAUAUAGUUAAUAUUACUGUCAAUCACAACAAUAUUUUUGUUUAAACGAAAAAAAAAGUUAGAGAAAGAAAAAAAAAGUUUGAAAAACAAGGUUUUGGGUCAUAAUUGAAUAAUUUGUGAAAUUUGGGGUCAAAUUGAGGUUAAAUUAAGUUAAGGAUGAAAUUGGAGCAUAUUAAAGUAUGAGGGGUUAUUUUAGUCCUUUACAAAAAUCUGGACCCUCUACAAAAAUCAGGACCAUGUGUGGACUUAUUGGUAAAGGAGUUUUUUGUCUGGAUCUCUUUAUAAAUAAGUACCCAUUGAUGGGCUUAUUUGCAAUCACCCCCUUUAAAUUAACGAUGAACAAUCCUAUAAUUAAGAGAUCGAGACCAAUGGUUUAAUUUGUUUCAUGUUACUAUCAUAAAAACUUAUCUACUAUGUAUCUGUAAAGGGCAAAUUGCAAAAAGGCCCAUCACAUGGGACUUAAAUGCAUUUUAGUUCACAAAAAAAAACAGUCUAUCAAUUAAAUUCAUCCUCAUGUCUUCAGUCUAAAAUACCCUCCAUAAUAUAAUUCGUAUCAAUUUCUUCCAUUAUGCUCUAACUUCCUUAAUAUUACACAUUAACCCCAGAUUUAAACAAAUGUAUCACAUUAACCCCCAGAAUAUUUUUUUUCUAAAAUUUUUACCACCGUUGACCGUCCGUCUCCGGCGUUGACUUUUUUUUUUUUUUUAAUUUUUUUUUUCUUAGAAAAAAAUAUUUUAAUUUAUAUUACUGUCUUGGCUACUAAAUUACUGUCUCAGACAGUAAUAUUACUAUUUGGGACAGUAAUAUAAGGAAUAUUAUUUUCCCGAACAGUAAUAUUAUUAAUAUUGUUGUCUAGGACAGUUAAAUUACUGUUGGAGACUGUAAUUUAGCAGCCAAUGCAGUAAUAUUAAUUAAAAUAAGUUUUUUUAAGAAAAAAAGUUUCAAAAAAAAAGUCAAUUAACAGUUAAAUUACUAUCUCUGACAGUUAAACAACUGUUGGAGACAGUAAUUUAGCAACGAAUACGGUAAUAUUAACUAAAAAUAUUUUUAUUUAGAAUAAAAAAAGUCAAUUAACAGUUAAAUUACUGUCUCCGACAGUUAAAUAACUGCUGGAGACAGUAAUUUAACAACGAAUACAGUAAUAUUAAUUAAAAAUGAUUUUUUAAGAGUAAAAAAAUCAAUUAACAGUUAAAUUACUGCCGAUAGUUAAGUAACUGCUAGAGACAGUAAUUUGACAAUGAAUACAGUAAUAUUAAUUAAAGUAUUUAAAAAAAUUCAAUUAAUAGUUAAAUUACUGUCUCCGACAGUUAAAUAAAUGCUGGAGACAGUAAUUUAGCAGCAAAGACAGUAAUAUUAAUUAAAAUAUUUUUGAAAAAAAAAACAAUUAAGAGUUAAGUUACUGUCUCCUACAGUUAAAUAACUCCUAGAGACAGUAAUUUAGCAGCAAAGACAGUAAUAUUAAUUAAAAUGUUUUUGAAAAAAAAAGUCAAUUAAUAGUUAAAUUACUGUCUCCGACAGUAAAAUAACUGUCGGAGACAGUAAAAUAACUGUCGGAGACAGUAAUUUAGCAGCCAAAACAGUAAUAUUAAUUAAAAUAUUUUUUUUAAGAAAAAACAAAAUAUAUAUAUAAAAAAAAAGUCAACGCCGGAGACCCGGUGGUCAACGGUAGUUGACCGGCCGGAAAAAAGUUUCAGGGUAAAAAAGUUUAAAAACAAAAAAAAGUCAACGCUGGAGACCGGCGGUCUCUGGUGGUGGCGGGUCAAAAUUGAAAUUAUGGUUAAAAUUGGUUAAUUGAUGAAAUUGGGCUAAAUUGGGGUGUAAAUCAUGAAAUUGGAGUUGAAUUGGGUUUCAAUGAACUGAGGGUAAUUUUGGUAUAUAGAAAAGGAUUUUACUUAUUUACAAAUAAGUUUGAAUAAGCUGGAUUUAUUUGAAAAACAAAAAAGUUGGAUGUCCCUCUUUUAAUUACGUGCUCUUGUCAUGGGCAUUUUUGUGAUUAACCCAUUUGUAAAAUGAAUGAACAAUAUAGACCGGACAGCAAUGUCCACGUGAAUUUUUGUGAUUAACCCAUUUUUGGGAAUUUAUCUUAAGUGCGUGAAUUUAUCAGCAAUGUUUUUUUAAAUUAGACCGGACAUAAAACUGGACAUGCAAUUAGGUCAUGAUUGGAAGCAUUUAACUAGGUCAAAUCGAGUUUUUUCAUUUUCUUUUUACUUUUUUUAUAUACAUAUUUAUUAAUUUUAAUACUUUUAAAGUACUAUUUUCUCUAUAUAUUUACAUAAUAUCAUUACAUUUCUUAAUUUUAUCCAUCCACCUCACUCCCUAUGUUUUUUAUAUAGGAGCUUUUGUGCAUAAGUCCACAACCAAGCAUCUUUGUUAUUUUAGGUACAGAGGUUAUAUUUCUUUCACCAAUAAACCAUCCAUUUAAUAUUUAUUAUAAAUAAAAGAAAUAUUCAUAUAUAUGCCAAUAUUACCCCCAACCAUUUAUACUCAAUUCUUAAUUGUAACCCCAAUUUAAUCAAUUUUGUCCACAAAGAUCCAAUUUGGACUUUUUUUUCAAAAAUUUUCUGCUGCCGGUCUCCGGCGUUCACUUUUCGAUUUUUUUUUUUUUCUUCCGGAUUUUUUCGCCGGUUUCUGGCGUUGACUUUUUUUUUCUUUUUUCUUUUUUUUUUUUUAUUUUUCUUUCUUUCUUUCUUUUCUUUUCUUCCGGAUUUUUUCGCCGGUUUCCGGCCUUGACUUUAUUUAGUGUUUUUUUAAGGGUUUUUUUUUGUACGUCCGUUGCUAAACGUUGACCGUAAUUGUGCUGUCACUGACAGUAAAUUAACGUAAUUAUACUGUCAAUGACAGUUAAUUAACGUAAUUGUAUUGCCGUUGACAAUACAUUUAUGUAAUAAUUGUUCUGCCGUUGAAAGUAAAUUAAUGUAAUAUUUUUAUAUUUUAUUUUUUGUUAUUUUGUUUUUAUUUUUUUUUUAUUUGUUGACAAGUCAACGUAAUUAUAUUACUGUCGUUGACAGUAAAAUAACUGUAAACACAAUAAUAUUACUGUCACAACAUCAAUAUAAUUUUUUUUUUGAGUUUUUUAUUUUGUUUGAGUUAUUAAUAAUAUUACUAUCACAACAUCAAUAUUAUUUUUUUUUUGAGUUUUUUAUUUUGUUUGAGUUAUUCACGGAGUAACGUAAUAAUUUUACUGUGGUUGACGGUAAUAUUACUGUUGUUAUGGUAAUAUUGUUAUCAACCACAUCAAUAUUAUUAUUUGUAACGUAAUAAUAUUAGUGUCUAUUAUUGUAAUAUUUCAAUAUUAUUAUUUUGUUUGGAUUUUUUUGUUUGUUUGAGUUAUUCACGGAGUAACGUAAUAAUAUUACUGUCUAUUAUUGUAAUAUUACUGAGGUUAACGGUAAUAUUAGUGUUGUUAUAGUAAUAUUACUGUCACUCACAUAAAUAUUAAUUCUUUUGGUGUCACUCACAUAAAUAUUAAUUAUUUUGGCUUUUUAUUAUGUUUAGAUUUGUUGAACGGUCAACAUAGUAAUAUUACUCUAUUACACAAUAAUAAUUAGACACGGCCACGGGUCGGGUUUGACCCGGACCCGGCCCGGACCUGACCCGAAGACCGCCCCGGCCCCGACCAGUUGACCAUGGACCCGGACCCGGGUAUUAAACCGGAUUUUUUUGUACAAAAAAUGCACCUUGGGGGGUUUGAACUCGGAAAGAUGGGGGAAGAAUGGGCAAUUCUUAACACUGGGCCAAACAACAUUUUUGUUUAAAUGUAGACAAGAAAUAUAUAUAAUAUAAACACGCUAGUGUAAAAUGAUAAUUAUGUUAAAAAAAUUAUUAAUUUUCAUUUUAAUUGUUAUUAAAUAAUUUUAAUUAACUUAUUAACAAAUGCAAUAUAAGAAACUUUUAAAAAAAUAUAUAGAAUUACGAUUCAAUACUUGAAAACAUGUAUUAGUAAUUAUUAUAUCAAUAUAAUCUCCACUAUUGAAAUAUAUAAAAUAUUGAAUCAAUUCAAUAUAUAAACAAAUGCGUUGAUUCAUAUAAUCUCCACUAUUGAAAAAUAUAUAGGAUUGAAUCAAUUCAAUAUUUAAUCAAAUGCGUAUACUUAAUACAAACUCACUUUUGUUAUUAAAAUCGAUAGUGUGAAAAAAUCGAAUGAAAAAUUAAAUAAUAUGAGUAUUUUAACAUAAGAUAAUUAUUUGAAAAUAUAAAUGAUGUUUAUUUUAACAAAAAUAGAUUAUAUCUCAAUUCAAUUAAUUUUCUUACUUUAAAAAUAAUAUUAUAUAUGACUACUAUAUUCAAAAUAUUAUGAUGUAAUUUCUCUUUUAAUAAUUGGUUUAAUUUGUAAAAAUCGUAAGAAUUAAAUUGUAGAUCAUAUGAUUUAAUCCUUUUUUUUUACAUAUACAUUUUAUUCAAAUAUUAGAAUUGAAUCGUAAGAUUUAAAUGGAUUAAGCUCAAGUUCUUUCAAUUUAUUUUAAUUUUUUUAUUAUAUUAUAUUUGUGAAUAAUUUAAUUAAAAUUCUUUAAUAAUUAUGAAUAUGAUAAUUAAUAAUCCAUUAAACAUUAUUUUUAUAAUCAUUUUACACUAUGUGUUAUUGUUAUAUAUAUUUCUUGCAAGUAAUUUCACAAAUAAUUGCCUUGUCCCACUGGUUUGGAUUGGCAUUUUCAUGUGAAGGGAACCAGAGUUCAAACCCCAUUCCAAGCAUAUUUUGGAAAAAGUUUCAAAAUCCGGUUCGGACCCGGCCCGACCUGGACCCGGAUGGACCCGCCCCGGACCUGGACCCGCCUCCCCGCGGGUCGGUUUCGGGUCCUCCAAAUCUCGGACCCGGACCCGGCGGGUCCGACCCGGACCCGGACCCGGACCCGACCCGACCCGGGGCCGUGUCUAAUAAUAAUGAGUUUUGUUGUGUUAAUAUUACUGUGCUAGAUAUUAAUAUAGCAAUAUUAAUGUGUUAAACGGUAGUUUAGUUAAUUUUACUGUAUUUAACAGUAAUAUAGUUAAUAUUGUAAUAUAUUUAAUAUUACUGUCAAUCACAGCAAUAUUGUUGUUUAAACGAAAAAAAAGUUACAGAAAUGAAAGAAAAAAGAAAAUUUGAAAAAAUUUAACAGUAAUAUAGUUAAUAUUACUGUCAAUCACAGCAAUAUUGUUGUUUAAACGAAAAAAAAGUUACAGAAAGAAAGAAAAAAGAAAAUUUGAAAAAGUCAACGCCGAAAACCUGCGAAAAAACCUGGAAGAGAGAAAAUGAAAAGUUAACGCCGGAAUCUGGCGGGAAAAAAAAAAUUGAAAAAAAAAAUAUUUUGGGUCAAAAUUGAAUAAUUUGUGAAAUUUUGGGUCAAAUUGAGGUUAAACAAAAUUAAGGAUGAAAUUGGAGUAUAUUAAAGUAUGAGGGGUUAUUUUAGUCAUUUACAAAAAUGUGAACCUUGUGUGGACUUAUUGGUAAAGGAGUUUUUUAUCUGCAUCUAUUUAUGAAUAAGUACCCAUUGAUGGGCUUAUUUGUAAUGACCCAUUUUAUUUAAUUUACUAACUAGUACUUCACACGUGCGUUGCACGGAUGUCAGUUCUAAAAUGAAAAAAAUAAUAAUAUUCAAACGAUUGUGUCUUUAUAACAACACCAAUUCAAGUAAAACAAAAUGAAAGGAAAUAAAAGAAACUAUCUUUUAAUUCAGAGUUGUAACACAUGAAAUUGAAUUAAAUAUUACAAAGAAGAAUAUGCGAAUGGCGCAAAGCACGAUAUGAAGAUUAAGUGAAAUAAUUUAAAACAUAUGGUACAAAUCUAUUUCAUGGAAUGCAAUCUACUACACCAUGUGAAUCCUCUGCAAAAUAACUAACUUAACAACAACACAGUAGCAUAGAGGUACCACAAUAGAUAUUCAAAUAACCUGCAAGUUUAUCACUAACAACAUUCAAUUAGUAAUGCACAUUACUUAAACAACAACACAACCUAUAAAUAUUGCAAAAGAGAUAAGAUGUAUACACCAAUACCAAUAAUAAUACCAUUACUGAUAUCAAUAUUGAUACUAUUAUUGAUAUUAAUACUGAUAGUAAUACUUAUACCAAUACUAAUACUAAUACUAAUACUACUAAUACUAAUACUAAUACUAAUAUUGAUACUCAUACUAAUACUGAUACUAAUAUUAUUACUCAUGCUGAUACUGAUGCCGAUAAAAAUAGUAAUACUAAUACUAAUAUUAUACUAAUAAUACUGAUACUAAUACUAAUAUUGAUACUGAAAUUGAUACUAAUAUUGAUACUCAUACUGAUAUUGAUACUGAAAUUAAUACCGAUACUGAUACAUAUACUGAUACUUAUAUUGAUACCAAUACUGAUACUUAUACUGAUAUUGGUAUUGAUAUCGAUACUAAUACCGAUACGGAUACUUAUAUUGAUAUUAAUACUAAUAUUAGUACUAAUACUAAUACUAUUACUAAUAGUAAUAUUAAUACUAAUAUUGAUACUAAUAUUAUUACUAAUACUAUUACUAAUACUAAUAUAAAUGCUAAAACUAAUUUUAAUGCUAAUGAUUUAAUGCUAAUGAUACAUAUACAUAUACUGAUACUGAUACAGAUAUCGAUAUUGAUACUGAUACUGAUACUGAUAUUGAUACUGAUACUGAUACUGAUACUGAUAUUGAUAUUGAUAUUGAUAUUGAUACUGAUAUUGGUAUUGGUACUGGUACUGGUACUGAUACUGAUAUUGAUAUUGAUACCGAUAUUGAUACCGAUGCUAAUAAUGAUACUGAUACUGGUAGUAAUACUGAUAUUGGUACUGAUACAUAUUGUGGUAUUGAUACUUAUACUGAUACCGAUACUAAUACUGAUACGGAUACUUAUACUUAUGUUAAUCCUAAUAUUUGUACUAAUAGUAAUACUAUUACUAAUACUUAUACUAAUACUAAUACUAAUACUAAUACUAAUAUUAAUACUAAUAUUAAUACUAAUACUAAUACUAAUAGUAAUACUAUAUCAAUACUAAUACUAUUACUAAUACUAAUAUUAAUACUAAUAAUAUUAUUAAUACUAUCACUAAUACUAAUAUGUUAAUAUUGUUAAUGUUAAUGCUAAUACUAAUUUUGAUGCUAAUGCUAAUCUAGAUAUGCUAAUUAUUAUGUUAAUGCUCAUUAUGAUUGUAAUUCUAAUAUUAUCCAAAUCCUUAUCGUAUUCUUGAUCAUAUUCAUAACACUAAUCAUAGUUCUAAUCCUAAUCAUAAUCAUAAUCCUAUUCCUAACAUUAAUCAUCUUUCCAAUAAUUUUAAUACUAAUAACGCUAAUGUUAAUUCUAAUUCUAAUCUUAAUUCUAAUUCUAAUUCUAAUCCUAAUGAUAAUUAUAAUCCUAAUACUAAUGUAUAUCACUAAUUAUCGUACUAAGCAUAAUCAUAACCUUAAUUAUAAUUCUAAUACUAAUGUUAAUCAUAAUCCUAAUAUUAAGCACAACUUCUGAGUUUGCAACAACUUUUUUUGCAAUGAUCUAUUAUUUAGUAUAAAAAAAUCAAGUUUAUUCAAUGUCGAACCUUUAUAUCAAAUUUCUUAUGUGUGGUAGCUGAACCAUAAAAAAUCACAUAUUAAAUAUAUUAGAAAUUAAUAUUUAAUUAUAUUAUCAAACUGACAUUAAAAUUAUUUAAAAUAUUAUAAGGGCAUAAGCAAACGUUGACGUAAAAGAACAGUAAUCAUUGUUAAUAAGUUAAAUUAUGAAAAUCCUCCUGAACUUAGGCUAAUUUACAGAAAACACCCCCACUUAUCGGUGAUUACCAAAAUCCCCCUGAUGUUUGUUUCUGUCUUACACGACCCUCUUAUGGUGUGAUUUUUUACGGAAUUUUUUUUAUUCCAUGUAGUGUCACAAAAAAUAUGGAGUCUACCCUUGCAGACGUGACAUUUAUUUUAUCGUACUUUUUAAACUAAAAAAUUACCCUCAGGGGUGGUCAUGGUAAUAAUAAAAGUUUAUGAAAGUGUUAUUUAAGAAGAAUAAAGAUUUCGUGUAAAGUUCACCUGAGGGUAAUUUUUGUCUUUAAAAAGUACCAUAAAGAAAUGUCGUGUGUGCAAGGGUAUAAUAAACAUUAGAGGAAUAUUCCACGUAAUAAAAAAAUUCCUUGAAAAAUCAUACCAUAAGGGGGUCGAUCUAAGACGUAAACAAACAUUAGGGGAAUUAUUAAUAUAAACUAUUUACGGCAAGAGCACUUCGAGUGGGAUUAUUAAAUGAGCUAUCAAAACAUUUAACCACCAUUUUUAUACUCCAAAAUAGUAAUUUUUAAUUUUAAUAGAAUUAUGAAAUGAGGUCUUUUGAUAUUUCACCUUUCAGAAUGUAAAAAUACAUUAUGCAAUCAUGCAAAAUAAAAUAUCAAACAUGAGUUAUGAAUUUAACCACCUCAGUGUCCAUUUAGAAAAUAACAUGUGGCAGUUAGAUAUAUUUAAUUAACAACUAUUUAAUACCUAUGGUUGGAGCAAAUACAUUUAGAUAAAUAUCAAAAUAAAAUAUUAAAUAGCACAUAAAUAUUUGCAAAACCAUUUUGAUACUUUUGGGUUGGAGUUGCUCUAAAUAUUUACUUAAUUAUAUUUAUUAAAGUUAUAAUGAAAUAAUUAUAAGUGGAAUACAAUAUAUAGUAUAUACGGCCAUUAUACAUUUUAAACAAAACAAUUGAUAUUCUUAAUGUUAGGCAUUAAAUAAAGUGGAUAAACGAAUUUAAUACCGAAGAUUUAGAAUAACAUUAUUAUAUUUUGAAAUAUAUAAAAUCAAUUAGUUUUUCUUUAUCAAUUGAUUAAACUUAACUUAGAUUAUUCAGUUUAUUAGUAUAAUCAUGAUAAAAUUUGUAUUUUAAUUAGUAUAUAAUUUAAAAAGUUAAAUCAAUCGUAAAAUUUAUUGUCACUGGAUUCGGUGAAGAAACAAUAAUUGUUUAAAUAAUAACAUGAAAUUCAUGUAGUAUAAUUUUCAAUAUGGUAGAUAAUUAGGAGUACAUUACUCUACACAUGGCAUAAUAAAUAGAGUCAAUUUUCGCAAGAUAGUAAAUUCAAUAGUCAUGUAUCUUUCUUUUUUACAGAUAAUAUUAGUAUAUAAUAUUAAAUUAGUAAAAAAAUGCAUAUUCAAUAGUCAUGUUCAUGUAAAAUGUAUAAUAUCAAAUAAUUUAUUCUGUAAUAUUUUUUUUUAAUAUAAAUCCAAGUUUAUGAAUUAAAAUACAAAAUUUUCGAAACACUAUCAAUCAUACAAUUAUAAUAAGUGAAGAUUUUAAAUUGAAUUUCAAUUAAAUUAAUUACUAUUAAAAUUAAAUUAAAAAUAAAACUAUUUAAAAUUUCCAAGAAAGUUUAUAUGUUUAGAGCAUUUUAUAAAUAGUAUGAUAUAAAUAUAUAAUAAAAUAAUUUAAUAUCUUUUUAAUUUUGGAAAAUGGUGACAUGUUUUUUAAUGAUUUAUUUUCACCAAUCAAUUUGCCACAUAGGGUGAAAUUGAAUACAUGUCACCAAUUGAAAUUGACAAAUGUCAAUCAAUUAGGUGUGGAAUUCAACUUUUAUAUAUUAUAUAGAUAUAUAGAUUAUAUAGAUUAUAUAGAUAUAAAUUAGAAAUUAAUAUUUAAUUAUAUUAUCAAGAUGACAUUAAAAUUAAAUCAAAAUAAUAUCUGGGUAAAAGCGAACGAUAAGACGUGAAAAGAACGAUAAUCGUUGUUAAUAGGAUAAAUUACAAAAAUUCUCAUGAACUUAGGCUAAAUUACGGAAAGCACCCCAACUUAUCGGUAAUUACCAAAACCCCCCAGAUGAUUGGUUAUGUCUUACACGACCCCCUUAUGGUGUGAUUUUUCACGGAAUCUUUUUAUUUAAAUGUAAUAUCCCGAAAAUUGAAGAUUCUACCCUUGGAGACGUGACAUUUCUUUUAUCUUACUUUUUAAAUACAAUAAUUACCCUCAGGGGAGGUAAUAGUAAUACUAAAAAGUUGUGAAGAUGUUAUUUAAGAAGAAUAAAUGUUUCGUGUAAAGUCCCUAUCAGGGAAAUUUUUGUCUUUAAAAAGUACCAUAAACAAAUGUCGAGUGCGGGGUAGAAUCUGCAUUUUUCGGGGAUUAUUCCACUUAAUGAAAAAAAUUCCAUGAACAAUCUGACCGUAAGGGGGUCGAUGUAAGACGGAAACAAACAUCAGGGAAAUUUUGGUAAUUACGAAUAUGAUAUUAAAUUAGUAAAAAGGAUAAACAUAUUCUCUGGUCAUGUUCAAGUAAAAUGUAUAAUAAUAUCAAAUAAUUUAUUUCACAAUAUUCUUUUUUAUAUAAAUCCAAGUUUAUGAAUUAAAAUACAAAAUUUUCGUAACACCAUCAAUCAUACAAUUAUAAUAAGUGAAGAUUUUAAAUUGCAUUUAAAUAAAUUUAAAUUAAAUUAAUUUAAAUUAAAUUAAAAACUAUUAAAAUUAAAUUAAAGAAUAAAUAUUUAAAAUUUCCAAGAAAGUUGAUAUAUUUAGAGCAUUUUAUAAAUACUAUGAUAUAAAUAUAUAAUAAAAUAAUUUAAUAUCUUUUUAAUUUUGGAAAAUGGUGACAUGUUUUUUGAUGAUUUAUUUUCACCAAUUAAUUUGCCACAUAGGAUGAAAUUGAAUACAUGUCACCAAUUGAAAUUGACAAAUGUCAAUCAAUUAGGUGUGAAAUUCAACUUUUAUAUAUUAUAUAGAUUAUAUAGAUUUAUAGAUUAUAUAGAUUAUAUAGAUAUAAAUUAGAAAUUAAUAUUUAAUUAUAUUAUCAAGAUGACAUUAAAAUUAUUUAAGAUAAUAUCUGGGUAUAAGAAAACGAUAAGACGUGAAAAGAACGAUAAUCGUUGUUAAUAGGAUAAAUUACAAAAAUUCUCAUGAACUUAGGCUAAAUUACGGAAAGCACCCCAACUUAUUGAUAAUUACCAAAACCCCCCCAGAUGAUUGGUUAUGUCUUACACGACCCCCUUAUGGUGUGAUUUUUUACGAAUCUUUUUAUUUAAAUGUAAUAUCCCGAAAAUUGUAGAUUCUACCCUUGCAGACGUGACAUUUCUUUUAUCUUACUUUUUAAAUACAAUAAUUACCCUUAGGGGAGGUAAUAGUAAUACUAAAAAGUUGUGAAGAUGUUAUUUAAGAAGAAUAAAUAUUUCGUGUAAAGUCCCUAUCAGGGUAAUUUUUGUCUUUCAAAAGUAGCAUAAACAAAUGUCGAGUGCGGGGUAGAAUCUGCAUUUUUCGGGGAUUAUUCCACUUAAUGAAAAAAAUUCCGUGAACAAUCUGACCGUAAGGGGGUCGAUGUAAGACGAAAACAAACAUCAGGGAAAUUUUGGUAAUUACGAAUAUGAUAUUAAAUUAGUAAAAAGGAUAAACGUAUUCUCUGGUCAUGUUCAAGUCAAAUGUAUAAUAAUAUCAAAUAAUUUAUUUCACAAUAUUUUUUUUAUAUAAAUCCAAGUUUAUGAAUUAAAAUACAAAAUUUUCGUAACACCAUCAAUCGUACAAUUAUAAUAAGUGAAGAAUUUAAAUUGAAUUUAAAUAAAUUUAAAUUAAUUUAAUUACUAUUAAAAUUAAAUUAAAGAAUAACUAUUUAAAAUUUCCAAGAAAGUUGAUAUAUUUAGAGCAUUUUAUAAAUAGUAUGAUAUAAAUAUAUAAUAAAUUAAUUUAAUAUCUUUUUAAUUUUGGAAAAUGGUGACAUUUUUUUGAUGAUUUAUUUUCACCAAUUAAUUUGCCACAUAUGAUGAAAUUGAAUACAUGUCACCAAUUGAAAUUGACAAAUGUCAAUCAAUUAGGUGUGGAAUUCAACUUUUAUAUAUUAUAUAGAUGACAUUGUUUUCUUAUGUAACUCUUCUUUGUUGAUCACUUGCCAUCUCUGUUACACAGAUACGCCUAGUCUGAGAAGUGUCCACAUGUCGGACACGUUUCCGACCGAAACACCCAAAUACGCGUAUAAUAUGCUUGGGGACCGUGUCAGUAAUAAUUAAAUAAUUGGACACGCGUAUCCAAAAUUGAUACGCGUGUCAAAAAAGAAAAAGAAAAAUUAGCAGCCUUUUUUUAAAAGCCCAAAAAGCAAAAGUCAAGACCUAUUUUACCUUUUUAAUUAUAGGCUGUACCUAGCCGUAAAUUUCUUUAUUAUAUUUAAUUUGAUUGUUUUCUUAAUUUUUAGUAUGAUGUGAAAAUGGCUACAACACUAGCCACUCACGGUCUCUCUCUUCUUCUCUCCCAAAUUCAAAAUCCCGCCUCCACAAACAUCCCACCGGCGAAAUUGCUUCCCGGAGCCAUAACUCUCUCUCCGGUGGUCGGAAUUCGAUGGUUUAACUACCGUUGGAUUCCUCUCGUCGAGCUCUUUCUUUUGGUGGUGAUUUCAUUCAGUUUCGAACGCUGAUCUGUUUCUGCAAUUUUUUUUCAUUCGAGAACGGUGGUCUUGUCGGAGUUUUAUUUUGUGUUCCACCGGUCGAAAUUUGACGGGUCACCUACAGUUGGAUUCCUCUCGUCGGGAUCUAUAUUUUGAUGGUAAUUUCGUUUAUUUUUAUGUUUUCAGAUUUAUUUCUAUAUUUUUUGCAUUUGUGGCCGCACAGAACCAUUGGUGGUUACUCUCUAUCUCUCGAUCUCUUAAUGUUUGGUGAUUUUUGAGUGUUUUGAUGUUUUUCUUCAAAUUUGUUGAUUCGCACUAAAGUAAUUUCUUUUGUUUUGAUUUUGCAAUUACAGCUUAAUGAAGGCCAUUAAUCCUUUCCUUGAAGGUGUCAAAUUUUUGUUUUUUUAAGUUACAUCAGAUCUGUUCAAUAGACUGUAUACAUUACUAUACAUUACUAUAGUAACAUGUAGUUACAUAUGCGUAUAUUUAUGUAUUUUCGAUUUGUAUUUUAUUGGUUUUGAUGUGAUUUAUAACAAACAGAUUUAUAAAAAAAUAAUAAUAAAUAAAUCAGCGAAAAUGAUAAAUGCAGGACCAUAAAUGUUGAAUGCAGUUUGGCCAAAAAUUGCACAUAAGGGUAGUAUAGUACUUUCGCUUCCUCAGGAGGUAUGUCAAAGGAUGAUUUGGACUUGGAUUUAUCCCUAAUUUAUUUGGUGGCUGGGGGUAUGUAAAAUAACCAUUUACCAGCACCCCUUUCAUCCUCUCACUUCUUACCUUCCGACUCUCUCUUCUCUUUUGGACAAAAACCAAGGUUUUUCCUUCUUUUUCUGGUUUUAAGGUGUAUCGGUCGAAUCGGUGGUUUUCCCACUCACUCCAAUUUUCAUUUUUUAUUAACCAAUCAAACUCAGACCAUUGCUUAAUGCUUCAAGAUCCGAAAAUGGCGAAUAAUUGUUCAGCCUGAAAACAAGAGUCACUUUUUUAAUCCCUUAUUAGCUGACUUAAAUUGUCCCUCGCCCGAAACUUCAAUUCUUCUGAUAUCAAUUCUUCAUGUAUUGAAAUACAAUAUUAUUAAUGAUUGUAGGAAUGUUGCGUAAGAAAAGAUACUCUACCUAGAGAUUCUACAAUUCUUGCAACGACAUUGGCAUUUGCAUUAUGCGAGCGUGCAUUUGGAUGGAGGGAUUUGGGGAAGAGAUUUCAAAUCCAUAAUAACAAAUCUCUCGGACUUGUUUGGAUUGAGGGAUUUGGAGAUGGAUUUCAAACCUCCACCCCUCCUUUUUAGUUGAUUUUGGAGCAAUAGUGAUGGAUUUCAAAUGACUCCAAAAUUGGAGUCAUUUCAAAUCCAUUCCCCAAAUCAAAUCCCUCCAUCCAAAUGAACCCUGAGAGAAAUUAAGGGCCUUGGUGCAUAAGAGAAGAUAUUCCACCAAGCCAUAAUCACCUUCUGACCUAAUAUUCUUGUUACCAUAUCCAAACGGGUCACGAUAUAUAAGCCGAUUUCUUGUUUGGGUUAAUUGAAAAAUUUAACCGCUUCAGAUUCAAUUUCGGUCAACAACUCAGUGAAAACAUCCGAUAUUGUUGUGAACAAUUAUGUAGCAGCAGUGAAAAACAUGGCAUGCGGAAAUCUUGAAAUGAUAACUGAGGAAUUGAAGCUUAAGGAGAGGGAUACUUUAUGUAGGUUAAAUGUGGAAAUAAUCCAAGUUGAACAAUUAUCUUCCAUGUUUGAAUCUUGAAGCAUUUAGUAAAGGUUAAGUACAAGUUUUGGGGUUGAACCAUACCAUUUAAGGUGUCGGGUCACAUUUAAACCAGUUGGACCAACCGAUUAAGUCCGAUUCUAAUAAUCAUAGUUAUAAGUAAAAUUAAAAUAAAAUAAAAUUGUGCGCUUGUAAGUUUUCUGAUGUUGAUAGAUUUUGUAGUAAUUUGAUCUAAUAAUGAAAUGUUUUUCAUAUAAUUUAUUUUAAUUCAUAUCAUCAAGUUUAUCGUGAUUUCUCAUGCAAAGAACUUAGAGGAAUACCUGUAGUAAGAUAACUAGUAGAUAUGUCAUUAGUGUUUAGGAUGGAUAUUGUUAAGAAAAUUCCUAGCUUCUCCGAUUCCUAUUCAAAAUUUUUGAUUUUGGAACAAUAAUUUUCAUUACGAAUUCCGAAGUUUUUUAUUGGCAAAUUGUUUUUAUGUUCUUUGUAUUGGAAUUUAAAUAAAUACAUGAUUCCCAUUUGCAAUUUGAUUUUUAAGUUAUUAAUAUGUAUUUAGUAAUAUAUGUGAAUUAGUAAUUUGACUUUUGAAUCCAGAUCUGUAACUUUUUGAUUUUGGAGUAUAGGGGUCUAAUAUUCAAUUGGGGAUUCAAUCACAAAUUGAAAUAAAAGGAUUUGGUACUUUAGUGCAAUUUUCACAAACUUUUACCCAUUAAAUUACAACUGCUACAUAUAUAUAUAUAUAUAUAUAUAUAUAUAUAUAUAUAUAUAUAUAUAUAUAUAUAUAUAUAUAUAUAUAUAUAUAUAUAUUCGCGUGUUGCUAAGAAUGUUCCCUUUAUUUAUAAUAAAUAUUAAAGGGAUAGGCUUAUUAGUGAAAGAGAUAUAGCCCAUAAACCUAAAAUAAUAAACAUGCUUGAUUGGGUACUUAUGCACAAAAACCCCUUCUAAAUAUUUCAAGAGCCCUACGCCUGUAGAAUCUAACAAACCAUCUAUUUAUUUAUCUAUCUAUCUAUCAACCUACUAUAAUAUAUACAUGAGAAUAAAUUCAAAACGGACCAUCCGUUAAUUGAUCUUAAUCGGAUGUCCACUCAACAUGUGACACGUGGAAUUAACUACUUAUAUUAAUUUAGAUAAUUUAUAUAUAAUAGUAAUAUACAAUAUUGCGUAUAAUUCAAGAAGAAAAACUAUAUAUUUAAAGUUGCUACUAACAAAAUAAUAAUAAUAAUAAUAAUAAUAAUAAUAAUAAUAAUAAUAAUAAUAAUAAUAAUAAUAAUAAUAAUAAUAAUAAUAAUAAUAAUAAACCUUAUGUUCAACGGACGGGUUUUCGGGUUUUGGGUUUUUCGGGGUUUUGAGUUUUUCGGGGUUCCGGGUUUUGGGGUUUCAGGCAAGGUUGUAAAAAUCGGUAAUCGGGUCUAAGUCGGUCAGGCACCGACUCACGAUUAAUCGGUGCGGCGGUGAUUAAUCAGUGAUAAAUCGGAAAUAAAUCGAUUUUUAAAAUUUAAUAUAAUAUAUUUGUAGAUAUUAUUUAUAAAUACUCAAAACAUAGAUAAAAAAUAUUUAAACAUAGUUAUAUCUCGAUCAUGUAUAUUCUAAUAACAUAAUAAAAGUUUAAUAAUAAUAAGAUCAUAAUACAUAAAUAUCCUUAUAAAAUAUAAAUAAAAAGGCAUUUUUUUUUUAAUUUACAUACAUUCUUGGCAUACAUCAUUAGUUCUUUAACAAUAAUAAUUAACAUAAACAAAAUAAAGCAUAAACUCAUUUUUUUUUUAUUAAAAUCCCAACUUUUAUUUUGAUUUAUAAAAAAAAAAAAAAAAAACCGAUUUUGACCGAUUUUUUGCGAUUUUUGCCACCGAAGUUUGACCUGCCUUAAAGGUUUGACCGCCUCGGACCGCCUCACAGGCAAAAAACCGAUUUUUCAAACCUUUACACUAAAAUCGUAAAGGUUUUGGACCGCCUCGGCCGAUUUUUAGAACACUGGUUUCAGGUUUUUUGGGGUUUCGGGUUUUUCGGGGUUUUGGGUUUCAGGUUUUUCGGGGUUUUGGGUUUUCGGGUUUCGGGUUUCGGGUUUUUUUGGGUUUUUGGGUUUCGAUUUUCGGUUUUGGGGUUUCGGGUUUUUCGAGGUUUUGGGUUUCGGGUUUUUCGAGGUUUUGGGUUUUCGGGUUUCGAUUGUCGGGUUUUGGGUUUUUUUGGAAAAAAGAAAGAAAUUAAAAUGAUUUAAAGAAAAAUGUUACCUGUGUCCAUAUGGUUGUUAUGGCGGGUGCUGCACUCGCACGAUUAACUAUAGUGGUUAAGGAAUUUUUAUAUUUUAAAAUGCCUACUACUUAGGAGCAUAACAACCAUGUUUUUAUCCACGUGUCCAUUGUUAAGUGGAAUCCGAUUUUUCAAUAAAAAUAGGCAGUCCGGUGUAAAUUUGCUCCCUAUAUACAUCCAUAUACAUAAAUCUAACUCAAAGGAAAUCUCGACCGACAAAGCGGGCAAAACGGAUUAUUCCUCAGCCAUUUCCCGAUGCAACUCCCGUGAAAGAUAUGCGAACACGGCAUUCCCAACGGCUCUUCACCGGAGAAUCCUUCCAAGCAAAUCGAGCAACAAUCACUCGUAACAUUCCGGCGUCCGGAAUCCGGCGCCCGCUCGACAACCUCUCUCGAGAAAACGAGCUUCCAAUCCACAACUACAUCAAAGUGGAGAUCCAAAACCUCGUGGCCCUUCAUAUGGCAGAGAGCCCUUUCGAGAGCUUUCGUCCACGCGUACUCGACCAACUCCCGGCGCGGGCCGGACUCUUCCAACGGGGGCCCGAUACACGGGCCCACCGCCUCUAGGGUUUCUCCUAAACACGACAGCUGGCGGAAGCUGACGCGGGCAUGGUAACUACUCGUCCUUGUGGGUGGGAAACCCACGCGCUUGAUGCACUGCAGCUCGGUCGGAUUAUCUUGAUGGAGAACCCAUAUCGACGAUUCGAUCUUGCAAGAGAAGAAGAAGUUGAUGCGGGAGAGUUCCGGAAGCGAAAAUCGGGGUUUGAAACGACGACUCGGGGUGCUGAAUAUAACCCCCGAAAGCUCGAGUUUUUUGAUGUUUUGUAGGCUGUGGAAUCGUACUUGUUCCAUGUUCUUCUUCUUCAGCAGAAUUUUUAUAUAUAAGAAAAAUAAAUAAUGAAUAACUCUUUAUAUAUAUAUAUAUAUAUAUAUAUAUAUAUAUAUAUAUAUAUAUAUAUAUAUAUAUAUAUAUAUAUAUAUAUAUAUAUAUAUAUAUAUAUAUAUAUAUAUAUAUAUAUAUAUAUAUAUAUAUAUAUAUAUAUAUAUAUAUAUAUAUAUAUAUAUAUAUAUAUAUGUGGUGAGAAAUAUCUCCCCAUAUAUAUAUAUAUAAAAAAAUAGAGGGAGAGAUAUAUAUGUAUAUAUCUGUAUGUAUAUGUAUACAGAGAUAUACAUAUAUAUAUAUAUAUAUAUAUAUAUAUAUAUAUGUAUAUAUAUAUAUAUAUAUAUAUAUAUAUAUAUAUAUAUAUAUAUAUAUAUAUAUACAUAUAUGUAUAUGUGUAUAUAUACUGAUAAAUAUAAUAAAGAUCUCGACACGAUAAAAUAAAGUAUGUGUGUGAGAGAGAGAGAUAGAGAGAGUGUGGAGAGAGAGAGAGAAAAGAGCCACACAGAGAGUGUGUUAUACACACUCGCGCGCACAUGUAUAUACAGACACGGAGAGGAGUGCACACGCUCACACGCGUGCACAAUGUCUCAAAGAGUGGGGGAAGAGCCCACACGUGCUCUCACACUUGACAAAAGACUAAACACCUUUGUGCGAGCGCCCCAAAUGCUCUCUNNNNNNNNNNNNNNNNNNNNNNNNNNNNNNNNNNNNNNNNNNNNNNNNNNNNNNNNNNNNNNNNNNNNNNNNNNNNNNNNNNNNNNNNNNNNNNNNNNNNNNNNNNNNNNNNNNNNNNNNNNNNNNNNNNNNNNNNNNNNNNNNNNNNNNNNNNNNNNNNNNNNNNNNNNNNNNNNNNNNNNNNNNNNNNNNNNNNNNNNNNNNNNNNNNNNNNNNNNNNNNNNNNNNNNNNNNNNNNNNNNNNNNNNNNNNNNNNNNNNNNNNNNNNNNNNNNNNNNNNNNNNNNNNNNNNNNNNNNNNNNNNNNNNNNNNNNNNNNNNNNNNNNNNNNNNNNNNNNNNNNNNNNNNNNNNNNNNNNNNNNNNNNNNNNNNNNNNNNNNNNNNNNNNNNNNNNNNNNNNNNNNNNNNNNNNNNNNNNNNNNNNNNNNNNNNNNNNNNNNNNNNNNNNNNNNNNNNNNNNNNNNNNNNNNNNNNNNNNNNNNNNNNNNNNNNNNNNNNNNNNNNNNNNNNNNNNNNNNNNNNNNNNNNNNNNNNNNNNNNNNNNNNNNNNNNNNNNNNNNNNNNNNNNNNNNNNNNNNNNNNNNNNNNNNNNNNNNNNNNNNNNNNNNNNNNNNNNNNNNNNNNNNNNNNNNNNNNNNNNNNNNNNNNNNNNNNNNNNNNNNNNNNNNNNNNNNNNNNNNNNNNNNNNNNNNNNNNNNNNNNNNNNNNNNNNNNNNNNNNNNNNNNNNNNNNNNNNNNNNNNNNNNNNNNNNNNNNNNNNNNNNNNNNNNNNNNNNNNNNNNNNNNNNNNNNNNNNNNNNNNNNNNNNNNNNNNNNNNNNNNNNNNNNNNNNNNNNNNNNNNNNNNNNNNNNNNNNNNNNNNNNNNNNNNNNNNNNNNNNNNNNNNNNNNNNNNNNNNNNNNNNNNNNNNNNNNNNNNNNNNNNNNNNNNNNNNNNNNNNNNNNNNNNNNNNNNNNNNNNNNNNNNNNNNNNNNNNNNNNNNNNNNNNNNNNNNNNNNNNNNNNNNNNNNNNNNNNNNNNNNNNNNNNNNNNNNNNNNNNNNNNNNNNNNNNNNNNNNNNGGGUUAUAUUUACGGCUUCUAUAUCGGCCAUUAUUGGGGACUACAACGUCCACCAUCUCUACGAACAUUAUGUUCGGAGUAAUUUUCAUAGCCUUUAAAUCGACUCUUAAUUUGGGCUCCUAUGGGACGGAGUCAUUUUCAUUUCUUUAUCUAAAUCAGCCCAUUUUCUUUUGCUAAUUUAAACAAGAUUAUUAAAUAAAUAGAUCGAAACUUGCACAUGCCAAUUACAUGUUUCUAAAUUUACAAAAUCAAAAUCAUGUAAUGCAAGUUGAAAAUUCAUAGUCGAGGCCAGAGAUAAUGACUCUUUUUUUCCUCAUAAAUCAACAUGCACAUAAUUAUAGAUAUAUAUCCUUCCUUUCCUCCGAAAAUCGGUGGCGUAUAAAAUACCGUAGUAUUUGCUUCACCCUUUGAUAUCGAGGAUCUGGAUUUUAUCAAAUAAAAUGAAAUAACAUAAACAAACUUACAUAACCUACCUUUUUUCGACCAGAACCUCGUGCUGAUAACGUGUUGUGAAAUAAUUCCCAUAAGCUCUAUAUAGUAUAAACACUAAUGGUGUGAAUAUUAUUAAUUAAUCAGUAUUAGUUAGUUAUCAAUGUGUAACUAAUAUAUAUAUAUGUAUAUACGGUUAUGUAUAUGUAUGUAUAUAUAUACAUAUAUAUAUAUUAGUAUAUACGGAUAUGUAUAUAUGUAUAUAUACUAAUUAAUAUAAUAUAAUAUCAUUACAAUAUAAUAUAAUAUAAAUGUGAGUGGGAAAGAUAGAGAGAGUGUAUAAGGAGAGAGAGAGAAAUGCUAGCCAAAAAUUGUGUUUUAUUAAUUCACUUGUACAUGUAUUUAUAGAUACAAAGUGAUAAGUCAUCAUUAACACUUGUCAACAUUUCAUCUAACAUUGUUGGAAAUGACUACACAUGUCCUAACACUUGUCAAAAGACUAAUAACCCAUUUGCUAAAGUCCACAAUAUUAUAACAAAAUAUUAAUUAUAGGAGGAUUAAUUAGGAUAAACACACUACACAUCUUAUAAUUUGCCUCUCCUCCCGAAUCUUCAGUCGUACGGUAUUGAUUGGGAUAAUUAUAGUUUUCUCCCCUCAAGUUUGCACCGAUGUUCACAUUUAGUCCUUCAUGUUUCACAAAGCACAUAUUUGGUCUGUCGUUCAAUAAUCUGACAUUUUCGGUCAUUUACGUCAAUUUACCAUUAAUGUAUCUGUUAAGUAGGUGAUGGGCACACGCAUGGUUCCGUUAGUUUUAACCGAAAAUUGAUCGAAAGGACUAAAAAUGUUGAUUUUGUGAAACAUGAGUGAUCAAAUGUGGUUUUUGUGAAUAUGAGGGAUCAGAUGUGGUUUUUGUGAAUAUAAGAGACCAAAUAUGAAAUUGGUGCAAUCUUAACGGAUGAAAACUGUGAUCCUAAGAUUUUGAUCCGAAUAUGUCCAAUUUUGUAAAAUAUUUUUCAUUUAGAAUUCCGAUAAUCGGGUUCCGUAUUUUUCUAACUUGAUUCUAAUGGAUUGGGAUACAUAUUUUUCAUUUUGACUUCCGAUCCAAUUUUUGGAUUUCCGAAAAUAUUUGAAAUUCCUGAAUUUCUCCAAUUACGAUCCAAAAGCAUUCCAAUUUUCGAAAGUUCUUUCAUUACGAUUUCCAAAAUCUGUGGUUGGCUGGUUGCUCAUGUAAAUACGUUACUAGCAAACACAGCACUAUUGAUAUUUGUAAAGAUUAUAACAUAUUUUACUCAAAAAAAAAAAAGAUUAUAAGAUAUUGACACACCUAAAUGGGCUCCAUUGGACCAUUCAUAUUAUAGAACCAUGUGGGCCGAAAUACUAGACCCCAAAGCCCGCCAGAUAAAGAAAUCAAGCUCAUUCUCCUAGCUGAGCCCAAAUAGGUCCCACUACUUAUGCUCGUAUUAAUAAAACCUUAAUUAGAGUCCUAAUCAAAGAGAAACUAGAUUACUGCUCUCUAAUUAGGAUUCUUCUAUUAAUUAAGUAUAAAUAAGGAAAGGUACGUUCGAACAAAUCCCUUGAGUAUUAUUGAUCUCGUGUUCUCUACUCUAUUGUAUGUGCUAGCAUCUGACUUGAGCGUUGGAGGGGUUUCCGCCCGAUGAACCUCCGUCUUAGUUCCCGUGCUAUGAUUUUACGGGUUCGGCAAUCAAGCGUGCUGGAUCAACCCCAGGCUUAGUUCACGUGCUUUGAUUUUACAGGUUGGGUGUUCGACCAAAUCCCUCGAGUAUUAUUGAUUUAGUGUUCUCUACUCUAUUAUCUGUGCUAGCAUCUGACUUGAGCGUCGGACUAGGGAUUUCCGCCUGAUCAACCCCCGGCUUAAUUCACGUGCUUUGAUUUUACAGGUUGGGCGUGCAAGAAACUUAUCCAUGUUCCCAAUAAACCGAACAAGAUGAUAUACACAUCAUCACAUAUCCAGACUAUUAGUAAAAUUUUAUAUUUUAAAAAACAAAAUAUAUAACAAAUUCCAUUCACAAAAAAAACCUAAUUCAAUUAGCAGAAAUCCCCAAUGCAUGUAUUUUGUAUUAACAGUACUGUUAGAAUCUAAUUAGAUUCUAAUAAACAAGGGAUGAGUAAAGACUUGUGCAACAAGUCCUACGUACCGUGAAACACAAAAGGGAAGUCUCCUUGUUUACUUAAAUUCUUUAAUUUGUCAUUAAUUGUUUCUUUUAUAUAGGAAAAUAUUUUAUUAAUUAAAAAGAGUUUUUGUGCAAGACUAUCCAAUAGUUCUUGACUCUUGUGCGUAUGAUUUUUCAAGAAGGAAAAGAUUUUCUUAAUUAUCUUUUAUAUUUUAUUGUCAUUAAUUGGUUGUUUGUUUACAUGGGAAUUCCCAUUAAAUUUGGAUGACAAUAUUUUAAUAAGGCAUGGACUUUUAUUCCAUAUAUUUUAACAAGAUAAUUCCUUCUACGUCUCUAACCUUGUAAAACCUAAUACAGGAGUGUUCCUAAACUAUAAAAGAAGAAGCAGGAACAUAAUACGGUGUGUGCGUUUUUUUGGAGAGAAGCCGAUCUCUCUCUUCUUGGUUGUUGUUGCACGCCUUUUGUUGGAGCAGAAAAAUUAUAUUUUUCUGCUCUUAUUUUUGCUGCACCUGGAGCGUCUUUUUCAUCGAGAGAAGAUUUCAGAGAAAUAUUUUUUUCUCUCGUUUUUUAUUGCUCCAUCGUGAUACGUGAUUUUCAUCGAAAAUAUAUCGGCUUCAAGGCUUUGUGGUGAAGACACCAAGAUUCAACGAGUAUCACAAGUUUGCUUCUUCUAUACAAAAAGAAGAUCGGUUCUUCGGGAGAGGGGCUUAAACAGAUCUCGGGAGGAGAUCGAUCCGCCGACUGAGGGAUUCAGCGUUGAAGGGAGUUCAACCGUGCGGAGCAAGGGACGUGCUGCAAAUUGAAGAUUUAUAAUUCAGCGUAGUAUACAAGAACGGCGUCAACAAAGAGGGAGUCUUUGUAUUUUGAUUAAGUCCUAUUAUUGUAUUCGUAAAACUAAAAAUUAGUAAAUUUUAUUUGCAGGUCCCCGUGGAUGUAGGGUACAAUUGUAUCCGAACCACAUUAAAAUUUGUGUCUCGUUUAUUUCUGUUUUUACGAACUGCUUCACGAACUGUUGCAACUCUUCACGCAACAGUUACGAAAAACUGAAUCUGACACAAAUAAUUUAUAUCUGCACGAAAUAAAUUCUAACAAUUGGCAUCAAGAGCCUGUCACUAGAUAUACUUAGUGAGAUUUUGGGAUUUAAUUUUUUUAUUUUAUUGUGCAGAUAUGAAUAAUCAUCGUGAAGGCGCAUUCCUACCUCCUCUCUUGGGUGAAUUGAACUACUCUGAUUGGAAAAUAAGGAUGAAGAUGUUCAUCAAAUCUAUUGAUGAAUGGGCCUGGCGCGCGAUUCUAUUUGGUUGGACACCUCCUACCUCAAUGAACGAGUCACACGAGAUCAUUCAAACGCCAAAAGAGAAGUGGAGUGAUGAAGAAGUACGAAUAGCAGAUUAUAAUUCCAAGGCAAUCAAUGCUAUCUUGAGUUGUAUCGAUGACGACCAAUUCAAAUUGAUAUCGAUGUGCAAAUCAGCAAAGGAGGCAUGGGAUGUUCUACAAGAGGCCUACGAAGGAACUACUCUGAUAAGCAAGUGCAAAGAGACUGUUGUUGAAACUGUUGCAACAGUUGGACAGACAGUUCAAACAGAACUCAGGUAUGAUAAUUUGCCUUCAAUAGACGACAUCGGUUUAACUCCCUUUAUUCUUGCAGGAGACGAUGGGGAUUCAGAAAACAACAGUGAUGAUGACGAGACGACCUUGGAAGAAUUAAAGAAGUGCUACGAAAGGAUGUACGAAAAAUUGCUUCAGGUAUGCGAGUCGAAUAAAUUCUUAGAAAAAGAGAAGCUUGUCCUAAUUGAGGAAAACAAAGUGUUGAAGGUAAGAAUUUCUACUCUUGAACAAAAUGUUAUUUCUGCUAGUAGAGAAACAGAUAGUUUGAAGGCUAAAUUUGCUCAAACCCAAGAUGCUAUUUCUAAGUUUAAUACUGGUAGAGUAACUUUGAAUGAAAUUUUGAACAAAAAUCAGCCGAACUAUGGUCGUAUAGGUAUAGGGGGGUAAUCAGCUAUCUAAUGAUGCAUUGAAACAGAAAGAGAAUCCAAAAAGAAAAAUCAAUUUUGUUAAACAAUCCACUGUUUCACAAACUGUUGCGACAGUUGCACCAACACAGCCAUUUCAAAGAAAAGUUUUUGUUCCUACCUGUCAUUUUUGUCAUGUUCCUGGUCAUAUACGACCCAGGUGUUUUAAGUACUUGAAAAUGGUUAAAAGAAUAAUGGCCCGCUCACCACUUUCCGCUAAAAUUGAUCAUACUUUUGUGUCAUCUCAAAAACCCAAGAUAAAGGUUGAUUUAGUGAAUAAAACUCAACAAAAAAUCUGGGUAAAGAAGUCUGAUCUAAAUUGUUUAUCUGCCAUUACUUCUUUAAACUCAUGUAAUGAUAGUACUAACUGUUCCAACAGUUCUGGUGACAAAGCUAGUUUGGGGAAUAAAAAACUUUGUAAUCUGAAUUGUGAUAAUUUGUAUGCGAAAAAUAAGUUUAUGAAUCCAAUUCAGCAUUCGAGAACUAAGCUUACUGAUAUUUGUCAUCUUUUCAUAAGGGGCUUGGUUGAAAAGGGGGUUGUCUCAAUUGAUUAUGCUGCAACGGAGAAUGAAUUAACUGAUGCUUUUGCAAAAACCCUUGAUGCACAGAGAUUUGAUUCCUUGCGAAAAUCGCUGGGAAUUUAUGUUGCUUAAUCUGAUGCAGUUGCAUGAACUGUUGCAACAGUCUGUGUGUCCAGACUUGCAACUUUUAGUGGUAGGACACUUCAUAUGUUUUUGCAUCUCAUAUAGGAUCUGCAUUAAGCAUACUGCAUCUGAUUGAGACAAAUGUGAAUUUGAUGCUUCAUGUACUUCUAAUCUUUGUGGGGGUAGAACUUCACCAAUUCCCAAAAUGAUUACUUAAAAGGCUCCAACUUAUUUAUUUCUCUGAAUAGUCUUGUCAUGGUUGGAUGUUUUUAUAGGGAAAAGCUGCCUCUUUUAAUGAGUGAAAGCUACUCUUGAACUACUGUUACUAAUAUAUAUAUAUAUAUAUAUAUAUAUAUAUAUAUAUAUAUAUAUAUAUAUCUACAACCAUUUGGUCAGUGAAUAGUUCGAAGCCUUUUUGAGUCGAGUCAGUAAAUCACGUGGCCGAAAGCUCGCUAUACGGCUCAAUUAGAAAGCCCAGGGGACUACACAUUGCACGUCCAAUAUAAAUUAUACAUAUGGUCAGUGAAUAGUUCGAAGCCUAGUUGAGUCGAGCCAGUAAACCACUUGACCGAACACUCACUACAAGGCUCAAUUAGAAAGCCCAGGGGACUACACAUUGCACGACCACCAUAAUCUCGUUCCUUUUAUUUGCUCUGUUUUUCAUGAGAAAAAACUACCAUUAGACGUGUGUGUACGCUACCUAAUAAGAGCAUCUUUGUGUUUGACUUGGGAUUAUUAAGUUUGUUGGUUGCAUUGGCAGUCGGAUUUUUGGGGAUUGCGCUUAUCGUGAAUGUGAAGAUAAAUCCCAUAUGUUUUGUUUGUCCAUGCAGUAUCCUAUUCACAUAUGUCUCUUCACUCAUGUUUAUUUCUCAUGUUUAAUUCUUGUCUUGCAUUAGGCAUUAUUUAAAAAAAAAAAAAAAAAAAAAAAAAAAAAAGAGAGAGAGAGAGAGACGGGAUUUUUGUUAAUGUGCCGGUUAAAUUUGAUCUUUUGUUGCAACCGGAUCUAUUGGGCCUACUACUCACAUUUCCACGUUUCGUAUGAAGUUUGGCAAAGUCUGUAGUCUUUGUUAUUUAAUGCUGGAUUUGAUAUCACUAUCCUUUUGAUUUCGUAUUGCAAUUAUCGUGUGUUAUUGAGUGUGUGAGCGUGUGAUUUUGUGUUCCCGUCAUGAAUGGUGAUUCUUCUUACUUACUUUCAAAAUUCUCUCUACGUUUGAUAUUUUUGUUAAGUGUUUGAACAGCUUGCUCAAAUCAUCAAGAUCAUUAGUCCAUGUUGAGUUAUCUAUGCAUGGUGAUUGCCCAGAAAGGGGGAGAAAAGAACAGUCAGCGAUGGCAUGAACACAGGGAGAGUUCCGACAACUGUUGCGACAGUGCAUCAGACAGUUGCUGGAACAGUGCAUGAAUGCAGGGGGAGUUCAGACAACAGUUGAGACAAUGCAUCAUACUGUUGUUGGAACAGUGCAUAAAUACAUGACAAAUAAGGAGGAAUUCAUUGUAAAGGGAAGUUGAUUAUGCUAUUGCAUAUUUUUAGUUGUUCUUUGCUUAAUUGAACAACUGUACACUAUCUGCUGAACUGUUUGAUAAACUGUUGCAACAGUUUAUAUUUGCAGAUGUUAUUUUGAAUUUGCUGACCCUUGUUCAUGCAUGUAUCAUAUAUUUAGGGGGAGUAAAUGUUCUGACCAAUCAAUGCCAAAGGGGGAGAGUGUUAGAAUCUCGGUGGGAUUCUAAGUCCUCAACACCAAGUGGAAUUCUAUGGAGAUGUUUAUUGUCAUUAAUUGGUUUAGGUCUUCACAAGAGUAUAAAAUGAGGAGCUAUAAUGCCGACGUUAUUUGUUGAGUCUUUUAUCACGUGGGUGAUUUACCACGUCGCCCUCCAAGUCUACAAAGCCAAGUAAGCAAAGUGGAAGAAUGAAGUCACUUACAAGGGGAGCUGCCUAAGGUUCAUUCACAAGGGGAGAUACACAUGCAGGGGGAGCCGACUCCGUUGUGAACCACAUGCCGAAGCCACUACUGUGGGAACAGUUGUUGAAACUGUGACACUUACUAUUGCAGCAGUUCAUGCCACUCUUGUUGCUGAAAGAGAUUAUGAUGAUGAGCUGUUCCUUUGAUGCUGAGGAUGAUCUUUAUUUUUAUUGUUUCCUUAUAUCCUCUAUUGUUUCAUUUUCAGGCAAUUUACUCAGGGGGAGAAAAUGUUAGAAUCAAUAAAUGACAAAGGGGGAGAUUGUUAGAAUCUAAUUAGAUUCUAAUAAACAAGGGAUGAGUAAAGACUUGUGCAACAAGUCCUACGUACCGUGAAACACAAAAGGGAAGUCUCCUUGUUUACUUAAAUUCUUUAAUUUGUCAUUAAUUGUUUCUUUUAUAUAGGAAAAUAUUUUAUUAAUUAAAAAGAGUUUUUGUGCAAGACUAUCCAAUAGUUCUUGACUCUUGUGCGUAUGAUUUUUCAAGAAGGAAAAGAUUUUCUUAAUUAUCUUUUAUAUUUUAUUGUCAUUAAUUGGUUGUUUGUUUACAUGAGAAUUCCCAUUAAAUUUGGAUGACAAUAUUUUAAUAAGGCAUGGACUUUUAUUCCAUAUAUUUUAACAAGAUAAUUCCUUCUACGUCUCUAACCUUGUAAAACCUAAUACAGGAGUGUUCCUAAACUAUAAAAGAAGAAGCAGGAACAUAAUACGGUGUGUGCGUUUUUUUGGAGAGAAGCCGAUCUCUCUCUUCUUGGUUGUUGUUGCACGCCUUUUGUUGGAGCAGAAAAAUUAUAUUUUUCUGCUCUUAUUUUUGCUGCACCUGGAGCGUCUUUUUCAUCGAGAGAAGAUUUCAGAGAAAUAUUUUUUUCUCUCGUUUUUUAUUGCUCCAUCGUGAUACGUGAUUUUCAUCGAAAAUAUAUCGGCUUCAAGGCUUUGUGGUGAAGACACCAAGAUUCAACGAGUAUCACAAGUUUGCUUCUUCUAUACAAAAAGAAGAUCGGUUCUUCGGGAGAGGGGCUUAAACAGAUCUCGGGAGGAGAUCGAUCCGCCGACUGAGGGAUUCAGCGUUGAAGGGAGUUCAACCGUGCGGAGCAAGGGACGUGCUGCAAAUUGAAGAUUUAUAAUUCAGCGUAGUAUACAAGAACGGCGUCAACAAAGAGGGAGUCUUUGUAUUUUGAUUAAGUCCUAUUAUUGUAUUCGUAAAACUAAAAAUUAGUAAAUUUUAUUUGCAGGUCCCCGUGGAUGUAGGGUACAAUUGUAUCCGAACCACAUUAAAAUUUGUGUCUCGUUUAUUUCUGUUUUUACGAACUGCUUCACGAACUGUUGCAACUCUUCACGCAACAGUUACGAAAAACUGAAUCUGACACAAAUAAUUUAUAUCUGCACGAAAUAAAUUCUAACAAGUACAUAUCAUAGAAAAUAAUCAAUUACAUUCAUAGCAUAACGUAACACAAUUCGAUCCCUAAUUCAAUUAUACAUGUCGUCGUCUAACUAGUCGGCAUCUCGAAUCGGCAAAGCGGGCAAUAAUGGCUAGUCCUCAGCCACUUCUUGAUGCAAUCGCCGUGAAAAAUAUGCGCGCACGGCAUACUCAACAAUUCUUCUCGAUUAUAAUCAUCGCCCCAGAAGCUUUCCAAGCAGACGGAGCAAUCCAUCUCGGGAAUAUUGCGAGAAUAUUCCACCGUCUUCAACACGCGAUCAAUCGACGAAUUCUCGGCCGGAACCAUACGAAGAGUAGAUUCAUCAUAAUUAUUAAUAUCACGGAGAUAAAUAUAUUCGUGCUCCAAAAGUACAUCGAAGUGGAGAUUCAAAACUCGGUAGGCCCUGCCGCCUGCGAUGUAUUUGCCGGCUUCGCGCAACGGGUAAUCGACCAACUCUCGACGGUUACUGGAUUUCAGUCGCGAUAAUCCACUACUCGUCGUCGUCAGUUUUUCUUCCAUGUAUUUUUGUGAUUCUUCGAAACUCGAGAACUGAUUGGAACUCAUGGAGACGAGGCAAUCGACGACGGGAUGAUGAGACUGGCUCACGAGCUGCGACUCGUCGUCUUCGGAUAAAAUCCACUCAGAAACAUCGAAUUCGAAAGAAAAGUUGAAGUUGAUUUGGAAUUUACGUACCGAACUCGGAAUUACGGCUGUGGUUUCCGAUUUUACGAGUUUGUAGGUGAAGGUGUAGACGCAUAAAAUUAAUUAAUUGGUUAAUUAAAUUAGCCAAUUAAAUUGUGUCUAAAUUAAAUUAUAAUUUAUCUUACAAAAUAAGUUAUGGAGAUAAUUAUCAAUUAAUUAUUGGCCAAUAGGAUUAUUUCUUCUCUUCCAAGUUAUAAGAGAUAAAUAUCAAUUUAAAUAGAGCCAAUCAAAUCGCGCCACGUCAUCAAGUAGACUUUAAGUAGGACUCUUAUUCUACCACUAGGGACCCUCUCUACACAAUUCAAAAAACACAACUCAAGAAGAAUAAAAAUCGUAGGAGAAAAUUCUCUCUACAACAUUCAAGUCAUCUUCAUCAAAUUCAAGGCGUUCUUCAUCAAAUCAAGGGCGUUCUUCAACAAAUCAAGAUCGAAGGAAGAUUGAAGGGCCAAAUCCAUCAAGAUCUUCAUCAGAGGGCGUUCUUCAACAAAUCAAGAUCGAAGGAAGAUUGAAGGGCCAAAUCCAUCAGGAACUCCAAGAUCUUCAAGUCAAAACCCGUCAAAGUUCUGCGUUCGAUCCGAGAUUCAAGUCGCAAGACCCUCGGAAAACGUUAUUCAAGUUCAAAAUCAAAUCCGGAGAAGAUCAAGUCAACGACCCGACUCCGAAAUUCAAAGUCAACAUAUAUUGUUCUUGAGAGAAGAAUCAGAGGAUUAAAUUAGAGUUUGUAACCCGCAAUAUUUAUAUUUAUUUCAAUAAAAUUAUAUUUGUGCAAGUUUUUCUUGUUUGUCUAAAUCGCAGAUAAGAUUUUGUUGCUACAAAUUUUGGCACGCCCGGUGGGACUUCUCUACCUCUCAUCUCUUCUCUCUCUCGAAGAUCCUCAAAGUGUUGCAUUGACUGCUCUACGUUCGCAAUGAACACUGCUACUUCGGAUUCAUCAAGUGUGGGCUUAGUUACAAGGAGUAUGGCUAAGAAGCUGCAAGCAUCCUCCAAGACUAGCUCGACGCCCCAAACCGUUCAAAAAGGCUUACCACCUCUUGUCAACACAAGUGCAAACGUGGAAGGCUCAAAAUGAGAGAUUUCACAGCCCAUGCCUCAUUCAACAUCAAGCUACUCAGAGAUGGCAUCCGUCAUGACAACAAACGCUACAACUAUGGAAGAAGCAUCCUCCAAGACUAGCUCGACGCCCCAAACCAUUCAGAAAGGCUUACCACCUCUUGUCAACACAAGCGCAGAAGUGGAAGGCUCAAAACGAGAGAUGUCACAGUCCAUGCCUCAUUCAACAUCAAGCUACUCAGAGAUGGCAUCCGUCAUGACAACAAACGCUACAACUAUGGAAGAGCAAAUUGCAAAUUUGACCAAGGCUAUUGAGGGACUCACAAAGCAUGUUCAACAACGAGAUUCUCAAAUUGCCAAGUUGAUCAACAAGAUGGACAAAGCCGAUGCUAGUCAAGCUGUGGAGAAUCAGAUAGAGGUUCAAGACGAAGUCGAGACAUCCACAAAGCAACAACCAGUUGAAAACGAGAAGGCUCCAGCUCAAGAACUUCAAGUUUCUCCCGAAGGGCUGAUUCAUGUAGAUCAAGUGAUGACGCUGAUCAGUGAGACAAUCAAAGACAAGUUGGAAGGAGGCUCGAAGUCUCCAUCAACCUAUGUCAAGCCAUACACGCAAAUGAUUGAUGAUCUAAGGAUGCCAAUGGGCUAUAUAUACUUCCAAAGUUUCAACAAUUUGACGGCAAAGGCAACCCCAAGCAACAUGUUGCACACUUCGUCGAGACUUGCAAUGAUGCCGGGACGUACGGAGAUCACCUCGUCAAGAAAUUCGUCCGAUCGCUCGAAGACAACGCGUUUGAUUGGUACAUUGAUUUGGGGGCAAACUCCAUUGAUAGUUGGAAGCACUUGGAGGAAGAAUUUCUCAACCGCUUUUACAGCACUCGAAGAACAGUCAACAUGAUUGAGCUCACCAAUUCGCGCCAAUGGAAGAAAGAACCUGUCAUCGACUACAUCAAUCGUUGGAGAAAUUUGAGUCUUAAUUGCAAGGAUCGACUGCCUGGGAUAUCAGCUAUUGAACUGUGCAUCCAAGGAAUGCAAUGGGGACUCCGAUAUAUCCUUCAAGGAAUUCAACCUAAAAGUUUUGAAGAGUUGGCCACUCGAGCACAUGAUAUGGAAUUGAGCAUAACUGCAAAUGAAGUCGAAGAACCUUCAUUCCAAAAGUCGUACCAGCUCAAUGAAGAACAUGUCGAAGAAGAACAAGAAGAUCACGAGGAUGGGGGCAAGCCUUUUGAAGAAACAACAUCCUAUGCAAUAUGACAAGUCCAAAUCAAGUGAAUACUCCUCGACAUGAGUUUAAAAGGUCUACAAGUCCAAAUCAAAUAAAAUACUCCUUGACACGAGUUUAAAAGGUCUACAUGUCCAAAUCAAAUCAAAUACUCCUUGACACGAGUUUAAAAUGUCAACAUAUCCAAAUCAAACCAAGGCUCCUCGAUACGAGCAUAAACUAUCUAUAUGUUCAAAUCAAGUCAAUGUUCCUUGAUACGAGCAUAAAUUAUCUAUAUAUCUAAAUCAAGUCAAGGCUCCUUGAUACGAGCAUAAACUAUCUACACAUAUCAAGUCAAGGCUCCUUGAUACGAGCAUAAACUAUCAACAUAUUCAAAUCAAGUCAAGGCUCCUUGAUACGAGCAUAAACUGUCUAUAUAUCUAAAUCAAGUCAAGGCUCCUUGAUACAAACAUAAACUAUCUAUACAUAUCAAGUCAAGGCUCCUUGAUACGAGCAUAAACUAUCUAUAUAUCGAAAUCAAGUCAAGGCUCCUCGAUACGAGCAUAAACUAUCUAUAUAUCGAAAUCAAGUCAAGGCUCCUUGAUACGAGCAUAAACUAUCUAUAAAUUCAAGUCAAAUGCUCCUUCAGUACGAGCUUAAACUGCGAAUGUUUCUCCUUGUCCACAUGAGUAUAAACUGUGCACGACAUCCCUUAAAAGGAUAUAUUUUGAACUACGUUAUGACUUGAUCCCUUUAUAGGGUACGUAGGCAACUUAGAAUCUCUGUAAGUUCAGUCAUGAUUUCAAAAGAUAUAUGUUCUUUGCUAGAUCAAGCCGCAAUCGAAGUUGAGCAAUUAUCGAGACUCAUCCACUCCAAGAUGCAUUGUCCGUGAACAAGUCUCAGGGGGGUGUGUGUAAUUUACCCAAAUUAAUUAAUUGGUUAAUUAAAUUAGCCAAUUAAAUUGUGUCUAAAUUAAAUUAUAAUUUAUCUUACAAAAUAAGUUAUGGAGAUAAUUAUCAAUUAAUUAUUGGCCAAUAGGAUUAUUUCUUCUCUUCCAAGUUAUAAGAGAUAAAUAUCAAUUUAAAUAGAGCCAAUCAAAUCGCGCCACGUCAUCAAGUAGACUUUAAGUAGGACUCUUAUUCUACCACUAUAAAUAGGGACCCUCUCUACACAAUUUAAAAAACACAACUCAAGAAGAAUAAAAAUCGUAGGAGAAAAUUCUCUCUACAACAUUCAAGUCAUCUUCAUCAAAUUCAAGGCGUUCUUCAUCAAAUCGAGGGCGUUCUUCAACAAAUCAAGAUCGAAGGAAGAUUGAAGGGCCAAAUCCAUCAAGAUCUUCAUCAAAUUGAGGGCGUUCUGCAACAAAUCAAGAUCGAAGGAAGAUUGAAGGGCCAAAUCCAUCAAGAACUCCAAGAUCUUCAAGUUAAAACCCGUCAAAGUUCUGCGUUCGAUCCGAGAUUCAAGUCGCAAGACCCUCGGAAAACGUUAUUCAAGUUCAAAAUCAAAUCCGGAAUCAAGUCAACGACCCGACUCCGAAAUUCAAAGUCAACAUAUAUUGUUCUUGAGAGAAGAAUCAUAGGAUUAAAUUAGAGUUUGUAACCCGCAAUAUUUAUAUUUAUUUCAAUAAAAUUAUAUUUGUGCAAGUUUUUCUUGUUUGUCUAAAUCGCAGAUAAGAUUUUGUUGCUACAAAAGGAUUCUUGAAAAUCAUAUAAAUCAUCCAUGGCGUCGUCAAAAGAUUUCAAAGAUUUCAAGGAAAAAGAAAAUUUAUCUGUGAAGAGGGUUCUGUUUUAAGGUUGAUGCGAAUAGAAGAUUUCAAGAAAAAAGAAAAUUUAAAAGAAAAUUUAUUUGUGAAGAGGGUUAUGUUUUAAGGUUGAUGUGAAUAGAUUUUUAAAAUAAUAUAUAUUAGGUUAGAAGUAGUGUAAUAGGAUUAGACUUUGUCGACACGUGUCAAAAUCCAAAAGUGCAUUGUAAUUUGUAAUAUAAUUAGUUUUAUCAAUUUCAACGGUUUUAUUAAUUUUAGUAAUAAUAUUUAACUUAUAAAAACGUGUCUUAAAUUAGUAAUUAAGUAACUUUUAAAUAAGUGUUUUAUAAAUAUUGGAGCUAAGGGUGGAAAUCGAAAUGAAAUUUUUUAAUUCCACCAAUUCUGAUUCGAAAAUAUCCGAAUUUGAAACCAUAUUUUUCAUUCUGAUUUCUGAAGUUUUGAUUUUCGAUUCUUCCGAAUUUAUUUGGAAUGGAUCUUUGCAUUCCGAUUUUUUGGAAUGAAAAUCGGAACCUAAUUUUUACUUCCGAAAAAAAUUGGAAAUAUUUCGAAAAAGUCAUUUCCGAUCCAUUCCGUCUGAUUUCCAUCCCUAAUUAGAACAUUACGUUUUAUUUUUGUUUUUUCAUUAUUAUGAUGAUUUUUUUUUUUUAAAUAUACUUGUACAUAUUUAACAUGUAUCCUUUUAGUAUUUAUAUAUAAUAACACUUUGCACCCUCAAAAUACAAUAAAUCAAUUAUAAUGCACCCUAAAUUGAAUAUUUAAAAUUAAUGAGAGCAAUUUCAUAUUUUGUAAACCAUAGUAUGAUAUAUGAUAUCCUUGAUGCUUUGUUUCUAAAGACAUAGUAUUGUGAAAAUAACUUCUUCAAAAAGUAUUAAAAAUCUCUUAUAAAUUAUUUAAUUGAGAGUAUAGAUCUCAAAAUGUAUUAUUCGUGAAAAAGACAAUUGAGUAAUAGAACUUAUAUUAUUUUUCAACUUAUAUAUAUAAAGUUAAUCAAUGUGUUUCACUAGAUCUGUCAUCUACAAAAAAACAAUUACUGCCAGUCGUAUUUUUUCUGUGGGACGCCAACGGGACCCACAUGAGUUACCUCGUUCGGACUAAAAUAAAUGCCAUCUGCCCUAGCUAUCCAACUGCAAAUAUUACCACCAAUCCCUGUUUGACAGUCUCCAGACAAAUGUUUACUGAACACAUCAAACGUUUGUUGCUUCCCAUUCCACCACAAGUGACAGAAGUACAGAGUUCUUUUAAACAAAUCUUGAUGAAAAGCCCAUUGUUGAUAUUGGUUCACAUAAAGCGUACGAUUUCCGAAAUCGUCGUUCCCAGAUUGACAAUGAGUUACUAACUUAGAAUUGUCUUUGGGAAGAUUAUUGUACACAUUAACCUCAAACCUUUUUGUAAGAGGAUCGGCAUCGAUUAUUUGGACAAUGCCGAUCAAUACUACGAGCGCAAAGAAAACGAGGCUUUGAUUAUCGUAUCCAUGAUAUGUUGUAUAAGAAAAGAUUAAUUAGUAUUGCACUUAUUUUAUUUUUUGUGUAUCUAGUUUUUAUAGAGGAAAUUGGUUUGGAUAGAGAUUGCAUAUUCUUGUGAUUGUGAAUUUUUUUUCAAUUAAAAUUGCACUUUUCUCUUUUCGUGUAUCUGGUUUUUAUAGAGGAAAUUAAUUUGGAUGGAGAUGCAUACUAAUUAAUGUAUUUUUUUUUGGAGAUUAUACAAUAUACUACAGAAACCCAAAACCCAAAUAUGGUAUCACAAUGUAAUUAAAAUAAGGGUAAAAUUCAUUUUGCAUCCCUGUACUAUGAGAAAGUUAUCGUUUACCCCCUGAUGUAUGAGAAACAUCAAACACCCCAUGCCGUUAACUUUUUUCUUGACUCCGUUAGUCAAACCUUUUGACUGGCCGUUAUAAAGACCCGCUGGCUUUUUUUUGACGAAAUUACCCCCAAUAAUCUCUAUAUAUAGAUUGUCUAGUUUUAGCCAUUUUUUACAAAAUUUUCCCACUUACUCAGCCCUUGAUAAAAAUAAAGCUUUGCAGAUUUUGAUCGCAAGACGCACGAAAAAAAAAAAAGUGAAAACCCCUAAAAUCGAAAAAAAAUGCUAAAUCAAAAUAAAACUCUAAUGAACCGCAAACUAAAAACAAAGAUUUAAAGACUUUGCAUAAAAAAAUUUUUUUAAUCCGAGUUGGAAAUAUACACUCCGCAAAAGAAAAAAAAAACAUUACGUGUUCAUUGAAAGUAAAAAUUUAUUUAAGUCCAAGCAUAAAAGUCAUACAGAUUUGAAAAAUCUAUUCCUAUAGCAAAACUAAAAAAAAUCAAUAAAAUUGAUCAUUCAAUAAAGAUAUUGCGUCUGUUAUUUGUAUAUAUAGCUAUGCAACAAAUUGCAUCUACUGUUUGAAAUUAAAAAUAAACCCCUAAAGUCAAACAACAAUAAAAUCGACAAUAUUCUCUACAUUGAACAAAUUCUGAAAAUUGUCAAUAAUUAACAAAAUACGCUUUUUUUUUAAGUUAAAAUCGUGUCAUUUAUCCUCUAAGUUCAUCGGGUUACAGAACCCCCAAAAAAAUCAGUUCACCCAAAUGUUAAUCCCGUAAUUGGGAAAAAAGAACCUAAAACUAAAAUUCAUACCUUCUUUUAGGGUAAACGUCCUUCGAAUAUGCUCAUACAAGGUUUCCUCAACAAAUUUCACAAAUAUCUUGAGAAUUAUAUGAAUUUUUUUUGGGUGUUGUUUUCUUGGAAAAUCGAAGAGAGGGAGAAGACGAGAGAGAGCGAGCGAGAGUUGUACAGAGUAAAUGACGUGAAAUGUUUUUGGGAUUCUCUAAGCCGUGUAAAACAAGGUAAAAUUGUAAUUGCACGCUCAAAUUUAACAGGGUUAAAAGUUUGACCAUUGACUGUCAAAAGUAGGGGGGUAUUUGAUGUUUUUCAUACAUCAGGGGGGUAAACGAUACCUUUCUCAUAGUACAAGGGUGCAAAAUGAAUUUUACCCUUAAAAUAAUAUUCCUAUUUCAACUUGAGGUUAAAGGCAAAAAGAUCUACCAAUUAUUCCAUUUUAAUUUGAACACUUUUCACCUAUGAUACACGGACACGGAUACGUGGACACGACGAUACGCGGAUACGAACACGGUGAUACGGCAUUUUCAAAAAAUUAGGAUACGGACACGCCGGGAUACGCAUAAAUUUAAAAAAUAUAGGGGUAUAUUUAUAAAUAGGGUACAUUUAUAAAUUGUAAAAAAUAUGUAUAAGUCAUCAUCGCAUAAGAGAACCACUCGCCCUUGUUGCUCGUGUUCUUGGUCGCCGUCGCAUGCUAGACUUUUGGAGUUUUUUGUGGACUCACAAAGAAAACAGAGGAAAUUUGUAUUAUAGAGAAAAGAAAAGGGCAAAUUACGGCCACCCCCCUGAUGUAUGGUCAAAUUACGAAAAAACCCCUCUUGUUUAGGUAAUUACAUCCACCCCUCAUUUUAAUUAUUUUUACGUAAAAUUUAUGUAAUUCGGUUAUUUACCGAACCAAAUCGUAUAUUUUGUUCGGUAAACGGUAUGAAAUGUUGGCGUACCGAAAUUUUGGUCCGGUUUUACCGAAUUAACAACCCUAAAUUUACCUCUGGAGGGAUCUUUUCGUAAGAUAAAUACAUAGUUGAGGGGGUAGCUGUAAUUACCCAAACAGGAGCGGGGUUUUCGUAAUUUGACCAUAGCUCAGGGGGGUGGCCGUAAUUUGCCCAAAAGAAAAUGCGCAUUUUUUUUUAUUAGGGCUCUCUUUUAAAACGUAAGAGAAGUGUCCCAACUUUUUUAAAAUUGUGGACACUGCCCGACACGGGUGUCCUACUUUUAGCGAAAUUACGACACGGCCCGACACGAGUGUCCGAGAAGUGUCCGGGGGUGUCCGAGUGUCCAGGUAUCGGACCGGGGACUGUUCACCUUCUAAAAGUGUCCGUGCAGCAUAGCUUUUCACAAUCUUUUCUUUUCACUUUACAAUAGUAUGAAUGAUUCAAUUGUAAACGAGUUGACUUACGCCAAUAAAUUGAUUAAAACGAGAGGGUACGUAUUACCGACUCUCCUAAUGAAUGUUGGUUAUUCAUAUAAACAUUGUAACUAUAAUAAGUUAUUCAAAAAGUAUUAAACAUCUCUCAUAUAAAUUAUCAUUGACAAUAUAAAUCACAAAAAAUUACAAAAAAACAAAAGUGAUUAAAUUUAUAAUAGAAGUACUUAUUUUAUAAAUUCAUACAUCUAACUCCGUCGGCAUCUCGAAGCGGCAAAGUGGGCAAUAAUGACUAGUCCUCAGCCAUUUCUUAAUACAAUCUCCGUGAAAAAUAUGCGAACACGGCAUGGAUAAUAAUAAUACUUCUUCACCUUCAUCGCCACCGCCGGAUAAGUCUUCCAAGCAAACCGAGCAACAACUCAUCUCCGCCAUAUCCCUACGAUAAUCAAUUGUCUUCAGCCCCUCGAUCGAGGAAUACUCCGCCGGAACCAUACGAAAAGAAUAAUCACUAGCCUCCUCUUCAAGUAUAACGCAACGAUGCUCGUACAAAGCGUUGAAGUGGUGGUAAUUCAGAUAAACACUACUUCUAGAAGCUUCUCUCCAUGCAUAAUCCACCAAUCUUGUAAGGUUGACUUCUUCCAAAGUCAAAACCUUAAUAAGUUCUUGUUCAAUGAAUAUUCGCGACAGCUGUUCACAGCUCACACAAAAAUCGUGGUUUAUUAAUACCGGUUCCUCGUACACCCGAACGAACUCGGGUUCGGGUGAAUCUUGGCGUAUAAUCCAUUCCGAAAAUUCGACCCGCAAUGAAACGUGGAAGUGGAUCUUCGGAUCAGUAUUUUCGGUAGUAAUAAAUUCUUCUUUGAUUAUAUGAUUGAAGGAGAAAAAUCGAUGGUAUUCACAAUAAUUGGAAUCCAUGGUUGAAAGGUUUGAAGAAAAAAAAAGUGGGUUAAAAGUUAAACGACGUAGUUUUGAUUUGAAUUAGGUCAAUUGUUGGGAAGAGAAAUAUAUAGGAGUUUGUGAACACCAAAAUAAUAGGUUAAACGAUUUGUUCCUACUUGAGUUAGGCCUUGUUUCCUUCACUGUAUUGGAUUAGAUCGGAUUAGAUUAAUUUCCUACUGAUUAAUUAAAUAAUUGAUUAAUAAUAUAUUUACUUCUUUAGAUUACAUGUUGUAUUAAAUUUGUUAAAUUAUUUUAUUAUAUGUAAAUUUUCUAUAAAGUCUUUUAUUUACAAAAUUAAAUUAUUAUUUUAAGGAUAAAUUAAUAAUGUUUCAUCUUAGUCACCCCCUGCAAAAUGAAUGGGCGAGGGGUGUUACCAAUUUCAUGACGCAGUAGCAUUUAAUUGCGGGCUUCAACUUUAGUAGCAAGCUUCAGUAAUAUUGAAUUCUACCAACCAAACAUCUUAUUAAUUCCUAUUUAGUUAAUAUAACCUAAUAGGGGUGCAGUUCGGAUUUUUUUUUUCGAAUUAUGCCUAUUUCAAUUUGCGAUUUCCAGCUUUGGAACAAAUAUCUUCAUUCCGGUAUUCGAUAUUUCGAUUUUACAUUUUCCCGAAAUACUUUGUGGAUUGGAAUUGAAAUUUUAUUUUUCUUUCCAACAUCAAUUUUCACAUAUAUUCAUCUAUAACAAAAACUAAAAGUUCAAUUAUUUUAGUACUUAAUCAUCUCAAAUAAAGGAAUUAAGCAAAUAUAUGCUAAUUGUUUUUCCUUGUAGAAUUUGAUUGAUAUAAAUAGAGAGAUUGUUUCUUGUAAGAUUUGGUUUACAUAAAUAAUAAGAGAGAUUGUUGAUUAAGUGCAAUUCUAUCUGUAAUUAUUGUUAAUUUCUCUAACAGUGUAAGUUGAUAUUAUAUUCUAUUACCAUAAAAACUAUUAUGCCAAAAUUUAUUUUAAUGUUGCUAAUAAUAAUGUUUCUAACACAACUCUUUAGAUAAUUAUAAACAUGCAAAAAUAUCAUCAUUAAGCAUAUUCUUUAUUCUUUAGGGUGAAAUAUAUUUAUAUAUAUAUAUAUAUAUAUAUAUAUAUAUAUAUAUAUAUAUAUAUAUGUAGCAUCUAUAAAAAACAAUUACUGCCAGUCGUAUCUUUUCUGCGGGACACCAAUGGGACCAGCAGAAGUUACCCUGUCCGGACUAAAAUAAAUGCCAUCCGCCUUAGCUAUCCAACUACAAAUAUUACCACCAAUCCCAGUUUGGCAGUCUCCGGACAAAUGCUUACUAAACACAUCGAACGUCUGUUGCUUGCCGUUCCACCACAAGUGACAGAAGUAAAGAGUUCUCUUAAACACGUCUUGAUGAAAAGCCCAUUGUUGAUAUUGGUUCAGAUAAAGCGUGUGAUUUCCAAAAUCGUCGUCCUUAGACUGGCAAUGAGUUAUUAACUUAGAAUUUUCUUUGGGGAGAAAAUCGUACACAUUAACCUCGAAUCUCUUUGUAAAAGGAUCGGCACCGACGAUUAUUUGGACGAUGUUGAUUGAUAGUACGAUGGAGAGGAAAACGAGGGGUUUGAUUAUCAUAUGAGCCAUGAUCAUAUGUAUGAGAAAAAGAUUAUUUAAUUUAAUAUUGCAUUUUUCUUUUUUGUUUACGUAGUUUUUAUACAUGAGAUUAAUUUGGAUAGAGAUGCAUGUUAUUGUAAUUUUCUAAGAUUAUGUACUAUGUUACUAUUUUAUGGUUACAUAUUGGGUAUCAUAUUAACGUACUGGGAAUAUAUUUUAUUGGGACUUACUAAGUAUUAUUUAUUGGUUGUUCGAAUUCAUUAAUUUAAAGGGUAAUUUGAGAUGAUUUCUUGCAACUCCAGAAUAUGGUGGUCAACACUUAGAAAAAAAAUCUUAUUUUAUAAUCCUGGGUAUCAAAUAAAUUAGGGAUAAAUUCAAGUAAAAAAGAGUAUUUGACAUACGUCUUGGUGAGAAGAAAGUACUAUACUAUCUUUAUAUGCAAUUUUCGGUCAAACUGCAUUCAACAUUUCUGGUCCUGCAUUUAUCCUUUUCACUGAUUUAUUUAUUAUUAUUAUUUUUUUAAUAAAUCUGUUUGUUUGAUUUAUAUGUUUUUUUAUUAACUUUUUAAUUAAUUUUUAUUUAAUUUUUUAUUAUUUUAUUAUUUUUUUUAUUUUUUUAUUUUUGUAAAAUCAAUAUAUUUACUGUACUAAAAAUAACUACAUGUAACUGUAGUAAACUAUAGUCAUUCGUAGUUAUGUUUUUUUACCCCAUAUUUUUGGUCGAUCAAUUAUGUAUACAUGUGAAUACUGGCUUAUACAAAAGAAAUUCAUAAACACGAACAACAAAAAUUUACAAAUUUCAAUAUUUAUAUUAUAAAUUAUCUCAGAAUCACUAAAAUAAAAAUCGAAAAUACACAAAUAUAUGCAUAUAUAACUAUAAGUUAUUGUAGUAAGCUGUACUGGAAACUACAUGUAAUUGUAGUAAAGUAUAGUCAUUUGUUGUUAUGUUCUUUUUUUUGGCCCCAUAUUUUUAGUGGAUCAAUUAUGUACAUACUCGAAUAUUGGCUUAUACAAAAGAGAUUCAUAAGCCCCAACAACAAAAAUUUACAAAUUUCAAUAUCUAUAUUAUAAAUAACCUCAAAACCAAUAAAAUACAUAUCGAAAACACACAAAUAUAUGCAUAUGUAACUACAUGUUACUAUAUGUAAGUAGUAAUGUAUAGUAAUGUAUAGUAAUGUACAGUAAUGUAUACAAUGUGUUGAACACUGUAACUUGACGCAGAUGUAACUUCAACCAAUUUUUUUGACACCUUUAAGUCGAGGAUCAAUGGCUUCCAUUAAGCUGCAAUAGCAAAAUCAAAACAAAACAAAAAAGUUAUUUUAGUGCAAAUCAACAAAAAUUGAAGAAACAUCAAAACAUUCAAAAUCAACAAACACUAAGAGAGAGAGAGAGAGAGAGAGAGAGAGAGAGAGAGAGAGAGAGAGAGAGAGAGAGAGAGAGAGAGAGAGAGAGCAUAGCUAUGAAAUGUUACGAAUUUUAGACCAAACCGCCAAUGAUUCCUCACCCAAGCGCCUCUACCAAAACCCAGCCGUCGUUAACCAACCCAGGUUUCGCGCUCACAAAUGAAAAAAUAUAUAGAAAUAAAUAUGACAAUUAAAAAUGAACGAAAUCGCCAUCAAAAUAUCGAUCUCGUUGAGAGGAAUCCAACGGUGGGUAGCCCGUCAAAUUUCGACUACCAGAAUACAAAUUACACCUCCGGCAAGACCCACCGUUGUCGAAAUACGCACCGACUGUAAAACGAUUGCAGAAAUAGACCAAGUGCUUCAAAUUGAAUGAAAUUACCACCAAGAGAAAGAGCUUGACAAGAGGAAUCUAACGGUAGUUCAACCAUCGAAUUCCGAUCACCAGAUGCAGAGUUAUGACUCCGGGAAGCAACUUCCCUGGUUGGAGAUCUAUGGGAGCGAGAUUUGAAUCUGGGAGGUGAGAGAUGAAGAGAGAGACGACUGUGAGUGACUAGGGUUUAAAACUGAUUUUUAAAAGGACAUUUUAGGUACUUUAGGGUGGGCGAGGCGAGUAUGUCAAAUUAAUUUCAAAAUGGAGGAUAUAUGCAUAAGAAUAUAAUUAGUUGAGUAAAAAGCAGUUUACCCCCUAAACUAUGACCCGUUUUGCACUUUGCCUCCCAAACAAAAAAAAAUUGCACGUUUUUUCCUUAACUCGUCUAUUCGUUGCAUAGUUCCCCUGAAUUAAAUUUUCCGGCAAUUUUGACCGGAAUUCUGAAACAUGUUCAAUGCACGGCGGCGAUGGUGUUGUCGCCCUGGCUGAGGCGGAGAAUAAUUGCCUUGUUGAGAUUUAGGGCAGGGAAUAAUUUCUCCGGUGAAAGAUUUCUUGCUUUUCCCCAAAUUCUCGGGGUGGUUUAUUUGUUGUGGCAAUUGGUAGUAAUUUUUGUGGAGGAUAAAGUUGCACGCGUAGAUGCCCCCGCCAGCGGAGGGGCAUCGGCGUCAACGUCGAGUUUGCCGGCGGAGACGGGAGCAGUGUUGAUGGUCAAAGGAAAUCCCAAAUUGUCAUUCCAAAAAAUCCCCAAAUUCAGUUCAAAUAAAAUAUAUUUAUAUCGAUUCCAUCUUUGAGUUGGUAGUGAAAAAUUACUAGGAGCAAGUUUUCUACGGCGGCGACAAUAAUAGACAAUUUUGGUUCUCUCAAGUUUGCAGGUUUUUCUCGAGGAAGAAGGAGGACGGGGUUGCAGAUUUUUGCUUCUUUUCUUUUCUUUUAUUAUUAUUAUUAUUAUUAUUAUUAUUAUUAUUAUUAUUAUUAUUAUUAUUAUUAUUAUUUGUUUUUUUUUUCUUUUUUUUUUAUUUAGUUUGAUGAAUGUAAGGGAAUAGACACUUUUAACCCUGCCAAACUCACGUGAAUGGCAUGUGGUGUAAAAUUCCGGUCAAUUGCAAUUUUAGGGCACCGUGCAACAAAAAAUCAAGUUUAGGUAAAAACGUGCAAAACAAAUUUAUUUGGGGGGUAAAGUGCAAAACGGGUCAUAAUUUAGGGGGUAAAUAUAUAUACAAUUGCUUUUUACUCUAAUUAGUUUGGUGAUUAAUUAUAUAUAAUUUUCAUAUGGAGGGGUCUCUAACAUAAUUCUAUAAAAGAACAAAGGAUUAUGGUCAACCGUUCAAACAAAGUCAGGUGCACUGGGUCAAACAAAGUGAGGUACACUAGGUAAAGUUACACUAGGCUAAUCAUGUGUGACAUGUUCCAUCUAGUGAUCGUUGGCAAAGGAAUUCAAACUUGGGUCAAUUGACACAGACUCACUUGUUCCAACUGUUAGGUCAUCCCUUGCGGGAUUGUUUUAAAAUUCAAAUUUAGUUUUUUGUGAUAAAUGAGUAUCCAAUUCCAACUCGAUACUAAUUAGUUGUAACCUAUUUAUCACAGAAAUUUCAACUUCUUAACGUUUCUGUCGGCCACGUUUCGUGUCGGAAAGUUGAAGACUACUGUCGAAUACCUUAUGGAUCAUUUUGCCAUCUUCAAAAAGAUAUAAAAACAUGUUUGAUAGCAAUUUUAUAAAUAUUUUUGAUGUAUCCAUAAUUAUUUACAUGGUUUAUUGUUCAAUUAUACAUUGACAUAUUAUAGUAAAAAAUUUAUUUUUAAUAUGUUUGUUGAAAAUAUGUAGAAAAAAAAUUAUAUAUAAAUAAAAAAAUUUAUAUAUUUAUACUGCACAUUUAUAAACAUAUCUAUAUACUUCUAAUAUUUACAUGUUUCUCCCAUUUUUUUUGUAUGUUUCCUCGUGUCCGAUUUCCCCUAUCGCCGCUCCUUCGUGUAACUAUUGUUAUCUCAUAGUCAUUACAAUCCCAAUAAUUCUAUAUUAUCUUAGUUCUAUCGUCCGAACUCUAAUUGCACUGAUUUCAAGUUGCGCUGAAAAACCGACAUAAAAAAUACAAAUUUUGUGUUUUUCAAUUUUGAGGUUCGUCUCAAAUAAAGAACUUACGCAAACAAGUACCUUUCUAUCUGUAAUAAUCUUAAAUUUCUCUAUUAUGCCAAAAUUAAUUUUAAUGUUGUUAAUUAUAAUUUAUAAUUCUAACACAGCUCUUUAAAUUAUAAACAUAUAAAUAAAGACGUUGCAAACUCCCCAAAAAUAUUAUCGCUGUAGCAUAUUCUUUAUGGUGAAUUCAAUAUAUACACAAAAGUUUAAAAAUUGUGAAAAAAUAAAUCAUCCAAAUUUAAAUUAUAAAGAUGCAGAAACAGAAUAAAGACGUUGCAAAGUCCACCACUGUAGCAUAUUCUUUAUGGUGAAAUCAAUAUAUAUAUAUAUAUAUAUAUAUAUAUAUAUAUAAGUUUAAAAACUGUGAAAAAAAAGCAUCUAGUUAGAAAAAUAUAGGUAUGCAAAUUGAUAAAUAACGAGCUUUCGAAAUCGAUGUAAUGAUCUAUAUAACCUCUACUUCGAUCGAGCACGUACGACAUGAUUAACGCCGCAUCUUCACAAUCGCCAAUCUCCAAAGCAUCUCGGGCAACUCAUAUUCCAAUGCGGCAACCUCGUCUUCAAACUCCAGUCACCGGAAUAUUCCCCCGCCACCGUCUUCAAUUCCUCAACCGAUGAAUCGUCCGCCAAACAAGGACUAGAUUCAUUAAAAAUAUCCCGCGGUCGAUGUUCUAACGAUAAAUAAAAGUCGAUCUUCAUAGCUUUGUCUUUGUUUAUUUCAUCAGCGGAGUGGAGAGCUUUUACCGCUUCCCUCCACGCGUACUCCACCAGCUCUCUACGAGUACCAGAAUCCACUAGAAGAUCCCAGAGUUUUUCUUCCAUGGAAUUCCGUGUUUCUUCGAAGCGGAAGAUUUUCUCUCGGUCCACAUGGACGAUGUAAAGUGUAACGGAUCUCGAAUCGGGCAAUAUAGUGGAUGUGAUUAAAUUAAAGGUAAAGGUGAUCAUAUCAUCGUCGGGUUUCGUCCCGGUUCGGAAUUCGUAAGAGUUUAGUUUACACGAAAAUAUCUUUUCGCAAUCCAUAUCGGUGAACAAGGAGAAGAAAGAACAAGAGAUCUAGUUGGUAUUGCAAGAUUUUAAUUAUCAACGCUGCUAUGAAUUGAAAAAUAAAAGGAUGCUUUGUAUAUAUAUAUAGAGAUUGAGUCUUGAGACAAAAUCUAGUAGGAUUAGGAAUUUAGGAUAUUCAAUUAUGGUAGGAUUACGAAACUUGUACUAUACAUAAAUUAUUAUAGCCCCCGGCGGUGUUAAAAUAUAGGGCAAAUUACGGCCAACCCCCUGAGGUAUGGUCAUAUUACGAAAAAACUCCACUUGUUUGGGUAAUUGCAGCCACCCCCUUCCUUUUAAAUAUGUAUACAUAAAAUCUAUGUAAUUAGGUUAUGUACCGAACCGAAUCGUGUAUUAAGUUCGGUUUCGAAUUUUACCGAUUUAACAUCCAUAAUUUUACAUCUGAAGAGGGUUUUUUCGAGAUAAUACAUAGUUGAGGGGUGGCUGUAAUUACCCAAACAAGAGGGGGCUUUCGUAAUUUGACCAUAAUUUAGGGGUGGCAGUAAUAUACCCUAAAAUAUAUAAGUUGUUUUAGUUUUUUUCAGCCCUAGUGGAAAAAAUCUUGUUUCUAAAGUUCAAGAAAUAAUUCCAAGUAAAUUCAAGUGCAGGGAAAAAUACGAAACACCCUAAUUAAACUAAUUUAUAUCCAAAACAUUCCAAGUGAAAUUCUUUUAUCCAAAAUUUUAUAAUAUCAAACUAGUCAUACUAACUUGUCAUAUUAAUCAAUUCAAAUAGUUGAUUUUUUGCUUAAUAAAUUAGUUAUUGUUCGUAAAAUACCAUCUACAUUACACUAAAUUAUGGUUAAAUACAUGCAAUUAAAUAAUAUAUGUGUUUUUUCGUAGUUAAUUUGCGAGUUUUAUAUAUAUAUAUAUAUAUAUAUAUAUAUAUAUAUAUAUAUAUAUAUAUAUAUAUAUAUAUAUAUAUAUAUAUAAAUUGUCUAUUUAAGUUAGGCCUUGUUUCCUUAAUUGUAUUGGAUGAGAUCAGAUUGGAUUAAUUUUCUACUGGUUAAUUAAUUAAUUAGUUAAUAAUAUAUUUACUUCUUUAGAUUACAUGUUGUAUUAAAUUUGUUAAAUUAUUUUAUUAUAUGUAAAUUGUCCUUUUAUUUAACAAAAUUAAAUUAUUAUUUAAGGAUAACUUUGUAAUUUCCUGUUUUAGCACCCCCACUAAAACAGAGUGUUGCUAAGAAUGUUUCGUUUAAGGAUAACUUUAAAUAAUAAUUUAACAAAAUUAAAUUAUUAUUUAAGGAUAACUUUGUAAUUUCCUGUUUUUAAUUUUCUUUUUACUUUUUUAUAUGCAUAUUAAUUAAUUUUAAUACUUUUAAAAUAUUAUUUUCUCAAUAUAUUACAUAACUGAAAUGCUAAUUGUAGCGGGACUUUUACUGAAAUUGGCUUAUUUGCAGCGAUACCUUUUCAUUUCAACUUUUCCAACUUUUUGGAUUUCUCAAAACGCUCUCAACUAAAAAAAGUCGAGAAUUAAGAUUUUCGUGUUUUUUUGAUAAAUCGACUGCCCGACGGCAACAUAUAACAAUAUGGCCGAUCCUGACGAGUUUUACGAGGUAAAUCGAAAAAAGUUGCGGAUUUUUUUAGUUUUUCGUCGGGUUUAACGUGCUGUGUAGCACGGGAACCCAAAAAAUUAGGGAUUCCCGUGCUGUACAGCACGGGAGCACUAUAAAAAAAAAAAAAAAAUUGAAAUGCAGGUCCCGUCUUGUGGAGCACGGGAAUAUCGUGCUCCCGUGCUAAAGAGGACGGAAGUUUGGGGUUCCCGUGCCCUUGCGGACGGGAACAGUAAACCACCGUGCCCUACGGCACGGGAACCCCUACUGUUUAAUUUUUAUUUUUAUUUUUUUAUUUAUAUUUUUAAUAUUGUUAUUUACAUACUAAUUAUUACUUGUUAUAUCUUAAUAGGGUACUGAAGGUGAUUUUGACGGCGAGUUUACAACUGAUCGUGACAAAGCGUACAACGAGUACGAGGAUCCCAACAUGUGUUUCGAUGUUCCUCAAGACACACCAACAACUUCUGAGGAUCACAGUCAACAUUUCAAUGUAGGUGUUGAGUUUGAAACUGGGAAAGAAUUAGUGGAAUGGGCAAAAAAAAUGGCUGCUACUCAUGGUCAUCGAUUGAUAGUAACUUCAAGCAAGAAAAACGUGUAUGUAGUAAUUAGAUGUCAUUUGUCUGGGGAGGGACGUGAAAAACGAACCGUAGGUGCGAUACCACGGAAUGUGGGAACAAAAAAAUGUGGAUGUCCUUUUCGUAUAUACUGUAGCGAAAAUUCAAACGAUGGACUAUGGCGAAUGAAUUUAAAAAGUGGCACUCACACUCACCCGAUACUACCGUAUCCUACCGGACAAGGACCGGAUAGUCGUUUGACACCAGAAGAAUACGAGGUAGUGAAGUUACUUAGAAGGAGCCACGUGAAGCCGGCAUUAAUUAUGGAUCGAUUGAGAAAGGAUAAUCCACAGACAUCAACGAGUGUGAAACAUGUCUACAACCAACUUGAGAAGAUGAAAAAAGAGAAUAUGGCGGGGAAGACUGUGAUACAACACGUGAUGUCGAACCUUCAAGAAUCUGGAUAUGAAUAUUGGUAUCGAAGUAAUGAAGCUGAUGAUACACUUACUGAUUUGAUGUUCGCUGCUCCUAAAUCGUUGAAGCUUUUGCGGUUAUUCUCUCACGUUAUAUUGAUGGACUGCACUUACAAAACCAAUAGGUAUGUUGUUAAUUAUUAUUUAUUAUUGUGCUAUUUUACAUUGAUUGAUUGCAUUUGAUAUUUAUGUAUUUACGUAGGUAUGAGAUGCCACUUUUGGAAAUAAUAGGAAUCACUCCUGCUGGUAAGAAUUUUACAAUUGCUGUUGCUUUCAUGUCACAUGAAGAUGCAAACACAUACGAAUGGGCUUUGCGUUGUUUGAAAUGUGCAUUAGGGGGGCUGGUACCUAAUGUGAUAUUGACGGAUCGUGAAUUGGGACUUAUCAAAGCAAUGCCUCUAAUAUUUCCAGAUUCCGCUCAUUUCUUGUGUUUGUUUCACAUCAAUAGAAACGUGGAAAAAAAUGCAUCGAGAUUUAUUGGUAGUACUAAACACGGGCUUAUAUGUCGGCGCAUACAGUGGGCAAAAUUAGUGGAAUCAAAAACAGAAGAAGAUUACAAUGAUAAUUACGAGGAAAUGGUUAGACGCUAUGGUUGUUACCCCAAAUUGAUAUCAUACCUUAACGAUACUUGGCUAAUUUACAAGCACAAAUUCGUCAAAGCAUGGACUAAUAAGAUUUUGCAUUUUGGGAACACGUCGACAUCUAGGUAUGUUGGGUUUCAUUAUCGUCUUAUAUUUUAUAUUAUAUUGUGGGCGUUUUUAUUUAUUAGUUGUUAUUUUAAUGGCUAUUAACAGGGUGGAAAGUGCUCAUAAAUCGUCGAAGGGUUGGAUUAAUGCUUCUACCGGUGGUGUGAACACCAUUCAAUAUCAGCUCGACUCCGGGGUUGAGUAUCAACUAACCAAGAUCAAGGGUGAGUUUUCAAAAUGCAGUUUAAUCCGAUUGCACUCAUCAUCGUAUCCGGUAUUUCAGGGUUUGAUAUGCAAAGUCACACAUAAAGCAUUAAAUUUGCUUGAUGAUGAGCUCAAAAAACCGGGGUUUGAAGACCCAUCUCUUUGUGAUCACGUUUUGUGGGAUACUCAUGCACUUCCUUGUGCAUGCCAAAUUGCGUUGAAAAUCCAGCAACGUGAUACAUUUAUAUGUAUGGAUCUACAUCCAUUUUGGAGUACCAUGCACGUUGAAGAACCAGAAAUACCCGAAGCACAGAUGGAUCGUGAAACAAAUAUGAGAGACCGAAUAAUCAGACUAGCCACGGAAGUGUUAGAAAAAUAUUAUAUGACUCAAAAGAUGACUGCUGAUUACAUGAAUAGCACUAUUCAUCCAGACACCACCCACUUGGCAGAGCCUGCAUAUGUUAUACCGAAAGGAAGGCCAAAGGAUAAAUCGACGAAGAGAGAUAAAUCCAGUUGGGAGUUUCCACCAUUCCAGCGGAAGCCGUCUACUGGUGAAGAAAAGGGUAAAUCGUCUGCAGGUUCUAAGGGUCGAAAAAGUACUUCUACCGGAACCCCACCAUCGAAAGUAACCGAUCCCGGUUCUGGUCGUUGACGGGGGCGGGGUCGAGGGAGUGGUAGAUCAAGUGAUGAAUCCACUGCCAAUCAGAAUCGUACGCCAAUGCCUCGAAAGGAACCGGGCGAUGAGCUCAAUUUCAGAUCUUACAUCCCAGGUUUUGUGGCAGGAUCUAUUGUGUCGUAUGUUAAUGUUAUAGCAGAUGGAAAUUGUGGGUACAGAUGUGUUGCAGAAGCAGUGUUCCGAGAUCAGAACAGAUGGAGUCGUGUAAGGAGAGAUUUGAUUGCCGAUAUGUACGAGCAUUUUGGUACGUACGCAUCGCAAAAUGGUCAAGAUGAAGUCAUCCGAUGGAUAGAAAAAUGCGAUUGGCAAGAAGGACCGUGCAGUUGGGACAAAUGGAUGUCAUUUCCGGAUAUGGGAAUGUCGAUAGCGACUAAAUACAAUGCGGCUUUGGUCUUAUACGCCAUUGGCGGAAAUAUAACCUACUUACCUCUAGUUGGUCCGGGUGAAUUAUCCCAUAUGAUCCAUAUGGUGUUGUUAGGAAACCAUUUUGUCAUUAUCCAGUUACCGGUUAAUUGUCCUCUACCACCUAUCACUCCACAGUGGCGACAUGUUAGAGCCGCAAAUCUUGCCCACUUGUCGGAAAUGUUCGAAGAACGCCUAUACAUGUGGCGUCGUUUAUCUAGGUUGGAAUAGGCAUUUUAUUUUAGUUGGUAUUUGGACCUUGUAUUUUUAUUUUAGUUGGUAUUUGGACCUUGUAUUAUUUUAUUUUAGUUCGUAUGUAUUUGGACCUUGUAUUAUUUUAUUUAAGUUCGUAUGUUUAGACCUUGUAUUAUAUUAUAUUAUUUUGGUUGGAAUGUAUUUGAAAUUAAACCCGAAACAAAAAUAACAUAAAUAAAAUAGUCAAACAAAAAUAACAUAAAUAAAAUAGUCAAACAAAAAUAACAUAAAUGUCAAACAAAUACAAAACAUAGCCAAAUGUCAGAAAAAACCAAUAAAUGUCAAACAAAUAUAACGACCGUCUACUGUCUACCCCUAGACCUCCUCGAAGUGCCACUCGUCCCACCCGGACGCCGACGCGGUGGUGGCAUCUCCAUAAAGUCGUCGUCGUCGGAAUCUCCAGUGGGGGAUAAACCUAGAAAACGUGCAUGUGGCUCCACACGAGGCUGUAACUGGACACGUAGAUGCUGGGGUAUCUCGUGCAUGUGCGGAUGGAUGAUACGCACAAUGUCAUAAAAGUCCGGCUGAAUAGGAGGGGGGCGUACGACUGGCGGUGGUCCUUCUGGCGCUGGAUCCCGGUUGAUCACGUACUGAUGAGUACGAGGAACGUAUCACUCCAUGUACCGAGUGGCAGUCUCAGACGGCGGCCAGGCUAAUGUCCUACCGUCCAACGUAAUCGAGCUGGUAGCUAGGUCCAUCCACUCCUGCCCUGGAGGAUCAUACCGUACCUGGUAUGUCUGUCCUCCAAGCGGACCACGUAGGCACGGCUCUCUGGACUGGAUGUAGCACUGCGGUAUGGUCUGUCUAAAUCCAAACUGCCGAAGGACGCGAUCCGGUAAAUAUGGCUCGACAAUCUCCAUGAACUGUAUGCAGCCAUAAUAUAAUGUACGCGGAACGCGUCUAUGUACGUGUGGCCCGUAAGGCAUCCAGUCAAUCUGGAAAAUUAGAUUAACAUAAUAAAAAUUACAUUUACAUAAUAAUUAAUAAUAAAUAAAUUCAACAAUUAAAAUACAUACCUGAUCGGCCUGCAUAUCAUCAAGCAUCCUUCGGACCGAGAGCAAAUCCGAAAUACCCUUGCGUGGUUUCCAUUUCAGGAAACGAGGCUGCAUCUCCCUAUAAUCCGAAUUAAUAGGUGCUCGGAAAGGGCGAAAGUACUCGUAAAUCCAGCACUACAAAUAAACAAGACUAUAUUAGAUUAAUAUUAUAUUAAAUCACAAUAUAUUAUAUUAAAUUAAUGUACUGUUGAGGCUAUAUUAUAUAACUACCUACGUUAUACUAAUUAUAAUAAUAUAUUAUAUUAAAUUAUAGUAUACGAAUUAUAAUAAUAUAUUAAACAUAAUAUAUUGAGUAUAAUAUAUUAUAUUAAAAUUUUACUUAAAUACCUGGAGCAGUAACGUGCAACCCUGUAACCCCUUCACGUGGGCCCUACUAGCCAAGCCCAACUGUCGGUAUAAAUGAGCCAAUACAGCUGCACCCCAAGCAUACUCGCCGACGUGCUCGAGAUCGGAAGAAUAUCUCAUCCACGUUGGCUUGAACCUGUCUACACUCCGGUCGGGGAACAAAGCCAUACCGAUCAAAAACGUCAAAUAUCCUAUCACCUUCUGCCGACAAGUUCGAGACCGACUGCGCACACGCUCCACAAACUCCGACCAUUUUAUCCCACUAUUGCCGAGCUUGGCAUGCGGCUCGACCAUGUCCAAAUCAAGAACCUCAGCUAGCAACAACUCACACAUAGGCCUCUCCUCAACAGAAUCACCGUGCACCGCUAGACCGUCAACACGCAACCCCAAAAUCAAAUGGACAUCAUGUAGGGUGAUCGUCAUCUCACCCCAAGGCAUGUGGAAACUGUUCGUUUCCGGCUGCCACCUCUCUAUAAAUGCCCCCAUGAGUCCCUUGUCUACAUUUUUUAUGUAGAAGUACUCGAGUGAGUCUAGGCCAGAUGCCUCCAGUAGCUCUAACUCAUCCUGCCCGUAAGGAGCCAUGAGUUGCUUCAACUCAUGUUUCUUAAAAGCAUUAAGCGCAGUAAUCCUUGACUCACAUCGCCCCACGCUGCGCUCCUGUAGAAUUUCUAAUUUAAUUAGACAAAAUAUAUUAAAAUAAAUAUAUUUAAAAUAUAUAAAAAUAAAUAUAUUUAAACUUACAUGUCCUGCCCAAAUGUAGUAGGCAAUAUGACUCUUGAAACUUGGAAUCAUCCUCCAAUCAGUCGGUCCUCUUGGAGCCGGACCAUGUAACUCAAGUGGGCCACUGAAAGUGUCAAACUCGUACCGAGACUUCCGUGCGCGCGCGGCCGGGACGGGAACAUCAUCAAAAUCGCUCUCAACAUGGUCAUGCUCCUCCUCGUGUCCAUCGUAGGGGAUACGAGAAUCUGCCCCUGCAGAUCGAAUGCUACCCGCCAUAGAUCUAGAACUAUGAUCUAUGUGGGGAAUCUCGUCCACGACGGGUAAAUCAGUGUCGCGCUCCAUAACUCUCCUACGACGAUGAGAUGCAGUCAUACGAAUGCGCUCCGCUUCCGCCUCGGCUUCCGUCGCGCCUUGCCCGCCAUACCGAAAUUUAAUCUUCGGAAAUUUAUCCGAACUUGAAGAAGAACCCAUAAGCCCUUUCCCCUUGUCCUGACGUGCCAUCUGUAAAAGAUAAAAAAAACAAAUUAAAUAAAAUAAUUAAAUAAAAUAAUUAAAUAAAAUAAUUAAAAAAAAAAAAAAAAAAUAGUUUGAAUUUCCCGUUCUGCAGAACACGGAAACUUGAAGAUUCUUCAAGUUCCCGUGUUCUGCAGAACGGGAAACACAAAAUUUUUCAAGUUCCCGUUCCCCAGAACACGGGAAACUUAAAAAAACUUCAAGUUCCCGUGUCCUUCAAGACGGGAAUCUUGAAUAAUUUUUUUUUUUUUUUUUUUUUUUUUUUUAUUUCGGAAAAUUUAAAUUUCAAAAACACUUUGGAACUCCCGUUCUGUAGAGAACGAAGAUUCGAAUCACCCGUUUUCUGGAGCACGGGAACUCGAAGAACAUUGAAGUUCCCGUGCUCCAGAAAACGGGUGUCGUAAAUUUUUUUUUUUUUUCCGAAAUUUGCUAGAUCUAUUCCUAAACACGUGUUUUUACCUAAAUUGGAAAUAAAAAUAAUUAAAAGUAGUAGGAAAUCGAAAACUUACCGGAAUCAAGCCUCGUUACUACGGUUUGAAUGUCGAAAAAUUUUACGAAAUUCAAAUUUCUAGAGAGUGUUUGGGAAUAGGAGAGAGAAAUUGAAAGUUGGAAAAAUUAAAAUGAAAAAGGUACCGCUGCAAAUAAGCCAAUUUCAGUAAAAGUCCCGCUGCAAAUAGUAACACCCAUUACAUAAUCUCAUUAAAUUUCUUAAUUUUAUCCAUCCACCUCACUCCAUAUGUUUUUAUUUAAUUUACUAAUGACAUUGUUUUCUUAUUUAAUUCUCCUUUGUUUACUUAAUGCUUCAAGAUCCGAAAAUGGCGAAUAAUUGUGCAUUCUCUGAAAACAAGAGUCACUUUUUUAAUCUAUUAUUAGCUGACUUAAAUUGUUCCUCUUCUGAAGCUUCAAUUCUUCAGAUAUCAUUUCAAGAACUCCACAUGUCAUGUUUUUAUUAUUGCUGACACGUACUCGUUCACAGCAGUAUCAAGUAUUCUCAUUGAGUAAUUGCCUGAAAUAGAAUAUGAACUUGUUAAUUUUUUCGAAUUUACCCCAACAAGAAAUGAUUAAUGCCACCAUCAUUGCAAGAUUGAAGAAUCUUUACGGUUCGAAUUUUCGUUUUUAGAUGAUUUCUUAUAGAAUUAUAUUCAUGUAUUGAAAUACAUAUUAUUAAUGAUUGUAGGAAUGUUGUGUAAGAGAAAUUGAGGGCCUUGGUGCAAAAGAGAAGAUAUUCCACCAAGACAAAAUCACCUUCUGACCCGAUAUUCUUGUUACCAUAUCCAAACGGGCCACAAUAAGCCGAUUCUUGUUUGGAUUAAUUGAAAAUUUUAACCGCUUCAGAUUCUAUUUCGGUCAACAACUCAGUGAAAAUAUCCAAUAUUGUUGUGAACAAGUAUGUAGCAGCAGUGAAAAACAUGGCAUGUGGAAAUCUUGAAAUCAUGCCUGAGGAAUUGAAGCUUAAGGAGAGGGAUAAUUUAAGAAGGUUGAUAAGAGAUGAAAAAAGUGACUCUUGUUUUCAGGUUGUACAAUUAUGUGCCAUGUUUGAAUCUUGAAGCAUUUAGUAAAGGUUGAGUACAAGUUUUGGCGUUGAACCAUACCAUUUAAAGUGUCGGGCCGCAGUUAACCAAUUGGGUCGGCAGAUUCAGUCCGAUUCUGAUAACCAUAGUUAUAAGUAAAAUUAAAAUAAAAUAAAAUGGUGUGCUUGUAAGUUUUCUAAUGCUCAUAGAUUUUGUAGUAACCUAUAUAUAAUAUAUAUAUAUAUAUAUAUAUAUAUAUAUAUAUAUAUAUAUAUAUAUAUAUAUAUAUAUAUAUAAUAUAAAAAGAGGAUCUAUACCCUUAAUGAUUGACAUGUGGCAAAUGAUGAUGUCAUUUGUCAAAAUUGCUUAGUUGGACUUGAAUUGAUGAGGUGGAUUCUUCAAUUGAUUUGAUGACAUUUUUAUUUAGGUAUGCUUUUAAGUUAUUUCCUAUUUUACAUUUACACAAUCAUUUAAUAAUUACCACAUGUAUAUUUACUAUUUCCAAAGUUAAUAGUUUAUAAAUUCGAAAUAAAAAAGAAAAGGGAACAGUAUUAAAAUAAAACGAACGCUUACCUUGCCACCUAAUCAGCAAAAUAAAACGAACGAUUACCUUUCCAAAGUUAAAGUUUUCUUUUCUUUUAUUCGAGAAGCGAUGAUUCUGCUGAUUAUGACGGUAUGCAGUUUUGCAAAUAAUUUUUACACAUUAGUCUUUUGUUCACAAAUUCUGUUAAUUAUUUUUAUACAUUGAUAAAUUUUCAUAGAUUACGACGAUCUUGGUGAUCAAAGUUGCGUUUGUGAAUCAUGUGGUGCGAUGUUGUGGUACGGCGAGAGACUUGCCAAACACUGUGAAACAGAAUCGCCAAAAUUUUCACUAUGUUGCAUGAACGGUAAAGUCCAGCUGCCCAAAUUGAAGGAUCCUCCAACUAUACUAUCAAGUCUCUUAUUCGGUAGGGAUAGAUGCAGUAGGAACUUCCAAGAUAAUAUUAGAUCGUACAAUAUGAUGUUUUCUUUCAGCUCACUGGGGGGAAAAAUACAGACAACUGGCAACAACAGUCCCGGUCCGUACACUUUUGUUCUACACGGUCAAAAUUAUCAUUUGUUGGGUAGUUUAUUACCUGAGGAGGGUACAACGCCGAAGUUUGCACAACUUUAUAUAUCGACACAGAGAAUGAAGUUCAAUAUAUAUAUGUAUCUGUAUGGAAAAAAAUAUAUAUAUUUUUAUAUAUAUAUAUAUAUAUAUAUAUAUAUAUAUAUAUAUAUAUAUAUAUAUAUAUAUAUAUGUAUAUAUAUAUAUAUAUAUAUGUAUAUAUAUAUAUAUAUAUAUAUAUGUAUAUAUAUAUAUAUAUAUAUAUAUGUAUAUAUAUAUAUAUAUAUAUAUAUAUAUAUAUAUAUAUUUCAGCGUCAUCAUUUGUUAUAAUGGCCACUAAUUAUUACUCUGUUAUAUUUGAGAUCUGGAAAUAAUUCUAAUAAUUUAGAUCCGUCAAUAAUGUCUUCGAUAAAAGAUAUGAUUGAUGAGUCGAACGUACUUGCUCGGUCAUACAGAGUGCACGCGAUCGUAUUGCUACAGAUGGAAAUAGAGGUGUAAAAUUAAGACUGGUUAAGAGCCGAAGUACUGAUGGUCGGACAUAUAAUCUACCAAAUGCCAGUGAAAUUGCAGCGCUCAUUGUUGGCGACUUCGAUAACCAGAAGGGUGUAAGGGACAUUGUGGUCGAAACGGAGUCUAAGAGGCUUCAGCGCAUUAGUGAACUACACCCUCUUUAUCUACCGUUACAGUACCCCUUGAUUUUUCCUUACGGUGAAGAUGGGUAUAGAGAUGAUAUUCCUUUGAGAGAGUCUUCAUCAAAUAGUAGCCGGAAACGAAGAUGCGUGAGCAUGAGAGAAUGGUUUACAUAUAUGAUGCAAAAAAGGAAUGGAGAGAGUCAAGUAUUGUUGAACUCGAAAAAAUUAUACCAGCAGUUUCAAGUUGAUGGCUUUUCAAUGAUAGAAUCUCAACGACUGAAUUUCAUUAGAUUUAAUCAGGACAAGCUUAGGGUUGACAUGUAUAAGGGACUUCAGGAAAUGAUUGUCAAGGGUGACGGUGAAGGCACGUCUGCUGGAAUGCGCAUAGUUCUUCCAUCGACAUUUACAAACGGUCCCAGAUUUAUGUUUAACAACUUCAUGGACGCCCUCCAGAUAUGCAAUUGGAUUGGAUUUCCAUCGCUUUUUAUAACAAUAACAUGCAAUCCCAAGUGGCCAGAAAUACAAAGGGUGUUGAGAGAUACGAAUCUGCGUCCCGAAGAUCGACUUGAUAUUCUUUGUCGCGUGUUCAAGAUGAAACUGGACAGUCUGAUCUCAGAUUUCAAAAAAGGGCAUAUUUUCGGACGGAUAAGAUCAUGUAAGUACCACAUUCUCAAAUAAUUAUUUAAAAUUUCAUAUGAUAUGAAUGUAUAAAAUUAUUUUAUUUUUAUAAAAUAUAUAAUUGUUCCUAUCAAACUUUAUUAUUUUUAAUAUAUUAUUUCAUUUCAAUUUGCAGACGUCUGCACCAUUGAGUUCCAAAAACGUGGUUUGCCGCAUGCGCACAUCCUACUUCGGUUGUAUAAUGACGAUAAGCCAAAAUGUUCGGAAGAUAUUGAUCGAAUAAUAUGUGCCGAAAUACCCGAUAAGACUUGCGACAGGAAAAUGUAUAAGUUGCUAAAAAAGUACAUGAUCCACGGACCAUGCGGACAUGCAAACAUGAAUUCUCCCUGCAUGAAGGAUGGUAUUUGCACCAAGCGCUUUCCAAAGAGAUUUGUGCAACGUACUGAGGCUGACGAUGAAGGAUACCAUUCAUAUAGAAGAAAGGAAGACGGCCGGACAGUAACGAAGAAGAAAAGAAUAUUGGACAAUGGGUAUGUCGUUCCUUACAACCGUGCUCUACUGUUGAAAUACAUAGCUCACAUCAACAUCGAGCUCUGUAACCAGAACAAAUCGAUAAAGUAUCUUUUCAAAUAUGUCAACAAGGGCAAUGAUCGAGUUACAACUGCCUUUUAUCAGUCACGUAAUACCAAUGAUGGUGAACAAAUACGCGAUGAGAUAAAGAUGUACUACGACUGCAAGUAUAUUUCCGACUUAUGUUGUUACUUAUCUUAAUGUUCAUUCGUGUAUAUAUUCGUUUAUUUCCACAAUAUAUUUACUUCAACGUGUAUAUAUUUGAUUUUCUUAUAUAUAUUUUAAAAUAUUUUUGCAGGUACUUAUCUGCAUGCGAGUCCAGUUGGAGGUUGUUUGGGUUUGAUAUUUUUGCAGGCCAGUUGGAGGUACUUAUGUUGUUACUUACCAGUUGGAGGUUGUUUGGGUUUGAUAUUUUUGCAGGCCAGUUGGAGGUUGUUUGGCCAGAGCAAUGGUAAGAGUUUACGUAAUUAUGCACCUAUGCCUGUACCGAUACAUACAUCGCUAGACGACUCAGAGAAUAGGUUAAUACUAGAUGAACUGGAUUACGAUGUCUCUGAAAUGCGUGCCGAACUUCAAAAGUUAUUAUCGUCUAUAACACCUGACCAGAAAAAAUUUUACGACACGAUCAUGAAUGCAGUGUCGGAGAACAGUGGAGGUAUGUUUUUUCUGUACGGCCAUGGGGGCACCGGGAAGACAUUUAUUUGGAACACACUUUCCGCCGCUGUUCGUUCUGAUAAGGGCAUUGUCAUUAAUGUUGCCUCGAGCGGUAUUGCUUCAUUGCUCCUUCCGGGUGGUAGAACAGCACAUUCUAGAUUUGGACUCCCGAUAAUUGUGCAUGAGAGCUCCACUUGCAGCAUCAAACAACAAAGUCCUCAAGCAGAGCUGUUGAUUGAAGCAAAACUUAUUAUAUGGGAUGAGGCCCCGAUGAUGCAUAGGUUUGUUUUGAAGCAUUAGACAGAACCAUGCGAUCGAUUUUGAAUUCUGAAAAACCUUUUGGUGGUAAGGUUAUCGUACUUGGUGGUGACUUUAGACAGAUAUUACCUGUUGUACUUAAAGCAUCGAGGCAAGACAUCGUACAUGCUACGAUCAAUUCAUCGUGUCAUGAGGUUGCAUAAAAAUAUGAGGCUUCAGUUGAAUGCAUCUUCAUCUAAUGAAGAUGAAAUAAGGGAAUUUGCAGAAUGGAUUCUGAGAAUUGGAAACGGAGAAGCUGGAGACUACAAUAUCGUGCUCCAGUCUGCCGCCGCAUGAGCUAAAAUUAAAGAAAGGAGUUCCCGUCAUGCUCAUUAGGAAUAUCGAUCAAGCAAGAGGUUUGUGCAAUGGAACUCGUCUCCAAGUUGAAAGACUGGGGAUGCAUGUAAUUAGUUGCAAAGUAUUAUCCGGUAAGAAUGUUGGCGACAUGGUAUUUAUUCCUCGGAUGACUUUGAUACCUUCAAAUUCCACAUUGCUAGUUAAAUUUCAAAGACGUCAAUAUCAGGUGAUUAUAUCAUUUGCCAUGACAAUCAACAAAAGUCAAGGGCAAACUCUCUCGCACGUUGGAUUGUAUCUUCCAAGGCCUGUUUUCAGUCACGGUCAAUUGUACGUAGCGUUGUCUCGGGUGAAGAGUAGAUCUGGAAUAAAGAUUUUAAUCAAGGGCGAAUCCGGUGAGUUAUCCAGUGUUACUAGCACCGUCGUGUACAAGGAAGUAUUCAAAUAUAAAGGGUACCACGUUGGCAAACACCAUAAUAUUAGUUUAUUUAUGUNNNNNNNNNNNNNNNNNNNNNNNNNNNNNNNNNNNNNNNNNNNNNNNNNNNNNNNNNNNNNNNNNNNNNNNNNNNNNNNNNNNNNNNNNNNNNNNNNNNNAGAAUGUGGUAGUUACAUGAUCUUAUCCGUCCGAAAAUGUGCCCUUUUUUGAAAUCUGAGAUCAGACUGUCCAGUGUCAUCUUGAACACGCGACAAAGAAUAUCAAGUGGAUCUUCGGGACGCAGAUUCGUAUCUCUCAACACCCUUCGUAUUUCUGGCCACUCGGGAGUGCAUGUUAUUGUUCUAAACAGCGAUGGAAAUCCAAUCCAAUUGCAUAUCUGGAGGGCGUCCAUGUAGUUGUUAAACAUAAAUCUGGGACCGUCUGUAAAUGUCGAUGGAAGAACUAUGCGCAUUCCAGCAGACGUGCCUUCACCGUCACCCUUGACAAUCAUUUCCUGAAGUCCCUUAUACAUGUCAACCCUAAGCUUGUCAUGAUUAAAUCUAAUGAAAUUCAGUCGUUGAGAUUCUCUCAUUGAAAAGCCAUCAACUUGAAACGGCUGGUAUAAUUUUUUGAUGUUCUCACACACACACACACACACACACACACACACACACAUAUAUAUAUAUAUAUAUAUAUAUAUAUAUAUAUAUAUAUAUAUAUAUAUAUAUAUAUAUAUAUAUAUAUAUAUAUAUAUAAAUAUAAGUAUUCUUUAUCUACGUAAUGUCUUUAACUUAUAUAUUGAAAAUGUGGAAAAAUAACAAGUUAUUUGUCCUCCUAUCGUAUAUCUGAUUGCAGUUUCAUUGUCUCAUUUAACAACAAUCAGAUUCAUGUGCAAGACUGGUGCGAUGCUUUGAUUUCAGUAUGGGAGUUACUUGCUACAUUUGAAUGUGGAUGGUUUUUAGAACGUUGUCAGUUUAUUCUAUAUGCAGAUUUUUUAUUGAUUGAUUAAGAUACGAAUUUUUAUUUUUUUGUUCCUUUGUAUUCUUAGUUGAUUUUAUACAUUAACUCAUUUUAAUGUUUUUAAUUAAUCUACGUGCAUCGCACGGCUGAGAUACUAGUUUGAUCUAAUAAUGAAAUGUUUUUCAUAUUAUUUAUCUUAAUUCAUAUCAUCAAGUUUAUCGUAAUUUCUCAUGCAAAGAACUUAGAGGACCACCUGAAGUAAGAUAACUAGUAGAGAAGCACAAUGAUAUAUGUCAUUAGUGUUUAGGCUAGAAAUUGGAAAAAAAAUUUCUAGCUUCUCCGAUUCCUAUUCAAAAUUCUUGAUUUUGAAACAAUAAUUCUCAUUAAGAAUUUCGAAGUUUUUUAUUCGCAAUUUUUUUUUUAUGUUCUCUGUAUUGGAAUUGAAAUAAAUUCAUGGUUCCCAUUUGCAAUUUGAUUUUAAUUUAUUAAUAUUUAUUUCUUAAUAUAUGUGAAUUAAAAAUUGAACUUUUGACUCCAGAUCUGUAACUUUUUGAUUUUGGAAAAAAAAUAUCGGAAUAUAGGGGUCUAAAAUUCAAUUGGGGAUUGAAUCACAAAUUGGAAUAAAAGGGUUUGGCACUCGGUGUAAUUUUCACAAACUUUUACCCAUUAAAGUACAACUGCAACAUUGUAACAACACGAGUACAUGUUUAUAUGUCACAUAUAUAAUUUUAGAUAAUAAUUGUAAGCUAAGUAUCCAAAAUGCCAACACUUACACACCACACAUCACAUAAUACAACAAUUAAACAUAAUAACAUUGAUUAAACAUUACAUUUUGCCAAAUCAUCACCAACCUUGUUUCUUUUUUUAAUUAGUUUUUAAACCCCUACAAAUUUAUAGAUAUCACAAUUGGCCCCUCUCCUUUAUCAACCACAAAGGAAGCCUUAACCAUUUUCUCUUUAGAAACAUCAUUAGCAACUUCAACUUCAACUUCAUACACUCCAUAAAAUCCUCUAAACCCGAACUUUCCUUGCUCGUCUAUUCGCCCACGCGCGCGGCUCAACCACUCCUGCUUAAGAGCAACGUAUCUUUUUCCGGCCUCGUUCAAAUCCCCCUCCGCGUUCACCAAAUACGCGUUAUCUCUACUCAUAAACAACUCCCAAAACCCCCACAACACCACCCCUUCAACCGCGGGAUGAGCGAAACUCUCCCUCAACAUAACCUCCAAAUCGUCCGCCCGAACAAACUCGUUAUCCGACGCGACGUCGAGUUCCGUGAACCAUAUCGGAAGUCCGAGCACCCCCAACUUGUCGAGCGCCGACCGAACAACGGGCCCCACGGGGCUAUUUAUAUGCCCUUGUACACCUAUUCCACCAACCGGACCACCCUGCGCCCGGAGAUCGAGAAUGUGCUCGAUGUACUUCUCCGGCGAUGACCUGGCAUCGCACCCGUCCUCGAUGUUGUAAUCGUUCACGAAGAGAGUGGCGGUGGGGUCCAGUUGAUAUGCGGUUUUGAACAUGUGGGCCCGGAUGUCCUUUCCAAGGCGGUCUUGAUAGAACGACCCGUGGAGCAUUUCGUUGUUGACGUCGUAGUGCUUGAAUUUCCCGUUGUAGCGAGCGAGAAGGCCCGCCAGACGAUUUUCAACGGCCGAGGUUAAAUCGUCCUUGUUUAGAUUGCGUAUCCAUGAUUGGACGGAGGAUUCCGCCUCCCAGAAGAUGCAGUGGCCGCGGAGUUGAAUGUUGUGGUUCGCGCAGAGGUUUAAUAAAUCGUCGGCGUCUUUGUAGUUGAGGUUACCCUUUUGGGGUUCGGUCCAGUACCAUUUGAGCUCGUUUUCGAAGACGGACCAAUUGAAGUUCUUCGUGAAGAAAUCGACAAUGUCUUCGUUGUCUAUGUUCGAGCGGUUAAUGCAUGUUCCGAACGGGAAGGUGUUUUGUAUUUGUCGGAUUUUGACGGAGGUGCCGACGAGUGUGGCGGAAUCGGACGAGGAGAAUUUCAAAAUAACAUCGCGCUUGCGUAUCUGCAUUCUCGAGCAUGUACACAUUAUAAUUUAAUGAAUUUCGACAGUUAUUUUCAAACGGAGGGAGUAAUUACUAAAAAUUAGCAAAACCUACCAAAUCGGUUUCCUUUUUCAACUGUCGAAAUCUCGCACGUCGGUCAACAGGAAAUAUUUGAAGACCAGCAACCAUCAAAUCAACGCCAGCCUCUGGACCCUGCACAUAAACCAUCACCUUGGUAGGCUGCUUCUCGAUUCUGAAAGAUCCACCAACUUCGUGCCACUUGUCGUCGCUCGAUUCGAUCUGGCCACCGUUGACCCAUUGACCGUCCACGCCAAGAGCAAUAUUAAUAUUCUGAGGCUUGCUUGCGUGAUUGGCUACUCGUAUCCAUGCAGAAACUUGAUACGUCAAGUAGAGCUUCAGUUUCUCGGUUAUCAUCUGAGCGGGACCCAUCCACGUUUGUGUCCGAUUCGUCACAAGAAUGUAGGAACCGCUUAAAGGCUCGUGGGCCCCGAGGGAAUCUUUGGCCAUUGGAGGAAGAAUAUGCGGAGAUCCGUUUCCGACACUCAGAUUGCAGUUUCCUAACGGGAACCAACCGUUUGUGCCAUCGUUGAGGUUGCUGUUAGCAAUAACGUUGACCCCGAAAGCAGCAUUCUGUAUUUAAAAAUAAUUUAUUUUUAAAAAUUAAAAGAAAACGAUGAAAAAAAAAUGGAAGUAUCGGAAUACAUUUAAGGCCUUGUUUGGUUCGCCAAGAUAAGAUUUUUUUCAAAGAUAAGACAUGAUUAACUAAAUAAUUGGACUUUGUUUGAUAUUUGGUAAAAUCAAUAAUUUAAAUGGACGUAUCGUAUAACAUUUAAGGCCUUGUUUGGUAGCCACUAGCCAAAGGAAAGAUUAGUCAAGAUAAAAUUAUUCGAUGUUACGAGGGCCCAAUACACAUUUACUCAAGGGCCCAAUACACAUUUUUUAUUUUCUUUAAGACCGGCAUAAAUAGGUAAGGACUUGUUUGGUUGGGGUGAUUAGCCGUGAUUAAUUAAAUAACUGGACUUCGUUUGAUGUCUGGUAAACCCGAUAAUUUUCCGGGUUGACAUGGAAAUAUUAUUUUAUCAUAUAUUAUUUAACAAUUGAGUUUUCAUUUGAUUAUUUAAUCUUAUCUUGGCCAAUCUGAUCUGAUGAACCAAACGAGCCUUAUUGUACUAACCAAACAUCAAAUUAUGAUCUAAUUAUUUAAUCCAUUUAAUUGAGGUGAAUUAUGUGAAAUCUUGAAAUAUAUCGCGUGCAAUUUGAAACGUUAAUCGCUUAUUUAAACUACCUCGACGACUGGUGGAGAUGCUGGCGGGGCUUUGGCGGCAUGUUUUACAACUAAAUUAUCGAGGAGAAUAUCAGUGCCCGGUGGUGGGCCCUCCAGAAAAAUAACUGCCCUCGAAGGAGAACCGUUUACGAGAAAUUUUCCUUUCAACUGCACCCAAUCUUUGUCAGUCGCCUGCACACUGAAUAACCGAAGAAAAAUUACGAUAAAAAGAAAAAAUCGGGUUCUUCAAAGAAAUGAUCCAUAAUUAAAAAAAAAAAAAAAAAAAAAAAAAAAAAAAUUCAAGAUUACGAAAAACAUUUUCACCAAGAAUGAGGAAAUUACCUAGCAACCCCUAUGUACUGUUCUCGAAGAUCUGCUGUUUGAAUGUAAAGGGUAGCCUUAACAUUAGCAGCACUGAUGUUAUUACCAAAUAUCCGAACGGUGGCAAUAAAAUCGUAGGCAAGCUUCCGUUUCACUUGUCCCGUUAUAUCCUGCUGAAUACCGUUCCAGUAAUCUGUACGAUUUUCCGUUGAUCCAAAGAACUUUCCGGAUACAGGAAGAAUAUUCCCAUCCGACAUAGUAUCAUGCAAUGCAAUCUUGCAACCUCGUCCCGACCAAUUAUUCAGACCGUCGUCAAAUCUUGGAUUUUGUAUUAUGUUUUCCUCGCCAUCGGAUAAAGCACAUGUUUGUUUAUCACUCUGUCAAAAUGAUUUCACAAAAUAUCGGACAAGGGAGCGUGGGAAACAUGUAAAUUUUAUCGUUUGUAAAAAUAUAUUAAUAAAUUAUAAAUUUUAAUGAUUCAAUUAAUUAAUUACUACUAAAACUUACUCACUUUUUUCUGUUCCACAAUAUCUAUCUUUUUUAAGAAUUUUUUUUGUUUUGUUCCAUAUUAUUUGUCACUUUACAAUUCCAAUGCUGCAUUAAUUACAUAUUUUUCAAUUAUACCCUUAUUAACACUCCAACACCUUUUCCGCAUUAAUUAGUAAACAAGGGUAUUUUGAUCUAUAUAUAUCUAUUUUCCUAAAUUCAAGACCUAUUUAUUGAGAUUCUUAAGACUCGUUCCAAGGUGUAAAACGACACAUAGAUUAUCAUUUUACAAUCAAUCGUCAAUUGAUGUAAAAGAUUAAGGAAGCCACAAAGACAUUUUGGGAUUUGCCGCUAAAACGUGUUUGUUUUAAAUUUUUCAAAAAAAUUACAGAAAUGCCACACAAAAAAUAAUUACCUCACACUGGCUGAAACUAAUGCAGGAAAUCACUACAGAUUUUACGAGAAGAUCAACGCCGGGCGAAGGCCCUUCCACAUAAAACACAACUCUUCUCGGCAUAGCAGACAACGAAAAUGUACCUUCGACCUUCUCCCAAUGCUCCGUCGAAGCACAAGUUCUGAAUAAAUAGUUUUUUUUUUUUUUUACGGAAUAAAAUAAUCAAGAAUGGAGAAAAUUAAUUCAUUACGUACCUUCCGAUGAAUAGAUAUCUAACUGAAUUGUCUUCGAAUUCAAGUUUCAAAGUGGCCAGCACAUGUUCUUGAUUUCCGGAAGCGCCGCUCGAUAUUCCGACAAAAGCACAAAUGUUGUAAACGGAAAACGGGGAAACUCUGUCGGUGAUGUCUUGCUCGAGUCCUUGCCAUUGUUGUUUACGUUUUGUAAUAACGGCGAACGGGGCGCUUAAGUUAUCGGAUAGUCCUUUCGGGCGAGUAGUUUCUUGGGAUACAAGAAACGCUUCGCAGGAAUUGGGGUGCCAUAAAUGAAGCCCUCCGGAAAAAUCAUGGUUGAUUAUUAUAUUAUUUGAGUAGUGAGAAUCCAUUGGUUCGUUAUUUGGGCUCUGAUAAAAAUGUUCGAAAAGUUAGUUCGAGCAUUACAGUACUAUGGUAAUUGAACACAAUUCUUGUAACGAGUAAAUAUUAAGAUUAAUUAUUUUUCAAAAAAAAUUAAAUGUUGAAACGAUUUGGUAAUGUCUCGAAAAAAAACUUUACAAUAGAAGAUGCAAUUCGAAGGCUUAACUUAAAAAAAUCCAUGAAUUUGUAACGUUUAAAAGCCCGGAAAGUUCAAUCAUUUAAAAGAAAAUUCAAUGUAUUUGAAGAUGAAAUACGGGCCUCGUUCCAAAACUGGAAUCUUGGUUAGGGAAAUACGGGCCUCAUUCCCAAAAUUUCAAAAAUACUAAGGCCCCGUUUGGUUGGGGAGAUUAACCAUGAUUAACUAAAUAAUAGGAAUUUGUUUGAUGUUUGGUAUCCUCAAUAACUUGCCGGGUCGACCCGCAAAUAUUAUGUCAUUGUGCCUUAUCUUGCGUUCUAGACAUGUUUUUUUUAUUGAAUCAUCGAAGGUCCAAUAAUAUAAUGGAGUUUCAUUAGAUUAUUAAUUUAAUGUUGCUAAUCUUAUCUUGGCAACCAAACGAGGCCUAAUGAGAUAAGUUUAUCAUUUCGGAAAAUAUACGUCAGCCCCUUAAACAUCACACGGUGCAGCCGGGGAUAAACACUAAACCACAAAAUUGGCAAAAGAGUAUACGGAACAAACGACGAAUGAGUCGCAUUUGCUCUAUUACAAGAGGCACGCAUCAGCGAAAUAUAAAACUUACAAACGCGUUGAGCAAAUAUACGACUAAUAAUAAUAAUAAUAAUAAUAAUAAUAAUAAUAGUGAGAAAAUCGAAAACUUUUUGAUUACCUCAGACGGAAGACUUAUUAUAUCAGCAUUGCUUGUGGAUGGCUGAGCUUCCAUAUUAGCUCCUAAUCCCUAAAACAAUAACAACAACAAAAUAUCCACUAAGAACUUCAAAGCAAGAAUGUAUUAUGCAGGAGGGUAAUGAAUUUAGGAUAAAUUACAAAAAAAACCCCUGAACAUAGGCCCAAAUUACAAUAUUUCAUUGUGUUCACAUUUUACAGGCCGGAAAGAAAUCACUUUCACUCUGAACGAGACAAAAGAAAAUUGAAUGAGAAGAAGAUGAAGGGGCGGAAGUGAAGUGGUGAAGAAAUCAACAAAAACAUCAUUAUUAUUACUUUAAAAAAAGCAAAUAAUAAUAAAAUAAAAUAAAAUAAAUAUAAAUAAAUAAAAAAGAAUCCAAAGUCUUUCACCUGAGGAUAAAGGGUAUCUUCUUCGUGGGCAUUGCUCGUGGGUGGCUUCUCCAUUAUAUCUAUCGACGAUGUCUGAAAACCGACAACAAAAAAAGCUCAAAUUUAAACAGCUUAAUUACAUCACAUCAAAUAAAACACCAAAUGGGGUUUUUCGAUAAUUCUAAUUAUCGGGAAAAUCAAAAUUUGCCCACUUGAAAUAAACAUCAAGAAAAUAAAAGGAGCUUGAAACUCGCACGCACCUCUAGGUGUGGUGGGGUUUUGUUAAAGACUCUAUUUUUGAAGCAUAAAUUCAAGAAACGCCGCAUUAUAUAUAUUUAUAUAUCUAUAUUAUAUAUUUUGGGGGAGUUUUACAAGUGAAGCCGAAGAAAAGCGCGGGACCAUCUUUCGAAAACUAAUUUUCAAUUAGAAUAGAAAUUUCAAUUAGGAAAUUGGGUAAUGAUUGAUUGAUUUAGGUUAUCUUUGGAUUGCAGAUUGGGGGUUGAUUGUAAACCAGUAUAUUAUAUAUUGGGAUGCUUGAAUUGAGAAGAAAGAAUUAGUAAAGAGUGUUUCUGUUUUUGCUUUAAGUAAUUGAUUUACAUUAUUAUUAUACCUUUCUUCGUGUUUCGGCAUUUCUUGUAUUAUUGGGGAUUUAAAUUGUUGGUUCAAGAUUUGCUUUCAUUUCCUAGACUCUUUAUUUUGAUUUUUCUAUAUUUUCCUUCUCACUUUUUGUUCUUUGAUUCAACUCUACUCAAAAGUCAAAAAACAAAACCAGAAAAAAAAAAACUUGUCAAAGUUGGGUCUUAAUAUAUAGGGUAAAUUACAACCACCCCUGAGGUAUGGCUAAUUUACGAAAAAAACCCCCUUGUUUAGAUAAUUACAUCUACCCCUCAACUAUAAUUUUUUUCUUACAUCGCCACCCUUAUGGUGUUAUAUUCAACAUAAUCAUCUAUAUUUCGUGGAAUGUGCUCUAGUUUGUACUCGUUUUGUGUAAAAAUACAGUUUCUGAUAAAUACAAGCCAAAAAACACAUAUUACGAUUAUCUUGCUUCAAAAUGUGGAGUUUGAAUGGGAUAAAACAAUUACAAAAGUGAUAAUAUUCCAUAUAAUCUCGAAGAUUCCACUAAAUUUGAAACUGUAAGGGUGGACGUGUAAGAAGAUUUAUAGUUGAGGUUUUUUUUUUUCGUAAUUACCCAAACAAGAAGGGGGUUUUGUAAUUUAACCAUAUAUAUAUAUAUAUAUAUAUAUAUAUAUAUAUAUAUAUAUAUAUAUAUAUAUAUAUAUAUAUAUAUAUAUAUAUAUAUAUAUUGAUAUGCCUAAUUGGGCCAACCCAAUGGGCCUACAAUUACUUUACCUACUGGGCUACGAGCCCAAUAUCGAAGACUAAUAUCACCGAGGCCCAAACACCUUCAAGUAAGGCUUGGGCCCAACAAAGCAAACCCAACCCAAUAAACGACAUAUAGAGGUUCUCCUCAUUUUAUUAAGAAGAGUACGUCCUAUUAACUGAGCUAUACACACACGCGUAUUCUCUGGUCUAUAUCUAUGAGCAGCGCGUCUNNNNNNNNNNNNNNNNNNNNNNNNNNNNNNNNNNNNNNNNNNNNNNNNNNNNNNNNNNNNNNNNNNNNNNNNNNNNNNNNNNNNNNNNNNNNNNNNNNNNNNNNNNNNNNNNNNNNNNNNNNNNNNNNNNNNNNNNNNNNNNNNNNNNNNNNNNNNNNNNNNNNNNNNNNNNNNNNNNNNNNNNNNNNNNNNNNNNNNNNNNNNNNNNNNNNNNNNNNNNNNNNNNNNNNNNNNNNNNNNNNNNNNNNNNNNNNNNNNNNNNNNNNNNNNNNNNNNNNNNNNNNNNNNNNNNNNNNNNNNNNNNNNNNNNNNNNNNNNNNNNNNNNNNNNNNNNNNNNNNNNNNNNNNNNNNNNNNNNNNNNNNNNNNNNNNNNNNNNNNNNNNNNNNNNNNNNNNNNNNNNNNNNNNNNNNNNNNNNNNNNNNNNNNNNNNNNNNNNNNNNNNNNNNNNNNNNNNNNNNNNNNNNNNNNNNNNNNNNNNNNNNNNNNNNNNNNNNNNNNNNNNNNNNNNNNNNNNNNNNNNNNNNNNNNNNNNNNNNNNNNNNNNNNNNNNNNNNNNNNNNNNNNNNNNNNNNNNNNNNNNNNNNNNNNNNNNNNNNNNNNNNNNNNNNNNNNNNNNNNNNNNNNNUUACAUCUGCCCCCAAAAUAUUUCGCUCGCCAAGAGGUUAUCGACUCCCUGGAGAGCUUACAUCUGCCCCCAAAAUAUUUCGCUCGCCAAGGGUUAUCAACUCCCUGGGGGCUUACAUCGCCCCCAAAAUAUUUCGUUCGCCAAGGGUUAUCGACUCCCUGGGGGCUUACAUCUGCCCCCAAAAUAUUUCGUUCGCCAAGGGUUAUCGACUCCCUGGGGUCACAUCGCCCCCAAAACAUUUCAUUCGUCAUAGCAGGAGCCAACGCUCCUCCUCGUGAGGCCCCACUGGGUCCUCAACAUGAUCAAUUUCUACUUAAUUCUCGAACGGUUCAGAUAACCGAAGAAGACCUUCAGCGUAUGAUCACGGAAGAUUCAAGUCGUGCUGCCACUGAAUCAGUGGCACCAUAUAUCGCCAAGGUGGGGCAUCUCACCCCAGUGGUUCGUGAUCGCCUCAUCCUAAAUGGGGGGCUAUCCCAUCCUAAAGUUGGGCAUCACAUCUCAAGGGUGGUACAUCCACUUACCUUUCAACCCCAAGGGGUUUCACAUCCCAUCAAGUGUUUCACGUCCCUAGUUCAAAAACAGAAAAAAUGGUAUGACGCGCACGCGCGAACCAAUGGCACAACCAUGCGCAUCCACCUCAGACCAUAGGUCUCGAACGCCUCAUCCUACAGUGGGCAGUUAUCCCCAUCCUAAGGUUGGGCAUCACCCUUACCUUUCAGCCCUAAGUGGGUUCACAUCACAUCUCAAGAGACGAGUAUAAACUCACUACUCAAAAAAUAGAACAUCCCCAAGGGGGUGCACAUCCGAUCUCAAGGAACGAGGAUAAUCUCCAUACUCAAAAAAUAGAACAUCCCCAAGGGGGUGCACAUCCCAUCUCAAGGAACGAGGAUAAUAUCCCUACUCAAAAAAUAGAACAUCCCCAAGGGGGUGCACAUCCGAUCUCAAGGAACGAGGAUAAUCUCCCUACUCAAAAAAUAGAACAUCCCCAAGGGGGUGCACAUCCCAUCUCAAGGAACGAGGAUAAUCUCCCUACUCAAAAAAUAGAACAUCCCCAAGGGGGCGCACAUCCGAUCUCAAGGAACGAGGAUAAUCUCCCUACUAAAAAAAUAGAACAUCCCCAAGGGGGUGCACAUUCCAUCUCAAGGAACGAGGGUAAUAUCCCUAUUCAAAAAAUAAAACAUCCCCAAGGGGGUGAAUAUCAACCAAAUAAAAGCAAAUAGAAGAAAAGAAAAAGAGAAUGAAAAAAGAGAAGAAGAAAGAAGAAGAAAAAAGAAUACAAAGAAAUAAGAAAAGAAGAAAGAAGAAGAAAAAAGAAGAUGAAAAAAUAGAAGAAAAAAGAAGAAGAUGAAAAAAGAGAAGAAGAAAGAAGGAAAAAUACAAGAAAAAAAAAGGGAGGCGCGCGUGCAGUGCACGCGCGCGCUGACGCGCGCUGGCGUCAGCAAAAAAAAAAAAAAAAAAAGCUGGAGGGGGGGGUGCACAACCCGCGCGCGGGGGUAACACCCGUUGGACGCGCGCGCGUGCCCAGCACGCGCGCCCGGGAAAAAAAAAAAAAAAAAAAAAAAAAAAAGGUGGGGGCGCGCGUGCCCCGCACGCGCGCGUGGAGUACACGCGCUGACGCGCGCGCGCGUCCGCCGGGAGAAAAAAAAAAAAAAAAAAAAAAAAAAAAAUUCUUGGAGCGCGCGUGAGCACGUGCGCGCGCUUUCCAAGACACCCUUGGACUGCGCGCUCCUAUCAGAUCGCGCGCAACUUUGUCUACUCUCUACCAAAUUGCGCGUAGAUUUUGACUCGCUUCUCAAAAUCGCACGAGAAUUUCAACGCGCUCCACCACAUUCCGCGAGCUCUUUAACGCACCUACCAAAUGGCGUUCGCUAUCAAAUGGAAAAAAAAAAAAAAAAAAAAAAUUAUUUCUCCACGCCAUGCCAACGAUUAACGCAAGACUACAACACCGAUCUACUCUCAAUACGAUCCGGUACCCCUUUCAACUUGGCUCCCACAUCGUCUCGAGAGUGGGGGGCUUGCGAGACAACUUCCAAGAGGAGCCAACUCGCUCAGUACUACCACCCGUUGCGAGAUAACUCCCACGAGGAGCCAACUCCCUCGGAUCUACGAAACCAUAGCGAGAUAACUCCCACGAGGAGACCACUCGCUCCGUCUUAUAACCCGUUGUGAGAUAACUCCCACGGGGAGCCAACUCCCUCGGGUCCACGAACCCAUAGCGAGAUAACUCCUACGAGGAGACCACUCGCUCCACCCUACGACCCGUAGCGAGGAAACUCCCACGAGGAGCCAACUCGCUCGGUUCCACGAACCCACAGCGAGAUAACUCCCACGAGGAGACCACUCGCUCCAUCCUUUCACCCGUUGUGAGGCAACUCCCACGAGGAGUCAACUCUCUCGGGUCCACGAACCCACAGCGAGAUAACUCCUACGAGGAGACCACUCGCUCCAUCCUACGACCCGCAGCGAGGAAACUCCCACGAGGAGCCAACUCGCUCGGUCCUACGAACAGCGAGAUAACUCCUACGAGGAGACCACUCGCUCCAUCCUACGACCCACAGCAAGGAAACUCCCAUGAGGAGCCAACUCGCUCGGUCCUACGAACCCACAGCGAGAUAACUCCUACGAGGAGACCACUCGCUCCAUCCUAUAACCCGUUUCGAGAUAACUCCCACGAGGAGACAAUUCGCUCAGAGCGACCUCAGUCCGCGCGCUCCUCAGUCGCGCGCCAUCCGAUGCUUUUACAACUCCCCUGCGAGACAACUCCCACGAGGAGCCAACUCGUGCAGUAAUACAACCCGCAGCGAGACAACUCCCACGAGGAGACAACUCGCUCGGUCCUACAACCUCUUACAAGGAAACUCCCACGAGGAGCCAACCCCCUCGGGUCUCAAAACCACAGCGAGAUAACUCCCACGAGGAGACCAUUCGCUCCGUCCUAUAACCCGUUGGGACAACUCCCACGAGGAGCUAACCCCCUCUAGUCUCAAAACUACACCGAGAUAACUCCCACGAGGAGUCCACUCGCUCAAUCCUACAACCCGUUGCGAGACAACUCCCACGAGGAGCCAACUCCCUCGGAUCUCAACACCACAGCGUGACAACUCCCACGUGCAACCACCUCACUCGAUAAAUAUUACUCACCGCGAGACAACUCCCAUGAGGAGACAACUCGCCCGAAAUUCACUAUAUAAUCACAAGCUCAAGUUAGCACGAUUACAACCCUAGAAGCACUUAGAGACAUUAUGAGAAUCUAUAUAGCCUGGCCAGCUUGAUUACUCAAAAAUAUCUACUUGUUUUCGAUGGGUCAUUCAUUAAAACGUGGCCACGGUCCAAACAUACUUAAGACCCACGAGGUCUAACAAGGGGCACGACCCCCAUAAAAAAAAAAAAAAAAAAAAUCUUGAGAGUCUGAUCCCCUCCUCAAGUACAUCACGCACAAGGCUAUAUGUAAACACAUAUAAGCAACGCGUUAAAACAUUGACAAUGUCGAAAAAUAACAACUCCCAUGAGGAGAAUACUAGCUCCGUGCUACUACAUUAUCGUGAGACAACAUCCACGAGGACGUAACUCGAUCAACUCGAUUACCCAAAAGACAACUCCCACGAGGAGAUUACAUGAUCCGUGCUACUACAUUAUCGCGAGACAACUCCCACGAGGAGAUAACUCGAUCAACACUAUUACCCCGCGACAAGACAACUCCCACGAGGAGAUAAUUCUCUACUACAUCGUCGCGGGACAAAACCGACGACUCAAUUAACUUACAUCGCGACAACCUUGUCGCGUUAUGCGCCAACGCGCAUUCACGCCCCUCCGACAUACGCUCCAACGCGUUUUCGCAUACUAUUAGGCCAUACGCCAAUGAUCGACUUCUACAAUUUUUACUCUCGACACGAUUUGAGACCCAUCACAACAUGGCCCCCACAUCGACUCGAGAGUGGGAGGCUUAAUGAUAUGCCUAAUUGGGCCAACCCAAUGGGCCUACAAUUACUUUACCUACUGGGCUACGAGCCCAAUAUCGAAGACUAAUAUCACCGAGGCCCAAACACCUUCAAGUAAGGCUUGGGCCCAACAAAGCAAACCCAACCCAAUAAACGACAUAUAAAUAGAGGUUUUCCUCAUUUUAUUAAGGUACGUCCUAUUAACUGAGCAAUACAAAAACGCGUAUUCUCUGGACUAUUUCUAUGAUCAGUCUUCAGUCCUAUAACAUCUGAGGGGUUUCCGCCGGAUCAACCCCCGGCUUAGUUCAUGUGUUCUAUGAUCGCAGGUACCUCAGGAUCAUCAAGUUAUCAAGCUACUGAUCUGCUUUGCUCUCCCAGCUCAUUUUCUACACCACCCUAGGUGAGCUAUAUUUUAGCAUCAUCAUAUAUAUAUAUAUAUAUAUAUAUAUAUAUAUAUAUAUAUAUAUAUAUACAUAUAUAUAUAUAUAUAGAGAGAGAGACACAUAUAUAUAUAUAUAUACAUAUAUAUAUAUAUAUAUAUAUAUAUAUAUAUAUAUAUAUAUAUAUAUAUAUAUAUAUAUAUAUAUAUACACAUAUAUAUAUAUAUAUAUAUACACAUAUAUAUAUAUAUAUAUAUAUACAUAUAUAUAUAUAUAUAUAUAUAUAUAUAUAUAUAUAUAUAUAUAUAUAUAUAUAUAUAAUAUAUAAAAUUGAUCUAUACACGUAUACGAUAUGAGCUCUGCUCCUAUAAAAUUUGUCGUACGUAGCAUAAACUAACCGUCGAAGAUAUAUUUAAUUGCGGGCUAACUCUACUAGGCUAUGGAACUUAAGGGUCCGUUUGGAUGGAGGGAUUUGAAGGGGGGUUUGGUUUUAGGGAAGAAAUUUGAAAUGACACCAAUUUAGAAUCAUUUGAAAUUCACCACAAUUGCUCAAAAAACAACUAAAAAUAAGGAGUGUGAAUUUAAAAUUCAUUCUCAAAUCCCUCAAUCCAAAUGGACCCUAAUAACUUUUCGAUACCUUAAAUUGUCUAUGGUAUACUUCAAUGGAACUUUUCAAUAGGAAAAACAAUAGAUAACAACUCUCGGAUAUGUUUUAUUGUGCGCACUUUCCAUCCGGAAGAUUCUACACCGCUCCGGUAGUACCCACCAUGCAGAUGCUCUGCGCGGCCGCUAUGGCCCCGCAGAUGUAGUCGUAGGCUGAGUGGAGAAUCGUAGGAAUGAAAUGCUAGGGAUGUUGUCAUAUCCAUGUUUGGUACAUACAAAUAAUGAAAAAGAUAAUGAAAUAAUAAUUUCUUGAUUGAUUCUAGUUUCAUAUUUGAUAAUUAAAAAAUAAUUUUAAUUUUAAUAACUAGUAUUCAAUGAUAUAAUUAUCCCUAGUUAUUGUCAUAUAUGGCAAAUCUUUUUAACUAUUGUAAUUUUAAGGUUAAUUUCCUAUUAAAUUACUAUAUAUUAUGAAUAAAUAUAUUCAAAAUUUCAAAUAUCUUAAUAUUGAAAUAAAUAUUUAAAUAUAAUUUUUUUGUCAACGAUAUUAUUUUAUUUUGAUAAAAUAAUGAUUGAUUGGUUGAGUAUGAAACAAAAUAUGUUUUUCUUGAGUUUCAUCUUCAAUUUUAUCGAUAUUACUCGAUUUAUUCAUUGAUAAUUACAAAUCCAACCUCAUGUUGGUGUGGAUGUUUGACCCAGAAGAUUGAUUUACGGACUAUAUCAUUCUGACAUUUGAUUCUGACAUUUGAUUCGAAAGAUUGAGUGGGAUGAGCAUAGAAAAUCCCUAUUUUGCCCCUGCUUUGGGGUUUAUAAAAGGGGAAUUUUUUCGCCUCUAUUUAUUUGAGAUUUUGUGUUUGUACUUUCUGUCUAACUUUUUUCCUAUUUAUUUUCCUGUUCUUCACAUAGCUUUCAGUAAUUACGAUUAAGUUUAUUUGUCUUUUAAUAAUUACGAAUAAAUUACUUUUAAUCCAUUUAAAAAUAUAAGUAGCAGCAGUACAAGUGGAUUUUGUGGUGGUCCAAACGUAGCGCACUGCGGUGUUGGAGGUGGUCAUAAUCAUCCUUUCGUCUGUCUUUGCGGUUUUAAUAUCGUAUUCCAAACUUCAUGGACCACGGCGAAUCCAGGGCGGCGAUUUGUUACAUGUCCAACCAGAGGUGUCAGUACUAGAUUUUGUAUCGAAUACAUCCUCCUCCAUUUGGAAACAUCAUUAAAAGCUGUUGUUUCCCGUUUUUUUUCUCUUGCAGGCUAAUAAAUGCAAGUUCUUCUACUGGUGUGAUUCUGAGGUUUGUGAUAGAGCUAAAGCAAUCAUUCCUGGAUUAUUGGACAAAAUCAACACAUUGCAAUCAUCAUUGGCUACUGAAAAAGAAACGUUUGAAAAAAUGAAAACACAUUGUAAUAUGUAUUUCAACAGUUAUUGCAUUGGGUGUGUUGAAAUAUGUUUUGUAAUUCGUUUGGCCUGUAGUUUAAUUUUUAUUUAUCUGUUGUUGUGAUAUCUCCCUUCAAGUUGUAUAUUGUGUAUGCUACUUCGAACGUGUUGUAAAAUCUUUUUGAGGCUUCCCGAAUUUAGUUGUUCUUUAAUGAAUCGGGGGAUUUAUAUAAAUCAAGCGUGGAUCGUUUAUUGAACGGGCAUGUAAGCCUGCGAAACCAUGUACAUAUAUCAAGCAUGAAUUAUUAUUUAUAGCUAGAAAUGCAAGCUGGCCAAUGUACAUGUUUAGCUGAAAAAUACAUAUCGCAUCCCCACAAGUAAUUUGAGUUGAUAAUUAGUAAAACAUAGUUCCCCAAACACAAUUGGAGCUGCAUUUUUUUCUUGAAACACCCUCACGCAUAUGUCGAAGUACGGAUAUCCUUCCCUCCUAAAGUAUCUUUCUUCCAAUGACUCAUGCACACAUUAACAACACAUAUUUUAUACAAUCAUAAAAUAUACUUACUUGAAUAAACAAUAUUGAAUAACUCAAGAAAAUAUAAUCACUUGCCGAUGCCGUAAGAGAUGUAAAAUAUGUUUUACUGCAUUCCACACGCAAUGUGGUUGAAAUGAACGUGACUUCGGGCCUGCGUAUGUACUCAUUGAAUACAUCAAAUUAUGUUCGCAAUUCUUCACUAUUGAUUCUUGAACGGUUGUACAACGAAGACAAUGAUGAGAGUAUGGAGUGAAUUUGGUUUGCUUCAGGCAAAAAAAUAUUCUCUACAAACCUAGCGCAAUUUUGUGGCGAAUUUUCAAGAAUAGCAGGAAAUGAGAAAUGUGGAGUAAUGUCGUCCUAAUUUGGUUGAAGGGUAUUAUUGGAAUAAAUAGUGCUAGGAGGUUAUCAUAAAGAACGAAAUAAGAGAUGGACAUAUCACCAUUUCUUAUCUAUAGGAGGGCCUUAUUGCUAAUGACCCCAAGUUUAGUUCCCAGAGCAUCAGAGAGAGAUUUCCUUAUGAUAUUAUAUAGGUUUAUCUGGAUCAACAAAUAAAUUGAAGACCGAAAGGUGGUUCAGGCCCAACUUGCCAUUUUCUCGAGUCCCACAUCGGUUAAAUAGUGAAAGAAACGACGACAUACAUAAAGCUACCAACCAACUAUAGUGCAUUGAAAAACAAUGAUGAUUCUACAAGUAUUGGAUUGCCUCUACUCCAUAUUAUAAGUGCCAUUGUAUUAGGGCCGUUCCUGAGAAAUUAGAGGCCCUAGGCGAGUUUUAAGAAUUUGUAAAAACUGUCAUGAAUUUGUACUGUAUAAUGCAUGUACAUUAAUUCAUUAUAACGAGCACAACUGGACAAAAAAAAUUUAAUUAGCAUUUAAGAUUUUUUAAGAAAAUACAACUAACAUAUCGACGAAGUUAAGACAAAAUCAAAAGUUUAUGGGGUUCGGGGCAAAGCCCCAAAGUUUAUUUGAAAAUAGUCAUAUAAAUUUUAUUGAACAAGUAAAUAUAUGUAUUCUUUGCUUAAAUAUAUUUAAAUAAAAUAUAGUAUAUAUUAAGUCAAACAAAACAAAAACUCAUCAAUGUAGAUUUAAAAGAAGGGCACAUUACAAAUAAGCUCAUCAAGGGGUACAGACAAAAGACUCUCUUACAAAAAAAGUCCACACAUCGUUCAGAGGUUUUUAAAAGACUAAAAUAGCCCCUCACAUUUUAAUAUGCUCCAAUUUCAUCCUUUAAUUUAAUCUUCAUUUGACCCCAAAUUUCACAAAUUAUUCAAUUUUGACCCACAAUGCAAUUUUGAGUACAAUUUCGUUCGUCGCCGCCCUUGACUUUUUUUCCCUUUUUUUUCUGCUUCUGUCGCCGCUGAUCGGCGGUCAACGCCGGUCUCCGACGGCGUUGACCUUUUUUUUUUGAAUAUUUUUUAUUUAACAUCUUUUUGCCCCGUUUAAACAACAAUAUUGCUGUGGUUGGCAGUAAUAUUAACUAUAUUAUUGUUAAAUACAGUAAUAUUAACUAAACUACAGUUUAACACAAUAAUAUUGCUAUAUUAAUUUCUAGCACAAUAAUAGUAACACAACAAAAGUCAUUGUUAUUGUGUACCAGAGUAAUAUUCAUAUGUUGACCGUUCAACAAAGGUAAACAUAAUAAAAAGUCAAAAGAAUUAAUAUUGAUGUUGUUUACAGUAAUAUUACUGUCAUCCACAGUAAUAUUACUGUAACGACAGUAAUAUUACCGACAACCACAGUAAUAUUAUGUGUUUACAGUAAUAUUACAAUAGUAGACAGUAAUAUUAUUACGUUAAUUCGUCAACAACUCAAACAAAACAAAUUCCCAAAAAACAAAUAUUGAUGAGGUUGAUAGUCAUAUUAUUGUAAAUAUUAUUGUGUUUACAGUUAUUUUACCGACAAGGACAAUAUUAUAAUUGCGUUCACUUGUCAACAAAUCAAACAAAAGAAAAGCCGAAAAAAUAAUAAUAUUGUCGAUGAUUGUAAUUCUAUUGGCAACGACAGUACAAUUACGUAAAUGUAUUGUCAACGACAGUAUAAUUACGUUAAUGUACUGUCAGUGACAGUAUAAUUAUUGUUAUUGAUAGUACAAUUACGGUUAACGUUUAGCGGCGGGGAUAAAAAAACGAAAAUAAAAAAAAUCGAAAAAGUCAACGCCGGAAACCGGCGGCAAAAAAAUAAUUUCAGAAAAAAAAGUUAAAAAAACAAAAAAUCAAAAUUGGAUUUUUAUGGUCAAAAUUAAUUAAAUUGGGGUUACAAUUAAGAAUUGAGUGUAAAGGGUUGGGGGUAAUUUUGUCAUAUGUAUUAUUUCUUUCUUUAUUUAUAAUAAAUAUUAAAGGGAUGGGUUUAUUGGCGAAUAAAAAUAUAAAUCCUGAACCUAGAAUAGUAAAGAUGGUUAAAAGAAUGCAAAGAUGGUUGGGAAAAAAAAAGUUUAAAAUCUUGAAUUAGAUAAAAAAUUGAUAUAAUAACUCAAUGUCCAACUAGUUUUAAUUGAUCUAAGACAAUUAAUUCACAUCAAAUGCAAUAAUAAAUGUAAAAAUUCCAACAAAUACUUAAACUAUGUAACAUAAUAUAGUUAUAAUUAUUCAAAAUUGUUGAACUAUUUAUAUAUUUUAAAUAAUAUUUAAUACUAUGACUAUUAUAUAUAUAUAUAAAAAGACUACAAAAACAUCAUUUGGGGACCCCUAAUUUUUUCUAAAAGUCGAGGGUCCGAGGCGACCGCCUCUCUCGCCUAUAGUCAGAACUGGCCAUGCACUGUAUCUUUCAUUCUUCGGAGGGUAAUCACUCGAUCCAGAGAAUAAACGAGAACGAACAUUCGGAUUCAUCGAACAAAUUUCGAGGAAAUUCACAAAAUCCACCAAUACUACUACUCGUGCCGAAACUCAAAGGUGAAAAAUAAUUCAUGGAAUCCUCUCUAGACCCUUUUAAAAUCCUCUCUAGACCCUUUUAAAAUCCUCUCCAUCGCAUUUCGAAACUCGUUUAUGUUUGACAAGAACGGGCUGCGAGGUAUAUUCCUUACUGGGCUUUGCGAGUGCAGCUGCAGCUUUGCGAGUUCCUCUCAGUUUGAUUGAAAAAAAGAAUGAUGAAAAAAGAGUAUUUUGAAAUAGUAAGAAAUAUUGACAGAAGAAGACACUGUCCAUUUAUUUGAUUGACUCAUUAAAAUAAAUAUAUAUAUAUAUAUAUAUAUAUAUAUAUAUAUAUAUAUAUAUAUAUAUUAAAUUAGAAUAACCCCUCAACUAUAAAUUUUCUUACACGUCCACCCUUGCGGUUUCAAAUUUAGUGAAAUAUAAUAUUCUUGAUUAUAUGGAAUAUUAUCACUUUUAUACCUGUUUUAUCCAAUUCGAGCUCCACAUUUUGAAGUAAGAUGAUCAUAAGAUGUGUUUUUUGGCUUGUAUAUAUCAGAUUGUGUGCAUCAGAAACUGUAUGUUUACCAAAACGAGUACAAUUUAGAGCACAUUACAGGGAAUCUUUAAGGGUGGAAGUGUAAGAAGAUUUAUAGUUUAGGGGUAGAUGUAAUUAUCCAAACAAGAGGAGGUUUUUCGUAUUAACCUAAUGGAUGGUUGUAAUUUACCCUAUAAUUUAAUAGUUAAUAAUUAAUAGUAGAAUAAAUAAUUAUGAGAACAAAACAAUGGGUUGAUGAGAAGCAAUUGAGGAGGGGUGAAGCUGGCUGGGGGUUGUGGUAUAUGAAUAUCAAUUCAGGGACUUUUGGGGAAAAUAUUAAUUUUUGAAUAAAGUAUUUGGUAUACUUUAAUUCUUGAAACCAGGUGUUAAUUCCCAGCUCACACUUCAUCGUGGUCAAGUUGGGAGAACCGACGACUUUUGAAAAAUCAACAUUGCCAAUGUCUUUCUUUUUUAAUUAAGAUCAAGUCAAUUGUUUUUUUAUUUUAUUUUUUCUAAAUACAAAAUGUCUACAAGUCUUUUUCUUUUUUAUAUAAGUAAAAUGCCUACAAGUCUAUAGACUAUAGUAUUAGCACAUUUGAUGCUGAUGGAUUGAAUCAUUAUUAAUGGUUUGAUGAACAUAUCUUGCUAUUGUAUAAGCUGCAUUUACAAAUAUAUCUCCAUUUUCUUUUCUUCCCUUUGGUUUUUCUGUAAGAAAUUCCUCAUUCUCUUUCAUAAUGAUCCGAUAAUUUAUGGCAGUUAUCUCAUUCUUUCACACUCGAUGUACGGUUGUUGGUCUUUGUGCAGAUAAGUUGACUUAUUGAAUGGCAUCACCUUCAAAUGAGGUCGCUAAAACUAUAGUAUUGAUCGGAAAAAUAGGUAAUGGGAAAAGCGCAACAGGGAAUAGUAUUCUUCGAAGAAAGGCAUUCAAGUCAAUGUCCAGCCCUACUCGUGUUACCAACACUUGUGAGAUGCAUACAACAACUUUACUGGAAAAUGGGCAGAAUCUUGCUGUGGUUGAUACCCCAGGUACGUACAUAUAUGAUAUAUGCAUGUUGGCGCUAAUUUAGAAUCUUUUUGUUGAUACGUGUAAAUAUGUGUGACUUGAUGAACUAAAUGCAAUUGUCAGGAUUGUUUGACUGUUCGGCUGAACCUCAAUUUAUCGGAAAGGAAAUUGCUAAGUGCAUCAAUUUGGCAAAGGAUGGUGUACAUGCUAUUCUUCUCGUUGCAUCAAUUAAAACACGCAUUUCUAAAGAAGAAGAAGAAGCUGGUGUUUUGAUGUUGCAGGCAUUUUUUGGCCCCAAAAUUAUUGACUAUAUGGUUGUACUUUUCACCGGUGGUGAUUAUCUUGAAGAUGAUGAGACUCUUGAUGAUUAUUUUGGUCGCAAUUGCCCCCAACACUAUAAGGUACAACUCUCAUCGCUCUUCAUUUAAGUCUCUCCAUAUUUAAUUUAUUUAUCGGAAUAUAUUAUCAAAUAUCAAGUCUGUCCGCCAAGAAAUUGCCUAGGUCAUACCAUUUUGCUAUGAAGAUCUUGGUAUAGUUCCCUGUUUAAGUCUUUUAUUUGUUCCCUAUGAACAUGGAUUUAUGAAUUAAACCAUGAUUUUUAGUCAUUUACUUUCUCUUGAUAUUCAAAGAAUAUUGUUCAUUGUAAUUAAUUAGUUGUUUGUGGAUUUUGAUACAGGAAACUCUCAGAAUGUGUGGGAACCGGCAUGUUCUCUUUAAUAACAAAACAAGAGACGAACCUCAGAAAUCUAAACAAGGGAAGCAACUUCUUGCCUUAGUACAUGCAGUUGUAAAUAAAAAUGGUGGAGAACCGUAUAUGAGUCCGCAAUUUGUUGAAUUGAAGGUAAGUGCUUUCAAUGAAACCAUGUUUAUUUUUUAUUUUUUUGUUUUUAGUUAUGUUAGAAACUUGUACAAUGCGUAAGUUAAUCAUCAACCGUAGGAAGGAGCAACAAGCGAUUUUUUUUAUGAUGCUCCAGCCAUUAAAGUUAAUUUUGAAGAGGAGAAAUUUAAAUUGAAGAAGGAGUUACAAAAGUCAUAUGAAGAGCACCUUAAGAAAAUAACCGAGGCGGUACUUUUUUUCAGAUAUAAUACAUUUAGUUUGUGCAUAAUUCAUCAUAAACUACCCCAUAUAUAUAAAGAUAUGGCAUGCAUGCAUCUGUUUUUGUAUGUAGGUUGAUUUAAAGCUGAAGGAGAGCUCUGAUAAGCUCGCACAGCAAAUAGCAGAGUUAAAGCUCAAGGAGAGCUUUGAUAAGCUUGCACAACAAAUAGCAGAGCAGGAAAAUGGUCGACUCAAGGAAGAAAUUAUGACACUCUCUGCUCAAGUGAAAUCAAAUGAUGAAACGUAUAAGAUGAGAUUGGAUUUAUUAGAGACUGCUCAUCGGAAGGAAAAUGAGAAUCAGAGGCAGCAGCGACAUCAAACAGUAGUAAGCCCAUGUGCUUACCUAUCUGUAAUUAAUAAGCGUGCGUGUGUAUAUAUAUGUGUGCUUUAAGAAAACCAUUUCCAUCAUUUACUUUUAAACUUAUGUAUGUCUGUAUAUUUCUUUGUCCAUGUUGGGGUUCAAUUAAGUCCCCUGCACCUCUAAGUGAGGUUAAAACUAUAGUGUUAGUUGGACGAACAGGUAAUGGGAAAAGUGCAACAGGGAAUAGUAUCCUUGGAAGAAAUGUAUUCAAGCGAAGGAUUAUUGGUGGGGGUGUUCCUACUACUUCUGAGCAACACUCAACGAAACUAGAAGAUGGCCAAACUCUUAAUGUGAUUGAUACUCCAGGUACGUUAUUACUAAUUUCUAUUUGCAGCUUUAGUACUCUGUUCGUAUUUUCAUUUCAUAGCUAGCAACACUUAUUAUAUUCCUCAUUAGUUCAUUAGAUCUAGCUAGAUGAUCCAAAGGAAACUAACACAAACUCCUGGCCCGCAUCGGUGGUGGAUGUUGUCGCCUAUUAGAAAAUAAAGGAUAAAUGUUUAGGGGUGUAAUGAUAUAUAAAGAAAAUAUAAUUAUUCUUGGGGAAAUAGGCAGUAAUCAAGCCAAAUGAUAUAUAUAUAUAUAUAUAUAUAUAUAUAUAUAUAUAUAUAUAUAUAUAUAUAUAUAUAUAUAUAUAUAUAUAUAUAUAUAUAUAUAUAUAUAUAUAUAUAUAUAUAUAUAUAUAUAUAUAUAUAUAUAUAUAUAUAUAUAUAUAUAUAUAUAUAUAUAUAUAUAUAUAUAUAUAUAUAUAUAUAUAUAUAUAUAUAUAUAUAUNNNNNNNNNNNNNNNNNNNNNNNNNNNNNNNNNNNNNNNNNNNNNNNNNNNNNNNNNNNNNNNNNNNNNNNNNNNNNNNNNNNNNNNNNNNNNNNNNNNNGCGGUGAUUGGCUUGAAGAAGAUGGUAUGACCCUCGAGGAUUUCUUGGAUGGUGAUUGCUUUGAAGCCUUGAAGGUAUGCAAAUGUUGGUAUUUAGCCUUCUCAUGAUAUUAUGAAGUGUGCUAGGGGAAAAAAAAAAAAAAAAAAAAAAAAAACAGCUAGAUUUGAACUAAUGCAAAUAGUUUUUAGCUGAAAGUAUAUAGGCAAUGUUUGGACCAUUUCCAUUUUGUUUUUAUUGUUUCCCCAAAACAAAACGAGAUUUAUUACACUUUUCAAAUCAUUUUCUCAAAACAAUUUCAAAAAUUUCUCUCUCCUUCAGACAUGAUGUGACUGCUACAAUAAAAUGAUUUGACUGAUACAUUGAAAAAUGUCUUCACUAAAAAACAAAUAAACAUCACUUUAUCUUUCAAUUUUUUUCUUCAAAAAUAACUUUUUCUAACACCUUUAAACAUGAUUUGACUGCUACAGUGUAUUUUGUCUCCUUCCAAAAUACAAACAAACAUUACUUUCAUUUUCAAAUUAUUCCCCCAAAACAUAUUUCUUCAAAAUGAAAUCAAAAUAAAUCCAAAAAGCUUCCAAACAUUGCCUUAGUACUUUUAGCUAGGUUGUUUAAAUAUUUUAUUUAUUUCUUGUGAAGGUCGAUUUAUGAACCAAGCCAUAAUGCUUGCGUUUCUUUUGUUCUCUCGAUUUUUACAAGAUCUGUUCAAUCAUUCAUAUAUAGUAAGUUGUUUAUGAAAUAAUUUGAUAUGUACAUAGGAAACUCUGAGAAUGUGUGGGAACAGACGAAUUCUCUUUGAUAACAAAACAAAAGAUGAAGCCAAGAAAUCAGAUCAACUGAAGCAACUUCUUGUCCUAGUGGAUGCGGUUGUAGAGAAAAAUGGUGGAAAAGGAUAUACAAAGAAGUAGCUGGAAAUCUCGAUCCAAUGCACAAAUUGCGGCAAUAUCUGCUAAGAUGAAAUCAGAAUAUGAAAUAAGUUUAAGAUAGGAUUUAGAGAGUAGCUAAGAGGAAGAAUCAGAAGUUGCCAUCUCAAUAUCACCAAUAUUGUCUUAUUAUGUAGUAAAAGUAUGCUUUGCAUUAUUUUUAGAGCUGUCUUCUACUUGAAAACUUAUAACCCCACUAUUUCGUUACAUUUACUUCAAAAAUGGUACUGAAAAAUGGUACUACGUUUAUCAAGUCCUAUACUUCAAAAUGGAAAUUUUUGGAUUCCUUUUUUAAUAGGAAAAUAAAAUGGGGUUAUUUUACAUUCCCCCCUAGCCACCAAAUAAACUAGGGAUAAACCCAAGCCCAAAUCAUCCUUUGACAUACCCCUGGGGAAGCGAAAGUAGUAUACUACCCUUAUGUGCAAUUUUCGGCCAAACUGCAUUCAGCAUUUAUGGUCCUGCAUUUAUCAUUUUCGCUGAUUUAUUUAUUAUUAUUUUCCUUUUUUUUUUUUAGAAAUAUGUUUGUUAAAUAUAUAUAUAUAUAUAUAUAUAUAUAUAUAUAUAUAUAUAUAUAUAUAUAUAUAUAUAUAUAUAUUUUUUUUUUAAAUUGUUUUUUUAAAUUAAAAAAAAUAUUUUUUUUUAAUUUUUUUUUUUAAUUUUCAAAACAAUAUGUUUACAGUAGUGAAAAUAACUACAUGUAACUAUAGUACCUAUAGUAAUUCAUAGUUAUGUUCGUUUUAUCCUCAUAAUUUUAGUCGAUCAAUUGUAUACACACACGAAUACUGACUUAUACAAAAUAAAUUCAUAAAACCCCAACAAAAAUUUACAAAUUUAAAUAUUUUUAUUAUAAAUCACAUCGGAACCAAUAAAAUACAAAUCGAAAAUACAUAAAUAUACGCAUAUGUAACUACAUGUUACUAUAGUAAUGUAUACAGUCUGUUGAACAGAUCUGAUGUAACUUAAAAAAACAAAAAUUUGAAACCUUCAAGGAAAGGAUUAAUGGCCUUCAUUAAGCUGCAAUUGCAAAAUCAAAACAAAUAGAAAUUACUUUAGUGCAAAUCAACAAAUUUGAAGAAAAACAUCAAAACACUCAAAAAUCACCAAACAUUAAGAGAUCGAGAGAUAGAGAGUAACCACCAAUGGUUCCGCGCGGCCACAAAUGCAAAAAAUAUAGAAAUAAAUCUGAAAACAUAAAAAUAAACGAAAUUACCAUCAAAAUAUAGAUCCCGACGAGAGGAAUCCAACGGCAGGUGACCCGUCAAAUUUCGACGGGUGGAACACAAAAUAAAACUCCGGCAAGACCACCAUUCUCGAAUGAAAAAAAAUUGCAGAAACAGAUCAGCGUUCGAAACUGAAUGAAAUCACCACCAAAAGAAAGAGCUUGACGAGAGGAAUCCAACGGUAGUUAAACCAUCGAAUUCCGACCACCGGAGAGAGAGUUAUGGCUCCGGGAGGCAAUUUCACCGGUGGGAGGUUUGUAGAGGCGGGAUUUUGAAUUUGGGAGAGAAGAAGAUAGAGACCAUGAGUGGCUAGGGUUUAAAACUGAUUUUAGAAGGGUAUUAUAGGAACUUCAGGGUAGCCUAGGGGGGUAUGUCAAAAUAUUUUCGAAAUGAGGGGAAUUUCCCAUAGAGUGUAAUACACUUGGUAGUUAGUUAUAUAUAAUUUGGAAAUGAGGGGGGUCUACAAAAUAAUCCCAAAUAAAAUAGAUAACAACCAUGGGACUAGGAGUAAGAAUAUUGGUUGCUUUAUAUGAAUCGGUCAGUUUAAUAUGGGUCGGUCACGGACUCACGAUUUAAUAUGAAUUCGUUGGUUAAAAUCGACAGGUUAAACCCCCAUUAAUUUUAAAGGGCUCUUUACAAAUAAGGACAUCAAUGGAUACUUAUUCAUAUAGAGAUCCAGAUAAUAAACUCUUUUACAAAAAAGUCCACACAUAGUCCAGAUGUUUGUAAACGACUAAAAUAGCCCCUCGUACUUUAAUAUGCUCCAAUUUCAUCAUUUAAUUGAAUCUAACCUCAAUGUGACCCCAAAUUUCACAAAUUAUUCAAUUUUGAUCCAAAACACAUUUUUAUGGACAAUUUCGUCCGUCACCACCAUUGACCGCCGGUCUCCGGCGUUAACUUUUUUUUUUGUUCCUGAUUUUUCCGCCACCGGUUUCUGGCGUUGACUUUUUCGAAAAAAAAUUCUUUCUUUCCGUAACAUCUUUUUUCUUCGUUUAAACAACAAUAUUGUUAUGAUUGACAGUAAUAUUAACUAUAUUACUGUUAAACACAGUAAAAUUAACUAUACUACAGUUUAACACAGUAAUAUUGCUAUAUUAAUCUCUAGCGCUGUAAUAUUAACACAAUAAAACUCAUUAUUAUUGUGCAAUAGAGUAAUAUUAAUAUGUUGACCGUUCAACAAAUGUAAACAUAAUAAAAAACCAAAAGAAUUAAUAUUACUGUGACUGAAUAUUACUAUAACAACAGUAAUAUUACCGUCAACCACAGUAAUAUUACAAUUAUAGACAGUAAUAUUAUUACGUUAUUCCAUGAAUAACUCAAACAAAACAUUAAAAACCCAAACAAAAUAAUAAUAUUGAUGUGGUUGACAGUAAUAUUACUAUAACAACAGUAAUAUUACCGUCAACCACUGUAAUAUUAUUGUAUUUACAAUAAUAUUACAAUAAUAGACAGUAAUUUUAUUACGUUACUCCGUGAAUAACUCAAACAAAACAAAAAAACCAAACAAAAUAAUAAUAUUGAUGUGGUUGACAGUAAUAUUAUUGUGUAUAGUUAUUUUACUGUCAACAGUAAUAUAAUUACGUUGACUUGUCAACAAAUCAAACAAAAUUAAAAAAAAUAACAAAAAAAUAAAUAAUAAUAUUACGUUAAUUUACUUUUAACGGCAGUACAAUUACAUAAAUGUAUUGUCAACGGCAGUACAAUUAUGUUAAUAUACUGUUAGUGACAAUAUUAUUACGUUAAUUUACUGUCAGUGACAUAGUAUAAUUACCGUUAAUGUCAGCACAAUUAAGGUCAACGUUUAGCGAUGGACGUAAAAAAAAAAAAGUCAAGGCCGGAAUUCGGCGGUGGAAAAAACAGACCAGAAAAAAAAAUCGAAAUUUCAACGCCGGAAUCCGGCGGCAAAAAAAAAAUUUGAAAAAAAAAAGGUUUUUGAAAAAAAAAAAAAAGCCAAAAUCGAAAUUUUUUGGUCAAAAUUUAUUAAAUUGAGAUUACAAUUUAGAAUUGGGUGUAAAGGGUUGGGGGUAAUUUUUUCAUAAAUUUUGGGUGUAAAGGGUUGCGAUGCACGGGAUAUUAUUUUAAAAGUGAAAGAGGAUGGGCUUAUUAGUGAAAGAGGUAUAUCCCCUAAACCUAGAAUAAUAAAGAUGUUUGAUUAGGAACUUAUGCACAAAAACCCCAAUUUGAAAAAUUGUCACGUGAUCAACAAUCCAGGUUAAUGGGUAUUGGCCGAUGAUGAUUUGAAACGCCGAGCCGAUUCGAACUGGCCAAAAUUAUUUAGCUUAAGUUUGAAUAUAAACACAUUUUCUGUCUAUAAAUCAAGGUUCUAAAAGGCAGUUAUCGGGUUCGUGGCGGUUAGGGACCGCCACACGAUAAAUCAGCGCGGCGGUGUCAGGGAUAAUUCGGAAAUAAAUCGGCUUUUUAAUUUAAUGUAAUAUAUUUUUAAAUAUUAUUUGUUAAUACUCAAAAUAUAUAUAAAAUAAUAUUUAAACAUAAUUCUAUCCUACCAUUCAUAUGUUAUUAUAUAAUUCUAAUUAUUCAAUAAAUAACCAAAAAUUAAAAAUAAUUAGAUCAUAAUAUAAUAAAAGAUUUUUACGAAAUAUAAAUACUAUGCAAGUUUUUCGCAUCAACAAUUAAUAUAAACAUAACAAAGCAUAAACUCAUGUUUUGGGUUAUCGCUAAAUUCUUCUUUCUUGUCGGGUACAAGUUGCGGGGUAGUAUUUGGUUUAGUUUUGGAAGUUGAAAGAAUUGAAAAAAACAAAAAACAAACAAUGUUUUCAUUUUAAUUUAAAUUUAAAAAAAAAAGAAAAAAAACCGAUUUGUUGACCGAUUUAUCGUUUGACCCGCCAAAGACCGCCCCAAACCGCCUCGCCGUAACAAAACCCAUAUUCCAAACCGCCUCAGCAAAAUCGUAAAGGUUUAUAACCGAUACCGAUAUGGCGGCCGAUAUAUCGAGCGCCACAACCGCUAUUUAGAACACUACUAUAAAUACCAGCAAUCAUCCUCAUCUCUAACCAAUUCACUCUCUCAACUCACGUUUCACGAAACGCGCUUGGUCCAUCAAAUUGUUUCAUUUUUAUCUCUAUUUCGGUAGUGUUUGCAAAAGCUUUUAAAAAUAAAUUAUGAGUUUUUUUCUCACAUAAUCUGUUUUUAGGUGUUUGCAAAACCGACUUUUGUUUUUGCUUCUCAAAAUAAGUUGCUUUAAGCUGUAAUUUUAAAAGCACCCAUAUACCUGCUUUUUCUAUUUUAAUUGAUUUACUUCGCAAACACCCCCAACUUUUAGAAUUAAGCACUUAAUAUCAACUUAACUCAUAAUCAUUAAUGUAUGUUUUUAAAUAAGCUUUUGCAAACACCUCGAAUUCAUAUGUUAGAACUUACAACAAACAAAACGUCAGUUAAAACUUCGUAUUCUAAGCAUUUUAACAAAGUAAAACUCUAAUCCAGAUACAUUUAAGCAAAAUGCAAAUAUUGCACAUUAACUUCGUUCAUUUAUAUUUCCUAGGGUUAACUGCAAAAAAUCCCCUAAACUUUGGAUGUUUUUGCACUUUACCCCUUGAACGGAAAAAAAUUGCACGAGCAUACCCGGACUCUAGUAUUUCUAGCACCGACAUCAAAAUCGUCCAAUUUUAGCUAAAUUGUUCCUUGAAUUGCACACGUACAACCCACACGUGAAAAUGGGAGGGUAAUUUUGUCAACUCACAAGAUUUUUAGAAAAAAGAAAAUUAAAAAGGAAAAAUGAAAAAGAAAAAGAAAAAGAAAUAAAGAGAAAUAGGAAAAAAGAAAACAGAAAAGGCCUCUGUCUUCUUCCUCUCUCCCUACAUCUGCUCCGCCGCUUCACCAGCACCAAAUGUGCCUCCAAACAUAUUUAAGAGGACGAAUCCCCUCACAUUCAAUUAGUGAACUUGGAAAGAAAUAAAUUUAUAAAUUAUGCAUUUAAUAUUCGGGUCGAAUUCAUUACCCGAAUGGCCGAACCGCAUCCAUCAAAUAUCUUUCUCGCAGCAGAGUUACAGAAGGGUUUAUCAAGGGUCUCAUUUUGAACGAAAAAUCUCUCUCUCUCUCUCUCUCUCUCUCUCUCUCUCUCUCUCUUGCUGGUAUGUAUGUUACGUUACACUUUCUUCAUAUACAGGGGAUAACUAUGGUGUAACUCAGUCCUUAGGGAUUUGAUUUCAAUUAAACCUCGUAGUUGUCUGACUUUUCUGCUUCAUUCACUUUCUGAAGCUGAAUAUUAGGGUGGAAACAAAUAAUGUGAUUUGAUUUGGCUGUAGAUCGUGGAGAUUCUGCUAAUGGCAUUGUCAAUUUCUAGAAGGGUAUUACGAAGCAGGCAAGCGGCGGAUAGCGGCAAAUUAGAAGCGGCAAGCGGCGAAUCAGAGCCGACGGGCGGCGGACGGCUGUGGGCUGAAGAAGGACGAAGAGUAAUUUGACUUUUGGUGGUGGUGACGUGAAGAAGAUGAAAUUUUUUUUCUUUUUCUUUUUUUUUUUCUUUUUUUUUAAGAUUUAUAUAUAUUUAUUAAAAAAGAAGGAAAUAAGUGUAAGUGGAAAAGACCAAUUUAUCCAGCUCAAAUCACGUGCUUCUCACGUGUUGUGGAUUCCGGUCACUUUUUGCUGAAAAUGGACAAUUUCUGCUCUGGUGUUAGAAAUUAGUAAGUUGAGGUAUGCGAUUGCCCGUGCAUUUUUUUCCAGUUCAUGAGGUAAAGUGCAAAAAUGUCCAAUGUUUAGGGCAUUUUUUGCAAUUAACCCUAUUUCUUAUUUUCGAAAAUAUAAAAAAACUUAUUGCGUAAUAGAAUAUUAUUUGCAUCUACAACCUUUAUUUUAUUUGGAUGUGGUUCCCCCCAUUCCAUAAUCUUCUAAAAUACUUUGAUAAAAUUGACCACAAUAAUACAUCUUAAAUUGAUACGAAUAAUAAUAAUGGAUUUAUGUAUAUUUAUUUUGUGAUCACAAAGAUCAACAUAUAUAGAUACAUACGGUAAUCUAUUCUAGGAAGGAUAUUGACCAUAAUAUUAUAUGCUAUAAUCAAGGUUAAUUACAUGGCAAAUAUACAUCAAUUAAUAUAUGCAUAUCACGGCACAAAUCGUGGGAUUUGUUCCAACACUCCCCCUCAAGUUGGCGAGUGAAUAUUAUGAAGUCCCAACUUGUCUCUUAAGAAGCGGAAUUGCUCAAUUUCUAAAGGAUUAGUAAAGAUAUCUGCGAGUUGAGAACGUGAUGGUACAUAGGAUGUAGAGAUGACGCCAGUUCGUAGUUUUUCUCGAACAAUGUGACAAUCGAUUUCUAUAUGUUUAGUUCGUUCGUGGAAGACAGGAUUUCUGGCGAUGUGGAGAGCGGCGAUGUGGAGAGCUGCUUGAUUGUCACAAAAUAAGGUAGCUGGCUGAUUUUGUAUGAUCUUCAGGUCUUGCAAGAUAUAUCGUAUCCAUGUAAUUUCCAAGCACGUCGUCGCCAUUGCCCGAUAUUCUGCUUCUACGGAUGAACGUGCCACACUUGUCUGUUUCGUUGACUUCCAUGAAAUCAAAGAGUUUCCUAAAAAAUGCAAUACCCCGAAACAGAUCGUCGAGUCAUCGUACACCCUGCCCAAUCCGAAUCGCAAUAGGCUUUUAAUGUAAGAUUAUUGGAUGAUGAAAAGAGUAGCCCUUGACCGGGAUUCCCUUUAAGAAAUCUCAAUAUCCUUAGAGCAGCUUCCCAAUGUGGCUUUCGAAGGCUUUGCAUAAAUUGACUUAGAAUUUGUACAGAAUACAAUAUAUCAGGCCUCGUCACCGUAAGAUAAAUCAAUUUCCCAACAAGCCUAUGGUAUUUUGUAGGAUCAUGUAGUAAAUCACCCUCGUCCGAGUUCAACUUCAAAUGUUCCUCCAUCGGAAAUGAAUGAGGACGAGAUCCUAGUAAACCAAUAUCCUUUAAAACAUCUAAUGCGUAUUUCCUUUGAGAAAUGAAUAUUCCUUUAUGAGAUCGAGAGACUUCAAUUCCUAGGAAAUAUUUUAAGUCACCAAGAUCUUUGAUGCGAAAUUGUCGAUGGAGAAAUUCCUUGAGAGACUUAAUGGCUUGGUCAUUAUUCCCGGUGAAUAUGAUGUCGUCCACGUAAAUAAGAACUGCGGUCAAUGAGUUCCCUUUAGAUUUUGUGAAUAAGGAAUAAUCAACUUCUGAUUGAUCAAAUCCGGCCUUUUGAAUGACAUGAGUGAAUUUGGCAAACCAAUUACGUGAAGCAUGUUUUAAACCGUAGAUGGGUUUAUUGAGUUGACAUACAAUAUUCUCCCCCUGUCGGCGAAGUCCAAGGGGAACGUCCAUAUAAACUUCUUCAUCGAGAUCGCCGUGAAGGAACGCAUUUUGGACAUCUAUUUGAUGGAGGAACCAAUUUCAAGAAGAAGCAACAGCUAGGAGGCAUCGCAUAGUAGUGAGUUUAGCGGUAGGGGAAAAAGUUUCCAAAUAGUCUACCCCUUCAAUUUGAGUAUAACAUUAGCAACAAGACGAGCCUUGUAUCGUUCGAUUGAUCCAUCCGAAUUGUAUUUGAUUUCGUAGACCCAUCUACAACCAAUCGGCCGAUGUACAUGAGGUAAAGGAACAAGCUGCCAUGUAUUAUUAUGAAUGAGUGCAUCCAGUUCAGACUGCAUAGCAUCUCUCCAUUUUGGAUCGAGAAUUGCCUGAGAAUAGUUAGUGGGCUCACGGUGGCUAGAUAUUCUUGCAAGGAAAGAAAAAUGUGAAGGAGAAAUGCAUGAAUAAGACAAAGAUUGAGAGAGGGGAUGUUUUGUACCUCGAUGAAGACCAGACAACGGAGAUGAUAAUUGGUUGGAAGUAGUUUGAGCAAAGUUCAUAGAAUAAUCUGCAUGCCAGGCCGGCCGUGCGUUCGAUCAGAGUCGCGAGUUAUGGGUGCAGGUGGUGGUUCAAGUGGCUCAACUUGGGUUGAUGGAAUGGUGGAAAAUUCAGAUAGCUCAACAUCCAUGGAUAUGGAUUGUUCUGGGCCUGAAAGGUCUGUUACCACUUGUGGUUCGUCAAUGGAAGGAGGUUCAGUGGUAGAUGGGAUGGUGUUCAGAGGAUAGAGAUGGGGAGGACUCGGGUUAGGUAAUGGUGGAUUAUUUGGUUGAAAAGGAAAGGUAUUUUCAUAAAAUUUGACGUCCCGACUAGUAAAAAAAUUAUUAGUGGAUAAAUCGAAUAAUUUAUAACCUUUUUGAGCAGUAGGAUAUCCGACAAAAACGCAACGAGUAGCACGUGGUUCGAACUUGGAUUUAGAUUGGACUAUAGUUGCAUAACAUAGGCAUCCAAACACACGAAGAUGGUCGUAUGACGGAGAACGGCCAUAUAACCGUUCAAAUGGAGUAAGAUCAGAGAUAAGAGGUGUUGGCAAACGAUUAAUUAAAUAGACAGCGGUUUGAACACAUUCUCCCCAAAAAGUAAUUGGCAAAUUAGAUUGAAAAAGGAGAGCUCGGGCUACUUGUAAAAUAUGACGAUGCUUGCGUUCGACAACCCCAUUUUGUUGUGGAGUGUAAACACAAGAUCGUUGAAAUUCAAUUCCAUUUGUGAUUAAACAAUUGUUUAAGGAAGUGAAUUCCUUACCAUUAUCACUCCGAAAUAUUUUUACGUGUGAGUUAAACUGAUUUUGAAUAAAAGUAAAAAAAGACUUGAGCAAAAUGGAAGCAUCAGAUUUGGUUUUCAUAAGGAAUGCCCAUGUGCAACGAGUAAAAUCAUCAACAAUUGUUAAAAAAUAACGAAAACCUGAAUGUGUGGGACAUUUAUGAGGACCCCAAAUAUCACAAUGAAUUAUUUGAAAUGCCAAACUCGAAGAAAUUUGACUAGACGGAAAAGGAAAACGAGUUUGUUUAGCAAGAUGACAAAUAUCACAAAUAUCAUUAAAAGGUUCAUCAAAUGAAGAAAUUGACUUAGAUACUAGCCGGAGGCAUGCAGGCGAUGGAUGGCCAAGACGGUGGUGCCAUGUAUGCUUGUUGGUGUGGGUAUGAUGCACGAGGGGUGCAUCGGGACCUGGUGACAUGAAGUAUAGACCUCCACUUUGCUUACCCCAACAAUCAUCUUCCCCGUAGCCAAAUCCUGCAAAAUACAAUAAUUUGGAAAAAGGAUUACACCUCAAUUCAAGGUCUUGGUGAUUUUACAGGCGGAUAUCAGAUUUAAUUGAAAAGAAGGCACGUGGAGAACAUCCUUUAGAGAAAUAUCUUUAUUGAAGUAAAUUGUGCCGGUAGAAUGAAUAGAGGCAGUAGAGUCGGUGGGUAAAUUAACAUGAGGUGUGUUUGGUGUGUGUUUGUUAACGAGUAAUGAAGAAUCAGAGGUGAUGUGAUCCGUAGCCCCACUAUCUAAAAUUCAGAAAUUCGACGAAACAGAAUUAAUAGAGGAAUAGCUAUACAGACCUGCUGCAUUUGCAUAAAUAUCACUCUUACUCUGAGACAUAGAAGCCAUGGCAGUGGUCAAUUGCUGAAUUUGGUCCUUAGAGAAUCCCGAAAAGAUGGCUUGUACGUCGGGGUUGAGAGAAGGUGGAACAUCAGUUUGAUUUUGCUGAUUACCCAUGUCGUUCGUAGCCAUAGAAGUGGUGGUAGCGUGUGCAGCAGCAUGCUUUAGUCCAAAAAGAGGAUUGCCAGAUGGCUUAGUAUUCUUUGAUUUGUAUUGAGGAUCAUAUCUUGAUUUGAAAUUGGGAUCAUGUCUCGGAUGGCCAAGAGGAAAUCCGUGAAGUUUGUGACAUGUGCUUAUAUUAUGACCAUCUUUUUUACAGUAGUGACAAAAAUGAUCUUCAGUCUUGGAGUAAGAAUUACCGAAAGACUUUGUAUGCACUUUGGAUGUGCGCAUAGCUGCUGCUACAGAAAAUAAUUCAUUGGCAGCACCAUUGCCGACCUCUCGUUGUUUCUCCUCCUGAGUGACCAUGUUAUAUGCCUCUCGAAUGUCAGGUACCGGCUUCAAGAGUAAUAUUUGACCACGAGCGUUCUUGUACGAGUCAUUGAGUCCCAUAAGGAAUUGCAUGAGUCGAUCCUCAUUAUGACACGCAUCUCUGAUCUUCUUUUCGUCACAUUUGCAACAAUCACAUGAGCAAGGAGGACGAUAUGAAUCGAGUUCGUCCCAAUACCCACGCAAUUUUGUAAAAUAGUUUGCGACUGACAUGGUCCCUUGAACGUGUGAGGCAAUAGAUUGUUUGAUCUCGAAAAUCCGGGGCAGAUUGCCUUGGGAGAAUCGAGCGCGAAAAUCCUCCCAAACAUGUUGUGCAGUAGGAGCAAAGAGAACAUUCGGAAUAAGAUCCGAUGAAACAAAGUGGGAGAACCAUGAAAUCAAUAUAUGAUUUGCUCGCUCCCAUAGGUGAUAUUCUUCAGGAUGCGUAGCUUUGGAAGGCUUCUUGAAUCUGCCAUCAAUGAAACCUAAUUUGUUACGAACAGAAAAAGCAAUCUCGACUGAUUUGCUCCACGUGGCCCAGUUUUCUCCAUUUAAUAAUUGUGAUGAAAGUGAGAGUGAUGAAUUAUCAGAGUGAUGAAAAUAAUAAUAACUUGAGGGGUCAAGGUUUUCUUUUGAUUUCUCUUUAGAUUGAGCAUCAAUCAUGAUAAAUAUAUUAUUAUAUGAGGAAUUGAUGAGGAGGACAAGUAAUUAUGGAUUAAUAUGGAGUAAGAAGAAAAUAAUAAAGUUGGAAGUUUUCAUUGAUGGUGGGUGUAAAUAAAUUGAUUUGUUGAAGAUGGUGGAGAAGAAAUGAUCGUUCUGUAGGCUGAUACCAUGAUAAGAAUAAUAAUAAUGGAUUUCUGUAUAUUUAUUUUGUGAUCACAAAGAUCAAUAUAUAUAGAUACAUAUGGGAAUCUAUUCUAGGAAGGAUAUUGACCACAAUAUUCUAUGCUAUAAUCAAGGUUAAUUACAUGGCAAAUAUACAGCAAUUAAUAUAUGCAUAUCAAGGCACAAAUCGUGGGAUUUGUUCCAACAUAAAUUGAACCAAACACUAAUAAAAAUACUAACAUUAAUUUUAAAUAUUAAUAAAAUAUUAAUUAAUUAAUUAGUACUUGGCUGAAUUAAAUCAUUAAUAGAAAUUUAUUGAGUUUAACUGUAAAUAUGCAAGCUCCAUACAUAAAUGAUACUCGAACCAAAAAAAACUCUUCAAAACUACUUACACAAAAGCCAUUAUUAAAAUCAUAAACUACCGGCGCCGCCGCCGCCGCCCAACGCCGGCGGCGUAUGCACCGGAAAAUCAGCCCCGGUCCAAUUGGUCUCCCCCCAAUGCCUCAACAUACUCCGCCAAUUGCAAUACGGAUCAACGCACCUCUUCAAACGGCCAUCCUUAAUCUCAAUUCUCCAGUGCCCGUCGGAGUAAUUCCCCUCCGCCGCCCGCCGCCGAUCCCACUCGAGCUGCGCCUUCUGCUUCGACUCCAGCAGGCAGAACUCCCUCAACUCCUCCGGCAUCGAGUCGUGCACCCUCCACCACUUACCAUGCGCCACGUCACUCGCGAACUCCCGCAGUAUGUCCACAUUCCAAUUGCAAUCGUAAUCCCUAAAACACAUCCACGGCUUGUUCCCCAAAUAAUGCAGCACGUACAAAACCGGCGGCUCGGCCGCAAACAACCGCGUCUUCUUCUCCCUCGCCAAUUCGUCGUCUCCGAUCCAGAAAUUCUUCAGAAAAUUCAUGUGCUUCGGAAUCCGGUGCCAAUACGUGAAAAUCUCAUUCAAAUAACCCUGAUCUCCGCCAUUAUAGGACUCAAUUUCAUCCACAUGAUCCAUCAAAAGCUUGAAUGUACAAUUCGACGGCUCGAUCACCAUUACGCCGGAAUUGAAUAGGGUUCCGUUAUUGCCCGUGGCGGAAAUUUGGGGCAUUUUGAAUAAGAAAUCGAUGUUCCGUAGGAUGAGUAGAUCGGCGUCUACGAAUAUGAUUUUGUCGUAAUCGGUGAGCUGCCAUAGCCUGAACUUGCUGUAGUUCCACUCGUUGUAGGCGUCCUUUUCGGCUUUCGGGUUUCGGAUUCGUUUUAUUGUGCGCACUUUCCAUCCGGAGGAUUGUAGACCGCUCCGGUGAUGGUCGCCGAUUGAUUCGUCGACGAGGAUCACGAGGUCGCGGGUGGACCCCGACAUGCGGAUGCUCUGCGCGGCCGCUAUGGCCCCGCAGACGUAGUCGUUGGCCGAGUGUAGGAUUGUUGCGUACGCCUCCCGUUGCGUUUUUCCCGAAUCGUCGUCCCGUUCUGUUUAUUUUUAUAGCCAUAUGAUUGUUAUUGUUGCAAAUUGAUAUUUACUUAGACAAUUACAGACGUAGAGAGAAAUAGCAGGUACACGGGUGCUCUUAAAAUUAUAAGUUAAAACAGCUUAUUAUAAGAAAAGCAAAAGUAAAAUGUAAAAGCUUGUUUUUCAAACAACUAAAAAAUGAUUAUGUGUAAAAAAAACUCAUAAUGAAUUUCUAAAAGUAUUUGCAAACACCACCUAAGUUUAUUUUUCUCUAUCCAUUUCUUUGGCUCAUUCAUAAAAAUUUUCGAAACCUUUUGAAAAUUUUAAAACUUAUAUGAUUUUCAAAAUUUUCGAAAUUGCAAAACAUUCGACACUUUUGGAAUUGGAAUAGAUUUCUAGAUUCCGAAAAUUUUAGAAUUUGAAGUAGUUUUGUAGUUUCGAAAAAAAAUUGGAUUUUUUUCUUUCAAAAAUACUAAUUAUGAUCCAAUCCAUCCGACUUUCAUCUCCAGCUCGUGGACCAGACAACUUCUAGUACAUAUGAUGCUCAAUAACAAAAAUUGCAAUUAUAAGUAAACAAAUAAAUUAGGAAAAUUUUGGAAUUGAACUUACCUAUGGAUGAUCCCAAUGGAAGUGAAAGCUCACAAGAUCCAAUCGGCAAUUGAAUCUUUUGCCUCAACGCAUUCAAAUCCGGUCGAUACAACCACACAUUUCCUUCACGCGCUACGAGAUCCUUGCACGUAAAAAGAUUCGGUAUAGGGAAGCACCUCGUCACGAAAACGAGAUGCACUGGAUAAUUCCCCUUGAAGGAUGCAGCUACGCCAGCAGCCGACAUCUGUAAAUGUAGCCUAGCCACAUCCCUCGACCAAUUCCCUUCGUUCCGACAAGGAAGUUUGACCGCAACGAGAUCCACCCGUUUCCUCGGGAAAUCGACACCUGGCAGUGAAGGGCAUUUCGGUAAUUCCUCCUCUUGUUCCUCGUCGAUCCACUCGGGGUAUAAGGACUCCCAUGUCACGUUUUUGUCGGCGUAGUCCAUUUGGAGGACCAAGUGGUGAUUGGCUGCCGGAGUCAACUUCUUCCAUUGCUCGAUUUCGCGCUCGUUGAAAUUAAGUAGGCCGAUUCCUUUGAUUUUAUUUUCCGAUGGGAUUUUUUUUAAUACGGUUAGUAUUUCUUCCGAUUUUAUUUCUAGAUUCGAUAUGUAACGAGGGUCCGAGGCACUUCCCCAUAUCCACCUGUUCACAAAAUGUUGCCUGCAUUAAGUAUUAUGAGUUCCAUAUAAGUAUAAAUUUGGUUUAGAUAUUUAAUUAAUGUUAAUUAAAUUUAAUUAAAUGAAAACGUACCGAGAAACGCUGCGCGAUGUACGGUUUUGAUUGCAAACAUUCGGAGACGAAAGAAUGGUGAGAAAAGUGGCUAGUAAAAUAAAAAGGAGAACAAAUUUCAAUGGUGGGAAUUUGCAAUAUCUAGUGGUGCUGCUCUUGCCCAGUUUGAAAGUAUCUGUCACAACACUCCUCACUUUUAUCCUCUGCAAUUUUCUUUUGUAUGCAUCCUCUCUGUUUUUAACAAAUAUAUAUAUUUAGUAUUUACAAACAAAAACAAUUAAAUAAAUAAAAAAAAUCCAUUGUUAAAUUAAAUGGGAUUUUAGAGCUCAAAAUCAAGAAUUAGUAUGUCUCGUUAACCGUGUAUAGUUAGUUAUAUUCGAUCUGACCGGAAAGUCGAGUGUAGCUUGUUUAGUUGAUUAAAAGAAACAAUGUAUACCGUAUGAAGAUGAUUUUGCCAAGAGUUGUUUGAAUGUAUAUUCGACACUCCGGAAAAAAGAAAAGGUGAUCGAAAAGGGAAGAAAUAUAAACUCACAGGCGUUGUCGGGAAUCCAUCGAGGCUUCGGAAACUAUUGAUCAUUCAUACUCCAAUCUGCUAACAGAGAGAGAGAGAGAGAGAGAGAGAGAGAGAGAGAGAGAGAGAGAGAGAGAGAGAGAGAGAGAGAGAGAGAGAGAGAGAGAGAGAGAUGUUGUAUGUAGUUUAGAGGAGGGCUCUGUUUGGAAAAUGGUGGGAAAGGAAGAAUAAAGAGCAGGUGGGAGAGUAGAGAAGAAUAUAAAAAUAAGUAACGUCCAUUUGAAUUCAUCUGUCUUUAGGUACAAAUACAUGAGUUGUACAAACAACUACCAAAUUCAAAUCUUUUCUUUACAUACACUUUUUUUUUUAAUUUAUAAUUAAAAGAUUAUAAUUUUGAUAUUUUAUUAGAAGAUUGACACCUCUAUUUCUCUUUUACUCCGUCGCGUUCCUUAAUAAGUGUCGUUUUUCACAUUUGCACAAAUUUUAAAAAUCUGAAUAAAUGUGGCUUGGUAUUAGGAAAAACACACAUAAAAAAAACUAUAAUAAUCUUGGUUAUUUAAUAAUUUAAAUUUUAAUGAUGUGAUAAAAGAAAGUUAAUACUUCAAUUUGAAUUAAUAAGGAUAUAAAUGGAUUAAUAAAAAAAAGGUUAAUACUUAGAGUUGAAUUAAUAGAUUUCUGUGUGUGCAAUAAUAACAAUAAUAUUUUGGUCGGUUCUAUCUUUAUUGGUAAAAGGAAAAAAAAAUAGAUGGAUUGUUUUUUUUGGUAAUCAAGGAAACGGCAGCCAAUUAUAUACGUGCAUCGAGUAAAUUCUUGUAUAAUAUCGUGUAUACCAUACAAACGUAAACCACACUAAGUUAACCAUGUGUGACAAGCUCCACCUAACGACCAUUAGCAAAGGGAUUCGAAUUUGGAUCAAUUGACACACAUUCACUUGCUCCAACCACUGGAAUAAAAAAAAUAAAAAUAAUAAAAAAAGAUGGAUUAAGUUAAUGAAAAGAAUAGGGUUAGCUGUAGAUGUAUACAUCUCUAAAUUGGUAAUAAUGAUUAGUAUGUCAUAUCUCACUAACCAAAUAGGGAAAACGUGAUUUUCUAGGUGGGUGCAACCAUUAAUUUGGUUUGAUCAAUAAGGUUAAAUCUCCGGUUAACAAAGAUUAACAUUUGAGACACUAAUAAAACUAAUUAAACCAAUUUUUUGUUCAUCUCUUUGUUGUUAAGUGGUCCGAAAUGCCAUUCGUUUGCAGUAAUAAUUACUCAAUAAAUCAAGUCAAAAGCCAAUGUAAUUGUCUUUGAAGAGGUGUUGUAUUGAUUGUUAGCUAGAUUUUAACAUGCAUCCUAUUGUUUGUCAUUGAAAGAACUCACGACUCCAUUUCAAAAUAUGUGUCGUUUAACAAUUUUUUUAAUUUUAUGCACAUUAAGAAAUUCAUCAAAUAUAGUUGAAUUAUAGGGAAAUAAAUAACAACAGUUAAACUAAGCAUUUGCUAUUAAAUUUGGUGAUAAAAGAGAGUUAGGUGGUGUUUGCAAAUGCUUUUUGAAAGUGAGCUUUUUUGCUCAUAAUCUGUUUGCAGAUGUUUGCAAAAUCAACUUUUGCUUUUGCUUCUAUUAAAAUAAUAUGUUUUAAGCUAUUUUUUUAAAAGCACCAAUAACCCUGCUUUUCUAUUUAAGUUCAUUAUCCGAAAUAUUUGCAGACACCCCCAACUUUUAGAAGUAAGCACUUAAAACUGAGUUAACUCACAAUCACUAACUUCUAUUUUUAAAUAAUCAUUUGCAAACACCAAUUUAAUAGUUCAUAAAAUUUCGAUUAAUAUGCACCUUCCCCUACUAGUACCCAUCAACCGUCGACUGCCUAAAUUUUUUCACUAUAUUAUUGAAAAACUAUUAUUUUCAUCUAAAUUGUCCAUUUUCAGUCCAACACUCAAACUGCUUAUUUUCAGUCUAAACUCUCCAACUAUGUGUUCUAUUUUCAGUCAAAGCUGUUCAACUAGGUUGCCCGAUAAACUUUUAGCAAAUUCAAAAUAUCGAGCAAAGUGUUAGCUAGACAAAUUAAUUUUGAGGGACUUUUAGCUAAUUUCAAUUUUUUUUAUAUAUAUCUUAGCAAGAAAAUAUUGUGCUAGAGAUGGAAUAAUAAUUGUGUUUAAUACUGCAGUUUAGACUUAGAGAUGGAAUGUACACCAAUUAAUGGGACUUUUGUCCCACUUUUGAUUAUUUCUCAUCUUAUUCUCUCUUUUUAAGAUAAUCUAAGUACUAUGAAUUAUGAUAAUAAUGGAGAAUAAAAGUUGAGAUCUCUUUUUCUUGAGAUGGCAUUGGUGGUAGAGUGUAUGAACCGAUCAAUACAAUGGAAUAGUCAAAUCAAAUAUAAUGAUCAUGAAAAAGUAAGCAAUAUAAUGUGGUCAUGUUUCAACCAUCAUUAUUAUUAUUAUUUUUUUUUUUUUGUAUAUAAUAAUUAUUUGGCGUUUUAGUAAUCUAUUAAAAGUAAAAACAAAACAGUCUCUCCGUUCCAAAAAAAAAAUAAGGAAAAAGUCUCUAAACAUUUAUCGGGAAACUGCACAUAUUAAGAGUAUAUGUAAAAUGACUACAAGCCCUAAGAAAAUUUAAUUUAUAGGAAAAAUUAGUAAAUGAUCUUAGAAACAGACGAACAUCGGACUUUUUUCUUUUUUUUUUUAAUUAUCGCUAUACAGUUUAGAGAGUUCUAGCUAAUUUUCUUAUAAUAUAUAUUUUUUCUUUUGAUAACGAAGGAACCAGCAGCCAAUGGCAGAGCUACCCUUUGGUAAUGGUGUACUUCAGCCCACUCUGAAUUUUUAAAAAAAUAUACUAUAUGUUAUAGCUACAUAUAAUUAGCCCACUCAAAUAGUUUAGUUUAACCCACUCAAGUAAUUUAGUUUAUCCUAUCCACCAAAAAAUUAUGAAACAUUAGUUAAAGUUUAUAAAUUUGUACUUAUUAUGUACUAUUUUAUGUGAAUGAAUCAAAAAAGAAAUUCAGGGGCACUGCCCCCGAACCUGUAAAUGCUAAGCCCACCCUAUUUCAACUUCCUGCGUUCGCCACUACCCGCAGCCAACUAUAUAGAUAUGCUCGGUAAAUCUACACUCUCGUAUAAUAGCUUACAAAAUAUAUGAGAAAAAACGUAAAACAAACUAGGCUAAUUAUGUGCGAUAAACUCCACCUGACGAACAUUGACAAAUUGAUUCGAACUUGAUUCAAUUAACACAUGCUCACUUAUUCCAGCCGCUAGACGAUUACUUGGCCAAAAAAAAAAAAGAGAAAACCAACGAAUUAAACAUACACAAAACUAAGCUAAAACAAUCAUCCGCUUGUAUGUUGAUUUAUUUUCUUGACCACUAUUGCUUAACCAAAUAAAUAAUGAUUUGAAAAACUAGUUAAUAAAUUGCUGACACGUGGCAAUAUAACUACCCACCAUUGGAGGGUGUGACAUCCUUGUAUGACUGAACCUUUUCACCUUUCGCCACGUAUUCGGCGGUUCCUCUAUCACAUACGUAAAAUCAUAUCCUAAGAAUAAAAUAUAAUAUGUAUUGAAUAUAUAUAUAUGUAUAACUCUUGAGAUAACUUUAAAGUUUAAAUAAUUCGUUGAAAAAUUCUAUACUAUAGCUGGAAAUAUAUAUUAUUCUAUUUUCAGCUGAAUUUGUCAGUUCGUGAGCCAUAUUCGUGGUUAUUGCGUAGCUGGAAAUCACGUUUGCUCAAAUAUAAACACAUGUUUUAAAAUAAAAUUUAGAGAAAAAAAUGAAAAAUAAAUAUCCAUUGCAUAAAUUAUAAUUAGACUUGAUAUGUGAAAAGAAAGAACUGUUGGACAACCCUAAGCAAUACUAAUGAUUUUUUUUUUUCAAUUAAUUUUUUACAUUAUUUAUUUCUACCAAUUUUUUAUUUAUAAAAAGUUCAAAAUAAAACCAAACCGUGUAGAAUUAUUUCAAAAUCAAUCCUUAUUUUUCAAGCAUACAUCUCUAAUUACAUAUUCACUUUCCUUUUGUGAUUUAAAUAUCACUAAUAAAUUUUAUUAUAAUAAUAUAAUGUAAUAUAUUUUCUUAUUAAUAAUUGUUAUUGAUGUAUUUAAAUAAUUAAUUUUUUUCCACUUUGAAAUGUUAUUGGUACACGAGGAAUACUAGUGUAAGAUUUUGUUUUCCAUAUAGGAACAUAAAUGUAUUUCAACGAGUGAUAUGUAAUAACUUAUUAUUAGGAGUGAAAGUCGGAUGAAUCGGAUCGGAAUUAGCUUUUUCGAAUUUUUUUUGAAAAAAAUCGCAAUCUAAAAAUUCAUCUCAAUUCCAAAAGGACCGAAAUUUUUAGAAUUAUGGAAAAUUCUCAGAAAUCACAUAAGUUUUAAAAUUUCAAAACUUAGUGGAAAUUUUUUGAAAAUUUCAUAUCAAAAAAUAAAAACAUCCACGUCGAUAAAUGUAAAACUAAUCACUACUAAAUUUCAGUUAAAAAAAUAAAUAAAAUAAAACACAUCAUAAUAUCCAAUAAAACUGCUAGCAGCAAUUCAAUAUGUCAAAAUCUUAAAACAAAACUUAAAUAUAACAUAAGAGAAACUAGAGUUUUCCGUAAAAAAAACUAAGGUUUUUUAGGUGACAUAUAGCAUAAGAAAAUCUUUGACAUGCCCAUAAAAUAUAAAUACAAAUAAAUCAUUAGUUUAUUUUGAAUUAUGUAAAAUAAGUAUUAUAUAAUAUAUAUUAUAAAUACAAUUAAAUCCUUAGUUUAUUUUGAAUUAUGUAAAAUAAGUAUUAUAUAAUAUAUAUUAUUUAUAGGUGUAUUUCUCGGAAAAAAAUAGAGAAUUUUAGAAUUAAUUUCGAAAAUUAAAUCGGAUUGGAAAUCGAAAAUUCCAACUUUUUUUUUUUAUAUAAUUCCAAUUAUAGUAAAAAAACAUCAGAAAUUGGUAUUUCGAAAUCAGAAUGAAAAAGUUUUUCCAAAAUUGAUUUUUUUUGGAUCUGAACCGGUGAAAAAUAGAAAUUUUGUUCCAACUUGCACCUCUAGUAAUUAUAAUAUUGUUGCUGGAAAUAAAACUUAUCCAAACGAUCUAAACUUUAGCAAAGUUAUGAUGUUUGUUUUGGGUAUUUAUUUGUUUAUUUAUUUAUGGGUCCAUUUGAUAUACACCCUUAAUAUGGAAAAUAUAUAGGGAUAGGUCCACCCCUAAAAUUCUUCCUUUGAGAUAACCCCCUGGGGAGGCAAAAGUACUAUUGUGCCCUUAUAUCUAUUUUUUGCCCAACUGCAUUCAGUAUUUUUAGUAACUGCAUUCAGCAUUAUGAUCAACUGCAAUUAACAUUUAGACCUGCAUUUAUCAUAUUAUCAGAUUUUUUUAAUAAAAAAUUAUAAAUGUUUAUUUUAUUAUUAUUUUUUAUAUAUAGCUCUGUUGUAUUUUUAAUUUUUUAAUUUUUUUAAUUUUUUAAAAUUGUUUAAUUUUUGUAAUUUUUAAUUUUUUUAAUUUUUUAAUUUUUUAAAUUUUUUUAAUUUUUUAAAAUUUUUAAAAUUUUUAAUUUUUUUAAUUUUUUUUAUUUUUUAAUAUUUUUAAUUUUUUAAUUUUUUAAUUUUGUAAUUUUUUUAAUUUUUUUUAAUUUUUAAUUUUUAAUUUUGUUUCAAUAUUUUGAUAAAUUUACUGUAUUGAAAUUGACUACACAUGACUAUGGUAUAUAUAUUACAUAUGAUUAUAUAAAAAAAAACUUCAUCUACACCAAAAACAAAAAUUCACAAUUUAAUCUUGAUAUUAUAAAUCAAUUAAUACCCAACAAAAAAUUGGAAAAACACAAUCAUCAACAUCACUAUAGAUCAGAAAAAACACAUAACUUAUAUAGCUUAUAUAUAACAAUAUAUUACUACGAGUUACUACACGUAACUAUAUAUGACUACAUGUACAUGACUACACAUGACUAUAUAUGACUACAUGUAUAUGACUACACAUGACUAUAUAUGACUACAUGUAUAUGACUACACGUGACUAUAUAUGACUACACGUGACUAUAUAUGACUACAUGUAUAUGACUACACAUGACUAUAUAUGACUACAUGUAUAUGACUACACGUGACUAUAUAUGACUACAUGUAUAUGACUACGCGUGACUAUAUAUGACUACAUGUAUAUGACUACACGUGACUAAAUAUGACUAUAUGUAUAUGACCACGUGUGACUAUUUAUGACUUGAUAACGCAAAUCUCUCCUACACUGAAACAAGUACAGCCAAGUUUCGAAUAAGACGUAAUUCUCGAGAAACUGCCGGUCCUCCCACUGUAUCAUCACCGACUCGCCUGACAUACUCCUCAUCCAACACGAGAGUAGCUUCUAGAGUUGGUAGCCAAUCUGCUUGUUGAAGCCAAUGUCUCAAAGAAGAAUUGCCAUGAUACUGAACAUAAAAAUAAUUCAGACCUUCAAUCAUAUUGGAAAUAUGAAAUCAUUAGCACAUUAACUAAUAGAAUAAAUGAAAACGGCAGCACCCCUCUAGAUUGACUUUUUGAGAAAGAGAAACUUACACCAUGUACUAGAGUAAAUGAACCACUGUCAUCAUUUGUGGAUGAACAUAUAUAGCCAUGAACUUGAACCGAGUAAGAAUGGUACAUUACUCUACGGUGAGCCAGUCUUUUCAAUACCUGAAUGUAAUUUCACCAAGAAGACAUCAAAGUCGGACAAUAUAUCACCAUUUUCAAAAUGUAACUUACUAAUAUUAAAAUCAGCCUUAUAGGAAUAUAAAGGAAAAAUUCUCAGUUGGAUACCCAUAACAUAUACAAUAAUUAAUUGCAAGUCAAAGGCAACAAACUUUGCAUCAAAUCAAGCAUCAACACCUAAUGUCAGAAUAAACAGUAAAAUCUGGGAAAUAACCACACAAUCAUUCAAUCAAAAUCCCAAAAUUACAAAAAAAAAAAAAAAAAAAAAGAGAUGCUCGUCAAAUUACCUGACUGAAUUUGGGUAAUUCCACCAUCACCAGAUCCACAACUCAUACGACGAGCAAAUCGAGACCAGCGGCACCCUCAACAUCAGCGGCCAGAAGAGCAACCGUGACGAGGACGGCAGGAGCGAUCUCGACGGCGGCAACAACGGAACCCCGCCGGGGCGCUGGUUGGAGGCUCCGGAGAAGGAGGAUGAUAUAUGUACACCAACAAGAGACCGAUGGUUCGCCUAGAUCUGUCGGCACCAGAUCUGGCGAGGGAGAAUCAGAGAGAGGGAGAUAUGAAGAGAGAGGGGGAGAGAUUAAACGACAGGCCGCGCAAGAUGGUGGGGGAGCAGUGGGGGAGUAGUGGCGGCGGCCGGCGCAAGACGGUGAGACGGUGGGGAGCAGCGAGACAGAGUAAGAAAGAGGGAGAGAUGAAGAGAGAGGGUGAGAAUGGCGGUGUGGUUGAAACCGUGUGAGUGAGAAGAGAUAAGAUUAGGGUAUAUAUUGAAUUAAAAUUAAAAGGGUAAAACAGGUACUUCAAGUUGUUCAGGGGGGUCUCACUAAUUAAGAUCAGAAUUUUGGGUUUUUGACUAGAGUAGAAAUAUUCAUUGGGUCUCCUCAUAUAUAUUUUCAAAAGUAGGGGUGUAUCACUAAUUUCCCCUUUAUUUAUUUGUUCGAAGGGCGGCUAAAUACGUGCCAAACUAUGUUGCUUUCCACUAAUAAGCAAUCUUGUGAAAUAAGGUUAAAACAACCUUGCAUUCCAAAAUAUUCCAAGAAAGGAAAGUGGAUAAGGUUGAAAAGAAGAAAAAAAGAAAGAAAAUACUAUAUAUAUACACAUGAAUGCUUUGUAUUCAAAGAAAAGCAAAGCAAAGCAAACCUUUUCAAAGAAUACAUAUACGGGCUUUGACGCAGAAUGGAAGCACGGUAAAAAAAUAAUUUCUACGAAUUAAUCCUAUAGAAUAAAAUAACAUUCAGAAUCCACCGAAAACUCUGGAAUCCACCAGAAAAAUAGAGAAAACUUUAAAAAUUUUAUUAAAAUUCGAAAUCCUCCUCAAAAUAAAGUCCUAAGACAACUAUUUAUACUAAAAAACUGAAAACCCUAAUUAAACUAAGAAAAUACUAAAAAUUACCAAAAACGGCAAAAACAAGUUAAAUCCUGAUUCUAGUAGAUCUCGUAAUUUUGGGAACAACCCAAUUUACGGAAUCCUAAUACAAUGUUUCUAUGAUUUGAUAUUAAUUUUCUAAAACUUACAUAAAAUAGCAAAAACAAACUUUUAGAAGUCUAAACAACGUUGGAUUGCUGAAAUUUGACAUGGUUCAUGAGCUUUGCUGAUGAGUUUUGUUCCUUACGCCGUUUCACUUGAGAUAGAGUUUGAUUCGUACUCAAAUACAAUUUGAGUUCGUAGAAAAUCCUUACUUUUCCAUAAUUUCUUUCGAUAUUUCCACCAAUGCCCAUUUAUAACCCUUGUCCGAAUUAAAUAGUUACUUUGCAAUUCGAAUCCAAUAUGACGUUCCUUAUCAGGCUUCUUUAUUAUGUUAGCUAUUUUCUUCUCACGUUUGGUUCACUAAUGAAUCUACACAAUAUAACCCCCUUACUUAAAUAAUCGACUAGUUCAUAACCUCGUUAAAAUAAUGAUUUCGAUCGGUCCCAACUUGAGGCAAAUAAGGGUUUUAUUUCGGAAGACAUUCGUAUUUGAGUCCGUAACGAACCAUGUCUCAAGCAAAACAGCCCGAGGAACAAAAUUAGUGACCAAAGCUCAUGCAUCACUUAAUUCAGAUUUUGGAGAGUCAACGUCGUUUAGACCUUCAUACGCCCGUUUUAUUUUAGCUGAGAAAGUUCAUCUAGAAAAUUAAUAUCUUUUGCAGAAAAUUUGGAUUCAAAUUUCGUAAAUUGGGUUGUUUCUAGAGUGAACAAUUCUAUUAAAAUUAGAAAUUAUCUCGAUUUUUCAAUUUUUGAUAAUGUUUAGUAUCUUUCCAAGUUUAAUAGGUUUUUUAAUUUUAUUAGUAUAAAUAAGUUGACUAGGGUUCUCCUCCAACACAUUAUUUAAAAUUCAUUAAAAAAACUACGAGGUUUCUCUAUUUCAGGUGGAUUUAAGAUUUUUUUUUUGUUCUAUAGAGUUAAUUCGUAGAAAUUAUUUCUCUUCACACUUCCGUCCUACGUCAAUCUGGUUUGUACGAUUUCCACGAUCGAUCCGGAGCAAACCAUAUCUUGCAAUUCAUAUUCUGUUUUUUCGCUCGUUUAACAUAGGAACUUCUCAAAAUAUUUUUCUAUUUUUUUUUACCUUCGAGUGGAAAUGAAUCAAAAUAUACUAUAAUUGACUCAUGCGUGAUUGUAUGAAAAAAUCACUGAUCAAGUCGAUUAGCAGAGAGGUCAUCGUUUUUCGUCCGAUGACCAAUUGGACAUACUAUAGGACAUAUUAUACAUUAGAUCUUCCCCAAGAUAAUACAUGUACAAUGAUUGGUCAAUGUUUACAAUUUUAGAUGACAUAGAAUGUUCAAUAUAUUCGAAGCGUUUUAAUUUUCAAAAUAAAGUGUUGGUAAUUUGGUGAUAGUUUACAGAUAAAAAGUAAAGUUUUGAUUUAUGGUGUAUAUUGUAUGAUAUAUUGGAUUUUGUUUGAUUGUUUGGUAAGAUGAAAUUGAAGUAUUGAAGUGAAAGUUAGAUGAAGUUAACAACUUCUGGAUGCAAGUUUCAAAUACAUAUUCUAAGAGGAAUAAAAAAAGGAAAUACAACUCAACAUUUGGAAUUUGAUUUUUUCUUUUUUCUUUCUUUCGGUAAAGUACACCAUCUCUGAUAGUAUAUAAUAUGGAGUAAACUGCAAAAAGUACCCCUGUGUAAUCUCUAAAUAGCGAAAACCCCCAUAUGAUAAAUAAACUAGCAAAAACCCCCAUGUGAAAUUAUUUAAAUAGCACACUCGGCCCAUUUAUCAUUUGAGUGUUGACUUCAUAUAAAAAGACACAAAUACCCCCGGAUUUUGUAAUUAAUAAAUUCUUAUAUUUUUUAAAUAUUUUAAUUAUUUUAUUUUUGUUAUAUCUUAAUUAUAAAGGUACAAUGGGGUCUUUAAUUAAUUUUUAUUUUUAUUAUCACAUAAUUUUUGUAUAUAUUUUAAAUUAUUGCUACAUGAAAAGAAAAUUCAAAUUCCGUUAUUAUGUAUUUAAAAAAAUCUAUACUUAAUUUGAUUAACAAAUUUUUAAUAAUUUUUAAAUUUAAUUAUUUAAUAUUUUUUGACAAUAUUUUAAUUUCUAAACAAUCAAAUUAAAAGGAAAAUAUAUAUACAUAUAAUAUAUAUACAUAUAAAUACAUUUUUAGGGUCAAUUUCGUCAUUUCACGUCCAAAAACCUACUACCAGUCGCGCAACCCGCGAGUGAGCCACACUUACGUCAACCGGGGGGGUUUUUGCCUUUGACUAAAUUUCACAGGGGGGUUUUUGCUAGUUUAUUUAUUACAGGGGAGUUUUUGCUAUUUAGAGAUUAUACAUGAGUGUUUUUUGCAGUUUACUCAUAUAAUAUGUAACGCUUGUCCUCUCGUACUUUCAAGAAUACACUUAAUGUUGCAAUUUCCAAGUGUUUAAUUUUACUAAAAAAACACUUUAUUUAUUUUAUAGUUUAUUAUAGAUAAUAUAUAUACUUUGAAAAAAAAAAAGAAGGAAAUAGAUACUUUAAAUUGUAUGUUAUAUGGGUCAUGUGGUUGGAUACUCGGAUACCCUUGCUACCAACUAUAUCGGCAUAUUUGGUAUAUGGGAAUGGGCAAGGAAUGGAAUACGUAUUCCCAAUUUCAUCCCAAAACACAUGUUUGGUAUGUUUUGGGAAUGGGAAUACCCAUUCCUACCGGAAUGGUCAUACCCAAAAUUAUAGGAUUAGUGAUUCCUCCACUCCACCAUGGUUUUACUCAUUCCCAAUCCUAUGGGAAUAAACAAUUAUUUUCUUUUGACAAAAUUAUCCUUAUUUUAAUAUUUUUUAUUUACAAAAUUAUCACGUAGAUUCCAUAUAACUUAAGCCUAAUUAAUCAAUUCUUCUAUCAAUUUAAAAAAUAAUAAAUUUAAAUAAGUAUUUAAAUAACUUUUAUUGUUAUUAAUCAUCACUGUUAUUUUUCUUAUGAUUGGCGUGUUUCAUUAUUAGUUGUGUUCUACAUGUCCUUUUUGUACUCAGUAUUUUUUUUCCUCCAGUUAAAAAUUAUAUCAAAAAAUAACAUAUUAUGAAGAGUAAUUGAAUUGUAAAAAACGUUUAAUCACAAAAAAAUUAAAAAUAAUAAAUUUAAAAAUCAAGGUAAUAAAUAAAAAAAAAUUGCUACAAUUUUUUUUAGUUAAAGGAUAAUAUGGUCAUUAAAAUAUUUUAUUUCAUUCCAAUACAUUUUAUUUAAGUUACCAAUCAUAAGAUUGAAACAAGGUAAGUAAUUAGAUUUCAUUCCUUUCUUAUUCCUCGUUUAUACCAAACAUAGGAAAUGGAACAAUAUUAUCAUUCCUUUUCCAUCAUUAUUCCAUUCCAAUGCUUAUUUCAUUCCUAUCUUAUUCCUUUCCUGCAUACCAAUUGUGCCGACAAAAAUAGGAAACAGUCACAGGGAAACGACAUGUCCCCAAAAUUAGGAUACAAAAAUUUAGGGAAAAUAUAUAAAUAUUUAAAAUAUAAGUGCAUAUUUAUAAAUACACUAUAUAAACAUAUAAGCUUUUAUUUAUAGAUAAACUCUUUUUAUAUGUUUUCAUACAAAUAUAUUCAAAAUAAAUUUUACUAUAACUAUCAAUUUGCAACUGAUCAAAAUCAUGUAAAUAAUUAGGUAAACAACGAAAAUAUUAGAAAAUUUGAUAUUCAAACAUGUUUCUAAAUUUUUAGAAAUUGAAAAAUGGCCCAUAAGUGUCCAACACGUGUCUUCGAGUUUCCGGCACGAAACGUGUCCGUUACGCAGAAACGUUAAAAAAAUAGAAAUUAAAGUUUUCAUACUACAUAGUGUAUUACUACUAGAAAAACUGCUUAUUGUAACGCCUUAAAUGGUCACUACUGUGACCUACUGCACCAUUUUGGCUAUUGUGGUGCAUAAUAAAAGCGGCGUAUAGGCGCCCGACAUAGUAUCUUAUUGCGACAUCAGUCUCGUCUCAACAACUUGACUAUUACGACUCAUUAACAUCUACAUUGUUUUUGCAUCUAAUAGUUUUCCUUUUUUUUUUAGGUACUCUGAUUCUCACACUUAAUAAUUAAUAACUAGGGAUACUAUUGUAAUUUGUAGGAUAUGCUUAAACCAAAAGUAUGAAUUUCAAAUGAGAUGAUCUAAAGAAAUCAAUCACACCAAAAAUUUGACAUCCUUUAUGACGCCUUGUUCAUCCCAAAUAUAGAUAUUUUGUGACGCUCAUAAUUGUUAAUGAUCUAGGCCAAUUUGCAUUCACCUUAAUAGAGAGGGCUUGGGCUCAUUGGACUGUUGGGCCCUUUAGCCUUUGGAGCAACAUCGACCCAAUUAGAGAAAUGAAGGCCCCUUUGUGGUCAUCAACAUGGGAUAGACAAGACAACUUGAGAAACGGUGUUAGGAAUAAAACGGAAAGUCUGCAGGUAGUAAUUAAACAUCUAAUGUCCAAAGCCAGCUCUCCCUAGGGAAGAGUAACCUCGUCCCUAUAAAGGUUAACCUCGCCUAAAGGACGAAGUUGUCUCACCUAAAGCUAUCUUUAUCUCGCCUAAAGGUAAAUAGUGGAGGAGAGGUUGAUGUGAGGAGACAUUUGGCAGACUAGGAUAGGUGGACGGCAGUGAAGUAGGUCAGUACAGGCCCCCCACGUGGCAAGGUAGGUAAAGGGCGGCAAGAGAACCAAUGUAAGCCUUCUACGUGACAAGAUGGGCCCCAUAAGACUCAUAGGGUGUUAGUAUAAAUACUGCCUCUCAUAUUAGUACUGGGGUUGCCAUUUUUAUAUAAAGAAGACAUACAUGUAUUUUGAUCUUUAAAAGUAAUAUAUUGUGAUCGGAUUGAUCAUCGCAGCUAUUAUUCCGACCCACAUUAUUUUAUAUUUAUUUCCUGCUCAUUCAAUCAGAUAACAUUUAAAUAUCUACCCUAUUUAAUUAUAUUUGUACUUUAAUUGAUUGAUUUUGUGUUUUAUAGGUGAAAAACGAGAAUUAUGUGUCCAUGAAGGAAAAAAGAUCAAAAAGAAAGGAAAAAGUUGCAAACAAGGAAAUAAAUCAAAUUGGAAGAAGGAAUCUUGCCACAUCUUUGGCAGUGUCCACCAUUUCGAGCAUAUCUCUCACAUACAAACUCCAAAUCAGCUGAUUUUGGCGGCAUUGGAAAUCUAAUUUCAAGGGCUACAAUUCUUAUUUAGGAAACGUUCCAAAAUUCGGACUCCAACAUGGCGAAAAUCGAAGAACAAUUCCUGAUGGGGGAAAGUGGCGGGAAUUGAUUCCUAUUAGGUUUCCACUACUUCCUUAUCAAGAAAAGCUUGUAAAAGCAACAAGUCUCUACACCAUAAGCACGAAAUUUGACACCACAAUACGCGAGGAACGAAGAUCAACGAAGACUCAAGCAUAGUUUUUCUUAUUUAAUUUAUUUCUUUUAUUUUCUUUAUCAUAAGAAUCACGAGUAGCUAAGUCUUUAGUUUCUAGGAUUUUAUUUGGAACCCUAUGUGGGAUUUAUGAACACUUUUCUAUGAUUUUAUGCAAGUUUUAAUUCCGGAUUAUUUCUUUUACUUGUUUUGUUAAGUGCAUAAAUUUGAUCACCUUAUGUGCUUUUAUGUUAUUGUUAAUCGCAUGAAUCAGAAGAUCGGGUUAAUAAUUAGAACUGUGGUAGAAGGUCCUUUGUGGUGUUAACAUAGGAAUAUAGUUAAUCUCUUAGGUAUCCAUUAUUGAGAUUUAUGCUUAAUGAUGUGUUCUAGAAUUAAUUGCGUAGGAAUACAAUGAUUGAAUCUAGAGUAUUAGAAUCGUAAUACACGCGGAAGCGGGUUAUGAUUAAUUUAGCAUCUCAGGUUAAUAAUACGGGUUAAUUACUUGCAUAAUUGAAGAAAUUGGGGGAGUAAUAAUCACAUAGGGGGAAGAAUAAAAUCAUAUGCUUGUUUACUUUGGUUAAUCUUCGUGUUUAAUUUGCUUUUUUGCUUUGUCCUUUUAAUUUGCUUUAAUUUAGUUUAAUUUAGUUAAUUUCCUCUAAAGUCGACUGUGUAGGGUUGGCUUGAUAACAAUUGGUAGAAUUUAGCGUCUAGGGUUAGAUAAUUAAAUAUUCUCCGUGGGAUCGAUAUGCGGACUUAAUUGUCCACUUUAUUACUUGUACGAUACGUGCACUUGCGUGUAGGUAUUGCAACCAACACACAUUACGAGAGUCUUCUCAACUCUGGUUAAGUCAAAUACGUGAAGAAUCUAUAAAGAGUUUCAAAAUGUUCAGUUCCAUGUUACUAGAACAUUUCGCAAGCUCCAAAAGACAAAAUAACUCAUCUCUCACGUUGUUCAGUGUUCGACAAGAAGGGUGGGAGUCCUUGAGAAACUUUGUUCGCCGUUUGAGAAACUUGUAGGAUGUUCUCACGAACGCCUUGAUGCAAGUAUUGAAGGAUGACGAGCUUUUUAGGUCGCUCGCAAAGAGAUCACCUUCCACAUAUGAAGAGCUGUUGAAGCGAAAAGAAAAGUAUAUUACUAUGGAAGAGCCGAGGAAGAUGACGGAGGACGAAGUGGAAGUCUUACCUGUUCGACGCAAUAGUGGACGGGCUGCCCUGCGACCCCACGAGAUAGAGAUCCUUCGGGGCCCAGUUGAUGUACCCCAGCUCAGGAGAUGCCCGAGCGAGAAUACAAAAAGGCCCGAUAGACUAACUACGCUGUCUUGAGUAAGACGCCCACACAAGUGUUGAUGGUCGUUGACAUAUAGUAAAGGGCCCACGGGACAUCCUAAUGAGAAAGGAUACUGUUGAUAUCACAAUAAAUAUGGCCACCAGACGGACGUGUGUAGUCAUUUGAAAGAUGAGUUGGAGAGGUUAGCUCGGGAGAACAUGCUGAAUAGGUUUAUCGGAACGCGAGAUGGGGAUCAUAGGCCGGAUCUCGCAGCUCGGUGACAGAGGACUCUAGAAAGGUAUGUGGAAAGAAACCAUUUAAGCGACGUGACAUGAGCGUGAAAGGGGUUUAAGAACCAGUUUUCUUUUUAUAAGGGUUAUAAAAUCACUUAUUUUGGGUUUUUUACCCCAUAUUGUAGGGUGGAUCUCGAAAGAUAUGAAAGACUCCCUCCAAGCCGUACAUACGACUUUCAUCGAAUAAGACUUUCCGCAGAAUUCUAUAUGUAUCUAUGAGAUCGAGUAUGGAAUGUUGUUUACUCACUUUAAAUUGAGUAUCCGUUGCCCUCCCUUUUUACACUAUUUCGGAAACUCAAGGACUAAAUCGUAUGGAUAUGUAAAAUAUAGGAUUGGUAUACCUAUGAAUUCCAUUGGACCCAUAAAUGAGACAUUGAAAGAAUCGGUUGGGUCUUCUAUAUCAAUAGGUUGAUUGUUUCGCAAUGAUACAAUUACCUACUUUUAUGACAACUAUAGGCGUCCCAAAAUAUAGAUAUGAUGACGCUUCCGACAUGGCAAUAAAUUUAAGUUCAUGACUACUCAAGUGUCUCCAUAACUAUAUGUUAUGAUGUUGUUUGUCUUCAAAAUUGUACAAUUGUGACUAGGGGUGGAGAUUGGCCGGAUCGAAUCGGAUAUGGGCUCUUCGGAAAAAUUCUGAUUUUUUUCGUAACUCAAAUGUCACUUCCAAUUCCAAUUCCGAAAAUUUUGAAAUCUGAAAAUGAGUUCCGAUUCCGAUUUUUUCGGAAUUUUCGGAAUAAAAGGGAAGAACAAGAAAAAAAUCCCAAAGCACCGAAAAAGCAGUCAAAACCCAACAACAAUCGACGACAAAUCUCUCUACACAGCAAAACAAUCAAAAAAUUAUAUUCUCUUCUUAUUACCCGAAAAAAUGAACAGAUUACACACAAAUAAUUCCUAAAAUAUCUACCAAGGUUAGAAAAAUAGAAAAAAUAUAUUUGUAGAUAGCUGAGACCCGUGACAGCCAAGACUUAAGCCAGCCCGACAAGGACGCCUUUGCCCUUUGGGUGUUCGAAGAAACGAUCAUUAUCAUAUGAAAUGCAGCUGGAUGUUGAAGAAGAAGAAGAAGAAGAAGAAGAAGAAGAAAAAAAAGAGGGGUGUCCAAGGGUAAGAGACUAAAAGAGGAUGAUGAUGGAUUCACUUUGACUAAUUUUGCAAAUAUAAGGCGUCAAAAUGAGCCUUUUGUUUAUGCAUCUCAAGUUGUGCAAGUAUUUUACGUAGAUGAUCCGAGCGAAAAAGAUUGGCAUGUGGUUGUAAAAACUAAGGCUAGAGACAAGUAUGAUGAUGUGAAAGACUUAUGGGCUGACGAUAUUGACACUAUUUUACAAAGUAAAACUUGCAAUGAUCGUCCUAUUAUUGAGGAUGAAGCUGUUGUUUGGGUGCGAGACGGAGUCCCUGAAAUUCCAGUGGAUCACUUAGAAGAAAAUCAUGUAGAAGAUACAUAGGACGUGCUCAGCUGCAUUUAGUAUUUACUAUUUUGUAUUAGAGUUAUUCUUUCUUAUAAUGAUAAUGAAUGAGAAUUUCUUUUCAUGGACAAUAACAGUAAUGAAUCAUUAAUACUAUUAUUGAUCUUUAGAUAGUAUUUAUGUGGCAAUUUUUUUAAUUUAUUGAUUAUAAUUACUAGUUUUAAUAACUUUUCACUGUUAAGAUUGAAUUUACAGUUUGUUAUAUUUCAGGUAUGGCAAGAAUGAAGAAUGGCAUGCUGGUAUCAGCUGGAACUCUAGAUCAGCAGAAUGGAGAUACCUCAAGUAAGUUUUAAUUAUAAAACUGCAUUAUUUCUUUAUUUAUUAUUCAUGAUAUAAAUUUUGUAGGAAUGGAAAGCAUAAGACGUGGUAAACGUGUCAGGCAUGAGCAUGAAAAUCAUCAAUCUGAUUCACAUUCAAAUGACUUAGAAAAUGAGACACGUGAUAUGGUUUAAAAAUAUCAAUAAUAAUAUUAACAGUUUUGGACGAACUUGAUUUCCUUUUUAUUAAUCAAAAUUUGUAUUUAAUUUUGCAGAAUUUUUUUGUGAUAAAAAAACUAGAGGACCUACUUAUAUGGCUCGUGUUUGGGUUAGGAGAAGUCGAAAAGAAGUUGAGUUCAAUGAGUUUCGACAAGCCAUUGGUCCUAAUAAAAGCGAAUACGUGGAAUUCAUUGGUACGUUAGUAAGAAAUGGUAAAUUAGUUCCAUUGAAUAUGACAGAUCGGCAUAAUGUGCCAAAGCCAUUGAAAAGCAAAUUGUUGGAGUUAGUUAAGGUAAUAUGAAACGCUAUUCUUCUUAAUUUAUUUUCUUAUUUGAUAUAUUGUGAUAUUUUGUAACUGCAUUUUCAUUUUGGUAAUGUAGGAGAAGUUUUGUGAUGCACCGAACUUUGAAAAGCACACUAUGAUGAAUUUAGCUAAAAGUUGGAGAAAUUGGAAGAAUAGAGUAAAAAAAAACAAUUCGAUGAAAAAUUACCAUUGGAGCAAAACAUGCGCAAACGUCCUGAUGCUGAUGAUGAAAGAGUCUUCCCUGAUCAAUGGAAAGACUUGGUGCUUUAUUGGAGCUCUGAUGCAGCAAAAGUAAGUUAACGUUAUUAUAUUUUGUAUGAACGGUAUAUUAAUACUUAUUAUUGCUAUAAAUGAAUAAAUAUAGAUUAUAUAUUAAUGUUAACUGAAGUGCAUUUUCCUAUAUAUUUAGAAGAUAAGUGACAAAAAUAAAGCUAAUAGAAAAAAAAGACUAUUGAUCACAUUACUGGAAAGAGAAGUUUUGCUCAAGUGAGAGAGAAUAUGAAGGUUAGUAUGAUUGUAAAAUAUGUUAAUGUUAUAACAUAUUAAUUAAGUGUAAACUUCUUGAGUAAUGUAUUUAUGCAAGUGAGUGUUCUAUUUUGCAGAAACAGUUAUUGACCUUGCAAGAAGUAGAGUAUGAUGAUGAAAGAACUGACGAUGAAAGAGAUGUUGAUGAACUUAGGAAUGAUAAUGAACCAACAAGAAUGGAUCUUUUUGCCAAGUGUUAUACCAAAAAAGGGGAGACGUCUAAUCCCGACAUAGCAGAUUAUUUGGUAUAUAUGAUUUUUUUUCGUACUUCAAGAACUGAAUCAACCUUUCUUAACCAAACUUAUUUGCACAAUUUGUGACUUUAGGAGAACUAAUUAGAAAUAUGUGUUGUAUAUUUGGUGCUAUAAUGUGAUUUAUUUUUAUGUACAGCGAAAGAUGAAAGAACUUGUUAGUGGACUAGCGAAAGAUGAAAGAACUUGUUAGUGGACUUCCUCCUGGUGCUAAAGAUACGGGCCCGAAUGAUAUAUUUUCUCAAGUUGCUGGCAAGAUAAAGGGGGAAGAGUAAAGAUGUACGGAAAAUGUGUCACUGCAUCUAUUGUAUAUGGUGAUUUGCCUAGGCAAGGUAAAUAUGCGGCGCACGUAUAUGGGAAAUAAAAAUGAAUUUGAAGCAAUGAAGCAAAGACUUGAUCAGCAAGAUAAGCUUAUUAUGGAGCAGAGUAAACAAAUACAAGAGCUGAUAAAAAUGAACAAACAAAGAUUAGCACCAGAAGCCACCAAAGUUGUUUCAGUAUCUUCAUCUCAUGAUCAUUCAAUCUCUCGUCAUCCUUCAGUAUCAUCCUCUAGCAUGAUGCCUUUACGGGUAAGCUGACUACGAAUCUCAUAUAUAUAUAUAUAUACAUAUAUAUAUAUAUAUAUAUAUAUAUAUAUAUAUAUAUAUAUAUAUAUAUAUAUAUAUAUAUAUAUAUAUAUAUAUAUAUAUAUAUAUAUAUAUAUACAUAUAUAUAUAUAUAUAUAUAUAUAUGUAUAUUUUUUUUAUUACAAUCAGUUUUUAUGUUAAUACUUUGUUUACGAUUAAAAAGUUAAUUUUUAUUUUGAUUCUUUUCUUAUAACUUUGUAUGUAGUUGAAAAGUCAAGUAAAACUCGAUAAAUAUUAAUUGUAGGUCGGAGCAAAAGUAUCUAUGAGAAGUUUGAUUGAAUCAUCCAAGACUGUGGCUGUUGGUUAUAUUCGGAGCUUAGAUCCAUUAAAAGAAGUUGGACAAAUGCGUUUAGGAAAAAAAUGGUGUGAGGUUCACAUUAAUGUAGGAGUUGAACCAGAAGAGGAGUUACUUCGCCCUGUUUACCAUUUUAAAACUAUUGGCGAGGUUACUGGAAUGACGGUUGUUUGGCCACAAUAUUUGGUAAUAAUGUCGUUUAUAUGAUCUUAUGAAUAAUAUUAUAUUUUAACAGUGUAUUGAUUUCUGCUUAAUUGGUAUUUCUGAUCAUUUUAAUAGGUAAUUAUGGAUGCAUAAAGAAUUUUGAAGACGUAAUAUUUUUGGAUACUUUUGGAGAUUAGAUUUUCUUAAUUUUUUUUGGUGUUGGAUUACUUGUUAUUCAGACAUUACAAAAUGAAUGAUUUUAGAUUGUGAAACUUACUCUUUUCUAUUAUAUUAUAGGCUAAGGAUUUAUUCUGUUUGUUGAUGGAGAUUGAAUAUGGUUUUUUUUGUAUUUGAGUUCAAACACAGUUUCUUAUGUAUUAUGUAUAUACAUGAUUAAUAAUAUGUAAGUAGGGGACAUUAAAAAAUGCAAUCAGUAAGAUAUUACAAAUACCUAUUGAGACAAGUUGAACAGUCACUAUAGGGUUAUUCAUGAGGCACAAAGCGUCAUUAUUGAUGUAUUCAUGAGACACAAAAGCAUCCUAGAAAGUCUCUGUUGAGACGAAUAAAUCGUCACAAAAAACCACUUUAUGGGGCAGAGAAAUCAUCACACAAUCGAGUGUAUUAAGACAACAAAAAGCGUCAUAAUGUAAAUAUUUAAAGACGACCUAUAGCGUCAAGAUUUCUACAUUUAGAGACGCUAAAAACCAUCACGAUACCAACAUUUAAAGAUGCUCUUUGUCGUCAUAUAAGUAGGUUGUUAUGGUAGUUGAUGAUUAAUAAAGUGACGCAUGUAAUCAUCACGAUACAUCCAUAUUUGUGACGACAAAAGCGUCAUACUAACAGUCUUUUCGUGAUGCCUCCAAUCGCCACAAAAACUUAUCAUGACGGCCACCUAUGUGACGCUUUUAACUAUCGACGCAAUAGACUAAGCGUCUAGAUAGGCGGCUGUAGUGACACAUUGAGGCGUCACGAUAGGUACUUUUUCUAGUAGUGAAGGAGAAGCAAAGCGGCGCAGCUUCGAAGAAGUAAAAGAAUUAGGUUUGAAGCAAAAGAUGAGGUGGAUGGUGGGUGGGUGUAGUUUGUUGAAUGGGACAAUGAGUUAAAAUUCUAAUAUUUGUAAGACUAUUUUUAUGGCCCAGCCCAAAGUAGUGGCCUACUUUUAGUAUGAAAAUAUACAUAUAAUCCGGAAAAAAUCAGAAUUAUUUCGGAAAAAAUCGGAAUUAUCCGAAAAUAUUUUCGGAUCUGAAUUCGGAAAUUCCGUAAAUUUCAUAUCAAAUUCCGAUUCCAAUCCGAUUAUUUUUUGGAAAAUUCGGAAUUUGGAAUUUCGGAAUUCGGACUACAGAAAAUCGUUCCAAAAUCGGAAAUCUUUGGAUCGGAAUCGGCGGAAAUCGGAAACUUCGUUCCGAUUUCACCCGUAAUUGUGACAGUUCAUUGGUUCCAAUAUAAUCUAUAAUUUUUUUUAGGGAAAUCUACAUGAAACACGUGAAAAAAAAUAUAAAGUGCCCUAUUUCGUUCUACAUAGCACGAAAUAAAAUAAUCCAUUUCACGCGUAGCACGAAACAUAAAUUAUAUUAUUUUUAUUUUUGAAAUCGAUUGAUUCAACCUCAAACCUAACCUAAAUCGAUGCUAUUAGGGCACUAAACAACAAUCCGAUGCUAAAUUUACGUAAACAAGUAAUCCUUUAUCUCAAAUCGUUGCCGUAAUUGCUCGUUUAACUCCGAAUAGUUCGAAAAUAGUGUGAGAGGAUUUUGGUUCUUUUUUUUUUUAGAGAAUUGUGAGGUUUUCUUGUUGAAAAGUUACAAAUAAAUUAAAGUCACACUGUGUGCUUGUAAAUGUACGACUCAAAGAAUACGACGAAAUGGGUUUUUUCGACUGUUUACCCACCACAAAAAAUCGUAUCAAAGCCCAAAUGUUAUGAAUAGAUUCGAGAAGUUCCGAGAAUGUUGUGGAGAUAUCCCAGCCUAUUUUUGGUAAAAACUGGAUAAGAAGAAAUGUAUGUAAAAAAGGAGAGAACAAAGAAAAUAAGGGAGCAUUAAAACGACGGCGUUUUGUGAAAAUCCCCAAUAUCUUAAUUUUCCUGUCCUCGCUUUCAAAAGCUGCGAUCAUAACAUCCCAUCAAAUUUCUCCGUUCAAUCUGCCGCCGUCGCCGCCACCGUCUCCGCCGUCUUGUAAAUUUGGAGGUCAUCGGUCGAUCACGUAAUUCAAUUCUGAUCGUCUCUGCAAGAAACAGUUGUGAAGGAGAGAGAGAGGAAAAAACCUAAGAUAUAAUUAGAGAAAAUGGCUGUGAAUCCCCAACUUUACCCAAACGGGAUGCCUGUACCCUUCGUCAAUGAGAUAUUUGUCUUGGCCAGAGAUGGCGUCGAGUUUGAGAUCGACAAGAUCCCUGGGUUUGCCCCCUAAUCUCUCUCUCUCUCUAAAACUCUCUCUCUCUCUCUCUCUCUGAUUUUGCAAUUCGGUGUUAUUUCAAUUUGCUGUUUGGUUGCUUGUCGAUUUUGGUUGAAUCCACGACGAAUUAAAUCAAUCAAUAUUGGAUAACUGUUGUUGAUAUGGAAAUCAGAAUAAACCCUCUGUUAUGAUCAGAGAUUACAUAACUAACAUAAUUUUGUUGAACACAAAAUAUAACUUCAUCCUGUUUUUCAUUUUUUUUUUUGUUGGUUUAUUUGACUCACUUCAAUGGCUUCAUUGGAUAAUAAAUUCCAACUAUUUGCCUCUAAUUGAAGAAGGUGGAACUGUUGUUACUUCUCGUCGAAUCUUUAACAAUUACAACAAUUAUAUAUCUAUGCUCCAGGCUUGUAGCGUAGUAUUUACCAAUAAUUCGUAGAUUUUCCGCUAAUGAUCAAUAAAUUUGGGUGUGUCCUGUUAAUGUUAAUUCCAAUAUGAUCAUCCUUCUAGUGCUCUUCUUGAUGCCUCGAUAGUUUGUCGAAACUGUUGCGCAGUUUAUCUAUUCUGUCGGACGUCUUUGAAGCUAAAUUUCAGGCUUUAUCGUCCGUAUUUAAUGUUUUCUUUUACAUGAUAUAUAUUAUUUUGAUUAGGAAUCGGAUUUUGACUUUUCAUUUAUUUUUGAAGGUAAAAAGUCGAUACAAAAUAAAAAUGUGUUCAAUAAUUCAUUAUUAUUCUUAUUUUCCUCUUUUUUUCUCAACUACCGAACAAAAUUAGUGAAAUUGAUUUUCCAUAAAAUCAUUUUCGUUACUAUUUUUAUUAAGAACCCGUUUUCUUUUUCCUCAUUUCGAAAUCCAUGAACCAAACGAAGCCUAUAAGCAAUAUAUUGUACACUGAUAAUCGUAAAUGGGUUUUUUCGUGUUUUACACACUCAGGAAUCAAGGUGGGAAUGUUAAAGGUAAAGGAACGAUCUUCUUGUCAAAUAUCCGAAUGGUCUUUGUUGCAAGCAAACCUGUUGGGAAUUUUGUUGCGUUUGAUAUGCCCCUGGUAUGUAUUAUAUAUCACCACCCUCGUUUGCCACUCUUAAAACCAUUGCUGUAAUAAUUGUUACCGUUGUGCCACAUAGACCUAUUGUUCGCUCGGGUAGUUUUGCAUUUUCUCUGAAAGUCGUUGCUUUCAAAUAUAUGAGAGCAUCCUGAGGAAAGCAAAUUUUCGCCCGAAUCCAUUGUUGAGGAGCUAUUUUGCUUCAAUUUCUUUUAAUUUAAAAAAAGAAAAGAAAAAAGAAAGAAUGAAAGAUUCAGUUUCGGCUCUGGUAUCAUAUACAAGUUUUUGUGGCGGGAGAUAUGUAGAGCAUGAGUUGUUAGUGUAAUGACGAUACUUUGUAGGGCAAAUUGCGGCCACCCCCUGAGGUAUGGUCAAAUUACAAAAAAACACCUCUUGCUUGGGUAAUUACAGCCACCCCCUCUUUUUAAAUAUUUUUACAUAAAAUUUAUGUAAUUCGGUUAUUUAUCGAACCAAAUCGUAUAUUCAGUUCGGUAAACAGUAUGAAACGUUGGCGUACCGAAAUUUCGGUCCGGUUUUACCGAUUUAGCAUCCCUAAAUUUACCUAUAGAGGGGUUUUUUCGUAAGAUAAUACUUGAGGGGUGGCUGUAAUUACCCAAACGGGAGGGGUUUUUCGUAAUUUGACCAUAACUCAAGGGGUUGCCGUAAUUUGCCCUACUUUUUAUCUUGUUCGGUUUUCAUGCUUCUUGUGUUUAAUUUGUUGGAUUUGUUCGGUUUUUAAUCCAGCAUUGGAAUUUCUGUUGCAGCUCUAUGUUCAUGGAGAAAAAUUCAACCAGCCAAUUUUCUAUUGCAACAAUAUUUCUGGGCGUGUUGAUCCUGUAAGCCCAAAUAACUUGCAAAUAUUUCGAUCUUCUUCUAUGUUCUUAUACUUAUUAUAUAUAUAUAUAUAUAUAUAUAUAUAUAUAUAAACAUGUCUGAAACCCGUUAUCGCAGGUUGUGCCUAGUACAGAACACCAGGCUUUAUAUUCAGCGCAUUCGUUCAAGAUUCUGUUCAAAGAAGGCGGUUGUGGAACUUUUAUCCCUCUCUUCUUCAACUUAAUUGCUUCUGUCCGACAAUAUAACCGACAUGUUAGUGCAGAGGCCGUACAGCCACGAGUGGAUCCUCUCCAAGCAUCACAAACUCCCGUCGAUGAGAUGAUGAGACACGCGUACGUGUUUACACUUAUUUAUUCUCUUUUUUGAUUUAAAAUUAUUCGUUGAUUUUUUUUUAUAUUGUAAUAAAACAAUGUGUUCGUUUUGCAGAUACGUUGAUCCUAAUGAUCCGACAAGAAUUUUCCUGCAGCAGCCAAAUUCAGAGAGUCAGUUGAGGCGCCGUACAUACCACUCUCAAAAUACCGACAACUAAAUAUGAUUAUUAUUUACCGACUUCGCCUUUUGUGUAUUCUGUUGAACUCGAAGUCAAAGCCCUGUUUUAUGUAUUUGUUCAUCAGUGUCGUCUACUACUACUACUACUACUACUACUUCUACUACUACUUUUAUUUGUGACGUCGUCAGAUAUUUAAGGUUAUAUUUGAAUGUGAUGAGUUCAGACAAGGAUUUCAAAUUUAUAAUAUAUAUGUAUAUUUUUUUAAUUAUUGAACUUUGAAUGGACUCAUUUGUUUCGUGCGAUACGGAUCGCAUAAACUGCUGCAUGAGCCUCUGCAACCACAGGUUUUGGAUUACCAGAAAAAGUCCCAACACUAAACCAAACACAUUAACCAUCCCACGUCCCACCAUGGCGACUCUGUAAUAGUUUCUAACUCUGUAAUAAUUUCUACGGACCAAACACGUGCCACCAGAAAAUUAUGUGAUUUAGGGGCUAUUUGAGAAACUCCUCAAUACUUCUUUUAAUAUAGUGAUGUGUCAACUCAACAUUUCACUCUUUCCUUUCUUUUACUAUCUCAAAAUAGUCUUUCCACUAUCUUCUUCUCACUACUCAUAUCCCCAUUUUUUUUGUAAUUAAUUUUUCGUUUUUAAUUUUUAAUUUUAAUUUAUAGUUUUUUUUUUAUAUUUUUCUGUUAGGGUACUAAUCGAUUAUGAUAUUAAUCGACUAAGACAUAGUUGAUUAACGAACUGACACCUAAAAUUGUGGUUACAUAAUGAAAUUGACUAUUAAAAGCAACAAAAACAACUGUAAUGCCGCAAUGAAAGCCCAAUACAAUUCAACAAAAAAAGUCCAAACAAAUAACCAACAGAAAAAAAAAAAAACAAAAAUCAAAUACUUUUUACAAAAUAACAAAUAUACAAAAAAUGUAUUGAUUUAUACAAAUCGGACGAUGGAUUGACAAUGGCAGAACACAAAUACACCACCGAUGUAGCCCAUGUCCAACUACACUUGACGAAAUAGGGAAUCAAUAUCCAACAAUUAAAAAAUGAAUUAAAAAACGUAGAGAUUAACCUUAACCGACUACUCACGAUUAAACCUUAAUCGACUAUUGAACAUAGUCGGUUAAGGGUCCAGCCUCUGCGAAUUUCUCUAUCCACGCCAUCCUGUGUUCGAUAUACCCAAAACUGCCCACAUCGUCACCACGUCGUCGCCACACCACACCAUCACCAUCCCCUACCAUUAACAUCAUCCGCCUCACCAUGUUCACCUUCAACAUCUCCCCGCCGCUGCCACCACCAACAAACGCCGUAAUGCCAGAAUUUCCACAUCCAACCACCAACAAGUUAUACCAACUAUAAGUAUCUCCGCUCUUGUACUCAAUGGUAUGCACGAACUCACCAUUGAACUCCUCCGCCCCUUCAAUCUCAGAGAGAAGAAGAUAAAAAAUGAGAAGAAAAGCAGAUCAAGAGAAAAAACAAAAAGAAUGACGUGAGAAGGGUGAAAAGAGAGACGACAGAUUGAGGGAAAAAAAGGAUGAAUGAAGUAACAAAAGGGAGUAGGGGUUAAGAAUAUGAGUACAAUGGGUAGUUUACCUUUAUUAAUUACCAAGCUAACAACAAAAGAGGUUUUCUCUAAUUAUUUUUUUGAAUGAGUUUUUUCUUACAUAUGGAGAUUUCAAAACUGCAAACUGCGAACGAUUCUUGCCAUUUGAUUCAUAGCUAUGGCAAGGUAGGGCGAAGCUAUUGCAAAUAUAAAUUUUAAAACUGCAAACUGCGAACGAUUCCUAACAAUAGCAGGGGAGGGACGAAGCAAUUGCAAACAAAGAUUCAAAACUGCAAACUGCGAACGAUUUUUAAUUAUGGAAUGGCAUGGACAAAGCAAUUUUUAUUUAGACCUCUUUGAUUUUUCUGAAAUUAAUUAAAGAUUUGGAAAUAAGGAAUACCAAUAUUGAUUACAUAUCUUUUCGGGAGAAAUUUCGGGAUUAAAGAUUAUACAAAGUAGGCUAUUAAUUUGGAGAUUUUUAUUUCCAUAUAUUAUUACGGGUAUUUUUAACAUAAUAAUUACAAUAUAUUUACUUAAAAUUAAGAGUUAUUAGUUGGUAAUAAUAACUCCAGCAGUUGUGCUAAAAUUUAUCACUUCUUAUCAAAUUAUUGAUAAGGAACGUCAAAUUGGAUUCGUGUUGCUAAAUAACUAUUUAAUUCGGAGAAGAGUUAUUAAUGGACAUUGGUGGAAAUAUCGAAAGAAAUUAUGGAAAAAUAAGGGUUUUCGAAGAACUCAAAUUGUAUUUGCGUACGAAACGAACUCUAUCUCAAGUGAAACGGCGCAAGGAACAAAACUCAUGAGCAAAGCUCAUGAAUCACGUCCAAUUUUAGCAAUCCAACGUCGUUUAGACUCCUAAAAGUUCGUUUUUGCUAUUUUAGGAAAGUUUUAGAAAAUUAAUAUCAAAUCAUAGAAAAAUCGGAUUAGGAUUCCGUAAAUUAGGUUGUUCCCAAAAUUACGAGAUCUACUAGAAUCAGACUCUAACUCGUUUUUGCCGUUUUUGGUAAUUUUUAGUAUUUUCUUAUUUUAAUUAGGGUUUUCAGUUUUUUAGUAUAAAUAGCUGCCUUAGGACUUUAUUUUGGAAGAAUUUCGAAAUUUAAUAAAAUCCUUAGAGUUUUCUCUAUUUUUCUGGUGGAUUCCAGAGUUUUCGAUGGAUUCCGAAUGUUAUUUUGUUCUAUAGGAUUAAUUCGUAGAAAUUAAUUCUUUACCGUGCUUCCGUUCUGCGUCAGUUGGCAUCAGUAGCGAGGUUUUUCUUAGUUAGAUGGCGAAAGGUGCGAAACAUGGAGACAAAAACUACGUUGACGAUGACCGCGGGGUUGAUAAACUGCAAGAUCUGCGGUUGGUGCGCGAGGGAUUUGCCCUUGACAACAACAACAGAAGGACUGGAUCUAGCAUGAUGAUUGCCGACGGUGUAGCCCGAGGUGCAUAUGUUAGGAACAAUUAUCAUCAACCUGUUCAACUUCAAUCAAGGUAUGACGACUAUUCAAAGGCGCGGCAACUCUGAUUUUGAAGAAAAUCCGCCUAUAAGGAGGCAAAAGGAUCGUGAUAAAAAUCGGGUAAGAGCUGAAAUUCCUUCUUUUAGUGGAAAUUUUCUUGAAGUUGAGGAUUUUAUCGACUGGGUGUCAGAAGUCGAAAAUUAUUUUGAAUUGAUGGAUAUUUUGCCGAAUAAGAUGGUAAAAUUGGUUAGGUGUGAGUUAAAGGGUUGUGCAGCCGCAUGGUGGGAUGAAAUACAGAGGAAGAGAGCUAGACAGGAAAAGUUUCCAAUCCAAUCAUGGAGGAGGAUGAGAAAAAUGUUGAUGGAUCGUUUUUUACCCUUAGGUUAUGAGCAACGUCUAUUUCAACUAUAUCGUAAUUGUUCGCAAGGGUGUAGAUCUGUUAACAAGUAUACUGCUAAGUUUAUGAGACUAGCAAACUUAAAUAACCUGCAAGAAUCCGAAAGUAUGGAAAUUUCAAAGUACUUGCAAGGAUUGAAUAUUUCAAUCCGUCUUAGGAUGGGGUGGCGCGCAUUCGACUCUCUUGAAGAGGCUCAAGAGUUAGCAUGUAGGGAGGAAUAUUAUCAGAAGCGAAAUCGUUCUUCUAGAAAAACUGAAGAUGUUCCACUCGUUGUCAAAGUUAAGGAGGUACAAGAUACUUCGUUCGUUAUUGAAGCAUCCAGUUUGGUGGGAGAUCAUGGCGUACGAGUUAACGAAGUUGAAGACGAAAUUGUUGAUGCAAAAGUUAAAAUUAACGUAGCUAUGAUUAACGAUGACAUUAACGAAAUCAAGGUGAAAGUCGAUGAAGUUGAAGGGAGAGUCAACGAGGUUGAAGAGAGCAUCAACAUAGUCGAAGAGAGCGUCAACGGGGUAGAAGAGAACGUUAGCAAGGUUGAAGAGGGAGUCGAUGAGUUUCAAGAGGGUGUUAAAAACAAAUUUGAGGAAGAAUUUGAAGUUGUAAAAUUUGUUCAAGAAGAGGAAGGUGCACGUGAAGAGAAGGAACAAGUGGAUUGCGUUGAGGUAUGUGAUCUAAUUGUAGAUAGUGUUUGCUGUGAAGUUCCUGAAUCGGAGAAAUUGGUGGAGCCAUUGAGAUUUUCAAUUGAGAAGCCAAUUUUUCCAACGCCUCGUUUGGAUGAAGAUUUUGUAAGCGAGAUUUUUGUGCCGGGAAUAUUGGUGGAGCACUUGAAGUUGUUUCGAAAGAAAUAUUGUUAAGUGUAUAUUUUUACACUUUAUCGUAUCUUUUUAUUUGAGCUUUUGGUGUGUUUUAACGAUAAUUGGUGCUUAAAAAGUUGAUUUAUUGUAUUUUAGGUACAAAUUGAAGAAUUGGAAAGUAUGGGGUCAAAACUGCAAUUUUGGCAAAAAUAUGGGUCAAAAGUGAAAAUAUCAAAAUUCUGAAGAUUUAAGGCUCGGACCCCGUCCCAAUUUUAGUGCAAAUUGUGGGACCCCCGUCCGACACUCCGAAGUUGCGCAGUAAAGGGAUUUUAAUUGCACAAGGAAACUGCCUUCUUCCCCAAGUUCUUCACCCUAUAUAAGACCAAGCCAAUCACACAAUUGGGGAUCCAUCUUGGGACGCAAAUUCAAGAGCAAAGAAGAUCAACGAAGAUCCAAGCAUAGUUUUUCUUAUUUAAUUAAUUUAUUUUAUUUUAUUUAUCAUAAGAAUUACGAGUAGCUAAGUCUUUAUUUCUAGGAUUUUAUUUGGAACCCCAUGUGGGAUUUAUGAACCCAAUUCUAUGAUUUUAUGCAAGUUUUGAUUCCGGAUUAUUUCUUCUACUUGUUUUAUUCAGUGCAUGAACUUGAUCAACUUAUGUGCUUUUAUGUUAUUGUUAAUCGCAUGAAUCGGAAGAUCGGGUUAAUAAUUAGAACUGUGGUAGAAGAGCCUUUGUGGUAUUAACAUAGGAAUAUAGUUAAUCUCUUAGGUAGCCAUUAUUGAGAUUUGUGCUUAAUGCUGUGUUCUAGAAUUAAUUGCAUAGGAAUAUAGUAAUUGAAUCUAGAAUAUUAGUAUCGUAAUACACGCGGAAGCGAGUUAUGAUUAUUUUAGCAUCUCUGGUUAAUAAUCCGGGUUAAUUGCUUGCAUAAUUAGAGGAAUUGGGGGAGUAAUAAUCACAUAGGGGAAGAAUAAAAUCCUAGGCUUGUCUACUUUGAUUAAUCUUCGUUUUUAAAUUUUCUUUCUUGCUUUGUCGUUUUAAUUUGCCUUUUAAUUUAUUUUAGUUAAUUCUCUCUAAAGUCGACUGUGUAGGGUGGGCUUGAUAUUAAUUGGUAGAAUUUAGUGCCUAGGAUUAGAUAAUUAAAUAUUCCCUGUGAGUUCGAUAUCCGGACUUUUAGUCCACUAUAUUACUUGUACGAUACGUGCACUUGCGUGUAGGUUUUCGGCCAACAAGUUUUUGGCGCCGUUGCAGGGGAAUAUUUUAAUUAUCUAUUUUAUUCUAGCUCUAGAUUUGAACAAUUUUCACGAUUCACCCAAAUUAAUUUUUAUUUUUUCGCUUUAAUUUUUAAUAUUUUUCUCUUUGGUUACAUGUCAGGUUACAAUUUUCGCGCAACUCAAACGGGAUAUGAAUGGCUUCCGUCUGGCGAAUACCUCCAAAAUACCUAUAAUAUGCCGUUACUUUGCUCAAUAUGUGGUGGAGAUCAUUACGCUAACCAAUGUUGGUAUGCACUGAAGGCGAAUAAUUUCAUAGAUAAUACCAACAACGGUUAUUGGAACACAUACACCAACACGCCACGAGAACCCACUGUCCAGGAGUGUUAUUUGAACUCCGUCCUUGAAGAAUUUAUGAAAUCCACUCAAGCAUCUAUCCGGAGACUGGAGUUACAGUUGGAAGAAUUCAAGCGCCAAAGGUCUCUUGAAAAUAUUUCAGACAAUAUCGAGAAUGGUUGCAACAAAGAAAAUCCGUCUACAACUUGUAGUGAGAAAAAUCCUUUAGACCUAGAAAAUAUUGUCGAUGAGAAGGAAAAGGAACUUACGAAGACGCUUAACGAUGAUGAAUAUGAGAAUGCAAUCGAGCUCAACUCCAAAGAUGUCUCGGAACAAGAGAAGAAGGGGAUGGAUGUGGUUAGUGCAAAUAUUCAAAUUGAUGAUCUUAUUGUUGUUCAUGACGUGGCUUUGAAGGCAUCAAUAGAGGUUGAUGAGAAGACGAAUGUGUUUGAAGUGGAGGUUAUACGCGGACGUGAGGUUUUUGUGUACCGAUUUAAGGGAGCGGGUGAUGAAGAUCCCAUCUUGGCUUCGUACCGAUUGAUUACAACUAAGAAAGACUACAAGCUAAGGGGGACCCUGACAUAUUGCAAUCCUAUCCUUGUAUCGGUUGCAAUUGAAGUGAAAAAGCUCAUGGAUGGAUGCACAAUCUACAAGGCUUUGGAUUGGACAUAAAAAUUUCAACAAGCAAAGUCUGGCUGAAGACUUUAAACUUAGCGCUUCUCGGGAGGCAACCCGAGCUUUAUUGUUUUUUCGUAGUUUUCGUUAAUUUUUCGUUUCGUUUUUUUUAUUGUCAUAAGCAUGCAUUCUAAUUCACUCUUUGAAUUUUACUUUUCAGGGUCGAAAACGUGAUCGAGGGUCGAGUUGGCCGUCCGUAAAAAAAAAAAAAAGAAAAAAAAAAAGAAAAAAAAAAAAAUUUUGCGCCACUGCCUGUGGGACGGCCGUCCCAAAAAUAGGUGUAAAUGUGGGACGGCCGUCCCAAAACCAAUAAGGAGAAAAAAAUUUCGGACGGCCGUCCGAAAUUUACCACAAAAACCGGGACGGCCGUCCGAACCUAGUUGGGGCGUUUUAAAUGUUUAAAAAUCAGAUUUUCUCCCCCAUUAUUUCCUAAACCCUCCUCGUUCUUUCUCUCCAAAUCGCAUACACAAGGAGGCUAGAGAAUCAAACAAAAUUCUCCAAAAUCUACUCUUUCAAGGCACGCCCACAAGGUGUUCGACAAUUUGCUCCAACCAAAUUUUGAGUUCGAUUGUCAACCAAUUCUCACCGAAUCUAUUCCAACCUCUCUCCCAACUAUGUCAUCCAACAAAAGAGGCCGCACGAAUGAAGCUUCACCCUCCAAAGGCAAAGGCAAAGGGGAAGAAAAGUGCCACCGCCCGUACCCGAGCUUUCCGAUGAGGACGAGCGUGAGAGAGCGAGAGAGGAGCACCCCGAUCACAUCGACUCCGACUAAAUCAGGUGUUUUCUAUCCUUAAAACUUUGUGCUAAUUUCAUUGAGGGCAACGAAAAUUUUAAGUUUGGGGGUGAAAAACAUGUUUUUGUGCUUAUUUUUUGUUUUAGUUUGCAUGCAUUAGGUUUUAUUCGUUAUUUUUCUCGUUUUUCCGGAAUUUAAAAAAAAAAAAAAGUUUUGCUUGAGUCGAAUGCAUCGAUGAUUUAUGAUGAUGAGAGAUGAUCAAUGUUUGAUGAUGAUAUUGCUUGUUUUUGUGUGAUAAGGAUUUGAUGUUUGUUUAGCUUUCGAUUCAACGGAACUUAGAAGCGAAUUAUUGCUAGGAAUCACAUUUUGUGCAUUGCUUUUGUUGAAUGUUUUGUAUUUUAAAUUUGGAAUUAAUUUGUGUUAGAUCAUGCUAUGUUCGGUUUUAAGACUCACCUUAGGAAAUUUAUGAUACGAAGUAUUGAGUAGUGAGUGAUUUGGGAUAUGAUUUGGGCCUUCUUUGAACCGUUUGAGCCUUUCAAGCCGACCUUUUUAUCGAAAUUAUCCUUAGAACCUUGAUUUGAGCCUCGGAGAAAAGGUGUUCUUUCUUUUAGCCAAUGUGUAAGGUGGAAUAGGUGGAGAUUCUUGAAAAAAUUAUCCCUUGGAGUUCGGUCGAAAAUUUUUAUAAGGUCCUUCUUCUUCUUCGAAAAGAAAAAAAAGAAGACAAAUAUCUAUGCUUCUAUAUAUAUAAUAAUAAAAAAAUAAAAAAAAAUAAAAAAAGAGAGAAAAAGAGAAGAAGAAGAGACUAGAAGGGAGAAAUAAGGACUAGUUGUUGAAUUAUUUUUGAAAACUCGAUCCAUUGCCUCAAAAGCAAAAGUGGAGACUUUUGAACUUUUGAGAAUCGAGUUUAUUAGAGUCCGUAGAGGUGAAUUCAUUGUUUCAAACGCCUAUCUUUCAAAUUUUGGCGUAAUCACCUAAAUUCAAGAAGAAUAGCCACACAUACCCAUAUUUCCUACCUCGAACCAAAGAGCCUAACAAUUGAAAGCCACAAAGCCCCAAUGAUCCCAAUAGCUUAAUGUUCGAUAUUAGUAGAGUAGAAUAAUUUGGUGAGUAUUUGGAGUCAAGCAUAUGCAUGUAAGUAUAAAUUCUUUCUAUCUUUAAUUUGCAAAUAUUGGAUGCUUGAAGCAAUUGUAUGAAUUGUGGUUUUUGGUAAUGGUGAGUGACUAAGUGUUGUUGAAUUUUGAGCUUGCGAAUGCCUAAGAAUUGUCAUUAUAAUUACAAGUUCUGAAAACGUGAAGUUGAUCAUUGAUCUAUGUGAUGAGAUGUUAUCGUUGAGUUAUUUGCUUAUUGGUAGAUUUUGCUUGAGGACAAGCAAAAGUUCAAGUUUGGGGGUGUGUUAAGUGUAUAUUUUUACACUUUAUCGUAUCUUUUUAUUUGAGCUUUUGGUGUGUUUUAACGAUAAUUGGUGCUUAAAAAGUUGAUUUAUUGUAUUUUAGGUACAAAUUGAAGAAUUGGAAAAGUAUGGGGUCAAAACUGCAAUUUUGGCGAAAAUAUGGGUCAAAAGUGAAAAUAUCAAAAUUCUGAAGAUUUAAGGCUCGGACCCCCGUCCCAAUUUUAGUGCAAAUUGUGGGACCCCCGUCCGAGACUCCGAAGUUGCGCAGUAAAGGGAUUUUAAUUGCACAAGGAAACUGCCUCCUUCCCCAAGUUCUUCACCCUAUAUAAGACCAAGCCAAUCACACAAUUGGGGAUCCAUCUUGGGACGCAAAUUCAAGAGCAAAGAAGAUCAACGAAGAUUCAAGCAUAGUUUUUCUUAUUUAAUUUAUUUAUUUUAUUUUAUUUAUCAUAAGAAUUACGAGUAGCUAAGUCUUUAUUUCUAGGAUUUUAUUUGGAACCCUAUGUGGGAUUUAUGAACCCAAUUCUAUGAUUUUAUGCAAGUUUUGAUUCCGGAUUAUUUCUUCUACUUGUUUUAUUAAGUGCAUGAACUUGAUCAACUUAUGUGCUUUUAUGUUAUUGUUAAUCGCAUGAACCGGAAGAUCGGGUUAAUAAUUAGAACUGUGGUAGAAGAACAUUUGUGGUAUUAACAUAGGAAUAUAGUUAAUCUCUUAGGUAGCCAUUAUUGAGAUUUGUGCUUAAUGCUGUGUUCUAGAAUUAAUUGCAUAGGAAUAUAGUAAUUGAAUCUAGAGUAUUAGUAUCGUAAUACACGCGGAAGCGGGUUAUGAUUAUUUUAGCAUCUCAGGUUAAUAAUCCGGGUUAAUUGCUUGCAUAAUUAGAGGAAUUGGGGGAGUAAUAAUCACAUAGGGGGAAGAAUAAAAUCCUAGGCUUGUCUACUUUGAUUAAUCUUCGUUUUUAAAUUGCUUUCUUGCUUUGUCGUUUUAAUUUGCCUUUUAAUUUAUUUUAGUUAAUUCUCUCUAAAGUCGACUGUGUAGGGUGGGCUUGAUAUUAAUUGGUAGAAUUUAGUGCCUAGGAUUAGAUAAUUAAAUAUUCCCUGUGGGUUCGAUAUCCGGACUUUUAGUCCACUAUAUUACUUGUACGAUACGUGCACUUGCGUGUAGGUUUUCGGCCAACAAAUAUGCAUCGCUAUAUUUUGAUCAUAGCUCGAGGUCGAGCUCUUUUGAAGAAGAUGAGAUUGAUAAGGAACGUCAAAUUGGAUUCGUGUUGCAAAAUAACUAUUUAAUUCGGAGAAGAGUUAUUAAUGGGCAUUGGUGGAAAUAUCGAAAGAAAUUAUGGAAAAAUAAGGGUUUUCGACGAACUCAAAUUGUAUUUGAGUACGAAACGAACUCUAUCUCAAGUGAAAUGGCGCAAGGAACAAAACUCAUGAGCAAAGCUCAUGAAUCACGUCCAAUUUCAGCAAUCUAACGUCGUUUAGACUCCUAAAAGUUCGUUUUUGCUAUUUUAGGUAAGUUUUAGAAAAUUAAUAUCAAAUCAUAGAAAAAACGGAUUAGGAUUCCGUAAAUGAGGUUGUUCCCAAAAUUACGAGAUCUACUAGAAUCAGACUCUAACUCGUUUUUGCCGUUUUUGGUAAUUUUUAGUAUUUUCUUAUUUUAAUUCGGGUUUUCAGUUUUUUAGUAUAAAUAGCUGCCUUAGGACUUUAUUUUGGAAGAAUUUCGAAAUUUAAUAAAAUCCUUAGAGUUUUCUCUAUUUUUCUGGUGGAUUCCAGAGUUUUUCGGUGGAUUCCGAAUGUUAUUUUGUUCUAUAGGAUUAAUUCGUAGAAAUUAAUUCUUUACCGUGCUUCCGUUCUGCGUCAAUUAUACACAGUGAACAGUGUUUUAGCAUACCACUUUUUCUGACUCACUCCAGCAGUUGCUGUUUAUAUUUUAACACGUCACUUUAAAACAUCACUUUUGACAUCGUUACUCAAUCCAAUAUAUUUUUAAUACGUAAUUUUAUAUUUUAUUUUUAUAUUUCAUAUAUUUGAUGAUAUAAUAAAAAAAUAAUUUUUAUUUAAAUAAUAUUAAUUUCAAUUUCAAUGAAAUAAUUAUAUGUUAAAUGAUAUAUUUUUUGGAAAAAAGAUUGUGAAUUUAGAGUUAGGAACUUGUGCGAUUGUACUAUGAUUUAAUUUGCGACAAAAGUGAUUUUGCCAUUUCAUGGGGCAAUUUUUUUUUUGGUGUAGUUUUAGGAUGUAGUUUUUAAAAUGGUGCCGUUUUGGGUAGUGUUACGAAAUUGGGGUUGACCGCCACUCACAACGGCGGCACCGGCAGGAGGCGCCUCCGCCGGCGGCGGCACCAAGUGAAGACGCCAGCUCCAACGGCGGCAAGGCUAUUUUUUAAAUUAUUAAUAUUUUAAUAUUUUAAUAUUUUAAUAUUUUCUAAUUUUUUAAUAUUUUAAUAUUUUAUUAUUUUAAUACAUAGACGGUCCAGAUUGCACUGUGAAAAUUUGAUCGGACGGUCAAGAUCAAGACUGCCCACCUCGGGGACUGUGCCUUGACCAGGAGACGCCGCUGACAACGGCGUCUUGUGAAGACGCCACCGACAACGGCGUCUCCAUUCUCUCUCCUCCCCCACAUUUCUUCUUUCCGAGCUGCUACUCCUUCUCCUUCUUCUCUUUGUUAAACUUCAAAAUCAAAAAACAAAAUUUAGUUUUCAAAUUAAAAAUAAAAUAUAUAAUUACCUCCGGCUGCCGCCGACGCCGCCGUCUAUCCGCCGCUGCCUCCCUCGCCGUCGCCUCCCUCGCCGUCGCCUCCCCCGCCGUCGUCUCCCCCGCCGCCGGUGCUCUGUGGUCGUUGCCGGUGGUGCUCUUCACCCAACAAGGUAAUAUUUUAUUAUUAUUGUAAAUAAUUUUGUUAAAAAAAAAGUUAUUAUUAUAAUUUUUUAUUAUGUCCAAAUUUUAUAAUUAAUUAUUGUAAAUACAUUUGAUUAGUGUUUUUAGGAUGCAUGUGGGUAGUUAGUUAGUUAGUUAGUAGUUUAUUUAUUUUAUAAAACAUGGGGCAAUUAAAUUAAAUUAACUAAUUAUUUUUUUGGUAUGCUUAAUUAAAUUAUUAUUUUUUAACUAAUCUGCCUCAUUAUUAAUUAAUCUGGAUUGAUGAGUUAAUUAUCUCCUUAAUCUUUUGAAGAUUGAUGGCGGCUAAAAAUAAUGUCAAAGUAUACGUGUACUUUGGAGGUCACAUAAUUCCUGAUGAUUGGGUAGUGCAAUAUAGUAUUGCCCACAAAACAACAUUCCGAAUUAAACUUGACUUGUCCUUUGCACAUUUUCUGUCAAAGUUGUAUCAACGUCUAGAUGUCGAUGUUAAUCAGUUUGUGCUAAGAUUGUGUUGCAAAUCUUACAUUUAUAAUGGAGAAAGAAUGAAGGAGAUGAUUACCGAGAUAACAACAGAUGAAGAUUUACAAAUGUAUAUCGAUCCGGAUGAAGGGAAUGAGGCUAUCGAAGUAUUUGUUGAGAUUGAACCGAAAUACGUUGAUAGUGCCCCACCACAAGUGAGCGUAGAGGCAUUUGAUUUGAAUGAACCAUAUUUCUCACAACCACAGGUGACUCCGGAUUUUCUGGUGGCGACACAAGGCAUCCCUAACUAUUGUAAGACUAGUGGAGCGAGAGAGGUGCACAGAGAUCCCUAUACAAUUAACUAUGGUAAUUUAGGGGGAUUUGUUGAUGAGUCGAGUUACCUGAGACGGAGCAUUUUCGAAGAUGAUGAACCUAUAGGUGACUCAUUUGGGCCGAACAGUCUUGUGAAUUCCGAACCAUCCGAUGACGCAGACGACGACAAUGAAGAUGAAGACGUAUAAGAUGAUGUUCCAGUGACGUGGUUGCAGCACAACGAGGCGGAAGCAGAGGAACAACCGACGUUGUAUGAGUCAAUCCCAUUUUCUCGAUGUCGUUUCCAGAAGUGGCGGCAGAUUCAUUUGAUGUUGGAAGGGGCUGUUAUGAUAAGUUUUACGAUAGCGAUCGAGGUAUUUUUGAGGUCGGGAUGGUAUUUGAGGACAAAAAACGCCUUUGCGCCGCGGUGAUAGACCAUUCGAUUCGAUUUGCUAAACGAGAAUUCACAGUUGUCGAAAGUAAGCCGAAGCUAUGGAGUGUCAAGUGCAAACAUAGCACACCUGAAAGGCCUUGUAGAUGGUCGUUGCGGGAAUUGAAAAAACGGGCAAAGGAUUCUUCCUUAUUACGAGAUAUGGUGGGCCCCACAAUUGCAUAAUGGAUGAAAUGUCGAAUGAACACAAGAAUUUGGACAUGAACUACAUUGCUUCCUUAUUGGUUCAGUCCGUUCGAGAUGACCCAGCUUGCAAAAUAACACAAGCACAAAAUAUUGUGAGGUCUCAAUUAGGAUUUCAACUUUCGAAGAUGCAAGCUUGGUAUGGUUUUAAGCGUUGCAGAGAUAACUUGUUCGGGAGUUGGGAGUUCUCAGUGAACAAAUUGCCCAAGUUUAUGAAGGCACUCCAUAGAACGAACCCGGGUACGGCAAUUGAGUGGAUUUUCAAACCAACGGACAUUCCAACACGGAAGAUGAUCAAGUACUUCUUUUGGGCCUUCAAGCCAUGCUUGGAUGGAUUCAAGUUCUGUCGAAAAGUUAUUAGUGUGGAUGGAACUCAUCUCUACACUAAGUACAAGCACAAGUUACUAAUUGUCGUUUGUUUGGACGCCAAUAACCAAGUGCUACCACUAGCAUUUGCUCUUGUUGACAAUGAGACCACGGCGGCUUGGAGGUGGUUUUUUCAAAUGCUACACAAACAUCUAAUUUCUCAAAUUCCAGAUGGAGAAAGCGUUUGUGUAAUUUCAGAUCGAGCUCCGGGAAUUUUACGAGCUUUAGCGGAGUUGCCCGAAUUUGCUCCCCUUAAUGUUUUUCACAGGUUUUGCUUGAGACACGUGUGCUCCAAUUUCAACAAACGUUUUAAGAGUGUUUUGAAGGAUCUAUGCUACAAGGCAGGAGCGGAGUCUCAAAUUUGGAAGUUUAACCACAUUCUUAAUGUGAUCAAAACUCGGAGUGUUGAAGCUUACAACUAUUUGAAGGAUAUUGAUCAAGAAAAAUGGGCAUUUGCACAUGAUGGGGGCAAGCGUUGUGGUCAACUUACUACAAACAUGUCAGAAGCUCAUAAUGGUGUUCUCAAGGGAACUCGAAAACUUCCCAUCUCAACAAUUGUUGACCUUACAUUCAACCGCAUUGUUAGGUAUUUUUUUAAUCGUCUCCACGAGGCCAAUGUGAUGGUUCAAAAUGGACAGUUGUGGUCCACAUAUGCUUAUGGCAUUUACCGGACACAUGAAGCUAAAGUCUGUUAGAUGUUUCACGACUCAUUUUAAUCAACAACAGCUCUCUGCCGAGGUGAUGACUAGAGCUCGUCCAAGUGGAGGUGGAAAUAACAAACACACCGUGAGUUUAAGGGACCAAACUUGUACUUGUGGAAAAUGGAAGCUGACAGGAAUCCCCUGCAGUCAUGUCCUCCACGUGUGCCGUGAAUGGAUAUUGUCUGCCUCCGUAUAUGUGAAAGAUUGCUACAAUAUUGAUCGAUUAGUGAACACUUAUUCUGGGAUAUUCCAACCCCUGUUGAGUGAACAUUAUUGGGAGGAUGUUGCUUUUGAACUAAUUCAUGAUCCAACACUACUAGGGGAUCGAAGAUGCAGUCGAAUUCAAAAUGAGAUGGAUGUGCCACAAACACGGGCAAGACAACAAUCUAGAAGAGAGGAACAAGCAAGACGGCUCUGAUAGUAUAAUUUAUGUAGUUCAUUGUAGUUUGUAUUAUUUAUAUUGUUAUUUUCUAGUUUUCACGUCGGACUACGUAGUGUCUAAUUAUCGUGUUUGACUUUGUAUUUGUUAUUACACUUUGUACUUAUUAUCUGAGUUUAUCUAUGUAUUAUCGUGUUUUCACGUCGGACUAAGUAGUGUCUAAUUAUCGUGUUUGACUUUGUAUUUGUUAUUGCACUUGUACUUAUUAUCUGAGUCUAUCUAUGUAUUAUUGUGUAUUUGUUAUUACACUUCUGCUUAUUAUCUGAGUGUUCUAUUUAUUAGUGUGUAUUUAUUAUUGCACUUGUACUUAUUAUCUGAGUUUUCUAUGUAUAUUAUUAUACAAGAUGGAUGUCAGUUAUGUUUAUGGUCCGCGGGACACUUCAUUGCUAUACCGCCAGUCAGAGCACGUAUCCAGAUCGAUUACAUCGGCAAAUGUAGAUGAUAUUGUGCGCGGGAGACGCUGUGAUGGUUGGAUCGGGGUUUAUAUGGAGAUGAUGGUGAUGAUGAUCCACACCCUAGAGUGAUGCAGUACUUAAUUGAUACUAGGUUCUAUGGAGUAUAUCGAUGUGGUCGUCUCGUAGUCGAUUUGCAUCUUAUUGCAGCUUUAGUGGAGAGAUGGCGCCCGGAGACACACACAUUUCAUUUUCGAGCAGGGGAGGCGACAGUGACACUUGAGGAUGUCGCAUUAUUAUGGGGUUUGCCUGAUGGAAUACCUGUUACUGGACAGGAUAUUUCAUGGUCGAAGGAGCAGUGGCAAGAUUAUUGUCAGACGUGGUUGGGAUAUACUCCUUCAGAUCAAGCUUUCAAAGAGAGAUGGCUCUUCGCAACUGAUAUGGCCAUGUAUUUACGACAUUGCACGAUUACUGAUGAUAGCACGGAGCAGCAUGUUCAGCAGCAUACCAGGUGUUUACUGUUAUUGCUACUUGGGGGGGGUUAUGUGUCCUGACACAUCUUCAAGUACAAUCUCGUUGUUGUAUCUUCGUCAUUUCGAAGAUCUUGAGGCAGUGCGUACUUUCAGUUGGGGUAGUACAGUUCUUGGAUAUUUGUAUCGUGAGCUAUGUACUGGGGCUUUACUUAGGAAAAUUGUGGAACAAGACGGCACUGUUGAGUUGGAUAAGAGGAAAACUAAUCUAGGUGGUGCGCUUACUUUGUUACAGGUAAUAUGAUUUUUGAUACUUUUAAAAUUUAAAUUAAUAGUUUAUUAUACUUGCGGUUUUUGAUAUUUUUUAUGUUUAAUAAUUAGUGUUGGGCAUGGUCGAGGAUACCUUUACUCGCUCCAGCAAUAGUACCAGUAGUAGAAGAUGAUCCCUGUCGGCUUGCAUAUCUCCACCCUCUUUACGGUGCACGGUAAACAUCUUAGUACUAAUAAUUUAUUUAUAUGAAGGUUAAUAUAUUGACUUAGCAAAUUUUCAUAUGAUAUUACAGUUGGAUCAGACCUACUAGUCAGACUCGGUCCUCGCGAAACAAUAUACGUGUUUAUCGUACGACGCUCGAUCGGAUGCUCUGGGAUCAGGUUAUUUAUAAGUUAACAGCAAUUAUGUUAAUGUUUGUGGUCUAUUUAACAAUAUAUUAAAAAAAAAAAAUUCGAGUUUACAUGGAUGCCUUAUAGUGAACUAGAUCCUGAGUUUGGCGCUUUACUUGAGUAUCCUGAGAUAGUGCAUCCACAGCUUUGGUUGUCGAGUUGUCCCCUUAUAUUUUACGAGAGAGUUGAGAUGCAUCGUCCAUAUAGGGUGCUACGUCAUUUUGGGAGGGUACUACAUAUACCACCACAUCCUAUUGAUCACGAUAUUGAGAUUAAGUUGCAUUCUUAUGAUCGUCGAGGUGCAGGGGGUAGAGAUUGGGCUCGUUUUCACCGUAUCUAUGUUGAUAGAUGGUAUGGCCGACUUGAUUCUCCCAUUGACUAUCCAUUUAUUGAGUUUAGUGGGCCUCAGACAGAUCCAGGAUGCUACGAGUGGUAUGAGAGGCACACACGUCAUUUGAUAUCACCGAUUGACAAUCUUGAUGAUAUCGGUUUUCAGGUCGGAGACCCGAUUUUACUGGAUCUUGUGGUUAGUAUUUUUCUCAAAACAACCAUUACUUUCGAUGUUUUUCAAUUUGUUUUUUCAGUUUUUUAAGUUCUUAAACUUGUAAUGCCUUUUAUUUCUGGGUAAUCAGCUUAUAUCCAUGAGUCUUGCUGCUAGGGUAGUUUCUCGAGAUGACGAUCGGAUAUAUGAUCUGUAUCAGGACAACGCUACACGGAUGUAUGCAGCUGGGACUCAACUUCUACGUAGAGAUGGUGCUUCGUCCAGCUUACCUCCGAUACCUGCCAUACCUCCUAUACCUUCUCUGCAUCGAGAUAGACGUACAAGAAGAAGGUCCAGCGCUGCCGAAAGAGCUACUGAAUUGGAGCAUGACGUGAGACAGACGAGAGAUGGGAACUAUUAUGCAUCUACAUCUCGGGUACCUCCAUCUGGAGAUGUUGCCGGUCCAUUUGCUUCUCAUACACCCUUUUAUGCAGAUGUUUCUGUGCAUGGAGGUAUGGACGAUUUAUCUACUACACAAGGAUUUAUGGAUAUGUUCGGUGCGUCUACAUCUCAGGUACCCACAUUUACAGAUUUAGUUGGUCCAUCUACGAAUGAUUACGUUCCAGAUAUGCCAUGGUUCGAUUCUCUAGCUACCCCAUAUCCUCCUGCUAUUGAUACCCGGUUCUCUUCAUGGGGUCCACAUUUGGAGCUCAAUUUGGGAUACUCAAGUCCCCAAGAGCGGAUUCGACCAUAGUAUAAUGUUUCCCAUGUUCCAUAUCCACCGGAUGACACCCAGUUUGUUGAUGAUGUACCGGCAGAUCCUGACAUUCGUCGACAUGGUAGGCUGCGUAGGACUAGACGGGCACCUGCAUGUGGCACUGGUUCACAUAGGUACUGACUUCAUAGUGCCAAUUUUAUUUUUUUGUACUCAUUUUGUCUUUGUACACAUUUUGGACCUAUUUAUUUUAUAUAUCUCUUUUAUUGGACCUAUUUAUUUUAUAUAACUCUUUUAUUUUCUAGAAUUCCUUCUGUUUUUGUCUACAUGUUUUUAAGAUUGUACACUAUUUUAUUGUGUUGAUUAGAUAAAUAUAUGCAAUGAUUAAUUUAACAUUAAUUGAUAAAAUAUAUAAAAUGUAAUGAAUUUAGUUAGAAUUGUUUUAUUUGUAAAAAAAAAAUUAAAAAUCAGAAAAUAUUAAAAUAAUAAAAUAUUAAAAUAUUAAAAAAUAGAAAAUAUUAAAAUAUUAAAGUAUUAAAAUAUUAAAAUAUGAAAAUAUUAAUAAUUAAAAAAAUUGGGAGAAGACGCCACCGAUGGCGGCGUCUCCAGCCUUGCCGCCGUUGAAGCUGGCAUCUUCACUUGGUGCCGCCACCGGCGGUGGCGCCUCCUGCCGGUGCCGCCGUGGUGGGUGGCGGUCAACUCCAAUUUCGUUACUCCUCCCAAAACAGCCCUAUUUUAAAAACUGCAUCCUAAAACUACACCAAAAAAAAAAAAAAAACUGCCCCGCCAUUUCAUUUUCUUGGUGUUACAUAUUGACAAGACAAAUUUAUAAUAUACCAGGUGGUGUAUAGUAUACCACAGCAGCUAGAACUCUCAUUUUCUAGAAAAGUUGUAAAGUUUGCUAAAAUUUAGCAUUUACCACAUCUGCUGAAGUUGCUCUAACAAAAAAAUAAGAGUUUCUAGGUUAAUAAUAACAAAAAAAAAAAAAAAAAAAUAGAAAAAAAGGGAAGAACCACAAUAAGGAUAAUAAAUACAAAUGUUUUUGGUAAUUGGUAAAAUAGCCCUUAGUACUUUUGUGGAAUUUCACAUGGUCAAUUCGCCCCUUCCUUGCGUUAUGUACUACCAGUUUUAUACUCCUCAACUGUAGAAAUAUGAUAGCCAUUCUCUAUGCCAUUUCAAUGGAGCAAAAUUUAACUUGCUCAUGUGCCCAACCCCCCCACCCCCGAUUCAUAUUUUAUCUUUCGGCUUCACAAUAUUUGAGCAAACAACCAACCACCUUCCCCGGAGUCUUCCAUUGUUGCCGGCUCCGUUAUUGAACUCGGACGGUAUCUCACACGAGUCAACAACACCCAAAUAAAUAAUUAAAAUUAGCAACAUGAUUAUCGAUGGCCGCUACAAAUAAUAUGAGAACACCGAGCGCUGAAUCAUUGACACAUUCGCCAAGGCUUACUUGAACAAUCAUGAGAUUUUUGAGAAGGCCAGAGCUCAGGUGGAUGAUGGGCCCUUGUGAUAGUUGAAAAAUUCAAGUCAGACAUCCAACUUUUUUCAGCAAUUUGUUAAAGAAUUUAAAAGCUUUGCUGGCAUUUUUUCAAUCACCUUCUCAAAACUAUAUUGACAUACGUAGUUAGGCCAACCCAAUGGGCCUAUAAUUUUUUUACCUAUAUUUAAGACUACUAUCACUGAGGCCAAAUUACCUUCAAAUAAGGUUUGAUCCCGACAAUCUCAACUAAUUAAAUUUCAACCCAAUCAGUGAGGUAUAAAUAAAAGUUUUAACUCAAUCAUUAAGAUACGUCCUAUUAUCUGAGCAAUACUACAACAAGUAUUCGCUGGACAUUUUCUACUAUCCGCACGUCUGACUUGAACGUCGGAGGGGUUUCCACCAGAUCAACCACGUGUUCUAUGAUCGCAUGUACCUCAAGGUCAGCAAGAUCGUGAGCCAGUGAUCCACUUUGCUCUUCCAGCUCAUCAUAUCUCAAUUACUUAAGGUGAUAUAAUUCUAGCAUCAACAUAAUGACGUCGUCUAUGGGAACGGCAGAUGAGAUCACGUAGUGUGCAAGAUGGCAUAAAUAAGUGUUUGCAUAACCAAGUCCACAUCGACAACCAAAAAGAAUACGAUUCUUUUCCUAUCGAAGAACAAAAAUGGGUUGCAGAAAACCCCUUAGUAAAAUGCCAAACCAGAAAGUAAGAAAAAAAAUGAAGAUAGCCCCAAGAGUUUGGAUUGUUAGUUGUUCCAUGGAAGUGUAGUGAUUUCAAGGCAAGAAAUGAGAAGAGAGAAAAAGAGCAUGCAAAAGUAAAACUGAAUUUGCUCAAACAAUAAAAUAAAAGAGAACAACUUGGAUUUUUUUUAGUGAUGUGAGGGUGGUUGAUUUAGAGGAAAAAAUAAACAUUUUAUUUCAUAUUUUGGACAAAUGGAUUUAGACAAAAUUAUGAGUUAGAUAUUCGUACCCAUAUCCAUUGUAGUCGUUAUAAACCCUCUCCCCAUUUCUAAUAUCACGAUUCUCAACUAAAAGUACCACGCAUUUUUCGUCUACGCUAUAUGUCAUACAUUUAUUUCACAUUUAAUAUUUUGUCUUUUUUUUUUUCUUCCUUCCCUAAAAUAGAUUAAAUGAUGCCAUUAACAAGAAAAUAUCACCCGUUGUAUUAAUUUUCUUUUAAUAUAAUGAAAAGAGCAACAAUUUUAUAGACAAACAUCAAGAAUAUAUGUACUUUAAAUUUAAGUUCUUACACGUAAUUGAUACAAAUAACUAAAAUUAAAUAAAUAAGCAGUGUAUCUAGUGUGCGGUUUAGGCGCAUAUAUAAGUAGAACGAAAAGAAGUGAAUCUAGUUUACGGUAUAUGGGCAUAACUAAGUACAAAACGUUCCAUAUAUGUGAAAAUUUAUGCUUCUAAAUAUGUGCUUUUUUACGCAAACCAUGCACACAACUAGAGUAAUUUUAUACCCACACCACUUAUACAUUACAAUUGAAGCAAACAACUUGGUAUCUACCUCUAUGCGAUACGUAGGUUGGUUUAAAGAAAAUAUAAAUUUACUACUUUAUUCGAAGAAGAAUUUUUUAGCAAAGGACUUAAACAAAAGUAUGAGUUGUAUAUUCAUACUCAUAGUCAUUGUAGACGUAAUAUAGCAUCUACCCCUUUGCGAUAUCGCGAUUCAAAACUAGGAGCACCACACACUUUUCAUCUACACUCUGUCUCACAUAUUUAAUAUUUUUUUUUAUACCUAUGCUACAAAAUAGAUCAAUUGAUACCAUUAACAAGACAAAAUAUAUUAAUUUUCUUAUAACAAAAUGAAAAUUGCAACUAAGAAUAAUCUUCAAAUUUAAGACCUAGACCGAAUUGGUAUAAAUAGCUAAUAUUUAAUAAAUGAGUAGCGCAUCUGGUGUAUUAUUUAGGCGCAUAACAAAAACAAAACGAGAGUGUAUGUAUUGUAUUGUUAAGGAGCAUAACUAGAACAAAACGACUUCUAGAAGAUGUUACAAUACAUCAUGCACUAAAAGAUGUUUUUCUAUCAAUCGUACGCUUAUAAACAUAUACCAACGUCUAUGCCGUAAAAUAUAAGGUAGAUAUAACAACUACAUAUACAUUCACUACCUGUGGCACAUAUAGUAUAUCUUAUUCAGGCUGCAGAUUCUUCAUUUUAUAUGCACCAAAUAUGAACUAAUACCACAUAUACGGUAAGAUAAUAGAUAUCUAUAUGCAUAUAUUUUUUUUUUUUUUUGAAAAAUGGUUUGGAGCCGUGGCCCAACGAACCUAGGUAUGAUGUGCUACCUCCCCCGCUGAUUGUAUUUGUACAUAUAAAAAAACUAGUAAAAUAUGAUUAAUUGGCUUAGAAGCAUAGGGCGUGUGAUAGUUAAUGCCGCUUAUAAAUCAAGAGAUGUUCCCGAUCCUAUCCUCUCAAACAACGAGAAUUUUAGACGAGGCGACUGACGAUUAAUGGAGGGUCAUCAUCCUGACACAAUCAUCUUCUUCUGGGUUCUUCAUGUAAUCCACAUCUCCCACGUAUUCCACAGUCCACGUUGAGUGUUCCUUUACACGCUGGUAGAGGGAAUUUUCGAGACAACUUACACUACGAUAAAUAUAGCUACAAUCCCGUUCUAUUUGUCAGAGGAUAUUUAAAUCUUAAGAAGUAUGUCCAUAAAGUUCUUAGCACAUUGCAAUCACACCAAAUUCUUAACACAACGGAAUCGACUAAUUUGUACAUUUCUGCAUCUCAUCCCAAACAUGUAAAGCUUGUUGAGGUAUAUACAUCGAGAAGUAUGGAAAAUCAUGAGAAUGCUGAAUGUUUAAUCUUUGUACCAGUAUACUUCAUCUCUCUAAAAGAGAGAUUUUGAAUCCAUCUUCGUGUGCCCUUAUAAUUUUAUUCCAAAAAAACAACAACCUAAUAUCGGCUCUAAAACAAUGGCUGUAGAAACUACAACCUUUAUGUUUAAGAUAUUUCAUACUUUGUUGAUAAAAUUUUAACCAUUUAAAGAUCUCUACUAGCUGAUGUGAAUGGCUAGAGAGAAUUUUAGGUGUAAAAACAAAAGAAAAUAUAAAAGGUUGUGCAAAAUAUGCACAAUCUAAAGUAAUAUUCUACACACAUCGCUUAGACAAUACAAUUUCCGCCAACAACUUAGGUCUAUUUUUUUAUGUGAUUUGACGGUAGUUAAUUUGAAGGGAAAAAUAAAUCUUUUAUUUUAUAUUUCGGACAAAAGCUUUAGAGCAAAGGAAUUAAACACAAUUAUGAGUUGGAUAUCCAUGCUCAUAACCAUUGCAGUUGUGAUAUAGACUCUCUUCUUUUGUUAUAUCACGAUUCUCAACUAAAAGCACCACAUAUUUUUCGUCUGCACUGUAUGUCACAUAUUUAAUGUUGUAUAUUUUUUUUUUCUACUUUCCCUACAAAAGAUAAAAUAAUGCCAUUAACAAGAAAAUAUCGCACAUUAUAUUAUUUUUCUUCUAAUAAAAUGAAAAGAGCAACCAUUUUAUAGAUAAAGAUCAGAAUAUAUGUAGUUCGAAAUUAAGUACCUACACGUAAUUGGUAUAAAUAACUAAAAGUAAAUAUAUAAGCAAUGCAUCUAGUGUGCGGUUUAGGGACAUAACUAGAACACAAAUAAAGUAUACCUAGUGUACAGUUUAGGGGCAAAACCAAGAACAAAAUAUUCCAUAUUGGUGAAAUUUAUGUUAAAAUACAGUUCCAUAUAUGUGAUUUUUGUGUGCAAAACAUGUACAAUCUAGAGUAAUGUUCUACACACACCACUUAUACACUACAAUUGAAGCAAACAACUUGGUAUCUACGUACACUUCUAUGCGAUGUGAAUGUUGGUUUAAAGAAAAUAUAAAUUUACUACUUUAUUCGGAGAAGAGCAUCUGAGAAAAGGACUUAGAAAGAAAAAAAUUGUGAGUUGGAUAUUCAUAUUCAUAGCCAUUCUAGUCGUAAUAUAGUCUCUCUCUCCCUUUGCGAUAUCGCAAUUCGCAACUAGGAGCACCACACACUUUUCGUCUACACUGUGUCUCACGCAUUUAAUAUAUUUUUUUUCUAUCGUCCGUGGACAAUAGAUCAAUUGAUAACAUUAACAAGAUUAACAAGAUAAGAUAUGUUGCACAUUAUAUUGAUUUUCAUCUUAGAAAAUUAAAAGUGCAACAACGUUUUAGAAAAAAAUAACAAAAAACAUCAAAUUUAAGACAUACACCGAAUUGGUUAAAUAAAUAUUAUAUAUUAAAUGAGUAGUGCAUCUAAUGUACGGUUUAGGUUCAUAAGUAGAACAAAACGAGAAUGUACGUAUUGUACUGUUAAUGAGCAUAACUAGAAUAAACGACUCUAGAACAUGUUACAAUAAAUCAGGCACCAGAAGAUGUCUUUCUAUCAAUCGUACACACAUACACACAUACCAACGUCUAUGCAGUACAAUAGAAGAUAUAUAUAUAUAAAACAAUGAUAUGUACAUUCACUAACUGUGGCACAUAUAGUAUAUCUUAUUUAUGUUGCAGAUUCUUUAUUUUAUAUGUAACAAAUAUGAACUAAUACCACACUUAUGGUAAGAUAACAGAUUUCUAUAUAAAUAUUUUUUUUUGAUAAAUGAUUGGGAGCCGUGGCCCCACGAACCUACGUAUGUUGUGCAACCUCCCCCAGUGAUUGUAUUUGUACAUAUAAAGAAACUAGUAGAAUAUCAUUAAUUGGCUUAGAAUCAUAGAGCGUGUGAUAGCUAAUGCCGUUAUAAAUCAAGAGAUGUUCCCAAUCCUAUCCUCUCAAACAUCGAUAUUUUUAAACGGGCCGACUGAAGAAAUGAGGUUCAUCAUACUGACACAAUCAUCUUCUUCUCGGUUCUUGAUGUAUUCCACAUCUCCCACGUAUUCCACAAUCAGUGUCACGUUGUUUAUUGAACCCAAAUUUGAACAGUGAGCCUGAGAAGUUGGUACUACGUAAACAUGAUAUGUUGAGUGUCCCUUUAACGGUUGGUAGAAGGAGUUUACGAUAUAACUUAGACUACGAUAAAUAUAGCUAUAACCCCGCUCUAUUUGUCAAACGAUGUUUAAAUGCUAAGAUGUAUGUCGAUAAAGUUGCAAUCCCACCAAAUUCCUAACACAACAGAAUCAACUAAUUUUUACAUUUCUAUAACUCAUUCCAAACUUGUAAAGCUUGUUGAGGUAUACAUCGAGAAGUAUGGAAAAUCAUGAGACUGCUGAAUGUUUAAUCUUUGUACCAAUAUCCUCCUUUUCUUCAAAAGGGAAGUUUUGAAUCCUUCUUCGUGGGCCCUUAUAAUUUUAUUUCAAAAACAAAAACAUAAAAAAACCUUAUGUCGGCUCUAAAACAUUGGCUGCAGAAACUACAAGCUUUCUGUUUCAGAUUUCAUACUUUGUUGAUAAAAGUUUAACCCUUUUAAGAUUUCACAGUCGAGAGCCAUUGUUUUAGGGGCAUAAUAAAAAAGCAUUAUAUUUUCCCAUUUCCCAUUUCCCCAUAUCACGAUUCUCAACAAAAAGUAUCGCGCAUUCUUCGUCUAAUCUGUAUGUCACACAAUUUAUAUUUUGUCUUUUUUUUUUUCUACCUUCUCUAUGAAAAAUCUAAUGAUGCAAUUGUAACAACAAAUUCUUAUCUGCGAUUUAGACAAACAAGAAAAACUUUCACAAAGAUAAUUUAUUAGAUUAAAAUAAAAUAUUGCGGGUUACAAACUCUAAUUAAUCCUCUGAUUCUUCUAUCAAGAACAAUAUGCGUUUGACUUUGAAUUUUAGAGUCGGGUCGUUGACUUGAUCUUCUCCGGAUUUGAUUUGGAUUUGAAUAACGUCUUCCAAGGGUCUUGCGACUUGAAUCUCGGAUCAAACGCUAAACUUUGACGGGUUUUGACUUGAAGAUCUUGGAGUUCUUGAUGGAUUUGGCCCUUCAAUUUUCCUUCGAUCUCGAUUUGUUGAACUUUGACGGGUUUUGACUUGAAGAUCUUGGAGUUCUUGAUGGAUUUGGCCCUUCAAUCUUCCGCCUUGAAUUUGUUGAAGAACGACUUGAAUGUUGUAGAGAGAAUUUUCUCCUACGGUUUUUCUUCUUCUUGAGUUGUGUUUUGAAUUGUGUAGGGAGGGUCCCCAUUUAUAGUGGUAGAAUAAGAGUCCUACAUGAAGUCUUCUUGAUGACGUGGCGCGAUUUGAUUGGCUCUCUUUAAAUUGAUAUUUAUCUCUUAUAACUUGGAAGAGAAGAAACAAUCAUAUUGGUCAAUAAUUAAUUGAUAAUUAUCUCCAUAACUUAUUUUGCAAGAUAAAUUAUAAUCUUGGGAUUCAAUUUAAUAUAAUAUAAAUUAUAUUAAAUUUACGUGUUUACAGCAAUUAACAAGAAAAUAUCACACAUUGUAUUAAUUUUCUUGUAAUAAAAUGGAAAGAGUAACCAUUUUAUAGAUAGACAUAAAAAAUAUGUGUACUUCAAAUUUAAGUACUUACACGUACGUAAUUGAUACAAGUAACUAAAAUUAAAUAAAUGAGCAGUGUAUCUAGUGUGCGGUCUAGGCGCAUAACUAGAACAAAAAGAACGUGUAUCUAGUGUACGGUUUAGGGGCAUAAUCAAGAACAAAACGUUUCAUAUAUGUGAAAAUUUAUGCUCAAAUACAUGUUCUACAUAUGUGAAAAUAUUGCGCAAAACAUGCACAAUCUAUAGUAAUUUUCUACACAUCACUUAAAUAUUACAAUUCAAUAAACAACUUGGUAUAUUUUUGUACUUCCAUGCGAUGUGAAGGUUGGUUUCAAGAAAAAAAUAAUAUUUUUUCUUCUUUAUUCAAAGAAGAGCUUUUGAGCAAAGGACUUGGAAAAAGUUAUGAGUUGGCUAUUAAUACUCAUAGUCAUUUGCAGUCGUAAUAUAGGGGGUGUGCUAUUAAUGCUUUUUUCUAUUUCCUUUUUUGCUUUUCUUUAUUUGGACUAUAUUUUGUAAGAGGAAGUAGCAGGUAAUGUUUAGAUGACAUGGCAACAGGUGAGUGGGCGAUGAAAUUUGAUUUUUUGGAAUAGCCCGGCUCGUCGAAAGUAGCUUUGUUUACUAUGAAAAUGUGACAUCGUAUACAGUAAAACUUCGAUAAAUAAAUAACCUCGUUUAAAUAAUAAAUUAUUUCGACUCCGACUCAGUAAACGCCUACUAAAUUAUUAGUUCGAUUAUUUAAUAUUUUGUUAAAUUAAUAGAAUUUUAUUAAUCAUGAUUGGAUUAAUUCAUAAAGGUUUAAUGUAUGUUGAUUUACUUUUUGACUAUGCAAUUUUUUUUCUAGAUUUUAUUGAUUUUUUUUUAUUGUUUUUGUUUUUUCACUUAAAUUACUCGCAUUCUAUUUCACAAGAACUAGAUAUGGACUAUGGUCUUGGUCCCAAUUUCGAUUGGUCAAAACAAAUAUUAGCCCUUUUGUUUUAAUUUAAUUUCGAUAUAGAAAUUAUGAGUUACUUUAAUUUUUACUAGUACUUUGCCCCGUGCACUGCACGGCCGAAUACUAAAAAAUAAAAAUAAGCAAAAAAACACAACUAAAAAAAAUAUCAUAAACAAAAUUAAUAAAGAUCGUGUUCAAAACCAACACAAUAAAAAACAAAAUGUAAAAACUUCUCUAAUUGCAACCAUAAUGUAUAUAUUAAUUUUAGAAUUUAAAAAAAAAAAAUCUAUAUAUUGAGAAGAGAAAAGAGAGAAUCAAUUUACUAUUCUUUUGGGUGUUUCAUUUAACAAUAGACGUCGAUCAUAUAAAAGGAAAAGGAUGUGGUUUUCAUAAAACAAAUAGUAUAAGAUGAUUAAGAAUAUGUCAUUGAAAUGUACACUAAUUUCCUCACUGAAGUCUGCAUAAAAGGAAGGAAAAAUAUAGAAGAGAAGCAUAACUUCAAUGUAGAACCAUUCAGCCCAUUUACAAAAAAAAAAAAAACAAUCAAUAACAAAAUUAGUACUUUUUGAUUUAAAUAAAAUCUCCAAUUAAGAACAACAUUCUAAUCCAUUGAAACGAUCUCCGUGGUGUAGAUUCCAUUUGAACCAACGUAACCGAAGCAAACCACGUAACCAUGGUGCAGACAAUAAAUUUCCAAUCAAUUCCUUCAGGGAUAAUUAUAAAAAACAUUUGUAAACUUUGGAGCCAUGAUGAACUAAAACAAAUGAUUGUGUGAUAACCAAGUCUUAAUGUUUAAAUUUAAAACAAAUGAGCAUAUCCAAUAAGAUCCAAAUUGCCAAGUAUAAACUCAAACGCCCCUAUAAGAAUACAGAGAAAUGUAAUCCUCAUACUCAUACAUGAAGCAUACACAUGCAUUAACUCAAUAUAUAAUAAAACCCCACAGACAAUUUCAGCACAUAAGAAAUAUCAUUUAUUUAAAAAUAAUAACAAAUAAAAAAAAAUGCGGACAUGCAGAAUGAAGCAACCAAAAGUAUCGACAUAUAUCAGGAAAAUCAAAAAAAGAAAAACAUAUUAUCACAAAAGAAGAGAAAAAUAUGAUGAACAACAAAUGAUGAUGAAAAAUAGAUGAUAGCAUGUCCCUAAAAUUUUUCUGCCUUGCAUGCACGCCCAUCACAUUUUAUUUUUCAUAAAUAUAUGCCAAUGGAAUUGGAUUCAUGAUGGAAAAUAAGAAUAAUGAACAUAAAAAUUGCAGACAAAACAUAAUGAACAACACACGUAUCAUGAUAUCAACUAUAUAUAUGUAUGAAUAAAUAUAUACAAAUAACAAUGCUACCUAAUAAUAUAUUUUCUCCUACUAAUUAUGUAAGAGUAAAUUUGUAGUGAAAACUCCAAAUGGAGCGUGGAGCUCCACGGACAAAGAUAUAAGAAACAAAAAAAAGAGCUGCUGCUAUGUACAUUUGGAAACGAAAAAAACGCUUUAAUGUACGUUUGCAAUCAGUAAUAAAAUUAUGUAUGAUGAAGACGAUUGUGGAUUAUGCUGCUACAGAAUGAUGUUAUAUUGCUAUGGAAGAAGAGCAACAAACAAAUCCAAACCAUGGCAGCUUAUAUUGUUUGACGGCGGAAACAAAUAUAAAAUUGAAAAGAAGGGUUGUGGAAAACUUCAGAAAUUGAUAAGGAUGGCCAAGAAUUUUAUAUUUAUAAACAAAAAAAAUAUAGCGGUUGAACAAAAUACUGGUGGGAAUAAAAACGUGACGGUAGAUCGUGAGAAAACUUACUAACAUCGUGGGAAGUUUUAUUGCUGUAGCGGAAAUCUUCAAAAACAUGUCAAAGAAUUUAAGAAAAAACAAUGCCAUUUUAUAGGGACGAAUAUCACCCAAAUGAUUUAAAUCUUUCUCAGAUUCUUUUGUAGCAAAUCUCACCUGAAAAAGACAAUAUAUGAAAAAAUCAAGAAAACUAAAUGGAAUAUAUAUCUUUUUAAUAAAAAAUUAAAGUAAAAUAAGAGAAAACAAAAGUGUAGAAAAGUGGACCUUUUUUGAUGUGCAUCAAUGUUAUCCGCAAACGAUUUUUAUUCUACUCUUUCACGCUUGCCCUUUUUUUUUUUUACCUUUCGUCGUCCUCAUUGUCCGUAAAAACCUUAGGUGUUCAAGAUCUUUUGACAUUAUACAAACAUAAGGGAUCAAAUGAGGGUAAUUUUGCUAGAAUCCUAACGACUCCAACACCACCAACCACAUGCUGCAUAAUAUGAAAUUUGUGAUAAAAAAAAUUGAAUUCACAAAGCAAAUUCAGGAGAAAAAAUAGUGAAACUCCAACAUAAACGAUCAUGACGCAAUAAUGAGAAGGACAAUAUUUUAACAAAAUAGCUACUGCAAUCACAAAAAUUCCUACUCUGCUUCCUUUUUUUUUUAUUUUUUAUUUUUCUCUCUUUGCGGCUUAUUAUUAAUCAAGUACAAAACAAAGAUUCAUUUACAAAGGCUGAACCUGAACAAACUGCGAAAAAAAUAGAAUACUUAGAAACUCUUAAAAGACCGACUGGCAAUACGCAUGCAGAAGAGGGAAACAAUAGAAAUUUCAAACGACUCCCCACCGAGGAAUUCAUUUAGGGAAAAGAAAUCGUAAAAUUAUUAGCAACUCAGAAAAAAAUCCAAGGAAACCGACCUUUAGUUGAGAAAGAUGGCACCCAUUAUUCGCAUGAAAACCCGUAGAAGAACAACUCAUUGCACGUCACUCGCCAUUUCUCACCUCCGAAAGCUUCUGCAAAUUCUAAUCGAAAUACCUGAGAAAUUUAAUGAAUCCAUUUGAGAACAGAAAAAUAGAGAAUUUUUAUUUUUAAAUUUUUUUUUAUACUCUUCUGCAACUUUUUUCAACAAUUAUUCGACGCGUAUGAAGCAGAAACUUAGGAAGUCAGUUUUUGCAAUUUGUUGUGUUCCAAAAUAACCCUAGGGUUACAAAGAUUUUAUAAAACUGGGAUUAGGGUUUUGGGGAAAAACCUUUCUGAUAAGUUGUUGAAGUGUUUGAAUUGUUUUUUGAAUUUAUUUCCACACGGACUAAAAAAUCCAGCCCUUAUCGCAGCAUUUUGAGACGUUCUGACAGAGUGCUCGACACCGAAGUACGUGCUAGAGGGCGUAGACAGUUCCGCUUAGAGGCAAUGUGGAUCCGUCGAGAUGAGUGUGAAGAGAUUGUUCAAAAUCAGUGGGCUGCGCGGUUUUGAUUCUGAUCCAAUUGCGGAUAUUCUUAGCAAAACCGAAAACUGCCAAAUGGCACUUAUUCAUUGUAGUAAAUAUGUGAUUCAGCACCCAAAGAAACGCAUUGCAGAGAUUGAAAAACAUCUUCAUCAACUACAGAUGGGUGAUCAGUCGGCUCAAGUGGUAGAGGAUAUUGGGGCUCUUCGGGGUGAGCUCGAAAAGUUCUAUGUGGAUCUCGACAUGUAUUGGCGUCGGAGGAGUAGGGUCUACUGGAUUCGUGAAGGGGAUAGAAAUACGAGUUUCUUUCACUCGAGGGCAUCUUCUCGAAAGCGGACUAACCGGGUGAAUAGGAUUAAGUAUGAGAUGGGUUCUUGGAAAGAGAGAAAAAAGGAUAUCGAUAAGGUGAUUUCAGAGUAUUUUACAUCUAUCUUCCAAUUAACAAAUCCGGAAGAGAGUGUGAUCGAUAGAGUAUUCCAGUAUUUAGUAUUUUACACUAAAUAAUGAAUAUUCUUGGUACUAAUGUUCUUGAGUGCGUACUUGAUUUUUUUAAUUACAAGAAACUUCCGAGUAAACUCAACUUCACAUUCAUUGUUCUUAUCCCUAAAGUCAAGUGCCAAUAAAAAACUCACAGAGUAUCGGCCCAUUAGUUUGUGUAAUAUUAUUUAUAAAUUCGGCUCGAAAGUUUGAGCUAAUAGGAUUAAACCCUUCUUAAAUGGUAUUAUCUUGCCUACCCAAUCUGCCUUUGUUCCUAAACGCUUGAUUAGCGAUCAUGUUUUCAUUUCUUACGAAAUCAAUCAUUUCAUUAUAUCAAAUUCUAGUAAGCAAACUAAUUAUAUUGGACAUUAGUAAGGCAUAUGAUCGAAUUGAAUUGUCUUUCUUACAGAAAAUUCUAUGUAGACUUGGUUUCCCUGUUGAGUUCAUUGCCUUGAUCAUGUUAUGUGUUUCUUCGGUAUCUUACUCUUUUCUUUUUAAUGGUUACCAAUUUGGCUCACUUUGCCCGUCACGGGGGCUCACGCAAGGAGAUCCUCUUUCACCUUACUUAUUCAUAUGUUGUACUGAAGCUCUCUUGGCUAUGAUUCACAGUGUUGCAGCGAGGGGAGAUCUUCAAGGGAUUAAGAUUGAUCAUGAGGCUCCGACGAUUUCAUGUCUUUGCUUUGCCGAUGAUACACUAGUGUUCUGCCAAGCCUCUGAGAUGAACGCACUUACCCUUUGCUAGAUCCUGAAUGACUACGCUCUUGCCUCAGGUCAAGUCAUCAACCUGGACAAGUCCACCAUGACUUUUUGCCCAAACACCUCUUUGGAUGUUAGGACCAUCAUUCGUUCCACUUUAGGUUCUCAUGUUGUGGAGCGCCACGAUAAAUACUUGGGGAUACUAGUUAGAAUUGGACAAUCUUGUAAAGUAAUUUUUCAAUUUUUUUUAGGGAUAGAGUGUGGGCCCGAAUCAAAGGUUGGGGGGAGAAGCAACUCUCUAAACCAGGCAAGAAGGUACCUAUAAAGGCCGUUCUCCAAGCUAUUCCGUCAUACAUUAUGAGCUGCUUCAGGUUACCCCUUGUCACGAUCGAUGGCAUGGAUGUCGUGGGCUUAUUUGUCCAAAUCCAAAGGAAAACAGGGGUAUGGGCUUUCGAGACUUACGAAGCUUUAAUCUUGCCAGCUUGCAAAGCAAACUUGACGAAUUCUCUCACAAAUCCAAAUCUCCUUCUUUCCCAUCUUUUGACACUAUGCCAAAACACAUUUCAGGCGACGUUUUUUUGCGACGUAAAAACCCCGUUUGCGACGAAAUUUGUAAUUUUGCGACGUUUAUAUUGCGAUGAAAUUUGCCGCGAAAAAAGUCAAAAAAAUGCCCUUCGCAAAUAUGUGCGACGUUUUUAUUAUAAAGUCGCAACCUCUUGCGACGAUUCCGUAUAACCGUCGCAAUGUUGUAAUUUUUUCGUCUGCUGAUUUAUUGAGACGAUUUUGCCAUGAGAGCUCGUUAUUUGUCUUCCGGGAAUCUCUGGUCCGCUUCUGUUGGUUCACGUCCCUCGGCGACUUGGCUUACGAUUAUUUCUAGCUCUUUUCGCUCUUGUGGAUUUUCAUUUGUUAAGAGAAAUUGUAAUAACUUGGCUCAUGUGCUUGCCGGUGAGUUUAAGCUAGCUGGUUUGUGUGGACCCUCUCUACCUCCUGAUAUGGAGACUUUUAAUGAGUAAUUAGUAAGUACCACGUGCUACGCACGUGAUUUACGAUUUUACUAAAUAGACGAAGUAGAAGAUCAGAUGAGAUAAGUUAAACCACGACAAAAGAAUCAUCUUGUGACGAAUUGCGAAUUUGUCACAAUAGUAACAAGCUAUUGUGAAAAAAUGCAAAGUUGCACAUACCCAGAAACUUUACUGGACAAAACUACAUCUCGUCACAUAAAAUGUGAUUAUAUGACAAUUAUAAUAAUAUGUCACAAGAAAGAACGCGGGUGAUUUCUGGGAUAAGUGUGUACUGUUGUUGCGACAAAUUUUACUUCUAUUGGGUCGAUAUCCGAUAUUUCAUAAUUCAUUUUGUGUUGUGACGAAGACUAAUUCGUCAUUAAAAAUAAUUCAUCUAAUUUCGUUCCCUUCUAUUAUCCAGAAAAAAAUCAUUUCCCCCCGAGUUUCCUUCUCAAUUUUUGAACACUUUAUUUACUAUUUAUGUGACGAAAUGAUGCUGCCUCCUAAAUAUGAAAUUACAUUGUUUGAAUUCUAGGUUGACCUGUGACAAAAGUGAUAUUGUCACUAUAAAGCAAAAUCAUCUAAAAAUAAUUAUUUUUGAUAAUGAUUGUAUCCCAUCCAUCAAAAUUGAAAUUAUAGAUGGCAAUUUUAACCCGCCACGCCCCACCUCGUUUGCUAAUGGGCGGGUACGGUGUUUUAAAAAUUUCACCCGUAGUGGGUAUGGAUUUUGAACAUAUGCACAAUUAAACAUCUGUAUCCAACUCGUUUAUAUAUUUUUAUUAAUUUUAUAUGCUUUUUAUAGGGUAAAAUUCAUUUUGCACCCCUGUACUAUGAGAAAUGUAUCAUUUACCCCCUGAUGUAUUGAAAACAUCUAACAUCCCCCUGCCGGUAGUUUUUUUCCUAAUUCCGUUAGUCAAACCUUUUGACCGGCUGUUGCGAAGAGUUGUUGGAUUUUUUUUUGACGAAUAUACCCCAAUAAAUCUCUAUUUAUAGGUUGCUUAAUUUGUUCCAUUAUUCACCAGAUUUUUCGCUCUUUUCGACCCUUUUAUUUCACAUUAUUCAGUCAUUUUUUUUUCACUCUUUUCAACUUUUUUCUCUUUUCUUUAUGCAUAAAAAAUUGAACAGUCGAAUAAAUUAGAAUGAAGCUUUGCAGAUCAUGAAUGCAAAACCCACAAAAAAAUAAAAAAAUUAAAGACAUCUAAAAUCUAAAAGAAACCCUUAAAUUGAAAUAAACCCUUAUGAGAGAAUUGCAAAUAAAAAACAAAAGUUUCAUAUUAUAAUGGCAAAACCCCCAAAAAAUAAAAUUGAAAACCCCUAAAAUCAAAAACUAAAAUCGACAAAAAAUCCCAAUUUAAAUGAACGCUAAAAAUCGUUAACAAUCCACAAAAAUAAACUUAAAAAAAUUAGGGAUUAUAUCCUAUAUAGAGUAGGGUAAAAGAGUAACUUCUCCCUCAAAUUUAACAACGUUAAAAGUUUGACCAAUGACCAUGAAAAAUAGGGGGGCGUUUGAUGUUUUUUAUACUUCAGGGGUAAAUGAUACCUUUCACAUAAUAUAGAGGUGCAAAAUGAAUUUUACCCUUUUUUAUAUUAUAAAAUACUAACUUUGAAAGAUAUUUUAAUUACAAAAUGUAUUAAUAUAAAAAAAAUAAUUUUCGAAGAGAAAAGUAUGAAAUAUAAGCAAAAUAACGUACCAACUUUAUUAAUAGAGGUUGAUUUCAUUUUUUAUUAGAAUGAUUUGUUCUUACAUUUAUCUGUUAAAACUUAUCUAUUUACCAAACUCUAAGGUUUAGGAACGGGGAGAGAAAUGAAAGGAAGGAAACAUGACACUCGAGUUGACAUCUUUUUAAUUAAAGGGGCUCUUUAAUAUAACCCCUUCAGUAUUUAUUUUAAUAGGGAGUGACCCAAACUAUUUUGCACUAUUUGAGAAAAACUCCUUGCUAAUUUCAGCCACCCAUUUAUCUAAUUAUGCCUCUGCAACCUCAUCAGCACUAUCACCAAUUAUGUCCUUGCCACCUCAUCAGCCUCUUUUUUUUUUUCCUUGUUAUCGACUAUGAAUAUCAUCAUAGUCGAUUAAGCAACUGACAACUAAAAAAAAACACACAACUAUGUAAAAACGAAAAUCGAUAUUAUUUUUAACAUAACAAAUAAUAUACAUAAAUUGUAAUUGAUUUAUACAACUCGAAAUCAAUACACAAAAAUUAAAAAAUGAAAUCAAGAAACCUUAAUCGACUACCAAAACCGUCGAUUAACACUUUAAUCAACUACCAGAGCAUAGUCGAUUAACUUAAUCGACUACCAAAAAUAUACACAAUCGAUUAAGGGUCCAACCUGCGCGACUUUCUCUACCUGCACCGUCCUCCGCCUGAUCUACCAAAAAACCCUAGAUCUGCUCCUCCUCGUUACACGCCGUCGCCACACCACACCAUCAUCACCACACUUCCAUAUUAUGACGGUUUUUAAUGACAAAUAAAGUAAAUUACAAACCACAUCACCAACCCAUACAAAACCAUCACCAUCAAAACCACCAAAAACAAAGCCACCCAAACCCAAUUUUCUUCAUGACUACCGCCAUAUCCAAAAAGAGGCAGCAAAAUGAAAUUAAAAAUCCAUAACUACAACGACGAAGAUGAAAUCUUCGCAAACUCAAAAAAUUGUGAGUAAGGGGAAGGUUACUUGGCGUAUAAGGGAGCGCGGGAUCCUCUGUCGCGUCGUCGCCAUAGUCUCCGCCGUGGAUUUCCAGAAGUUGUUCAUGAUUUAUGCCAUAAAAAUGAAAUUAGUUUUAGUUUUAAAAAUUGUAGAAAUUAGUUUUAGUUUUAAAAAUUUAAAAAUGAAUUUCACAUAACAUUAAAAAUUAAAGAAGAAUUAGUUUUAGUAUCACAAGUUAAAAUUUUCAUUUUUUUUCUUUAAAAAAAAAACCAGUUCGCGGUUCUAAUUGUCGGUUCUCGUUUUCGAAAAUGAGGAACCGGAACCGAACCGAUUUUCUCGGUUCCAGUUCCGAUGCUAGUUCAGGUUCGGUUAAAAAACCGUUGACCCCGGUUCGGUUCUGAUUCCGGUUCUAACCAAAUCGGUGGUCAUGUUUAGAUGGGGUUUCCGGCCAUCCUUGAUACCAGAUGGGUCCCACAAGGCUUACUUGAACAAUCUUGGCAUUAUUAAGAAGGCCAUAGCUCAGGUGGAUGAUUGUGAUAGUUGAAAAAUUCAAGUCAGACAUCCAAUUCUUUUCAGCAAUUUGUUAAAGAACAUAAAAGCUUUGCUGGCAUUUUUUCAAUCACCUCCUCGAAGCUAUACCAAUCUAAUGGCAGAAAUAAGUCUUCGGCUCUUCGCAGAACUAAGUCUACAUCUAAGUCUACAUCGACAACCAAAAAGAAUACAAUUCUUUUCCUAUCGAAGAACAAAAAUAGGUUGCAGAAAACCCAUAGGGCAUCUUCAAUGGAGUCCCUAAAACUCAUGAGUCUCCAUAUUUUAGAGACUUUGGUAAAAGACUCAACACUAUUGAAGGUCCUGAAAAGUCUCUAAAAUAGAGACUAUUCCUAAAGUUUCUAAAUAUUUUUCUAUAUUUGGGAUUGCAUAUAAAGACCUAUAACUUAAAGUUGUCCCACCGUAAAUUAAUAAAAAAAUUUAAGAAAAUUAAUUUUUUAUUUUUGUGGUUGAUAUAUUUAUUUUUGUUACUUGAAACAUUUAUUUUUGUUGUUGAAAAUACGAAGAAAAAAAAAUUCAAUUUUUUCCCUACGUGAGAUACAUAUUAAAAAAUUAAGAUAAUGUAAAUAAAAACUAACUAUCGAAAAUUUUAUGUACAAAACUAAGCUAUAAUCUAGUUAUAAUAAGAAAUAAAUUAUAAAUGAAUACAUAAAAUUGAUUUUUUAGAACUCCUCAUUGGCUUUUUUUUUAAAGACCCGAGUCUCUAACUGGAUUUCUAAAAUCAAAUUUAGAAAACCCAUUUUACAUUCCAUUGGAGAUGCCCUUAGUAAAAUGCCCAACCAAAACUAAGAAAAGAAAUGAAGAUACCCACAAGAGUUUGGAUUGUUAGUUGUUCCAUGGAAGUGUAGUAAUUUUCAGGCAAGAAAUGAUAAGAGAGAAAAAUGGCAGGCAAAAGUAAAACUGAAUUUGCUUAACCAAAAAAAUUAAAGCCAACAACUUUUUUUUUUUUUUUUUUUUAAUGUGAUGUGAGUGUGGUUGAUUUAAAGGAAAAAAAAAAGAAAUAGACAUUUUAUUUCAUAUUUUGGACAAGAGUUUCAGAGCAAAUGAUUUAGAUAAAAUUAUGAGUUGGAUAUUCAUACACAUUAGGGGUGGGCACUCGAGUCGGGUUAUUCGGGUAAUACCCGACCCGGUCUGGUAAUACCCGAUCUGAUCGGGUAAUUUUCGAAUUAACUGGGUUUUUUCUGGGUUCGGGUACCCGGUGCCCUCAAACCGGGUCGGGUCCGGGUAUUAGAAUUUCUACCAGGAUGCCCGAUCGGGUACCCGGUUAAAAAAAAAAAAUUAUAUAUAUAUAUAUAUUGAAAUAUUCAGUUCUUGGAGAGAAUCUUGGAAAUAGCUCUUAUGGUGUUUGGUGUAGUUCUGCAACAACCUCCAAUCAGAGAAGUUUUUUUUUUUGGUUUUUGUGAUUAAUUGUUUUUGUUUAACAAAUUUAGUAAUUCUUUCGUUUUGAUGAAUCUGUGUAUGUAACAAUAUGUUCUAUUGCCCGUAUUUGUAACCAUGUAACAAUAUAUUUUUGAUAUUUUAUGAAGUGUGAUGUCACAUUUAGAAUUGGAAGUAUUAAAUACUUAUUAUUAAAAAACAAAUUAAAAAAAUAGAAAAAAAAAAGAAUAGAAAAAAGAGGGAGAGAAAAAUAGCAAAACCCGAACCCGACCCGAAAUAACCGGGUACCCGAUUAUUUCGGGUCGGGUUCGGGUAAUAUUUUGUUUACAACAAACCAGAAUAACCUGACCCGACCGGCCGACCUGAAGGCCCACACUUAAUAUACAUAACCAUUGCAGUCGUUAUAAAGACUCUCUCCUUUUCUAAUAUCCGAUUCUCAACUAAAAGCACCAUGCAUUCUUCAUCUACGGUGUAUGUCAAACAUUUAUGUCACAUUUAAUAUUUUGUUUUUUUUUAUUUUUUUUCUACCUUCCCUAAAAUAGAUGAAAUGAUGCCAUUAGCAAAAAAAUUUCUCACGUUGUAUUAAUUUUCUUCUAAUAUAAUGAAAAGAGCAACAAAUUUAUAGAUAAACAUAAAAAAUAUAUGUACUUCAAAUUUAAGUACCUACACGUAAUUGAUAUAAAUAACGAAGAUUAAAUAAAUGAGCACUGUGUCUAGUUACGCAUAACUAGAACAAAACGAGACUGUAUAUAUUGUACUAUUGAGGAUCAUAACUAGAACAAAAAAAUGACUAGAAGAUGUUACAAUACAUCGUGGACCACAAGAUGUCUUUCUAUUAACUGUAGACACAUAAACACAAACAACCGUCUAUCCAUGACAAUAGACGGUAGAUAUAACAACUAUAUGUACAUUCAUUUUCUGUACCACAUAUAGUAUACAUUAUUCAGGUUGCGGUGUCUUCGUUUUAUAUGCGCAAAAUAUGCACUAAUACUACACUUAUGGUAAUAUAACAAAUCUCUAUAUAAAUAUAAUAUUUUUUUGAGAAAUGAUUAGGAGCCGUUGCUUCACAAAACUAUGUAUGAUGUGCUAACUCGCCACCGAUUGUAUUUGUACAUAUAAAGAAACUGGUCGAGGGAAAUUUCGACACAACUUACACAACGAUAAAUAUAUAUAGCUAUAAUCCCACUCUAUUUGUUAAAGGAUGUUUAAAUGUUAAGAAGUAUGUCAAUAAAGUUCUUAACACAUUGCAAUCCCACAAAAUUCCUAACACAACGGAAUCAACUAAUUUGUACAUUUGUGCAUCUCCAAACUUGUAAAGCUUGUUGAAGUAUACAUCGAGAAGUAUGGAAAAUCAUGAGACUGCUGAAUGUUUAAUCCUUGUACCAGUAUCAUCCUCCGUCUCUUCAAAAGGGAAGUUUUGAAUCCUUCUUCGUGGGCCCUUAUAAUUUUAUUCCAAAAACAAAAACAUAAAAAGAAAAAAACCUAAUGCCGGCUCUAAAACAUUGGUUGUAGAAACUACAAGCUUUAUGUUUCAAAUUUCAUAAUUUGUUGAUAAAAGUUUAACCCUUUCAAGAUCUCUACUAUUUGAUGUGAAUCUCUACAAGGAAUUUAUGGGGUUAUGCAAAACAUGCACAGUCUAGAGUAAUUUUCUACUGAUAACCGUUGUAGUCGUAAUAUAGCCUCUCCCAUUUUCCAAUAUCACGAUUCUCAGCAAAAAGCAUGGCGCAUUCUUCGCCUACGUUGUAUGUCACACACUUUAUAUUUUGUCUUCUUUUUUUUUUUUUUCCUGUCUUUCUCUAUUAAAGAUCUAAUGAUACCAUAAACAGGAAAACAUCACACGUUGUAUUAAUUUUCUUGUAAUAAAAUGGAAAGAGUAACCAUUUUGUAGAUAAACAUAAAAAAAUUACGCACUUCAAAUUGAAGUACUUACAUGUACGUAAUUGAUACAGAUAACUAAAAUUAAAUACACGAGCAGUGUAUCUAGUGUGCAAUUUAGGCGCAUAACUAGAAAGAAAAGAAAGUAUAUCUAGUGUAAGGUUAAGGGGCAUAAUCAAUAACAAAACGUUCCAUAUAUGUGUAAAAUUAUGCUCUAAUACAAGUUCUACAUAUGUGAAAAUAUUGCGCAAAACAUGCACAAUCUAGAGUAAUUUUCUACACAUCACUUAAAUAUUACAAUUCAAGAAACAACUUGGUAUACAUUUGUACUUCUAUACGAUGUGAAGGUUGGUUUUAAGAAAAAAAUAUAUAUAUUUUCUUCUUUAUUCGAAGAAGAGCUUUUGAGCAAAGGACUUAGACAAAGUUAUGAGUUGGGUAUUAUUACUCAUAGUCAUUGUAGUCGUAAUAUUGGGGGUGUGCUAUUAAUGCUUUUUCUAUUUCCUUUUUUCCUUUUCUUUAUUUGAACUAUGUUUUGUAAGAGGAAGUAGCAGGUAAUGUUUAGAUGACGUGGUGACUGGUGAGUGGGCGAUGAAAUUUGGUUGUUUGGAGUAGCUGGCUCGUCGAAAGUAGCUUCGUUUACUAUGAAAAUGUGACAUCGUAUAUAGUAAAACUUGGAUAAAUUAAUAACCUCUUUUAAGUAAUAAUUUUUUUCGACUCUAAUUUAGUAAACACCUACUAAAUUAUUAGUUCGAUUUUAUUUAACAUUUUGUUAAAUUAAUAGAAUUUUACUAGUCAUGAUUGUAUUAAUUUAUAAAUGUUUAAUGUAUGUUGGUAAUUUACUUUUUGACUAUGCAAUUUUUUUUCUAGAUUUUAUUGAUUUUUUUAUAGCUUUUGUUUUUUCUCUUAAAUUACUCUUAUUCUAUUUCACAAGAACUAGAUAUGGACUAUGGUCUUGGUCCCAACUUUAAUUGAUCAAAACAAAUAUUAGCCCUUUUGUUUAAAUUUAAUUUGGAUAUAGAAAUUAUGAGUUACUUCAAUUUUUAUAAGUUGUUGAAGUGUUUGAAUUGUUUUUUUAAUUUAUUUCCACACGGACAAAAAAUCCAGCCCUUAUCGCAGCAUUUCGAGACGUUCUGGGAGAGUGCUCGAAACCAAAGUAUGUGCUAGAGGGCGUAGACCGUUCCGCUGUGAGGCCAUGUGGAUCCGUCGAGAUGAAUGCGAAGAGAUUGUUCAAAAUCAAUGGACUGCACGGUUUGAUUCUGAUCCAAUUGGGGAUAUUCUUAUCAAAACAAAAAACUGCAAAAUGGCACUUAUUCAUUGGAGUAAAUAUGUGAUUAGCUAUGGUGCACGGACACGGAUACGUGGACACGGCGAUACGCGGAUACGGACACGGUGAUACGACAUUUCCAAAAAACUAGGAUACGGACACGUGGGGGAUACGCGUAAAUAUAAAAAACAUAGGGGUAUAUUUAUAAAUAAUAAAAAUAUAGGGGUACAUUUAUAAAUUGUAAAAAAUAUGUAUAAGUCGUCAUCGCAUAAGAGAACCACUCGCCCUUGUUGCUCGUGUUCUUGAUCGCCGUCGCAUGCUAGACUUUUGGAGUUUUUGGUGGACUCACAAAGAAAACAGAGGAAAUGUGUAUUACAAAGAAAAGAAAAUGCGUAUUUUUUUUAUUAGAGCUCUCCUUUACAACGUAAGAGAAGUGUCCCAACUUUUUUAAAAUUGUGGAUACUGCCCGAUACGGGUGUCCUACUUUUAGCGAAAUUACGACACGGCCCGACACGGGUGUCCGAGAAGUGUCCGGGAGUAUCCGAGUGUCCAGGUAUCGGAUACGGGGACUCUUCAUCUUCUAGAAGUGUCCGUGCAGCAUAGGUGAUUAGCACCCAAAGAAACGCAUUGCAGAGAUCCCAAAACGUCUUCAUCAACUACAGAUGGGUGAUCAGUCAGCUCAAGUUGUAGAGGAUAUUGGGGCUCUUCGGGGUGAGCUCGAAAAGUUGUAUGGGGAUCCAGGCCCGUUCCUGGGAUUUCGGGAGCCCAAGGCGAUAUCAGAUUCCAUAUCGUAUUUUAAAAAACAUUGAAGCUUAACACAACCUUCAGACAUUUGUCGUCUACCAAUUUCCACUUCUUUAAAUCUAAAAAAAAUCGAAAUUGUCCUUCAAACUUCUGAAAAUCUUCAAAUCUCUGCCUCAAUGAAGUAAGAGCUUGAUCAAUAACAAACAUGAAAAAUUCACCUCUAAAGGUUUCUUGUGCUGGUUGGGGUGUGUAUUCAUUCUCAUUCUCGUCAAAUUGCCUUUUUCUUUUAAUUACCCGUCUCAUCCGAAAUAUGGGUUGAACACCCAAUUUUGUGGCAAUUACUUGAGCUUCUUUUUUAACUUUCUCAAAACCUGUUUCUCUGUACUCUUCAAAAAGAAUGAUGAGUCCUUUCAACCGCCGCAAAGCUUCAUCCAUAUGCAUGUCUUUAUUUUGAAGUGUCUUACUGACACUAUUCAUAAAAAAUAAUAAAUCAUACAAAAUAACCAAACUUAUCAAAUUGUCAUAAAAAAUAAUAAAUCAUACAAAAUAACCAAACUUAUCAAAAAAUCAAAGUUUUCGAAUUCAUUUAUGAUCAAACCUUCAGCUUCACUAGUUAUAGUUCCAUCUUCAUCGCUGUGUGCUAACUCAAGUAAAGCAUUUCUAACUUCUUCGGUUUGUCGUAGCAAUGGCUUCACACUUUCAAUACGACUUUCCCAUCGUGUUUGGGACAAUGGUUUAAGAGUAAGACCGGUAACAUUACCUUCAUAAUUUCCCACCGCUUUGUUGAAGAAGAAAAUAAGCAAUAUAUUCGUUGAAUAACCCCAAAAAAGUUUUUACCUUUGAGACAACAGCUGGCCAUAUCACAAAGUGCAAGAUUCAGACUAUGACAACCACAUGUCAUAUAGAAAGCUCUUGGAUUUCAAUCAAGUAAUAUCUUUUGUCCACCUUUGUGUUUUCCCUUCAUAUUCGACCCAUAGUCAUAACCUUGACCUCUUAUAUCAUUGAUGUCUAGUUCAAGAGUAUCUAAUACCUCUUCUAGUUCACUAAAAAGGCCAAGUCCCGUUGUAUCAUCCACUUUCAGAAACUCCAAGAAGAACUCCUCAACUUUUAUUGGGCUUACAGUAACAUCCACACAUUGUAUCACAAGAGUUAUUUGCUCUUUAUGGCUUACAUCAGGCGUACAAUCAAGUACAACAAAGAAGUAUUUUGCUUUAUUUAUUUUUUUCCAUGAUAGCCCUCUUGACUUCACCAGCCAAUAAAUUAAUCAAUUCAUUUUGAAUCUUGUUACCAAGAUAAUGAUAAUGAAUCUCUUUUGUUUCAAUGCUUCGAACAUGCUCUUGAAUUAUGGGAUCAAACAUUGCAACCAUUUCAAUGAACUUCAAAAAAAUUCAAUUUCCAUCUUAAUGAAGUGUUUUAUUGUCUCCUCUAAAUGCCAAAUUUUGUUGUGCAAGAGUUCGCACAAGUGCAAUUAUUCGAACCAAUACUUGCCGCAAAUAAUCUUUCUCUCUAUUAAUUUUCUCUUGCAAACCUUUAUCAAUUGUUUCAUUUUUCUUUAGCCGCAUCUCCAAUUCGAUCCACUUACUCAUACAAAUAAUAUGGUCGUUGUUGCCUUCAUGACUAUGUAGUCUAUGAGCAAGAUUUUUCCAAUCAUUUAAACCAGUGGUUGCCAAUUGAGUAUUGUUUGACUCAUUCUUGAACAAUUUGCAGCAAAAACAAAAGACCUUAUCAGUAAUUUUGGAUUGAACUAACCACUUUCUCUUGUGUCUUGUGUCUCCCUCCAUUUGGAAAUUGUCGGACGCAAUGUGUAGAAGAGAAAUUUCUACAAGAAUUGUUAAGAGGGUACUCGAAAUCAUCAUCCACAUCUCUUAUAGGGCCUCGUUCUACCAAAAAGUUUCUCGUCUUUACAUCAAGUUUGUCCCAUUUGAUUGGAUCAUCAUUUACUUGCUCACUCAGCACUUGUUCAACUUGUGGAUCAUUGUCACUUCCAGCCUUGGUUGUUUUUAUUUCUUGGUUGCCAUCUACAGUUGGAUUUUCUUUCUAACUCCGCUGUUUCACUAUCAUUCACAUCCUCGUUCACCAAUUCUUCGACUAUUUCUAUAUUAUUAACUUGUUUGGCAUAAAAAAAUCUAUGCAAACCUCCUCUUCUUUUCAUAGAUCGAUCAAUUUCGCCUCGUUUAUCCUUCGUCUUUCUUUUUUCACAUCCAGAAGGAUAUACUCUAGGAGUAGGACCCAUGACCACGAAAAUAAGAAAUUUUGUACCAAAACAAGAAAAUAACUCAUCAAGUAUUAUAAAUUACAAAAUAUAAUGAAAAUAUCACUUUCAACACAAGAAAUAUAUUGAAAUAUCAGUCCUUCAUAGUUUAUUCAUAAAAAAAUAAAAAUAACAUGAACAUAUAUUUUUAUUCCAUUCAUCAAUAUAAAAAAAAUAAAAAUAUAUUAUGUUAUACCAAAUAUUGAAAAAAACUGGAAUUUGAGGAGGUGCGAUGUAGUCUGUAGCCGCCUGUCGAUUUCAAUCGAGGUUAGAGAAACUUAAGAAAGCAACAAUUGAGAGAAAGUAAUAGAAAACAGGAUCAAGAAAUUUGGUGACUUGAAAUUUGGAAUUUAAGAAUGAAAUUUGUGGAAUCUGUGUUUGAAAUUUAAGAAGAUGAGUGGGAAUUUGGGGUUUCAAAAUCCAGAAUUGAAGAUUAGGAGUUGAAAAUUUGGGGGAUAUGAAAACCCUUAGGGCAUUUGAUCAUGAAAAAUUGAAACCCUCAAUUUUUUUGUUAGAGAAAAGAACGUGGGUGGGGCAGGGGAGAGAAAUAAAAUAGAGAGAAGGUAAGAAAAUAAAGAGAAAAAGAUUAGGAUAUAUUGCGUAAAAACAGAAAAUAGAAAAAUAAUGGGGUUUAUGUUUUAUUUUAGAUAUUAUUUAAAAAAAAGUUAAUUUAUUAGGUAAAGCUUAGUUUGGAAUCAAUUGGCCUUAAAUAAAAAUAUUAUAGAUAAAUUCUAAUAUAAUAUAAAGAUUAUUUUCCAAAAUUAGGGGCACAUGGCGGUCGCCUUUCUCGUCUCCCCUCAGAACCGGACAUAUGGGGAUCUUGACAUGUAUUGGCGUCAGAAGAGUAGGGUCCACUGGAUUCGUGAAAGGGGAUAGAAUACGAGUUUCUUUCACUCGAGGGAAUCUUCUCGAAAGGGGACUAAUCGGGUGAAUAGGAUUAAGGAUGGAAUGGGUUCUUGGAAAGAGAGCAAAGAGGAUAUAUUGAGAAGGUGAUUUCAGAGUAUUUUACAUCUAUCUUCCAAUCAACAAAUCCGGAAGAGAGUGUGAUCGAUAGAGUCUUGGACCAUAUCGAACGUAGGAUUUCAAGCAUCGCCAGUCAAUCUCUCUCCCUUCCUUUUACAGCAGACGAGGUAACCCGAGCUAUCUCUCAAAUGUCUCCCACCAAAUUCUUGGGUCCUGAUGGCUUUCCUGUUUUAUUUUACACUAAAUACUGGAUAUUCUUGGUUCUAAUGUUCUUUAGUGCGUACUCAAUUUUCUUAAUCACAAGAAACUUCCCAGUGAACUCAACUUCACAUUCAUUGUUCUUAUCCCUAAAGUGAAGUGCCCAGAAAAAAUCACAGAGUAUCGGCCCAUUAGUUUGUGUAAUGUUAUUUAUAAAUUUGGCUCGAAAGUUAUAGCUAAUAGGAUUAAACCCUUCUUAAAAGGAUUAUCUCGUCUACCCAAUCUGCCUUUGUUCCUAAAUGCUUGAUUACCGAUAAUGUUCUCAUUUCUUACGAAAUCAAUCAUUUCAUUAAGUUAAAUUCUAGUAAGCGAACUAAUUAUAUGGCUGCAAAAUUGGACCUCGGUAAGGUGUAUGAUCGAAUAAAAUGGUUUUUCUUACAGAAAAUUCUAUGUAGAUUUGGUUUCCCUGUUGAGUUGACUGCCUUAAUAAAUGUUAUGUGUUUCUUCGGUAUCUUACUCUUUAUUUUUUUUUUGGGUUUUUUGCAAAAUCCUGCCCUGUGUAACCUCGAAUAGCUGAAAAAAUCCUCGUGUUAAAACUAUUAGCACAAAACACCCUGUGAAAAUAGUUAAAGCCAAAAAGGACCCUAUGAGCUUGAUGUGUUAUACACUUGCGAUUUGUGAAACUCGGCAUCUAAUUUUGGAACUAGAAAGACUCAAAAACCCUUGGAAUCAAUUUUUUGAAAUUUAUAAGUUUAUCCAGUAUUUUUCAUAAGCUCAAAAUGCAAUUUUCAGAAUUUUCAAUUCAAUCCCUAAUAAUUCAUAAAAGCCCUCUCUCCAAAUUGCAAUUUUCAUAAUUUCUCAAAACCUCAUCUUCUUUUUCCUUCUCCUCCUUCAGAUCUGCUCCUCGCCAAAAAGAAAAAAGAAUGAAACAAUUUCCAACAUUUCAUAUUCAUAAAGAACCCGUUUGCGAAAGAAGAAAAACCGACAAAAGUUGCACUUCACGAUGGAACCGGGGGGGAGAGAGAGAGAGAGAGAGAGAGAGAGAGAGAGAGAGAGAGAGAGAGAGAGAGAGAGAGAGAGAGAGAGAGAGAGAGAGAGAGAGAGAGUUGAGCGGCGUGAGAGAGAGGGGAAGAGAGAGAGAAAGAAAUGAGAUAAAAAAGAGACAUGUGACUUUUAUUAGGCAUUGUAAGGGUAUUUUUGGGUUAAUAAAAAUCAAAGGAUGUAUAUCAAUUUUUAUUUUGAAAUAGGGAUGUAGUUAAAAUAUUCUAUUUGAGUUUGUCACUCAUAUCUAAUUAAUUAAGUUUGGUUAGAGGGGUGUGAGGCAUAUUACCCCUAUAAAAUAACUAAAAAUAUGGAAAAAUUUCAACAUUCACCGAAUGAAUUGUUGGUUUACUUCCUCCCGUGACGUAUUAUCUUUAUAGAAAUAGACUUCAUAAAUAUUUAUAAAAAGAAACUUGAAUAAACUAAUGAAUAUUGAUUCUUAUUUUAGAAAUAGAAACAAGUUAUUAAGAAUUAUAAAUUUAAUAUUUAGGGGCCCCAAGGUUAAAAAAAAAUGUAAAAAUAUCUACUGAUCAUUGAUUUUAAAUUUAUUUCAGAAUUGAUGUUUCAAAAUAUUAUAUUUAAUAAAUUUCAAAAAAUAAGUACUAAUAUAAAAAGUGUAUAUAAACAUAUUUGGGGCCCUAAAUUUUCAUAUAAAUCCAGGGGCCUUAGGCGACCGUCUACUUAUCCUCCCCUCAGAACCGGCCCUGCAGUCUCAUGCCACCAUUGAAACUUGGUAGAAUUCACUAUUUUCCGGUAAAGCGGCGUUAAAGUUGAUUUUUACCGUCCCAGAAGGAGGGGGUGUCCAAUGAAAUUGCUCGGUCGGUUGAUGUAUCGACAAUUUGGAGUGCUGGGCUGCAUUAAAAACAUCAAGGAAGGUCUCACUCCAAGAAAGCAAAUCUCGUGACCAUAACCCCGCCUCGCCGUGUGCUUCCUUGUUACGUGAAUUCCAUGCUUUCCAGCACACAACCAUCGCAAGAUUGAAAAGCUCCUUAGACAGGUGCUGUUGAAGAAAAAGAAACCAACAAACGAAGGAUGUAAAUUCCCCGUGGAGUUUGAGAUCGAAUGGCGUUGAGCUCCACACAAAACUCAUGUCCCGGCAUCCACACAGAAUAUGCAUAACAGAUUCCGGUUGGGAUCAACAGCGGCGACCAGAGAGAUUAGAGAUAAUAUCCGAGACUCUAUCGGGAAAUGAGGUGUGAACAGGCCUUUUCGUCAAGAUCUUGUGGUUUCCAUCUUCGGUUAACCAGGGGUCCCCCCAAAUUGAUGUAGAGCGUCCGUUCCCGACCCUAAUUCGAACACCAGGAUUCAAGUAUGGCUGAGCAAGGAUAAUACUACGCCAAGUCGCCGAGGGGCGUGAACCAACAGAAGCGGACCAGAGUUUCCCGGAUGGAAAAUAACGAGCUCUCAAAAGCUGGGAAAGAAGGAAGAUUUGGAUUUGUGAGAAUUCGCCAAGUUUGCUUUGCAAGCAUGGCAAGAUUAAAGCUUCGUAAGUCUCGAAAUCCCAUACCCCCGUUUUCCUUGGAUUUGCACAAAUAAGCCCACGACAUCCAUGCCAUCGAUCGUGACGUUCCAUCCCAGCACCCAAAUAUCUGGAUGGCCGAUUCAAUUUCUCUAAUUAAUCCAAGGGGUAAGCUGAAGCAGCUGAUAAUGUAUGACCGAAUAGCUUGGAAAACGGUCUUUAUAAGUACCUCCUUGCCUGCUUUAGAGAGUUGCUUCUCCCCCAACCUUUGAUUCGGGCCCACACUCUAUCCCUCAAAAAAACUGAAAAUUACUUUACGAGAUUGUCCAAUUCUAACUGGCAUCCCCAAGUAUUUAUCGUGGCGCUCCACAACAUGAAAACCUAAAAUGGUCCUAACAUCCAAAGAGGUGUUUGGGCAAAAAGUCAUGGUGGACUUGUCCAGGUUGAUAACUUGACCUGAGGCAAGAGCGUAGUCAUUCAGGAUCUGGCGAUGGGUAAGUGCGUACGUCUCGGAGGCUCGGCAGAACACUAGUGUAUCAUCGGCAAAGCAAAGACAUGAAAUCGCCGGAGCUUCACGAGCAAUCUUAAUCCCUUGAAGAUCUCCCCUCGCUACAUCACUGUGAAUAGCCAAGAGAGCUUCAGUACAACAUAUGAAUAAGUAUGGUGAAAGAGGAUCUCCAUGCAUGAGCCCCGUGACCGGCAAAGCGAGCCGAACUGAGCACCAUUAAAAAGAAAAAGGAGCUAAUUGCAUACAACCCCUGUGUAAUCUGGAAUGACUAAAAAAUCCCUCGUGUUAAAAAUAUUAGCAUAGACCCCUCUUAUAUUAUAUUGGGCAAAUUACGGCCACCCCUCUGAGCUAUUGUAAAAUUACGAAAACCCCCCUCCUGUUUGGGUAAUUACAGCCACCCCCUCAACUAUGUAUUUAUCUUACGAAAAGACCCCUCAAGAGGUAAAAUUAGGGAUGUUAAUUCGGUAAAACCGAACCAAAAUUUCGGUACGCCAACAUUUCAUACCGUUUACAGAACUAAAUAUACGAUUUGGUUCGGUAAAUAACCGAAUUACAUAAAUUUUACGAAAAAAUAUUUAAAAGGAGGGGGUGGCUGUAAUUACCCAAACAAGAGGGGUUUUUUCGUAAUUUGACCAUAUCUCAGGGGGUGGCCGUAAUUUACCCUUCUUAUAAAUAUAAAAACUACGUUAGCUUCUAAUGAUGCUUUUUAGCUUAAUGUAAUAUUUAAUUAUUUUACAAAAACAAUGAUUUUAAUAGGAUAUCAUAGACAAAUUGCUUAUGGAUUUUUUGUUUAACUUUGUUAAUCAUUCAUGUAAAUAACAAUAGAAUUCGCCCACAUGGGUGUAGCUCAACUGGUUCCGGGGUGUAAGUUGGUACAAGGUCCUACGAUCGAAUCCUAACAACCAUAGUGUGAGAAUUUCAACUCUAAUGAGGGUUGAUUUCUUGUGGGCACCAGACCGGGUUCACUACCCUAACGGGCCGUUGAAUUAUCAUGAUUUACAUUCCUCUAUCAAAUACUCGUCGAGCCAAGAAAUAGAGGCCCCGAGGUCGAGGGAUUUAGCCUUUUGGUACAACAAGAGGAUUCAAAUUUUUUUUGUCUAAGUUAUUCAAAUUUUAGUGGUUGAUCGACAGUUGCAGAGCCUAGAAUGAUAAUAUGGUGGGCUAAAAAAUGGGAUAGUCCCUCAAAACUAACACAAAAUAAAUAAUUUUUGGUAGAUCUCAAAUACAAAUGAAUCUUCAACUACUCAAAAUUCACUUCAUAACCUCCAUUGCUCUCGUGCAAGUAGUAAUUUCUACAUUGUUUCAAACUAAAAUGUGUUUGUCAUGUACUCAUUUUUAUAACAAGAUUUGCAUCGCGAAGAAGCUCACUUUUGCGAUAUAUACAGUAGGCCAAAAUGCAAGACUGGCGACGAAAACGGACCUCUCGCGACGAUUUCUGAGGUAUUGCGACGAACAAAAUUCAUCACCAAAUCGAGCGAGGAUAGUCACCAAUUGCCAUGUCGCAAAGCCAGCAGCGAAAACCCAUUAGCGACGAGAUGUUUGGUGACAAAUUCUAGAAAUCGUCGCCAAUUUCGUAUUCUUAGAAAAAAAAAAGGUUUUUUUAUUACUCGCGAGGGAUUGCGUUAUUUCGGCGCAAAUUACUCGCAAAAAAUACACAAUAAGUUGCAAACAUUAGUGGCGAUAAUUGGUUUCGUCGCAAACUAUAUCGUCGUUUAGAAUAUUUUCGUCGCAACUGCUUUGAAUAUUUUGGUGACUAAAAAACAUUUUCGUCGCAAGCCACGCGUCAAUGUUUCGACGAUUUUGUAAUGUGAUUUGUCCCAUGCGUCGAGAUGUUUGUAACGACUGUGAAUUAGUCAAAGGUUUUUAGUUUUUCAAUAUUAAAUUUGGUUUAGUUUUAUUAUUUUCAAUUAGCAAAUUUAACCUAUACUAUCAGCUAUUGUACACAAAAAUAAAACACUAUCAUAUCAAAAAUAUUAAAACCACAUUUACGAAUUAAUAUCAAAAAAUAUUAAAACCACAUUUACGAAUUAAUAAUAUUAAUGUAGCACACAAACAUCAUUUCAAAAAAUACAUAAACUUUGUUGCACGACCUAUUCAUGGGUAGAAUAUAUCCACAAUAAAUGGAUUCCCAUUACAACUUAUUUAUACGUAAAUCAUGCAACCAAGGAAGUAAUAAAUACACACAUACAAGAAUAUAAGAUAAAAAAAAAUGAUUAUACAAACCCAGUCGUGUAUCAAAAUCUCAAAUAACUCGAUAGUCUAGUGUAUUCCAUUUUUUUCGCGCAAGGUGGUCGCCAUAGGAGUUCAGUAAGCACCAUAAGCCACAACAGCUGCAGCAACUGCACCCACCACUGCAACAGUAGUGAUAAUGUGGCGUUGCUCAACAUUCCCUAUCCACGAAAACAGUCCCUUUUUAACUGGUUUCUUCUCAACAUUCUCGUCUCUGCAGCAUGAGAAUCCAGUAACACCUCUGCAACACCCUCCACCAUUACUUGCCGAAGCAGCAACAAUCUCUUCGGGUUGUUUCUCGCUGCUCUUCACAUUUGUUCCAUUACUAUGAUUCGGUUCCUCAACUCUUUUCACAUUAGCACCCAUUUGGCCCCUGUAUAUAAUCAUGAUAUGCAUAAAAUAUUCAUUUUUCAUCUAUGUAGCACAUACACGGAAACAUGAAAACGGGCAUGUCGAAACGGCAUGUUGGAAAAAUGGGGAUACAGGAACUUAGGGGAAACAUAUAGGGGACGUUUGUUUCUAUUUCCAAACUCCAUUUCCAGUUUUAUACUAUUCAUAAAACUGAGAUCAUGUUUGUUUGAUGAUUUUAUCCAGAAAAUCCCAUUUUUUCUUCUCAAAUUUCUAUUGAAAAUACACUAUUCAUACUUUUUUCAAUUUCCAAACCUACAAAAACCUACUAACUAACCUAUAUAUUUUAUUCCACCAACUCAUUUCUCUCUCCUUAUAUUCAUCACUCCUCAUUAAUAUUUACACUCUCUCUCCUCUCAUUUCUCUCUCCUCAUUAAUAUCUACACUCUCUUUCCUCCCAAUUUCUCUUUCUUCUUCUUCUUCUUCUUCUAAUAAUAAUAAUAAUUAUUAAUAAUAAUAAUAAUAAUAAUAAUAAUAAUAAUAAUAAUAAUAGUAAUAAUAAUCAUAAUAAUAUUAAUAAUAUUAUUAUUAUUAUUAUUAUUAUUUUCACAACCUGUAUAUAGUUGUUCAAAGUCCAUUACAUAUUGAAUAUUUUUUACUUUUAUGCAAAAAUUGUGUUUAAUUUCAUUUUUUAUGUAUAUUGUGUAGAUGGAAUCUGGGGAUCAAUUUGAUUUGGACACUGUGAUUGAUCUAACAAUGUUGGAGAAUAACGAAAACAAAAAUUUGACAGAGCAACAAAAUGACACUAAGCAAGAACAGGACACUGCAAAUGUGGAACCAACUGAAAAGAAAAGACGGUCGUCGAACUUCUUGGGUUUGGGAUCAUUUUCCUAACAUAAAGGGUGCAUUGACCACUUAUGCCGUUAUUGUUAAAGAAGAUUAAAUGUGAUACAGACAACGGUUGAUGCUCUUAGUACCCAUUCGAAACAUCAAUUUCGUACAUCGUCUAUGUAUGUGGGAAAGAGGGGAAAGGCAUGGCUGAUAGAAAACUCUAUUCAAAAAAAAAGAGCAGUCAAUCAUGAAUUAUAAGCCAAGCCUAGCGUGAAGGGGGGGAUGCUUGUGGUGAGCUUACUACUCAUACGUUAGCCAAGAGAAAUGUAGAAUGGCACUUGCACAGAUGUGCAUCAAGGAUAAUAGGCCAUUCAAUAUCGUUAAUGAUGAUGGAUUUAGGGAGUGCCAGUACCGACAAAAAACAAACCAAAACCGAAUAUUGGAACCGAACCGUAAGAAAACGAUCGGUUUGGUUUUUGAUUCUUUAAGAACGACCACUUCGGUUUUUGUUUGAGGCUAAACCCGAACCGAACCGACAUCACCUUUAAUAUACGGUAUAAGAGCAAGUUAUGGACAAAAGAAAAUUUAGGAAGAUGGAUCAUAUUAUUUUUUGAAAUAAGAGUGUGUGUUGAAAAAAAAUGAUAGUUUAGAAUUGUUAUUUAAUUCUAAUUAGAUUUAGUUUGAGAAACUAUAGUAUAUUAACUCAUUUGAAAAAUCAUAUCAUUCUCACAGUCUUCAAAUAUAUGGCGUCCCUAAGUUAUUAAUUGUUACUCCAGCCAUGCACUUUCUUGCACGCUAAAGCAAAGUAAAAGUCAUUUAUAAUUAUAUAUCCUGCGAAAUUAAAGAUAAAUACGCUUCAACAAUAAUUAUAACAAAUAAAAUCUUAAUAGUUUGCAAACCAUACGAAACAUAAACAACACCAGACUAACCAUGUGUGAUAAACUUCACAUAAUGAUAGCGACCAUUGACAAGGGGAUUCAAACUUGGAUUAAUUAACACAAGUUCAUUUGUUCUAACUGUUAGGUCAUCCCUUGCAGGACAAUGCAAUAUUGAUCUGGGAACCAUUGCGUCAAGUUUGGGGACAUAUUCUUUUAAUUUCUAUUUAUAUGAUGGUACCUUAUUAAUAAAUUUAAAGAUAAAUAUAAGAGAUGUUCUGCAGUAUUGAUCAUUGUGAUCAUUGAACGAUUGAUUGUCAUCAGGUUUUGGGACUUAUUAUUUUAAUUCCAGCAUAAUUUUCCAAAUAUAGGCAACUUUCAGACCAUUGCACAACAAAUUAAGUCUACAGAAAAAGUGCAACGUUUUGAAGGCUGGGGGCAACGUGUAAAAUACCCUAUAUUCAAAGGAUAAAGUUUUGCUUACCCUAUAUUUAUUAAGAGAUACAUCCACAUGAUUCGAUAAUGAAACAAUCGUCGAGAGUUUUCAGAAUUUGAAGACGCAAAAGGGUCAUUCGAGCAUCUCCCAUUUGUCUCUAUAUCGCCAUUUUUACCUUAUUUAUGUGCUUUUAGUCUCCCACCCUGAAUCUAUGUAUCACCGUAUAUUCAAAUUCUAGUUUUCCACCAAAUUUUAUGGUGAAGGAAUUUUCAUUUUUUUCUUUCUCCCACCGGCUGACCAUUUUUCUAUUAUUUUUUUCACCAAAUCCUAAUUUUCCUAUCAAAUAUAAAGGUGAAAAUAGAAUUUGGUGUCAUUAACAUCAUUUUAUUAAUUAGCAUAUAAAAUAAUGAUUUUUUACUAAUUGCAUGUGAUUACCCACUUAUUAGCAAUAUUUAUUGUAAAUAUAUUAGUGUUAAUUAAUAUUUAAAAUAUAAAUACAUUUUUGACUAUUAAUAAAAACAUUAAUUCUAAUAAAUAUAAAUAUACUUAUUUUUAAUUAAAUUGUGUCUUAUUUUUUUUUAUCAAUGUUGAUUAGUUCAUUUUCUUUUAUUUAGCUAAUACACUAAUUGCUACUAAUAAAAUAUAAUAAACAACAACAGGAUGAUUGACGAAAUACACAAUUGACGAAAUACAUAACGAGCUAUUUAAAUUGAAAUUUGAUAAAUCAAGAAAAACACAAUGAACUAAAAAGGAGAUUGGUAGAACACUUUUGAUAAACGUGGUCAAAUAGAUGAUUUUCAAAAUUAUGAUGGUGAUGAUGAUGAUAAUAAUGGUGACUAAAACUUUUGUUUUUAUCUAUGAUUUUAGAUUAAUAUAUGUUGUAAUAUUAUUUAUUCAUGCAAUAAUUUAUGAUAUUAUUGUUAUGUAUGAUUUUAUUCUAUGUAAAAUAAUUUGAUUUAAUUUUAUUUCAUGUUUAUAUAGUUUUUUACAAUUUAUAACAUAAUUUAUAAUUUUAAAUUGUCAAGUUAAAAAGAUAAUUACAUAAAUUUAGAUCUAUAGUUAAUAUUUAUGAAAUAAAAUAUAGUAAAAUUGUGAUAAACAUUAAACUUAUAGGUUGGGGACAUAUAUGGUGAAAUGCCAUGGGAUACCAAAUCAAACUUCAUCGAAAAGACAAAAUGUAUCGUUUUUCUAUACAUAUUGCAUCGUAUCGUUUAUCGUAGUGUAUGGUAAGAUCUAAAUGCAAGUUUCAACAACAUCAAAUUAUUAAAAAGAAGAAAAAAAGUCAUAGUUAAUAGUUCGAAAUUCUAGUGUUGGUUGUUAUUACCUUUGUUGAUAUAAAUUGCCUUUCAAUUUUGUAAUGUUGAACAAAUUUGUUGGUUUAAUUUUUUUUUUUUUUUCAUAUUUUAAUCAGGAGAAUAAUAAUAUUUAUUUGAAAUAGUUUAUUUUGACUUUGCUUUAUUUAAAGAAAAAAAACACCAAACACAGUUGUUAUAAAUUUAUUUUACUGAUAAUCGCAAAAAUCACCUCUAAUGUGCUGGAAAUCACACAAAUAAUCCUAAACGUGUUGAAAUCGCACAAAAUCACUCCAAGCAUGCUGAAAAUUGCACAAAAUCAUCAAAAAUGUGCUGAAAUCGCAAAAAUCAACAGUUGAGCUAAAAAUUGCUCAAAUCAACACCAAAACAAAUAUAGUAAAUAUUUACCGACUUUUAAAGAUAACCGAUACAUAUGCCGGUUUAUAUCGUUUUUUAUAUAAUCGUAUUCUAUCGCGAUAUUGGCUACAACACUCAAAACAUGAGUUUCCUGUCAAUCAUAAUAGGAUAAGUUCAAAAACCAAUAAAAAUUAUCAAACUUGUAUGUUAAAACAACAUAGUCCAAUAUAUUGUCAAAAUCAUUCAAAUAUUUCAAUAAAUAAUAAUACUUGAACACCCCUUUUCUCAUAUCGUGAUAUUUUAGCCCCCGAGCAUUGGAAAAAGUCUGCACGACAAGCAAAACAUUAUAAUUAAUAAGGAUGUAAUUCCACUUCUUAAAAUUUGAAAUGUAGAAUUUGGCACUUUGCAUCCUCGAAAAUACUUAAUAACACUUUGCACCCUUGAAUUGAAUUUUUAAAACUUAAUGACGACGACAACUUCAUUGUUUUUAUUGGUUUACUUUUUUCAGGUGCAAAGUAAAAAUAUAAAUUAUGAAUUAAUGAUUGGUUCAUAUUUUUUAAUAAUUUAUGAGUAGUUAAUAAAUAAGUGGUUACUAAUUAUUUAUUAAUUAUUUAGUGAUUAAUAAACUAAGUAAUAGUAAUAGUAGUUGUUGUGGUAGUAGUAGAUUGUUUAGUAAUUUAUGAUAAAUUAAUAAAUAAUUGGUUACUAAUUAUUUAUUAAUUGUUUAGUGAUUAAUAAUGGUAAAUAGGAUAUGUUGAUUUUUUUUUGAAGUUUACUUUCACACAAGAUGAAUUUAUGUUUUUGAACUUAUCUAAUAUCCAAUAGGACUGUUCAUUCAAUAAAAAUGAUCACAUUUAGCUCAAUACCAGUUCCAUAUAUGUGAAAAGGUUGUGCAAAACAUGAACAAUCUAAAUUAAAGUUCUACACACAACACAAUUGAAGUAGAAAACUUGGUUUCUUUCUUUCUAUAUGUUGUGAGGGCUUGAUUUAAAGGAAAAAUAAAUUUACAACUUUAUAUUUUGAAGGAAAAACUUAUAUUAUACGAAAUUAUGGGUUGUAUAUUGAUACUCACAACCAUUGUAAUCGUAAUAUAGCCUCUCACCCUUUGUGAUAUCACGAUUCGCAACUAGAAGCACCACACAUUCUUCGUCUACUUUGUACCUCACAUAUUUAAUAUCUUGUGUUUUAUCCCUUCCUAGUAAAAGAUCAAAUGAUGUCUUUAACAAGACAAUACCAUACAUUGUAUUAAUUUUCUUCUACUAAAUUAAAAAAAGAGCAACCAUUUUACAAAAAACAAUAUCAAGAACAUACAUCAAAUUAAAGUAUCGUACACCUAAUUGGUAUUCAUAACUAAAAAAUUUAAUAAAUGAGCAGUGUAUCUAGUGAUCGGUUUAGGUGCAUAACUAGAACAAAACUGUUCUUGAAGAUGUUACAAUACAUCGUUCACUACAAAUUAAAAUGUGUUUUCAUCAUUCUUACACACAUACCAAUGUCUACGUGUGUAAAUGGAUGGGGUAUAUAUAACAAUUAUGGACAUUCACCAGGUAUAGCUUCUACUAUUAGGAAAAGAAGAUUGGCUUUAGAGACUUACUUUGUGUGAUUGUUAAUGCCACUUAUAAAUCUGGAGAUGUUUCCAAGCCUUUCUGUACAUGCAACAAGACUUUUAGAUGAGUGAACUGAAGAAAGUAGAGUCAUCAUAGAAGGUUAUUACUAAAAUAGGACCUGCAUUCCACCAUUUUCGAAAAAAGACUGAUUCUCGCUGAUCUUGAUGCCACGCUAAGGUUGUAAGUGAGUUCGUUGUUGUAUUCCAAAUUCUGUGAAAUCAUAGUCAUGACAAUAAUCUGAGCUAGUCUUCUUGCGGGAUCUUGUGACGGAACAUGUGCCAAUAAUCUUCUUCGUUUCUUACGGAAUUCUAAUGUACUUGUACGUCUACGUCAUUUCUUGGUAUCUGAAAUUAGGAGAUAUAUAUAUAUAUAUAUAUAUAUAUAUAUAUAUAUAUAUAUAUAUAUAUAUAUAUUAAAGCGUUUUGGUUGUCACCUUCUGUGGUCAAUAAAAGUGUAAAGCUCAAUAAAAUAAAGACAUAUUCAUGCACAUAUUGUUACAUGUCUGCAUAAUUAGUGGAACGAUAUAUAUGCAAAAGGCAACCAAAUUACGAAACACCCCCCCCCCCCCCCCCCCUCCCCUAUUUGUGUAAUUACAGCCACCCCGCUCAACUUUGUAUUAUCUUACGAAAAUACCUCUCCAGAGGUAAAUUUAGGGACGUUAGAUCGGUAAAAUCGAACCGAAAUUUCGGUACUCCAACAUUCAUACCGUUUACCGAACUGAAUAUACAAUUUGGUUCGGUAAAUAACCAAAUUACUUAAAUUUUAUGUAAAAAAUAAUUAAAAGGAGGGCAUGGCAGUAAUUACCCAAAAAAGUGGGGUUUGUUUUCAUAAUUUUGGCCAUACCUCAGGGGUGGCCCUAAUUUACCCUAGAUUUUAUUAUUAUUUGGUUAUUGCUUUUACUUUGAUAUUUCCAGUGGCAGUUUCACAAAUUAAAUUGAUGAAAACAAUGUACUAUUAAUUUUUAUUUAUUUAUUUUUUUUGGACAAAAAAAUGUAUUAUUUUUUGAUAAGGCACAGGGGGGCCUCGUUAAAAACCUUGUCGGCCUAGAACAAGGAAAAGAGUACCCCAUAUUUACAAUGAUUACAAAAAGUACAAAAACCUAGUCUAUCGGAUAAAACACAAUGUCUAACCCUACUAGGAAGAUCCGUAUAAUGGUAAUAAUCUAUUUAGAUUUGUGCUCGUGCGCCAACUUGGCUAGACGAUCAGCCACCUGAUUGCCUUCUCAAAAAGUAUGCUCUAUACACCAAUUAUCCUUGAUGGUAUCACUAAUACGAGCAACCACGUAAUAUAAUUCCCAUGCAACACUCAUUUCACCUGUGAUCAUGUCGAUCACUGCUUUGGAGUCAGACUCCAUAACCACAUGAUCCAGCUCCAAGUCGUGGCAGAGAAGCAGUCCCUCGAGGAUGGCGGUUGCAUGGGCUAGGAGAAGCUUCCCGUGUCCAUAAUAGUUGGAGAAACCAUAGAUAAAACGACCUUCAUGAUUUCUGAUAGCACCCCCUCCCUGUACUCACAUCUCCCAUCUUCGAACCGUCGACAUUAAACAAGAAGGCAUUCGAGUUAGGUGGGUGCCAUUUGAUCCAACAGCCUUUAUGCAGCGUUGGGUCAUUGAUCCGCAGGUUGAGCUGUUGCAGGGCCAACUUGCCGCUAGUAUCCGUCGUAUUCUUCACCAUCAUAAUUUCAUUAAGAGCGUCAAGCUGGGGAGCCAUGAUAUGCAAGAUGCCAGUCGUGUUCAUGGGGAUAUCCUCGAACACAGCUCUACAUCUCGAUUUCCAUAUCUCCCAACACCCUAUCAUCAAUAUACCAAGAGCUAUUAUACCUUGUUGAGAUUUCAUACUAAAGUCGGAAGUCCAGGCUUUGACGAGGUGCUUCAUAGAACCAUAAAAAUAGGGCAUGUGCCAUAAAGAGGCGUAGUACCUCCACACUCCUUGUGCCACGUCAGAUUGAAUGAAAACGUGCGACAAGCUCUCCUCUUUGGCGUUCGAGUAAUAUAGACAACGCGACAUAGUAAUGAACCCCGUUUCUUGAGGUUCAAGUCAACUAGGAUUGCUCCAUACGACAACUUCCAGAAAAAGGCGCCAAUUUUGAUGGGGAUUUUUAGAGUGCGAGCGGGACGUAAUAAUGAAACCUCGUUUCUUGAGGUUCAAGUCAACUGGGAUUGCUCCAUACGACAAUUUCCAGAAAAAGGCGCCAAUUUUGAUGGGGAUUUUAGAGUGGCACAUCCGAUUAGCAAAUUUUGACUUCCGUCUUUUCGGCCUAAGAAACUCCCAGUAGGCCGCGAUCGAGAAUUUGUCGUUGACAGAUUUAGUGAAAAUUAAAGUAUCGUCCAGGGAUUCAUCCAAAUUGAUCAUGUCAAAGAGAUUUUGUUGAUCCGAAUUCAAGAAGAGCCGAUACUCUUGAGCGUCUCUUUUGGCGACCUUGAAAGACAUUGAGCGAUUCUCAUCAAUAAUCUCGGAUUGGUACCACCUAUCUCUCCAAAAAUCAAUAUUUCCUUGACUGACAAGUCAAUUCCUAUUGUGCUCCAAGGUUUCGAAAUGAGUGUGAAUUUCUCGCCAUAAUGGAGAAGCAUGGUAGGGUAAGACUGUGAUCCGCCACAUACUUAGCCCUCGAGAACCGAGCCCAUAAAGAUCUUCCCUCCAUAACUUUCUAUGCUAAUUUACCCGUUAAAAGCAUUUACGUAUCUCCGAGGGAUCUAAAUCCGAGCCCACCUUCCACCUUAGGGCGACGUAGAACAUCCCAACUGAUCUAGUUAAUGCCCUUACGAUCUUGUUUACCCCAGAGGAACUUGCAGAACAGCCUUUCCAUGCGAUCAAGAACCUGCUUUGGGACCAAAUCCGAUGACAAGGUGUGAUUGGGAAGGCUAUACAAAACCAAUUUAACGAAAAUAAUGUGCCCGCCAAAAUUAAGGAAUUCGGACUGCCAUCCCUCGAGGCGAUUUUGCACUUGUUGGACCAAAUAGUCAAAGUGCUUAACCAGGCAGGGACCUUUAUAAAUAGGAACUCCGAGGUAUUUAGGAGGCAUAUUUUUAUGCGAGCAACCUGACCAUUCCUUGAUCUUUUGGAAUUUUCUCGCAUCCAAUCCCUUGGACGUGUAAAAACUAUUUUUUUCCAAACUAAUAAGAUGUCCUGAAGAAGCUUCGUAUUUAUGGAGCAUGUUUCGUAAGGCCUGCACCAACCUUUUACUUUCGUUGGUGAACAACAGCAUGUCAUCUGCGUAGAAAAGAUGGGAUAUAGAGAGUGAGCCGUGUCGGACUUUGUACAUUUUCAUGAGUUCCUGCUCUUCUAGAUGUUUGAUGUUUAAGGUGAGAAUUUCUUGGGUGAUGAUGAAAAUAAGAGGUGAUAAAGGGUCGCCUUGCCUUACUCCUCUGGAAGAUUUAAAGUGCCCGUGCGUCGCUCCAUUAAUUGAAUGUGUACCAAAUGUUGGAGAAAGAUCUGUACAUAAGGUCGCACACUUGGUGGGAAAAUCCCAAGGCCUGCAUAGCGAGAAGAAGGAAGGGCCACUCCAAACGGUCAUAGGCUUUCGACAUGUCGAAUUUAAAAAUAAUAUUCCCUCCUUCGACUUUUCGGUCAAUACCAGUGACCAAUUCUUGACCAGUUGCGAUGGACUCAUGAAAGCUGCGAUUCUUUAGGAAGCAUGUUUGCUUCCUCAGAAAUUAUUGUGGGUAAAUAUUUGUUCAACCGGGAAGCUAAUAUACGAGAGAUGACUUUACUAACGAAAUUCCCCAGACUUAUGGGGCGAUAGUUAUUGAAUGAUUCCGGGUUCGUGAUUUUUGGUAAUAAAACCAAGAUAGUAGUAGAUAUGCCCUUGGAUAAAUAGUCACCUAAAAAGAACUCGUGUACUAGCUGCAUGAGGUUCUUUUUUAUAGUAGUCCAACAUUUGACAUAAAAGGAACCCGUAAAGCCAUCUUGCCUGGGGCACUAUCUGGAGCUAAGUCCUUCACUGCUUGGAAGAGCUCUUCUUCGUCAGGGAUAAUGCCAAUCUUCGAUAUCAUCUCGAUCGUGAGCUUGGGUUGAACGUGAGUGAAAAGAGAGGCAUCCAAAUGAUACGUCAAGGCCAUGAAGAGAGAUGAAAAGUACUCAACCGUUUUUUCUCCAAAUAUCUUUCCGUCCGAUGUAAAUGACCCAUCCUCAAGCUUGAGAGUGAUGGUAUUUUUUUUCUACGCUCUUUGAUUCGGGCAUGGAGAUAUUUGGUAUUUCGGUCUUCAUCCUCUGCCAAAUUAAUUCUAGCUUUGCUCGCCAGUAGAUCCUUUCCCCAUUGAAGUUGUUGAGCCAACUCCACUUUAAUUUUCUCGCAUUCGAUAAAGAUUUCCCCGUCCCAGAUCUCCGUAAGUUGCCUUUCCAUCCCUUCAAUUCGAAACUGAAAGGCAGGAAUGUUUUCAUCAUGUUUUCCAAACGUGGUCUAGUUCCACUUUUUGAGGGAUUUACGGAGAUGGGCAAAUUUCACCUCAAAAUUCGACCUCACCCCUUGAGUCUCCACUGGCCAAUUGUUUGCAAGUAAGGACUCGAAAUCGUUGUGUUCACACCACAUUUCUUGGAAGUAAAACCGGCUCUGACGAGGCUGAGAUUGCUCAAAAUGAAUGUUGAGCGGGCAGUGAUCCGACUCUACUCUUGGUAAAUGAAUCACUUUCAGCGGACAAACUGAGAGAGCUUCUACAUUGAUUAAAAUUCUGUCGAGACGUUGCCAUAUGCUACUGCUCCCUUGUUGAUUAUUUAUUUCCUUCAAAGUCGGCAUCCGUGAGUCUGGCCUCGAUACGAAAACUCGUUAAAUUCUUGCAUGCCACGUAAGUGCGUAUAGGUUCCUCCCUUUUUUUCGUCUAGGUUCUUGAUCACAUUGAAAUCACCCCCUACGAUCCAUGGCUUGUUGAAAUUGUUGCUUAGCUGAGCCAAUGUUCCCAUAAAGGAAUUCUCUCUUGCCUAGUACAUUUCUGGAGAUUCACCUCGGCUUUCCAGAACACCCAGACAUAAGGGUUGAUGGGGUUGCCAUGUGUGUAAUGCGUAAGACCUAACUUUCUGGCGAUUUUAUCCAACAUGUUCUCAUUCUCCUUUGGUUCUAAAAGAACUACGAUAAGAGGUAUGUGCUGAUUUUUUAACGACUGCAAGUAAAUUAGGGAUUUCGGGUUCCCUGCACCUCGAAUAUUCCAGAUUAAGACUGACAUCAGGAAACAAAUGGAUUUCGAGCCUCUUCAUCCUUUCUUGGUCUUCCCCGUUUUCUCUUGGUUUUGGGCAGGGUUCGGCUUUUAGUCUUCCUAGCCAUAAUCUCUUUUGGAGAUUCCUCCGUAUCCCUUUUAUUUUGAACUUCUAUUACCUCUUGCUCCUCGUCUGAUUGUUCGGAGGUGUCCGUAUCAUUCUUAGCCUGGUGUUCUCCCUCCGAUAAUGACCUUUUACCAUGGUAUUGAGGGUCCAUACGAGCGAGGAGAUCCACAUUGGAGAUCUCCUUGCCUUUAUUUAUUUUUCCACGAUCUUGUCUAUCUGCAGGUCGUGUAUGUUAGGCGAAGUUGAAGACCUUUUGGCAGGUACUAUUACCUGCAUAUUAGGCUUUUCGAUCUUCUUAGGGGUGUUCUCAAUCACCUGCUCCAUUUCUUCUUCCUCCACAGCCUCAAAACGAUUAUUAGUGGAGGUUUUGGCAGUCAUAUUGUGUGUGUUGGUGGCAGCCGACGGGAGUUUUUGCUUGUCAUAUGGCGUUAGUCUAGGUUAGGAGCAGCUGUUGGAAUGCGUUGGGGCGGAGGUCGGGCAUUCUUUUUCCGACAGAUGUCGCUUGUGUGACUGAGCAACCCGCAGUGAGAUCAAAAGUUGAUGUUGCCUUCACAGUCUAGCUUCUACCAAAACCCUUUUUCUUUUGAUUCUCCUAUCCAAAGUCGAAAUGGCAAAGGCUGGGGUACAUCAACUUCGACACAUAUUUGAGCAAAUGUGAGGUUUUGAUAAUUAAUGGUUUUAGAAUCUGCACGGAGGAAGUUACCUAGUUGAUUACCCAUUCGCUCCAGAUAGGGCAGAUUAAAGUAGAAGAAGGGAAGCUUAUGAAGACGAAUCCACACCGCAACCCGUACAGUCUUUAUCGAAUUGGAGAUCCUUGGACCAUCUGAAGAUCCGAAACAUUGAUGUUCCUAUCGCGUUUGAGUCUCUCGCCAGUGCCAUAAUCAUAUCAUCGUAGUCUCCUGGAAUUACUAGAAUAUGCCGCGGAUCAAUUAAACCAAUAACCGGUUCAUUAGAGAGUUGCCAUGUUUGUGAAAUCUUGAGUCGGAUAUCAUGAAAACUAGGGCGUCCUCUAGAAAAAUUCAUGAUUAGAGCAUGCUCGAAUUGCUUCGAGGUGAGAUCCAUCUCUUUAGUCGAGAAUAAACAAGCUGGCUCAUCUUCUAUCAACGUGUAAGGUUGCGGUGGAAGGGAAACUUUGACGGGUUCAAACCACGAAGGAGGAGGCUUCUGGACAGUAGGAGCAGUAACCUGGGCAAACGUACGUACGGUGCAUGACCGGUGAAGGAGCGAGAUUGUGAGUCUGGGAUGGGCCGAAGGUGUGAGUGACUGUCGGUGAAGAGGCGCCCGCCGUUGAGUUCAUCACGGCGGCGCUGUAACACGGCAAAGUUAAUAUUUUAGGGUUUUUGAAUGAAAGAGAUUAGGGGAGAGAGGAGAGAGCAUUGUAGUAUUACAAAAAACAGUCUUUCAAAUAAGUAUUAUUAAUUUUAAUUAACUCUUUUUUUAUUAUUAAUUUAGAUUUAGAGCUUAAUGUAUAAGUUGGUUUUAAUUUUUAUAAAUUGUUGAAGUGUUGGAAAAUAUAAUAUAUAUUUUUUACUGCAACAGUGAUAAAAAUUGACAUGACAUCUUUAUAAUUAUUAAAAACAUUUUCUCUUGAUAUUUUUUCAAUAAUGUUUCUUAUAAAUAUCACAAAUUACUUUAGCUUCAAAUAAAUAUAGGGGUGCAAAUCGGACGGAUCGGGUCGAAAUUAGCCCUUCAUGAAAAAAAUGAUUUUUUUGCGAAAGUGAAAAUCUAGUUCCAAUAUUGUUCAAAAUAAAAUCGGAAGGAAACGGAAUCAGGAUUUCGGACAUUGGAAUGAAAACACUUGUUCCGAAAUCGGAAAAUUUUCGGAAAAUUUUAAUUUUUUGUCAUCUAAAAUAUAAAGUACACAAAAUAUUGGUAUUUUAAGCGUAACAAUCAGAAGAUAAAAAAUCGGAAUUUGCGGAUUAUUUUUGGAGCAUAAAAUUGGAUCAUAAAUCGAAAUCUCAUAUAUAUUCCAACUCCAAUCCAAAUAAUUUCGUAAAAACUGCAACUGGGAAUUUCGGGAUUCAAAUUGAAAAAUAUUGUUUCAAAAUCGGAAAAUUUCAGGUCAAAAUCGACGAAUAUCGAAAAUUCCGUUCCAUAUUCCACACCUAAAUAUAGUUAAAACCACAUAGUACAAUACGUCGACAAAACUAACUUAACUUUAUAAAAGAAUAAUACAAAUAGAGUUCGAGCAUGUUUCACACCACAAACAUUGCACAAAGUUUGCACAACAAACAAACCAUUAUGAUUAGUAAGUUAAUUAAUUAUAAAAUAUGUAAAAUACGUAUAUAAUAAAAAUAAAUAAGCAAAUUUAAAUACUCAACUAUUGCACCAGACUAAUUUAAUUUGCUAUAUUUUUUAUUAUUUGCCUGACCAAAAUAUUUAGAAUACAUUUAAAUAAUUACGAAGUUCAUUAAAAUAAAGAUUCCAACAAUAUUGAAUUUCAUGAAUUAUCAAUAUAUAAAUAUAGUUAUAUAUUGGAUAUAUAUUAAAAGAGAAAAACUCACUUGAAGGCCAUUCGGACCUUUCCUCCAAAGUGGAGUAUUCCUGUUUCCACAUGCCAUGUAGACUUUUGCAUCAUUUGCAUUCAGUCCUCUACGUGCAAUAGGUGCACGGUUCACCUUAUAAUUAUAUUCAAUUUAAUAAAAUUAAUCAAAAUAAUAAAUUAAUAAUAAAUUAAUGUAAAAUAAUUAAACAAAACUAAUGUAAGUUUUUUAACACAUGUUGACAUCUAUGAAUAUACAGUAGAAUCUCGAUAAAUUAAUAAUAAAUUAAUUAAUAAUUUCGCUUAAAUAAUAAUUUUUUUUCGAUCCCGACUCAGUGACAACAUGAUAAAUUAUAACUCGAUAAUUUAAUGCGAAGUGUAUCAAUAUAUAGAGGUUUAAGUUUAAUUGUUUGUUAAAGUUACUGAAUUGUAAGUGCAUUAUUGUUAGUGCGUUUGUGAAUGUUGUGUGCACUCAAUGUAUACUUUUUCCCUUUUAUUGAAAUUUAUAAUUUAUUUUUUCAUGAGUGUGUGUCUAUAUAUAUAUAUAUAUAUAUAUAUAUAUAUAUAUAUAUAUAUAUAUAUAUAUAUAUAUAUAUAUAUAUAUAUAAUGAAUAUAUUUGUUAUAGGAACAAAAAUAUGAUAAUAUAUAUUGAGUAAAUUAAAUAAAUACCUGAUCAUUUGGUGCAUAAGCAUCCACUAGUGCAUGAGCAUUCACUGGAGCAUUUCCUUGAUUUGGCGAUCUCAAUGUUAGGGUAAGAUCAAGAUUGAUAUCUUGGUUGUUAUUGUUGGCCAUUGGAUUUAUUUGGGAUCUACCUUUCAAUUUUUCUAAUCAAGAUACAAAACAUGAAAAUAAGUAUAAUUACUUAUGUAGGAGUAAACCUGACCACCGGUUCGGUUAGAACCGGAACCGAACCGGAGUCAACGGUUUUAGAACCGAACCGGAACGGGUUUGAUCGGAACCGGAAUCGGAACCGAAAAACCGGUUCGGUUCCGGUUCCUCAUUUCGGAACCUAGAACCGACGGUUAGAACCGCGGUUCUAAUCAUUUGAACCGGUUUUAAAUUUUACGUAUUUAAAAAAAAAUUAAGUUUUUUAAAUAUACUCUCCACUUAAAAAAAAGGAACUAUUUUUAAAAGUUUUUCUUUUAAGUUUUUUAAAGUAUCUUUUAAGUUAUAUAUUGAUGAUGCUAAUUAUUUAGAUCACCUAUGGUAGGGUAGAAAAUGAGCUAGGAGAGCAAAGCGGAUCAGUAGCUUAACAAUUUGAUGAUCCUGAGGUCCCUGCGAAAUGAACACACGUGAACUAAGCCGGGGGUUGAUCCGGCGGAAACCCCUCCAACGCUCAAGUCAGAUGUACGGAUCGUAGAGAUAGUGGAGAGAAUAAAACUCUAGAUUACUUGUGAAUAAUAGAACGUACCUUAACAAAUGAGUAAAAUCCUCUAUUUAUACGUGUUGACUGGGUUGGGUUCAUUUUGUUAGGCCCAAACCUUAUUUUAAAGGUGUUUGGGUCUUCGUGUAUUGGGCCCAAUUAUUAGAUAAACUGGGGAUCCAUUGGGUCGGCUCAAUUAGGUAUAUCAUUAAGCCCCCCAACUCUCGAGUCGAGGUGGGAGACUUGUCGAGAGGAUUCCGGAUCGUGUGGAGAGUUAAAUGUGACGUGGUUUUCCGGGUCGUAAUUUGUAAUUAAACAGCUUUGGAGCCCCCUUUUUUUUGUAUUUAUUUGGCAACAAGAUAUGUAUUUAAGGGUUUUAAAUAAUACAUCAGGGCCAAAUAAAUAGCAGCGGUGGAGAGAAUUAAUUUGCAAUCUUUGUGACGAAUAAAUAUGGGUAAGUAGUUUUAAUUUAUAUUGGUCUUCUUCUAUGCUCUUCCUUCUUUAUUGUUUGCGGUAGACUAGAAUUUUUUUUUUAAUUGCUUCUUCGGAGAAAAAUAUGUAUCAUGUCGAAUCCGAGUAAAUCGAAAUCCUUGGGAAUUAAGAUCCGAGAUCCGGUUCAACGGAGUGAGAAGCGGUUUGGUACUGUGGGUGUGGAACGCGAGAAGCUUGUAAUAUCGGGUGCAGAAAUCGGAUCUACGGUAGGCGGUGCACGGAUCGAGGGAAGAAAUAGGGUUAAUUGUGGCUUGGUUGAGGAGGACGGCUUGAGUCGUGCAGCCCCAUGCCUUGUUAUGGGAGAGGGUGAGCGCUUCGAGGGUGCAGCAAAGCUGAGCCGAGCCAUCGAGUUGGGGGCGUGCACGAUUUCCGAGGAGAGCAGAGAGAGAUGUUGCUGAGGUGACGCGCGCGUCAGGCGCGUCUUCCAAGGCACGCACGCGCGUCGGUGGGGGGAGGAGAGAGAGGCGCGCGCGUCGGCUGAUGGGGUGGGUGCGGGUGCACGCGCGCGCGCCAUUGGUCCACUUGGCAGACAUGAAGGGCGCAUGGGUGGAGCUGUGCUAGGGCGACGCGCGCGCGCGUCUAGCGCGGAGGCCGAGGACGACGCGCGCGCGUGUCAAUUGUCUGUGGCUACCGCGCAUGGCAGCGCGUUGGGGGAGAGGGUGGGAGCGCGUGGGGGCGCGUCCGGGGAGGUUUCUCGGGCGCGUGAAGGCGCGUCAGGUCCCGUUUUUCGUCGCUCAUCUCGGGAUAAUGAUGUGCGCGCUGAUGGGCGUUUAGGGGGAGUUGAUCCUUUACAUAGGAGGGGUCUUGGGUGGCGAGAAACCAUUGAUUCUUCGAGUGAUGACAGAGGACCGAGUGUUAAUGUUGUGGAGGAAGUGAAUGGGGUUGGUACUAGUAGGCGUCGUUAUGGACGUCAAGUCGUGGAUUUUGGGAGCGAUAGUGAUAAGUCGAAUUAGUCGCAUUCGUCAAUUGAGCGUGCUGAGCCGAGUAGGGAAGUUGAUCCGAUUGUUGAAGUAGAAGAGGAAGAUGAUAUUCCGCUGGGUGAUGUUGAGAUGGAUACGAUGAGGCAAAAGAAGAUUAAGCCAAUCAAUUUUGACUUAGUUGAUUUUGACAGUGUAUUGACUGAAGAGCAUUUGCAAUCUAUACGUCGAUUAGUUGAAGGGCCAAGGAAUAUUGAGUUGUUGUUGCCUCAGAAGGGCGAACAUUUAUAUUCUCCACCCACUGGGUUUCAUACGGUUUACUUGGCGUAUGUUACGUGUACUUCUCAGAUCACUCCGCAUCCGACCUUAUUGAAGGUUUGUGAUGAAUUUAAGAUAGGGUAUAGUCAGCUAACUCCGACUGCGCUUCUUAUGUUUGAGGCCAUUCACCAUAGGGCAUCGUGAGUAGGUUUGCCUAGUACUGUGAAUUUGUUCAAGGCAUUAUUUACACUGCAUCGGCCGAAUAAGCUGCCCUUCUUCUGUGUUCAUCCGCGGGUUCCCUACCAAUUUUUGAAGGGUGUGAAGAUGUCCUUGGGGAAUUGGAAGUCUCGUUUCUUUUAUGUGAGGGCUCCCUCUUUUGAUGUCCCUCUAAUUUGGAAACCUACGUGUGAGAGUUUCAAAAUUUCCGCUAAUAUGGCGAAGAGGAUUGAAGAAUCUAGGUUGUGUGAUGUGGAAUUUGACCCGAGGUGUCUGAUACCGGAUGGUCAGCGCCGCAUAUCCUUUUGUUGCAUCAAAUUUAUUUUUUUAUUUUUUUUUGUGUUGUUUUUCGGUUUUAUUUAUCUGUUAUCUCCAUUUUGUUUUUUAUGUAGAUGAUUGUAUUAACUUUGCGGCGCUUCGAGCUAAGGCGAAAGGGACAUCGAAGAAGGCAUCGAAGAAGGUUCCCUCUACGUUGGGAGGUUCUUCUGGUGGACUGACUCGAGAGACGGUCCGUGUGGUGACUCCUCGAGUGAUUGAAGACGAUCGUAGCUAUGCUGGUGAAGUGGAGGUGCGCGAACCUAUGAAAGAUCGUGGCAAGAGAAAGAUGGUAGACACUGAGUAUGUGGUUGUGCCAAAGCGUCCGCGGGUAGAUCCAGAGGAGCCUUAUGCUUUCCAUGGUGGGGCAGGGAAGCAGUUGUUUACCUUUGGGGUGAAUCGUGAGGGGAAUGAAUUGUAUUGGGAUGUGUCGGACCAUGGUUGCCGACUAUGAGUACCGAGGGCUUCGUUCAGGACUACGAUCGUGCUCAGAUGUCCGGCAAGGGUCAUUCACAUAUGCUCGAGUUGGCCGGCGGGGACAUAUGUCGGGUGAGUGCUUGUCUUUUUAGAACAAGACUUCUUAUUUACUCAUUUUCUUGCUUAAUCAAAACUUUUUUUUUUUUAAUUUUUUUUUAAUUUUGUAUAUAUAGUUGUUAGCGGCUUGAAGAUACCUCAUGGAGCAAGAUGGGAACGUGGAAGCUAGGAAAGAAGAUGAGCAGGCUCGAAGUUAGGUGCGUGAGGACGAACUUCGAAGCCAGUUGGAGAUAGCGCGGUCCGAUUUUGCUCAACGGACGGAGGAGCUUGCUCAGAGGACAGAGGAGCUUGAGGUUAGCCGAGGUGAGGCGAAGGCCUAUAAGGAUGAUGUUGAGAAGUUGAACGAGUGCUAUGAUCAGCUGAAAACGAAGUAUGAAGUUGAGAAAGCGACGGGAAAGAGGUUUCUCGCUACGUCGGGUGGUGCUGUUUAUAAGGAGUCCAUCAUGGAGGAAACCAAUCUUAGCUUCCGAGGUAGUGCUGAGUGUUUUGCUAUGAUUGAAGAAUGUGCUUUGGCUGCAGUCUAUAAGCCAUUAGUUCGUACCUGUCGCAAAUACCUUCGCGAGGUGGGUGAUAUCAGUGAGAGGGUCAUUCGUGGGAUGGAAUCAGGUAUAUCCGAUGAAGAGGAGGUUGGGGCAGAUGUCAACGAGAUGGGCACUGAGCUCAUGGAUGACAUGGUUGGUGAUGACCCCACUGCAGGGGCGUCUUCUGCUCAUGGAGGGGGAGCUUAUAUUUAUAUGAUAGUGUUGCUAGGAUAGUGAAAAUCUUUUUUUUUUUUUUUUUUUUUUUUUAUGGAACUCUUAGUUUAUUUUUAUCGUUGAUGUAGAUGGGUAUGUCCACUACUAUUCCGUUUGAAUUUUCUUCCUUGUUUGACUUUUGAAGUUUGAUAUCUUGAUUUAUUUAUUUUGACAUGGUCAAGAGUUUCAUGCGUUGCUUAAAUGUGUUUACAUUUAGCAUUGUACGCGAUGUACUUGAGAAGGGGAUCAGUCUCCCAAGGUUUUUAUUAAGGGUCGUGCCCUUUGUUCGGACCGCGUGGGUCUUAAGUAUGCUAGGUCCGUGGCCACGUUUUAAAAGUAGCGCCCCGUGAAACAAAUAAAGAGAUUUAGACAAUCCAGCUUGCCAGGCUAUAUAGACUAUCUGAAUUUCUCUAAGUGUUUGUAGGGUUGUAUUGCAGUGAACUCGUCGUAGCGGGUAAAUAGUAUAGAUGUAAUAACCCAGAGAGUAAAGCAAAAAAAAUUGAUUUAUUCAAUGGUUAAAAGUGAGAAUUGCUUAAAGCCUACGUGAGGCGAAGGAAAAUAAAUAUUCGAAUGUCAUAAGCCUUUGUGAGGCGAAGGGAGAUAAGUAUUGCAAAAGCAAAUGAGUUGAAAUAAUAAAAACUAUUCUAAGUGAUUAUACUAAUUUGUUCUUCUUGCACGUCUUCCUUGUACUCGUCCGUGUCGCUGUGGUGAUGGUAAGUCGAUUUCCUUUGACGUCUCUAUGCCUGAAAAGUAUAGUAGAAAAAAAAUUUAAACACUUGUACUGAAGACUUAGUAAUUGCAUAAGCGGGGGUGGUGUGUACUAUAAUAUCACAUACCCUACUAAGGGGAUUAUUUCUCUUCCUCGCACUCCGAGAUAUGAAAUCAACUCGUGAGUUGCUGCGUAAUCGUACCUGUUAAAUGGAAUGACUUUAUCAUGUUAGUGUGAAUAUACAAUAGCAUGCGUGUGAUAUCUUUUAGUGGAAGUAGUGUUACCCUUGGCGAUGUGGUAUGGAGUAUCUUCGCUUUUAGGGUCAGUGAUGAGUAGUAGGUAUUCCCUCGUAAUUGACUCUCCAUCUAUAAGAAGGUGAUGAAAACUGAGUAUGGAAUGUCGAUGUAAGUAAUAUUACUAGCCCCUCAGUUUGGGUGGGUCUUUUACGCACCUCGUUAUGGAAUAGAAUCUUCCCAAGAGUGUAGAGACGGUUUUUGCAAGACGAGUGACGUGAAAGGUCGCGAAGCCUAUAGGGGUAAUGGUUUGUAGGCAACUUUUGUAUCAGGAGUACAAGGAUGGUAACUUAAACAGUUUGAAGUAAUGUGAAUUUAUACCUCAAGCGUAGAACCUUUUGAGAUUCCUUAUAUUCCAGGUUCUGGGUAUCGGGUGUCCGUCAAGGUUCUCGAGACGAUAUGCUCCACUGUUCACCACUUUUGUGAUUUUAUAUGGUCAUUCCCACUUCGGGUCGAGUUUACCUAUUGGGCGUGAGGCAUCGGCUUCGCGGAGAACUAAAUCUUCUAUUUGGAAAGAGCGAAGGCGGACUUUGGAUUUAUAAGUUUUCGCCAUGCGACUCUUGUACAUUUGUUGUCGGAUAGAGGCGAUCUUUCUUAGUUCAUCGACGAGAUCAAGAUUAGCUCUCAUUGAUUCAUCAUUUUCCUCUGAAGAAUAAUUGAUGACUCUCCAAGAGGGUUCGCCAAUCUCGACGGGUGCUACAGCCUCUGUUCCGAAAGCUAGGUUAAAUGGAGAUUCCCCUGUUGCUGUUCGUGGGGUUGUUCGAUAUGCCCACAGAGCAUUGGGUAAUUCUUCAACCCAUUUUCCCUUGGCACUUCCAAGCCUUGUCUUGAGAUGUUGAAGUAUCGUGCGAUUAGUUACUUCAGUUUGACCAUUUGCUUGGGGGUUGGCAACCGAAGUAAAGGAUUGCUUAAUAGAUCAGCCAAGGCACCAAUUCUUUACUUUGUCUCCACAUAAUUGGGUUCCAUUGUCAGAAAAAUGGAACGGGGGAUCCCAAAGCGGCACACGAUGUUCUUCUAGAGGAAUUGGAUGAUGUCUUCCUCUCGAAUGCGAGCUAGAGGUUCUGCUUCCACCCACUUGGUGAAGUAAUCUACAACUACAAUGAGGAACUUGCGUCCUCCUGUUGCUGGUAGAAAAGGACCGACCAAGUCAACUCCCUAUUGAGUGAAAGGUAUGGGACUGUCAAUCGGUUGCAUCAGUGCUGCUGGGAGAUGAAGGAUGUUGGCGUGUUCUUGGCAAGGCUUACAUCUAUGUACUAGUCUUUUCGCAUCUUCAUGCAUGGUGGGCCAAUAGUAACCUUGUCUCAAUAUUUUGAGAGCUAAGUUUCUUCCACUUAAGUGAUUAACGCAAAUACCUUCAUGUACUUCCCAUAGCACAUAGUAUGCUGGUGAUGGGUUAAGGCACUUAAGAUAGGGGAAAGAGAACCCUCGCUUGUAGAGAUCUUCACCUACCAUUAGGAAACUAGCCGCUCUUAUCUUUAUUUUCUUCGCUUGGAAGAUGUCAGUCGGAAGUUCGCCGCUUUUGAUAUAGUUUGUAAUGGGGGUAAUCCAACAGGGUUCGUUCUCUUCAGCGCAAUUCACUCCGUCGGUGGAGACCAUUUCUGGUUGGGAAGCCGUGAGGAGGGUGAUUUUCCGGCUUCCAAUGCUUGCCAUGGAACUACCAAUUCUAGCCAACUUGUCUGCAUCAAUAUUAUUGGCUCGUGGGAUUUGCUUUAUCUCAUAACUAUCCAAUUUUGAGAGGAGGGUAAGUGCAAGAACAAGAUACUUUGCCAUGGAUUAUUCUUUGGCCUCAUAGGUCCCAAGGACUUGGUUGACUACUAACUGGGAGUCGCUAUGUAUUAUGAGUUUGCGAGCUCCAGCAUCUAAAGCAAGGCGGAUACCAGCGAUCAAAGCUUCAUAUUCGGCUUCGUUAUUGGAGGCUUUGAAAUCAAAUCGUUGAGCAUACUCGAAUUCGUCACCAUCUGGGCUUGUUAAUACAAUACCCCCGCCUUCUCGUGUAGUGGUAGAGGAUCCAUCGAAAUUGACGGUCCAAGUGGGUAUGGAGGUGCUCUCCUCCGAUGUAGUCGUCUCUACUACAAAGUCCUCCAAAAUUUGAGCUUUGAUGGCUGGGCGUGGUUUGAAUUCGACCCCAUAUUCGCUUAACUCUAUAGCCCAUUUAGCUAGUCGUCCGAAAGUUUCGGGACUUCUCAAUAUUUGUUUAAGGGGAUAGUUGGUGAGAACUAUCACCUGAUGCGAUUGGAAGUACGGACGUAACUUUCUGGCUGCAUUGAUGAGGGCGAGAGCAAGUUUCUCCAUGUUGGUAUAGCGGUGCUUUGAGCCUUGAAGAGCUCGGCUUAUGUAAUAUAUUGGUUGGUGACCUUUUUCACCGUCCCGAAUGAGCACUGCGCUAAUGGCAUCAGCAGAAAUAGCCAAAUAUAGGAAGAGGGUAUCUCCUGGCUGGGGCUUCGUUAACAGAUGCGGGGAAGUAAUAUAUGCUUUCAAUUAUGUGAAAGCUCUUUGGCAAUCCUCAUUCCAUUCAAACUUGUGCCCAUCUCUUAAUACCUUGAAGAAAGGAAGGCCUUUAUCAGCUGAUCGGGAUAUAAAUCUGUUUAGGGCUGCCAAACAACCGCUAAGUUGUUGGACCUUCUUGAUCGAUGUGGGAGGGGCCAUGGAGGUGAUAGCUUCAAUCUUUGCCGGGUUGGCUUCAAUUCCUCGUUGUGAUAUCAUGUACCCUAAGAAUUUUCCGCCUCGAACUCCGAAAGAACAUUUUAGGGGAUUGAGCUUCAUUUUGUAUUUACGUAAGAUGGAGAAGCAUUGACUUAAAUCGGUUAGGUGAUUCGCGACUUUAAUACUCUUGACGAGCAUGUCAUCAAUGUAUACUUCCAUGUUCUUAUCAAUCAAGUCUGCGAACAUCAUGUUCACUAGGCGUUGGUAAGUAGCUCAUGCAUUCUUGAGACCGAACGGCAUGACUUGAUAGCAGUAGAUGCCUUGGUUUGUAAUGAAGCUAGCUCUCUCUUGGUCUUCUGGGGCGAGCAAUAUUUGGUUGUAUCCUUGAUAUGCAUCAAGGAAGCUGAGAUGUUCGCACCCUGAGGUUGAGUCUAUGAGCUGGUCGAUCCUUGGUAAAGGAAAAGGGUCCUUGGGGCAUGCCUUGUUGAGGUCGGUGAAGUCUUCACAUAGCCUGCACUUGCCUCCGGGAUUAGGUACUAAUACAACAUUGGAUAACCAGUCGGGAUACUGAACCGAUCUAAUGUGGCCUGCAUCUAAGAGUUUUGCAACUUCCUCUUUGAUAUGUUUGUUGCGCUCAGGACCAAAAGUCCUUUUACGUUGCUUGACUGGUCUCAAUCUUUUGACAAUGUUUAGUCGAUGCAAUGCUACUUUGGGAGGAAUUCCCGUUAGAUCUUGAGCUUUCCAAGAAAACAUAUCCCCAUUGUGUCUAAGGAAGUUAACUAACUGAUUCUCCACUUCUUGAUCUAGAUCAGAUCCGAUGCGGAGAAGCUUAGAAUUAUCUCCGGGUAUGAGUUCUACUGAUUUUAGCUCUUCAACAGCUGCUAGCUUGGUGGCGUCGUCAGGGACGCUGAUUAAGAUUUCUUUAUCAGCUUCGAUGACCGCGUUGACCCAUUUUCCUUUAUCGUGCCUCAGUGUCUCGUCUCCUCUCCCUAAAGGAUUAGGUUUCUUAGAUGGCUCACGUAGAGCUCUUGCAUAACAUUCUCGGGCGAGACGUCUAUCUCCAAGUACCUCUCCCAUUCCGUAUGGAGUGGGGAAUUUCCACUUUUGGUGGUAAGAUGAAGGCACUGACUUGAAUGUAUGGAUCGGUGGCCUCCCUAGGAUGAUGAUGUUAUAAGGGGAUGGUUUGUCGACGAUGAGGAAUUUUAUCAUCUUCGUAAUUCGACAAGGAUUGUCCCCUAAGGAGAUGGGUAACUCCACUUCCCCCAUGGAUAAAACGCCCUCUCCCGUGAAUCCUUUUAAUGGUGUAGUGAUGGGGCUAAACCGGGCAUUAUCUAUACCUAGCUGCUUGAAAGUGUGGAGAUACAUGAUGUCGGCUGAGCUCCCACCGUCCACUAAUAUCUUCUUAACCAAGAAGUUGGCCACCGACGCUGUGAUUACCAAUGCAUCGACAUGAUCUUCAUCUGGACCUUCAAGGUCCGAGGAGUUGAAGACUAUGCUAUGAUUAGGUCUUCGUAUCUGAUAGAUAGAUGCGGAUGGAGAGGCGUGCUCUUGAUUCAUAUGUGCUGACCGAGCGAGGGAGCAUCUCGUAUUUUGUGAGUCGCCACCCGCUGGUCCUCCGGAGAUAAAGGCAAUGACUCCCCGGGUGGGUUGGUUAUCAUUGUUAUCUUGUUCUCUCCGAUGACCCACCUCCUCUCGUCGUUGCAGUUGAUCUAGAUUGUUAUCUCGGCAUGGGACGUCAUCACGGCGCUUGUUUCGAGGCUUGUCGAUAUAUUCGCCUAAGUGACCCUGCUUGAUCAACUUCUCAAUUACUACUUUGAGUUAUGCACAUUCCUCGGUAGUAUGUCCUCUAUCCUUAUGGAAUCGACAGUAGCGAUCCGAUUUUUCUCGUUUCGCAUUUGGCUGCAUUGGGCGUGGAGGUUCUGCUAGACCUCUUUGUUCUAUCACAUGAAGGAUUUCUGUGAGGCAAGUUUUUAGCGGAGUGAACCGAUUGUAGGAGAAAGAUGAUUGGCCUCGAGGCGGGAGUGGUGGAUGUCGAUCAUAUCGUCUUCUAACGUUGUCGGUCAUGUUCCCUCUUUCUCUUGGGAGGAGCAUAGGUAGAGGCUUCCUCUAUUCGAACAUAUUUCUCGGCUCGGUUCAGCAAUUCUUCUAGGUUGUCUGGAGGCCUUCCGGCAAUAGAUUCUUUAAACCUACCCGGCUUCAAGUUUUGUUGCAUGAUCCCGGAGAGCAUGUCUUGUCCUACGCUUGGGACUUCGUGGACGGCUUCCACAAAAUGCUUGAUGUAGUUGCGGAGCGUUUCGUUGUCUCUCUGUACUACAGAGAAAAGGUGGGUUGGGGUCUUGGCAUACUGUUUGUUGAUGGCGAAUUGACUGGUGAAACGUGUUGACAAUCGAGCGAAGGUGUCGAUCGAUCCUGUAGGUAGAAAGUUGUGGAUCGGUGGUCCCUUCAAAUUGAGGUAACCCCGAGAUCUUCACUCCUUGAGGUAAUACCUAGUUGAGGAUGUCCAUGGUGAAAGGACUGCGUCUUACUGGGGCGGGCAUUCUUCCGCCAAUUGGAUUGUUCAAUUGGUGGAAUGAAAUUUGGCGAGACAUUCUGCUGUUUACCUCGCCUUCUCACUCAUUAAAGAGAGGGACUCUCUGUGGAGACGCAUUCCCCCGUGGGGGUGAGCGCUGACGUUGUUGUCUGGGUUGCGCCCCUCUGUGAUUGGUGGAUAGUUGCACUCGGGACCGUGGGUCCGAGGUGGAGGAGCAGACACUUAUUUGAUUCUGGACUCGCGGUGGUGCCAUAGGUGGCACCACAGGUGGAGCAGGUGCUGGUAUCGCGUUGGGAGCAUUUGCUCCCAUCGUGGCGAUAUAUUGGGUCACGGCCUCUGUGGCGGCGCGAGUUGAGGCUUCUGCUAUCAUGCGUUGGAGCGCAUCCUCGGUUAUCUGAACCGUUCGGGGAGCAGGGAGUGGCAGAUCGGCGAGUGGUGGGUCCCGAGGGGGGAUCACUUGAACCUCGCGAGGUGGAUCCGGAGCACGUGGACGAGGUGGUAAGCCAGAGCCUCCGCGGAUUGGGAGGUUGUUAGCUGUGUCAUUUUCUCUCCGAGUGGAUGCCUCAGGAGGAUCUUGCUGGCUACGUGAUCUGGUUUGCAUUUUCCAACAGACGGCGCCAAAAUGAUGAUCCUAGUUAUUUAAAUCAGCUGGGGUAGGGUAGAAAACGAGCUAGGAGAGCAAAGCGAAUCAGUAGCUUAACAAUUUGAUGAUCCUGAGGUCCCUGCGAAAUGAACACACGUGAACUAAGCCGGGGGUUGAUCCGGCGGAAACCCCUCCAACGCUCAAGUCAGAUGUACAGAUCGUAGAGAUAGUGGAGAGAAUAAAACUCUAGAUUACUUGUGAAUAAUAGAACGUACCUUAACAAAUGAGUAAAAUCCUCUAUUUAUACGUGUUGAUUGGGUUGGGUUCACUUUGUUAGGCCCAAACCUUAUUUUAAAGGUGUUUGGGUCUUCGUGUAUUGGGCCCAAUUAUUAGAUAAACUGGGGGUCCAUUGGGUCGGAUCAAUUAGGUAUAUCAUUAAGCCCCCCAACUCUCGAGUCGAGGUGGGAGACUUGUCGAGGGGAUUCCGGAUCGUGUGGAGAGUUAAAUGUGACGUGGUUUUUCGGGUCGUAAUUUGUAAUUAAACAGCUUCGGAGCCCCCUUUUUUUUUGUAUUUAUUUGGCAACAAGAUAUGUAUUUAAGGUUUUUAAAUAAUACAUCAGGGCCAAAUAAAUAGAAUCCUGCAGCGGUGGAGAGAAUUAAUUUGCAAUCUUUGUGAAGAAUAAAUAUGGGUAAGUAGUUUUAAUUUUUUUUGGUCUUCUUCUAUGCUCUUCCUUCUUUAUUGUUUGCGGUAGACUAGAAUUUUUUUUUUAAUUGCUUCUUCGGAGAAAAAUAUGUAUCAUGUCGAAUCCGAGUAAAUCGAAAUCCUUGCGAAUUAAGAUCCGAGAUCCCGUUCAACAGAGUGAGAAGCGGUUUGGUACUAUGGGUAUGGAACGCGAGAAGCUUGUAAUAUCGGGUGCAGAAAUCGGAUCUGCAGUAGGCGGUGCACAGAUCGAGGGAAGAAAUAGGGUUAAUUGUGGCUUGGUUGAGGAGGACGGCUUGAGUCGUGCAGCCCCAUGCCUUGUUAUGGGAGAGGGUGAGCGCUUCGAGGGUGCAGCAAAGCUGAGCCGAGCCAUCGAGUUGGGAGCGUGCACGAUUUCCGAGGAGAGCAGAGAGAGAUGUUGCUGAGGUGACGCGCGCGUCAGGCGCGUUGGUGGGGGGAGGAGAGAGAGGCGCGCGCGUCGGCUGAUGGGGUGGGUGCGGGUGCACGCGCGCGCGCCAUUGGUCCACUUGGCAGACAUGAAGGGCGCAUGGGUGGAGCUGUGCUAGGGCGACGCGCGCGCGCGUCUAGCGCGGAGGCCGAGGACGACGCGCGCGCGUGUCAAUUGUCUGUGGCUACCGCGCAUGGCAGCGCGUUGGGGGAGAGGGUGGGAGCGCGUGGGGGCGCGUCCGGGGAGGUUUCUCGGGCGCGUGAAGGCGCGUCGGGUCCCGUUUUUCGUCGCUCAUCUCGGGAUAAUGAUGUGCGCGCUGAUGGGCGUUUAGGGGGAGUUGAUCCUUUACAUGGGAGGGGUCUUGGGUGGCGAGAAACCAUUGAUUCUUCGAGUGAUGACGGAGGACCGAGUGUUAAUGUUGUGGAGGAAGUGAAUGGGGUUGGUACUAGUAGGCGUCGUUAUGGACGUCAAGUCGUGGAUUUUGGGAGCAAUAGUGAUAAGUCGAAUUAGUUGCAUUCUUCAAGUGAGCGUGCUGAGCCGAGUAAGGAAGUUGAUCCGAUUGUUGAAGUAGAAGAGGAAGAUGAUAUUCCGCUGGGUGAUGUUGAGAUGGAUACGAUGAGGCAAAAGAAGAUUAAGCCAAUCAAUUUUGACUUAGUUGAUUUUGACAGUGUAUUGACUGAAGAGCAUUUGCAAUCUAUACGUCGAUUAGUUGAAGGGCUCAAGGAAUAUUGAGUUGUUGUUGCCUCAGAAGGGCGNNNNNNNNNNNNNNNNNNNNNNNNNNNNNNNNNNNNNNNNNNNNNNNNNNNNNNNNNNNNNNNNNNNNNNNNNNNNNNNNNNNNNNNNNNNNNNNNNNNNUGUAGCUAACUGUUAUUCUGUAACCCCAUUAAGGAACUUUUUCACACUAAAAUAAUUAGAAAGUCAUUUAAUACUAGCAUAAAGAUGAGUUCUUGUCGAAUAACAGUAAAAAUUAAAAUGAUAAACUUUUGUCGGGAUCGGUGUUAUUAUAAGAUCGCCUAUAACGGAUACAAAAUACCACAUACGAUAAAACUAACAAGACGCCAAAAAAUGGAGGAAAGAAAAUCAUAGUAAAAUAACCAUAAGGUCAUUUAAUACUAGCAUAAAGAAGAGUUCUUGUCGAAUAACAGUAAAAAAUUAAAAUGAUAAACUUUUGUCGGGAUCGAUCUUAUUAUAACAUCGCCUAUAACGGAUACAAAAUAACACAUACGAUGAAAAAUACAAGACGCCAAAAAAUAGAGGAAAGCAAAUCACAGUAACAAAAGGAUAAUAAAGAUUUUUUUUAAUCAACAGACAACACGUGGAUCGCUGAUCAGACAUAAAUAAAAGUACGAGUUAAAUUCAUCUAAUCUAAAUCUAAUCAUACAAUCAAAAUGGAUGUUAAUACAUACCAAGUAACAACACAUACAAAUGAGAAGAAUGUAAAAUUUGAAUAAAGUUAACCAUAAAAAAGUGACUACCUACGGGGUCCAACUUUAAAGAAAAAGAGAAACAAGGAAAGAUAGAGAUAAAACACUAAAAAUAACACGAAGUACAAUAUUUUUACUUUUGCAGGUAUUUUAAAGCAAAUAAUUUUUGGAGGGUUCAAUAUUUAUUGAAAGUUUUUGAAUGCCAUGUGUAAUAAAUACUCUCUAGAUGUAUCACAAAUUAUGUGAAGAAUCUUUUGAGGUUUAGAUAAAUUUCAAAAACUGCACAACUAAAUAUUUAGUAAACUUUGUCAAAAAAUGUAAUAGUUGAUUAGUACAUUAAAUGUUUUCAAAACUUGUAUAAUUAUAUAUAAUGAUAUAUAGUAUACAUUUGAAAAAUCACGCACUUAUCAAACAAAUAAUGGGCAAGUUUUAUUAACUUUCAAUGUUAAUGUUAUAUAUAUUUAUUUACUUCAUAUUACUAAGUUUUUUAGAUAAGUAAUAAUCCGUUAAAUAUGUUUGAACACCAAAAGUUUUUAUCCAUAUCAUCUUCUUCAUCAUAUUAUUUAUUUUUGAUGCACCCUUUCAGACCUUCUGCACUCUCCCUUCCUGCAGCUGCCAUCACUGAAACUCUUCACGCGCGCGCACACAUACCCACAUACCAUAGAGAGUGACUUAUGCACAUGCACAUGCAAAAUCACAUUCAUGCACAAUAGUCGUUUGCAAAAUCAGAUUUACAUAUUUUUGGGAGAGAUGAUUGUAUAUAGGUAAGUAUUCCAUUGUAAAUGACCAUUCACUAUGCUCCAUAACUAAUUUCUCAAUAAACUUUAUAAGUAAACUCUACGAGUAAUAUUUAGUCUCAGUGGGGAAGUCAGUGUACUGCCAAGGGAGGCCAUGGCACCUCUCAAAUUUUACCUUUUUUACUACUAUAUAUGGAUGGAUAUAUAAUUAUUGUCCUUGUAUUGUGCUCCUAUAAUUUUUAAGAAAUUAGUUUUAUAUAAAAAACCUAGAAAUCAGUAUUUUUCUUGUAGAAAAUAAAUAAUAAAUUAGUCUAACAAGUAUGAUAAGAAAGUAACGGAGUGUGUCAUAUAUAGAACAAGAGGCGAGUCCACCUUUGGGCAAUGAUUGAUUCAAUCCCACCUCAAUUGGAAUUUGUUUUUUACUAUAUUCCUUCUAUAUAUUUAUUAAGUCCAUCCAUAUUUUAUUAUUUAGUCCACCCGAAAUUCAAAUUAAUGCAAAGUAAGUCAUAAAUUUUUCUUUUCCAGUCUUUUGAUUUUGCCAACAAAGAAAAAAUCCUAAUUUUUUUCCAAGGGCACUGCCCUGAACCACUGAAAAUUUAAAUUCAUCAUGUAACAAUAUCCUAGACUGGCAACUCUUUAAAUAAUCAUUAUUGUGAUUAAUUUCUUCACGUUAUUUUUUAUUUAAAACUUUUAGUGUAAAUUCAGUCCUCCCAAAAAUAAAAUUCUGUUUUCUCCACUGCUUAGUUUAAUCUCUCAAAGUAAGCCUUUAGCUUCAAAUAAUGUGUUUUACCUUAAUGUAAUACUUGAUUAUUUUACCAAAAAACAAUAAUUUUAAUAUGACGUUAUAGAUGAAUUGCUUAUGGAUUUAUUUUUUACUUAUUAAUCAGUUAAUAGUGAAUAACGAACGAAUCCAAAAUUUUAGUCAAACAUAUUUAAAAUUUAGUGGUAAAUCAACAGCUGCAAAACCUGAAAUGCUAAUAUGGUGGGCAUAAAGACGACGGGGUUCAGGGAGUGCGCCCUCUCUCAAAACUAUCACAAAUGAAUCUUCAACUACUCAAAAUUCACUUCAUAAUCUCUAAAUUACUCAAAAUUCACUUCAUAACCUCCAUCGCUCUCGGGUAAGUAUUAAUUUUCUCUAUUGUUUCAAACUAAAAUGUGUUUGUCACGUAUUCAUUUUUAUAACAAGAUUUGAACUUUGAAAGAAGCUCAAUUUUAUUAUUUUGUUGUACGACCUUUUAAUAGGACGUAGAAUAUUCCCACAACAAAGGGAUUCCCGUUACAACUUAUUUAUACAUAAAUCACGCAACAAAGAAAGUAAUAAAUUCACACAUACAAGAAUUAAAGAUCAAAUUAUCAGUGAUUAUACAAACCCAAUCAACAGUGUAUAAAAAUCUCAAAGUGGUCGCCAUAGUAGUUUAGUACGCACCAUAAGCCACAACAGCUGCAACAACUGCACCCAUCACAACAACACUAGUGAUAAUAUGGUGUUGCUCCUAUUUUCCUAUCCACGACAAGAGUCCUUUUUUAACUGGUUUAUUCUCAACAUUUUCGUCUUUGCAGCAUGAAAAUCCAUCGGCACCUCUGCAACACCCUCCAGUACUUGCCGAAGCAGCAACAAUCUUUUCAGGUUGUUUCUCGUUGCUCUUCACAUUUGUUCCAUUAGUAUGAUUCGGUUCCUCAACUCCUUUGAUAUUAGCACCCAUUUGGCCUCUGUAUAUAAUCAUGGUAUGCAUAAAAUAUUCACUUCUUAUCUAUGUAGCGCAAACACGAAAAUGACAAUACAGAGAAACGGGGAACAAAGGGUACGUCGAAACGGCAUGUCCGAAAAAUGGAGAUACAAGAACUUGGGGAAAACGUAUAAAUAUUAAAAGUAUAGGGGCAUAUUUAUAAAUAUGCUAUAUAAACAUAUAUAAACUUUUAUUUAUAUAUAACUUUUUUAUAUUUCCAUACAAAUAUAUUCAAAAUUAAUAUUAUUAUCAACUAUCAAUUUGUAGUUGAUCAAUAAAUCAUGUAUUUAAUUAGGGAAGUAACAAAAAUAUCUGAAAAUUUACUAUUCAAACAUGUUUUUAAUCUUUUAGAAAUUGUAAAAUGGCCAAUAAGGUGUCCGGCGGCUGUCGUUUAGUGUCGUACACGAAACAUGUCCGAAACGCGAAAACGUUAAAAAGUUGAAAUUUCCGUACUAUAUAGUUUCCCAUUGUGGCGAAACAAUAAUUAGAUAUUAAGAAAAGGAAGAUGAAGAAAGAAAGCACACCUCCAAAUCCGGUCAACGGCUUCUCCUUGCCCAAUUUGUUUAUCAAUCAAUUCAUGAAUGUCGCCGGGUGUAACAUACCCGUACCUGAAGAAUGGAGGAUGAAUCAUUUUAUGAUGUACAUGGAUACACAUACAACAAAUAAUUUUUUGAGUGACAACACCUCUUUUUACAUGAUUCAUCAGGCGAAACAAAAUAUUAUGAAUUACUAAUAGGGUAUCACUAAUUCUAUAUAUUGAUGAUAAAAUGUGAUUGUCACUUCUAUAUAUAAUUAUAUAGUCAUAGUGACAUAAAAAAUUAUUUAAGUGAAAACAAAAUGAGCACAGCAUACAAAAUGUUGUCUUUAUAGUAACAAUUUAUUUUAAGGACGAUAUAGUUAUUGGUUUCCCAAUCCCCCUCUUGGUGUAUUGAAUUCAUGACCAAUGGUCCUGAGUGCAAGGUGCUUACCAACAGGCUACCUUGUCUUUACUUUUUACCAACAACUUCUGAUAUUGUUUCAUCUAGGGUAUCACUCAUUAUUCAGGUGCGCGAAAGCGACGUUUGUCGCCGUUCCGAACGAUAAAUCGGCGAUUUCAACUCUUAAGACGAAACUUUAUCACUUCCGACGAAGCACUAUCACUAUGAUUAAUGAUGCAGUGCUCAUGAACUUAACGUUUAGCCAAAAAACUAAGUCAAACACAAAGUAGAGAAAAGUGUAGUCCAUACCAGUUACCACUAAUUUUUCCUUGAGGAGUUGCACUAAAGAUGAUCACAUUGCCUGCAUACUUGUGUCCUCCUACAUGUGAGCAAGAAGUCACAAAUACAUGCUUCGUCAAAUCUUUGGAUCCAAUCUCUUCCUUAAACUUCUCAAUCAAAAUCGGGCCACAAACCCCACAUCGUCGGUCUCGAUUGUUAUGACAACAAACGAACACGUAUGAGCCACUCAAUUUUUCGAUCUUUCCAGACAGGUCAACCUUUUCAUUUACAAGCACAUCUUCAACAAACCUAUCACCUUCGGACUCUAUCAAGCCCCUUCAAUAAACCAAAACAAAGACGUACAAUUUCCAACCAAUUAAAACUAAGGCAAUAUCAAUAAUUUAAUAAUGAAUAUAUGUAUAUAUUCCUUAAGUAUGUUCAUACCUGUAUACAAUCAUUUCUGGAAAAAUCAGUACGUCUCCAUCUGACAACUUCCCCUUGUCGCCUGCCUCGCAUAUAGUCAAACGAGUCUACAAGUUCCCAAAUCGCCAAAAUUAUAAUAUAUAUGCAUGUGGUUUGAUAUAUUUCCAAGAAAUUAAAUACACCAAAAAAUUAAAUAUCUGAAAGACAAAAUGCAAGCACACGAGAUGCAAAAAAAAAUAUAUAUAUAUAUAUAUAUAUAUAUAUAUAUAUAUAUAUAUAUAUAUAUAUAGUUUUCCAGGAUCUAGUUACAAUGUGGGCUUAAUUUUCCAGUGAGAUGCAAAAAAAUUACGACUUUUUUUGACAAAAAAAAAAAAAAAAAACCGAGUCUACAGUUGUUAAUAAACACAAGUUUCAUUUCUUCUUCAAUGGAAUACAACGGCUACAUUUUUAAAAUGUGUCGUUGAUAGAAAAACAAAUAUGCAUGGUGGUGUGAUCGUACCGACCACCCACAACAUUUAACGACAGUGAGAAUAUAAACAACUAAAAUAAUAUAAACGGGGAAAAAAAAUAAGAACGUGCAUGUAUUAGUACGGAUCCGGACCUUGAGUUUAAUGUCGUUUUUACGAGCUUUAAGGGCAGAGGCGAGAAGCUUAGGGAGAGGAUCGGCAUCAGAUUCCUCGACUCGUGUAGGCCACAACUCAUGCGACUUGUAGCAUAGGAACAGGUGUCGUUCGUACUGUUCAACACUUCCGGCGAGUUUGCUUUCGUACAUGUCACUUCUCUCGAAUCCGUAAUUGCCGCUCUCAUCUACGACGAUGGUGGUGGUGCUGGCCAUGGUGGAGGACGACGGAGUGAUGACUGGUGGUCGGCCGGGAGAUAUUUUUCUAAGGUUUUCGAAUAUGGUUAUGGGGGAAGUGGAGUGGACCUAUAUAUAUAUACAUGUACAUAAAUUAAAAUUCAACUCUCCAUUCUUGUACUCUGACUCAGUAUCACUUUACCCCCUUUUACUCUUGAUUGCAUCGAUUUGCCCCCCUGCACUUGAAAAAUUGUCCCAAGGUGCCCUCGUUGUUAGUUGUCAGACAUUUGACCUUAACACCGUUUGAUUUAAGCUCUGAAAUUACAAAAACGUCACAUCUCCUAGUUUAAAUACUUAUUAAAGAAAAUAAAAUAAAAUAUAUAAAAAAUUCAAGACAACGAGAAAACAUAGUUCACGACGCCAACCACAAUUUAUUUUUAAUUUUUUUUUAAUUUUUGUAAAUGAUUAUUUAAACUGGUAGGGGUUGCUUUUUUUGUAAUUUGCAACCUUAGAUCACAAACGGUGUUAAUGUAAAAGGUCUGAAAACUAACGGACGGCGAGGGCCACAUUGAAACAACUUUUCAAAUCAGGGGAAAAAUCAAUGCAAUCGAAAGUAGAAAGGGGUAAAAUGAUAUUGAGUCAAAAUAUAAGGAGGUAAGUGGAAUUUAGACUUAUUUUUAUACAGGCAUAUAUAUUUAUAUAUAUACUUGUCUGAAUGGAGGCUAUAAAUUGGGCCAGGUACCAAAUGAGCAUCGUCUUGUAAUGGUUUUUGAAGUACAAAAUAAAAAUACUAAGACUAGUCAACGACACGAUAUAAACUCAUCACACCACGUUGUUGUUUGGGUUGACAAUUAAAAGAUAAGCAUUAAGUUUUUUGAUCUCUCAUCUCAUUAUAAAAUUUCAAUUUGCAAAUUUUAAUUUUAUAGUAUAAUUCAAUGUUUACAAAACCGGACCCGUUAUAGAAUCGAACGACCAUUUGGGUCAUGGGUUCAUAGGAUCGAACCGGUUCAACCGAGUUUUUUUUUUUUUUUUAAUAUGACAUUAUUUUAUUGAUUUUAUUGUUUCAAAAAUAUUAUUUUCUUUAUAUUUUUAAUCUCCCAGUUAUUAUUCUUACUUUUAUCUACUUCACCUCACUUUUUACUAUAUUUUAUUGUUUAUACUCUAUCUUUUAUCAUUUUUUAUUCUUCAAAUCCGGCAAUCCGGCAAUCGGCUACCCCUAUUCGAUCCCCCACGAUCAUAUCCGACAAUCCUUCGGCCCCUCAUGACUAAAUCCGGUCAGCCACUACUAAGUAUGUGAAAGUUCGCUCAAAUCUAGCGACAAAUAACCAACUAAACGGUGAUUCGAGGCGUUUUGGCCGAAAACCGGGUUCAUUGACUGACUCGUCGGUUCUCGGGUUUUACCCGGUCGAACCGGGUUUUGAUCAUUUGACCCCGGUUUUCAAAAUUGUCUGGUUUCGAUGUUAGACCGAACCGCUUUAUUGCCGGAUCAUGGUCAAACCGGUCCGACCGGCCGGUUCGAUCCGGUUCUAACAACAUUGGUAUAAUUCAUCUAUCGAGAUUGUUUGAGUAUAACUAAUUAUGUCAAUAAGUUUUCUGCAACCAUUGGGUUAGUUGACAUAUAGUAUUUUAGUUUUUUUUCUUUCUUUAGUGUAGAGUUGACAUAUAAUAUUUGUGAUAUCAUUUGACUUUCACUUCUAACAUUCGAACUGCAUAUUAUUCCAUUGGGCUAAACUUAUCUGCACUCUUAUUAAGACCAAAUUCAGUUCUAAAACAAACUAAUCCCUUUGGGUCUUACUUAAAAUAUACCUCGUAAUAUAAUUUGCAUCAAUUUUAUCAAUAAUAUUCUAAUUUAAUAUAUAUUGCACAUUAAUCCCUAAUAUUAACAAACAUUAACAUCCAUAUAUCAAUUUUUUGAAUAUUUUGUUUUAGAAAUUAAAAGAAAAAAACGAAAAUCUAAACUUUUUUUCCGGCCAUUGACCGGUAUCGACCACCGGUCUUCGGCAUUGACCGCCAGUCUCAAGAGUUACUGUUGACAUCGAAAUUGGGAUUAAACUACAAAUUAAUGGCCUAAAUAAUUUGGUUAUUAAUUUGGAUCUCGAUUAACAGUCCAUAAUAAAUUUUGGAUUUUGUAUUGAAGUCCACAAAAUUUGGGCUUCACAAAUAUAUCAUAUGAGUUAACCCAGAAUUGAGUACUAAAUUCUUAUUAUUGGGUUAGCUGUUUGGGCUCACAAAGUAUGGCCCACAAUAAAUAAGUUGCAAGUGUCCGAGUCCACCGGCCCAAGUUUCAAGUCAAGAAACCCUAAACCGAGCCUAUAAAAUGAGGUAUUAUACAAGAAGACAAGGACACAAGCAUCAAGCAAGGCGUACAUCAAGCACUCAAAAGCUCUCAAGUCUCGAGCUCUUGCCACGACGAAGAACAACAACCGCGGAGGUUCUACAUCUUCAUCAAGGCACCAAAUCCACAAGACCUAGAAAUCCCUAAAUCGAUUUCUAGAUAUUCAUAUCUACUUCCGCAAAUCAACGGUGGAAUCAAGCUCUCAAUUCAAGAACAAGCUUCGGCCCUUGGAUUAUAUCUAGGAGAAGAAUCAGAGGAAUCAACAAAGAUUGUAACCCAUUUUCGUUUUGAUUAAAAUAUAAUUAUUUGUUCUUAUAUUUUCUUGUCUUGUAAUUUAUUUUGCAGACAUUUAAAUUUGAGGUUAACAGUUACUUUUUCCUUUUAUUAUUUAAAUUUCUUUUUUUUUUAAAUUCUGAAAUUUUCUUUCGCCCACCACUUUUGUCCACUAGUCCUCGACAUCGACUCUUUUUUCCUAAUCCCUUUAUUUGAAUUAUUUUAUUUUCCUGUUGUUGUCCGAUCAACACAAUACGAUUGAUCUGAAUACAACACAAUAAUCUUCUUGUCUUACAGAGUGAUAUUACUAUGUUCACAAUAAUAUUAAAUAUUUUUAACCUUUUUUUCCAUUUUUUUUUAUUAUUUAAACAACCAACACAAUAAUAUUACCGUGCUAGCACUAACAUUAUGGUCUGAGACAUUAAUAUUGCAGGUCAAGACAAUAAUAUUAAUAUUAAGACAAUAAUAUUAUUAUGCUAUUAUUGUCUGAGACAGUAAUAUUACAGGCCAAGACAGUAGUAUUAAAAUUACCACAAUAAUAUUAUUUCAUAUUAUUGUCAACACACAUAAUUUGGUUAACAGUAAUAUUAUUUAUCGUGGUUGAUGGACCCACCCCCAAAAGCCCAUAUCGACUAAACCAAUAGAGGCACACAAACCAAGCCCAAGUUAACUUAAAGUAAUAAUACAUGCCCAAGUUGGCUAACUAAUUGGGUACUAAGGAAAAAUAUAUUGAACUUGUGUCGCAUUGAGAAUCACAAGGGGUUGACAAUUGAACAGUUGAUUUACUCUAGCUUGCAGAAUUAGGGUAUUGAGCGCGUUUUUACCGUGACGGUGGAUAAUGCCAAUGUUUUGAAAACCGGACCGGACCGGCCGGUCCGACCGGUUCAACCGCGAACCGCUGCCAUGUCCGGUCCGGUUAUAUGUGAAAACCCGAAAAGCCCAAAAAACCGGUUCAACUGCCAAAAUCCCGGUUCCACCGGUAAAAACCGGUUAACUCGGAACCCAGUCGAAAACCGGUUUUCAGCUCAAAAAAAAAAUUCAUGGUCGGAUCUAUGUCAAUGGUGGUCGUUGGUGAUUGAAUCUUGUCGGAAAAGUUUGUUGGUGAACAGAUCUGGGUAGUAUGUGACCCAAUCCAAGUGGUGGCCGCCAUAGCUUUCCAUCGAAGAAACAAAAACGAAGAAGAUGAAAGUGAAAAUGAAGAAAAAAAUGAAAAAAUAAGUUGAGGAAAUAGAGUAUAUAUUUGGGUGGAAAUGAGGAUAAUUAAGAAUAAACAACAAUGAAGAAGAGAAGAAAAGAAGGAGAGAAGAAGAGAAGAAGGAGAUGGGGUCUGUGAAGACGAGAGGAAGAAGAAAGAAGAGAGAGAGAGAGAGAGAGAGAGAGAGAGGGAGUGGGAGAGGAGAGAGAGAGAGAGAGAGAGGAGUGUGGAGAAAUUAAUAAUUUUAAACUAUUUUUGUAAUAAAAAAAGGUGGAGUAAGUUGGAUAAUAAAGUGAUGAAAGUAUGAAGGAAAUAUAAAAAUAUAAAAUAUAUUAUAUUUGAGGUAUUAAAUUAAUAAAAUAAUUAAAUAUAUAAAAAAAAUAAAAAACCCGGUUGGACCCCGGUUGAACCGGUCCAACCGCGACCCGGUAGCUUUGCCGGGUCGAUGUCCGGUCCGGUUUUCAAAACAUUGGAUAAUGCUUCAUUAAAUGAUGGGGCAAUUAAAUUCUUAGAAACCAUGCUUAGCGGACCUGAUGCAAUCUUAGAGUGUAGGUUUCUGCAUUUAAGGUGUUGCGCCCAUAUCUUAAAUCUUGUGGUGAGGGAUGGAUUAGGGGAACAGAACCUCUCGGUUGUUAAAAUCAGAAAUUCGGAAAUAUAUGUCAGAUCCUCUCCGCCUAGAGAGGCAAAAUUCAGAGUGUGUCGAGAGGGGGAAGAUAGAUUGCACAAAGAAAGUUUGUUUAGACGUCGAAAAAAGGUGGAAUUCCACAUAUUUGAUGUUGAAAACUUCUGAUAAGUAUGCCAAUGCUUUUGCCAGGCUUCAAUCAUUGGAUUAAAACUUUGAGUACUUUCAAGUUGGUAGUGACGAGGAGUAAUCUAAUACAAGGAAGCGAAAGAGGGAAAAAAAUUGGGACCUCCAAGCAAAAGUUAUUGGGCGAAAGCACGACGCUUUAUUAAAUAUCUGAAGAUCUUCUACUAUGUGACUAAUCUGAUUUCGGGGAAAAAAUAUGUUACCUCAAACUUAUUUUUCAAAGAACUAGUGGUAAUGCAUGUAAGCAUUUAAAAAAUAUGCUUGAGUUCAAAUAAGGAAGAUAGGGAAAUUGACGUCUCAAUGAAAGCAAAUCAUGAUAAGUACUGGGAAAACAUUGAUAACAUAAAUCUUUUAUUGUAUAUAGCUGUGGUGUUGGAUCCUCGCAAUAAAUGAGUUAUCUUGACUUUUGUUUGGGGCAAACUUACGCAUGAGAUACGCAGAUGUCCAAGGAUAUAAGUACAACAGUUCUUUUAGUUUUUAAUGAAUUAUUUGAACACUACAAAAAAGAAAUUAAAUAAGGCGAAUGGUAAAGGAUCUUCUUCUUCGAGUUGUGUUGUUUCUGAGGAUAAAACUGGUGAUAUAAAAUCUGAUUUAGAAUCAAGUUAUUUGAAAUUGUUGGAAGGAAAAGGAAAUAUUGAUAAGUUUGAGGUUGAAGUGUACUUGUCUGAUGGAAUGGAAAAGAGAGAUCAAAAGUUUGAUAUUUUGAAAUGGUGGAAAAUGAAUUCCUUAAAGUUUCUGAUCCUUUCUCAAAUUGCUGGACAUUUAGUACCAAUGUCGAUAUUCACUGAGGCAUCGGAGUCGACAUUUAGUGGUGGCGGUAGGGUUAUUGAUCCAUUUAGAAUUUUGCUUGGUCGUACGACGGCUGAAGCUCUUAUUUGUGCUCAAGAUUGGAUACGGUCUUCGUCGACGAGCAUUGGGCUUUCUCAUGCAAAAUCAAGAAGCAUGGAUGUAGGAGAUUCGCAAAAAAAAAAAAAUUAGAAAAACUUGAGACAAGUACAAAAUUUUAAAUACUUCAUAUGUAUUCUAAUUUAAUUUACCAUACAAUUAUGCUUAUUUUCUAUAUUCUGAUGUAUUUUUUACUUAUGUAAUUUUUAGAGGCAUUUGCAAGUGGAUCGAAGUUUUUCACCAUACCAUAUUGAUGUUUCUAAAAUGGUAAACUUGUUUAUAUAAAUGUGAUUUCUUUGUUUGAUGUUACUAACUACAAUUAAAACUAUAUGUAUUUUUAGGCUGGUACAACGUCUAUGGAGCCGUGGCCUCGUGGGGGAGUUGGUGACAAUGUCUUUGUAUUUGCAUUGUUCCUCAUUUUGCAGUUUUUUUAAGCUUUCCUAAACGAAGUUUGGUAGAUUUUUGCUACUGUUAAAAGGAUGUAUUAUCUGGUUUUGAUGUGAUUUUUUCAGCUAAUUUUUAAUGAAUGUUGCUAAGUUUUAUCCGAUUUUUUGCUGCUUAUUUUUUAAUGAAUGUCGUUGGGGUUUAUUUUUUAUUUUUUUAUUUCUUUUGUGUAUGAAGUUUUGCAGUGGAUUUUUCUAUUUUUUCAGAUGAUUUCGAAUGAAUUUUAAUUGAUUUUUUGGCUGAUUGUUUCCUGAAUUUUGAGCUAAUUUAUUGACAUUUUUCAGUUGGAUUGUUGGGCCAAAAUGAGCCCAAACCGAACCGAAAACAGAACCAUUAUUUAAACCGUACCGAGAAUUUAUGAACCGAAAAGCAACCGAAACCGACAAAAAGCGAACCGAACCGAUUGGAACCGAACCGCAAGAAACCGAUCGGUUUGGUUUUUGGUUCUUUAAGAACCGACCACUUCGGUUUUUGUUUGAGGCUAUAACCGAAUCGAACCGAACCGAUCUCACCCCUAAUUUAGGGUAUAAGAGCAAGUUAGGGAUAAAAAGAAAUUUAGGAAAAUGGAUCAUAUUAUGUUUCGAAAUAAGAGUGUAUUUAAAAUUUUAGUACUUUAGGAUUGUCAUUUAAAUCUAAUUAGAUUUGGUUUGAGAAAGUAUAGUAUAUUAAUCCCUUUGAAAAAUCAUAUCAUUGUCACAGUCUUUAAAUAUAUGUCGUCCCUAAAUUAUUAAUGGUUACUCUCGCCGUUUUCUUGCACGCUAAGCAAAGUAAAAGUCAAUUAUAUAUCUAGGACAAUGCAACAUUUAUAUAAUCUUACCUUAUAAAUAAAUCGAAAGAUAAAUAUAAGAGAUGUCCCGCAGUAUUGAUCUUUGAACGAUUGAUUGGCAUCAGGUUCCGGCACUUAUUAUUUUAAUUCCAGCAUAAUUUUCCAAAUAUAGAAAACUUUCAGACCUUGGCACAACUAACAAAGUCUACAAAAAAAAGGGUAAAUUCUACUUUACCCCCUCGUACUCUGCCCGAGAGUCACUUAACCCCCUCGUACUCUCAAUUUUAUCGAUGUACCCCCCUGUACUUGUACAAUUUCCCAAUACAGCCCUCUCCGUCAACUUUUUUCAAUUUUGACUCUGACGCCGUUUGAUGAACUCUGUAAAUUACAAAAUUGCCACUGCCUAAACAUCGUUUCUUCUCCUUCAACAUUAUCGUUUCUUCUUCUUUCACCACUCUCCCUUACAAGAUAUCCCCAAAUUGGUAGAAUUCACCCUAAGGUAAUAUAAUUUGCAUAUAAGUUACACCACUUCUAUUUAGUUGGUGAUUACACAACAUAAUUUUGCUUCUUUGUUCAGGUAAUAAAGAAAUCAACAAGAUUCGGGGACAUACUCUUCAGUCAAGGCCCGAUCGAUAAACCUGUCUAAUUACCUUGUUCUAUAUUAUGAGUAUAAUUUAAUUUUCUUGUAAGGGGGAGUGGUGGAAGAAGAAGAAACGAUAAUGUUGAAGGAGAAGAAACGAUGUUUAGGCAGUGGCAAUUUUGUAAUUUACAGAGUUGACCAAACGGCGUCAGAGUCAAAAUUGAAAAAAGUUGACGGAGAGGGCUGUAUUGGGAAAUUGUACAAGUACAGGGGGGUACAUCGAUAAAAUUGAGAGUAUGAGGGGGUUAAGUGACUUUCGGGCAGAGUACGAGGGGGUAAAGUGGAAUUUACCCAAAAAAAAUGCAACAUUUUGAAAGUUGGGGGCAACGUGUAAAAUGCCCUAUAUUCAAAGGAUAAAGUUACUCUAUAUUUAUUAAGAGAUAUCUUCACAAGAUUUGAUAAUGAAACAUACGUCGAGAGUUUUUAGAAUUUGAAGACGCAAAAAGGUCAUUAGAGCAUCCCCACCGUUCUAUGUAUUGAUUUUUCACAUAAUUUAGGUGGUUUUAGUCUCCCACCAUAAAUCUCUAUAUCAGUAUAUACUCAAAUCCUAAUUUUCCACCAAAUUUUAUGGUGAAAGAAUUUUUAUCUCCCACCGGUUCACAUUUUCCUAUUUUUUCCACAAAAUCCUAUUUCGUCUAUCAUAUAUAGAGGUGAAAAUAGGAUUUGGUGUAAUUAACAUCAUUUUAUUGGUUAGCAUAUAAAAUAAUAAUUUUAACUAAUCGCAUGUUAUUACCCACUUAUUAGCAUAUUUAUUGUAAAUACAUUAGUGUUAAUUAAUAAAUUAAUAUUCAAAAUAUAAAUAUAUUAUUAUCAAUAAAAACAUUAAUUCUAAUAAGUAUAAAUAUGCUUAUUUUUAAUUAAAUUGUGUAUUUUUUGGUAUCAAUGUUGAUUAGCUCAUUUUCUUUUAUUUAACUAAUACGCUAAUUGCUACUAAUAAAAUAUAAUAAACAAUAAUAGGACGAGCCCUUUAAAUUGAAAUUUUGAUAAAUCAAGGAAAGCACAAUGAAAUAAAAAAGGAAAUUGAUAGCACACUUUUGAUAAACGUGGUCAAAUAGAUGAUUUUGAAGAUUAUGAUGGUGAUGGUGAUGAUGAUAAUAAUGGUGACUGAAACUUUUGUUUUUAUUUAUGAUUUUAGAUCAAUAUAUGUUGUAAUAUUAUUUAUUCAUCAAUAGUUUAUGAUAUUAUUGUUUAUGUGUGAUUUGAUUAUAUGUAAAAUAAAUGAUGUAAUUUUAUUUCAUGAUGUACUUGCUACUAAUAAAAUAUAAUAAACAAUAAUAGGACGAGCCCUUUAAAUUGAAAUUUUGAUAAAUCAAGGAAAGCACAAUGAAAUAAAAAAGGAAAUUGGUAGCACACUUUUGAUAAACGUGGUCAAAUAGAUGAUUUUGAAGAUUAUGAUGGUGAUGGUGAUGAUGAUAAUAAUGGUGACUGAAACUUUUGUUUUUAUUUAUGAUUUUAGAUCAAUAUAUGUUGUAAUAUUAUUUAUUCAUCAAUAGUUUAUGAUAUUAUUGUUUAUGUGUGAUUUCAUUAUAUGUAAAAUAAAUGAUGUAAUUUUAUUUCAUGUUUAGAUAGUUUUUAAAACUCUUAACAUAAUUUCGAAUUGUAUAGUUAAAAAUAUGAUUAUUUAAAUUUAGAUCUAUAUUUAAUAAUUUAGGAAAUAAAGUAUAGUAAAAUUAUGAUUGUUUGAGCUGAUACACACUCUUGGCAUCCUACGUGAAUGCCAUGGGAUACCAAACCAAAUCUCAUCGAAACUCUCACAUGUAUCGUUUUCUAUACAUAUUGUAUCGUAUCGUUUAUCGUAUUGUAUCGUAAGAUAUUUAACUAGAUAUUGAAAGGAAAAAUUAGCACGGCCUCCUUCAUCUAGGAAAUAUAGUUAAGGAAAAUCUCCCUCCCAAAAGUAAUUAGAGAAAACCCGUUCCCCUUUUAAACUAACCCUCCUAACGAAUCUUACUUGUCUAAUAUACUCUUGGAGAACCCUAAUCUCAUUUAUCAUUUCUCUCUUCUUCUUUUCACGCAUCUCCUCUCUCUUUUUCUCUGAUAUUUUUUUCUAUUUUCAAUGUCCCACCAAAUCUCUAGUUUUUUCUCUCUCGAUCUGGAGGCGAAGAACAAGAGUUGUCGGCGCCACUGGAACGACACUCCUUCUCCUUCUCUUUCUCUUGGAGAUGGAUUUUUUCACUGCGUGUUUCCAGAACGAGUGCGAGGAAGAUGACUUUUUCGUCGAUUUGGUUCCGAUAUCGGAUUUUGAUGGGUUGUGGUUCUGUUUUGAUUGGUGGUGCGAUUGUGAUUUACUUUAUUUGUAAGAAAAAAAUCGUCAGAGUAUAGAAGUACGAGGUAGUGGUGGUGAUGGUGUUGUGUGGCGGCUGUGUGGUAACGAUGGGGAGGUAGAUCUAGGGUUUUUCGGUGGAUCAGAUGGAGGACGGCGCGAGUAGAGAAAUUCGCGCAAGCUGGAUCCUUAAUCGACUAUGCUUCGAUUUUAUUUUUUAAUUCAUUUUUGAAUUUUUGUGUAUUAAUUCCGAUUUGUAUAAAUCAAUUACAGUUUAUGUAUAUUAUUUGUUUUGUAACAAAAAUAUUGAUUUUCAUUUUUAUGUCAUGUUUUUUUUUUUUAGUAGUUUGUUCCUUAAUCAACUAUGCUUCAUCAUAGUUGAUUAAUAUGUUUCAUAGUCGAUUAAUAUACAUGAUAGAGGAAAAAUGGUUAAAAAACAAAAAAAACAUUAAAAAAAAAAAAUAGAUAACGGCUGAUGAUGUAGCCGCACAGUAGGUGAUAGUGCUGAUGAGGUGGCAGGGGCAUAAUUGAAAAAUGGGUGGCUGAAAUUAGGAGUGGCUUUUCUCAAACAUUGCAAAAUAGUUUGGGCAUCUCUCUAUUAACAUCAUCUUCACAUAGAUCUCUACACCAUCGUCUUCGCAUAGAUCUCUACACCACCACCGUCGUCGCUUGCCGCCACCGCGUCCUUCAUCUCCAGGUAAGGUUUUUUCUCUCUUUUUCGUUAUCUCUACCGAUUUCUCAGUUUUUUUCCCCAGAUAUGUCCACCACCACCACCGCCGCCACCGCUGUUGUCGUCGACUCCCCCUCCCUCUCUUUCGAUUUCUCUAUUUUUUUUCUCCAUAUCUAAACUAGCAACAUUAAAAUGAUUAUAGUCAUAUUCGAAAUUUUUUUUUGUUCUCCAGAUCUUAGCUUUCUAUCUCUAUUUCUGUAUUUUUAGAUUUUUUUUUUUCUCUACAUCUAAACUAGCAGUACCAGCAUUAAAAUGACUAUACAUAUUCGAACUUUUUUUUUCUUCUCCAUAUCUAAACUAGCAGCAGUAACAUGACUAUACUCAUAUUCGAAUAUGACUAUUGUUUGAAUAUGACUGUAGUCAUAUUCAAAUAUGUUCUAUCUUUUCGUUUCAAGUUAACUUGUAAUAAUAACAUUCAAAAUGUUGAUUGGAUUGUUUUCGUAAGUAAUAAGCAAAAUCUUCGUUGUUUUAUAUAAUUUGGUAAACACAACUUUACCUCACUAUACAAUCGAAUUUUUAAAUUGAAAAUGUAAAAAACUGCAAUAUAAAGAAAGAAUAUGACUACCAUUGAUAUAGUCACAUAUAGUCAACUAUAGUCAUAUUCGGCGUAGUAAAUAAGUCGAGAAACAAAAAAUAAAUUUUUUGUUUAAAAAAAUUAAAAAAAAAAUUAUUACAAAAAUAUAAUAAUAAAUAAUAAAAAAAUACGAAAUAAAUCCAAAAUAAUAAAAGAUAAAAAAAUAAAAAAUAUAAUUUGUUUUUUUUUUCUUCUAUUUGUUAGCAAUUUUUUAAGAAUUUGGAAGCAGAUUUUUAGAAAUUAGAUUGUUGUUAUGGAAAUAGUAAAAAAAAAAGAAUAAUUGAGACAAAUUAUGCUAAUUGACAUAAUGGUAGUAUUGGGAAUACAAUUGUUAGGGGGUUAUCACAAAGAAGGAUUUAAGGGGUGGACCUAUCACUAUUUAUUAGCUAUAUGAGGGGCUUAUUGCUAAUGACCGCUAUUGAUAAUAGUACAAAAUAUAUAUUUGUAUAUUAAAAAUAUAGUAAACACGUAACAUUUUUAAUCAAACACUCAUUGAAAAUAGAUCUAAAUGCAAGUUUCAAGAUUAAACUAUUAAAAAGAAAAAAAAGUCACAGUUGAUUGAUAGAAAUGCUAGUGUUGGUUUUAUUACCUUUGUUGAUAUAAAUUGCAUUUCAAAUUUGUAAUGCUGAACAAUUUUUUUUUUUUUGUAUUGUUUUUAUUUUUUUCUAAUUUUUUUUUCGUAUUUUAAUGGGAAGAAUAAUAAUAUUUAUCUGAAAUAAUUUAUUUUGUUUUUGCCUUAAUUAAAGAAAAAUAAAAAUCCAAACACAAUUGUUAUAAAUUUAUUUUAUUUAUAAUCGCACAAAUCACCUCUAAUAUUUUGGAAAUCACACAAAUAAUCCCAAACGUGCUGAAAUGGCACAAAAUCACUCCAAACAUUCUGAAAAUUGCACAAAAUCACCCCCAAACUUGAUGAAAAUCGCACAAAUCACCAGUUGAGUUGAAAAUUGCACAAAUCCCCACCAGAACAUAUAUACCAUAUAUCUACCGAUAUUUAUUGAUAACCGAUACAUAUACCGGUUUACAGGCCCGACUUGAGCACAAGGCAAAUAAGGUAUUUGCCUAGGGCCACCAAUUUUAGGGGUCCCCACCUAGAUACACAAAUGUUAUAUAAAUAUAUAUAUAUAUAUAUAUAUAUAUAUAUAUAUAUAUAUAUAUAUAUAUAUAUAUAUAUAUAUUAGUUUUAUGUUAUAUUUAAUAUAUAUUAACUAAAAUUUUCUUACAUUUAAUAGAGGGUCCAUGUUAAAUUCUAUUCUCAAUCAACAAUCAACGGUACAACUUUCUCAUCUUCUAUAAAACAAAAGUUUAUUUCCUUAAUUUACUAGGGUCCACUUCACACAAUUCCACUUUUCUCUCUCUAUAUCCCAUGAAUCAAGACUUUUCAGUUUCCCUGAAUUCACGUUAUAUUCUUAUAAAUUGUUUUUUUUUUCUCCUUCACACUUCUCCCUCCUCUUCUUCUUCUUCUCUCUCUCUCUCUCUCUCUCUCUCUCUCUCUCUCUCUCUCUCUCUCUCUCUCUCUCUCUCUUCUUCUGUAAAAACAAAAUCCACCAAAAACUCUAGCCACUCAACGUGAAGCACACAACAAAAUCUCAAGAUUUUUUUUCUUUUCUUUUUGUUUGACGAUUUCUUUUAUUUUUUUUCCUUAUCAUUUUUCUAUUGUUUCUACUUUCUUAGGAUUGCUAAUCUCCAUUUGCUUUAUUAUGUCGAAUGGUAGACAUUACAUGUCUGGUUGUCAAAAAAGAAAAAGACAAGAAAAACUAAAGAAAGAUGAUGACUCUCAAAGAGGAGUUAUAGAAAGAUUAUUUAUGAAUAUGAGGAAUCAAAAUGCUAGAAACGAACAUGAAAUUCCUAUGAAUGCCCAAAACGAUAAUCCUAAUGAUGUUCAAAAUGAUAAUAUUCUUAAUAAACAAAAUGAUAAUCUAAUUGUUGUUCCAUUUGAUAAUCCUACUAAUGAUCAAAAUGAAAUUCCUAUGGGAGAAGAAAAUGAAAAUAAUGUUACUAAUUCAAAUGAAAAUAUUGCUACGGAUCAUAAUGUAAUUGAAGAAAAUGCCGACUUUCUUGAUAAAUUUGAUCCGGCAAAUUGGAUCAAUAUAAAUACAAAAUUACGAGAUUUACUAGUCGAAAAAGGUCCUAUUAGAAUUACUAAUAUAGAUUUUCCAAAAGAUCGUGAUGGUAGACAUUUCUCUAUUUCAAGUUAUAUUCGAAAUUUACCUAAUCGAGAGAAAUAUGAUAGGAGAUGGCUCGUAUAUUCAAAAAGUGUAGAUAAAGUAUUUUGUUUUUGUUGUAAGUUGUUUAGCAUUAAAACUACUUCAAGUAAAAAUUUUGGUGGCGGAGUAAAUGAUUAGAAAAAUAUUAGUACUAUAUUAAAAACUCAUGAGACAUCUAGUGAACAUAUUAAUAACAUGUAUGAUUGGAUGAAUUUAGAAACAAGAUUGCGAAGCAAUAAAACAAUUGAUCAUAGUAUACAAGAAAACAUAAAGAGAGAAAAAGAACAUUGGAAACAAGUAUUGAAAAGAAUUAUUGCGGUUGUGAAAACUUUAGCUAAAAAUAAUUUGGCUUUUCGUGGGACAAAUGAAAAAAAUUAUGACAAUAACAAUGAAAUUUUUUUAGGUCUAAUUGAAAUGAUUGCGGAAUUCGAUCCUAUAAUGCAAGAACACCUUAGGCGCAUUAAAGAUAGGGAUAUUCACUACCUCGGGCAUAAUAUACAAAAUGAAUUGGUGCAUAUUUUAGCUUGUGAAUUAAAAAUAAUAUUAUUAAGAGAAUUAAAAUGGCUAAAUAUUUUUCUAUUAUACUUGAUUGUACUCCGGAUACAAGUCAUCGAGAACAAAUGUCUCUUAUUUAAGAAGUGUGAAUGUAUCUAUGAAUCCAAUUCAAAUAGAAGAAUAUUUUAUAGAUUUUUUAAAAAUAGAUGAUACAACGGGAAAAAAGUAUUUUUGAUGAACUUCUAAAUGUAAUAAAAAAUCUUGAACUUGAUAUUGAUAUUGUGAGAGGUCAAGGAUAUGAUAAUGGUUCAAACAUGAAAGGUAAAGAACAAGGUGGGCAAAAAAAAUGUUAAAUAUAAAUUCUAGAGCAUUUUACACUCCUUGUGGUAGCCAUAGUGUUAAUUUAGUAAUUUGUGACAUGGCCAAUUCUUGUCAUAGAGUUAUAUCUUUCUUUGGAGUCAUACAACGUAUAUAUACAAUAUUUUCUAGUUCCACAAAGAGAUGAAAAAUAUUGACGGAUAAUGUAAAGAAAUUAACAGUUAAACCAUUGUCACAAACACCGUGGGAAAGUCACAUUGAAAGUGUUAGAGCCAUCGAUAGUCAACCUAUCGAAAUAAGAGAUGCUUUGAUUGAACUGGGAGAAACUUCCUUAGAUCCUAAAAUAAAGAGUGAAGCUAAAUGCUUAGCCACUUAUGAGGUUGAAAUUUUUGAAUUUUUACUUAGCAUAAAUAUUUGGUUUGAAUUAUUACAUGCCGUUAAUUGUGUUAGUAAAAAUUUACAAUCUAAAGAUAUGCACAUUGAUUCCGCUAUAGAUCACUUGCAAGGUCUUGUAUCAUUUUUAGAGGAUUUUAGAGACAAUGGGUUUGAAUUAGCUAUUAAUGCUACUAAAGACAUUGCUUUAACGAUGGGAAUUGAACCAAUAUUUCGAGAAAAACGUGUGAUACAUAGAAAACAACAAUUUGAUGAAACUCAAAGUACUGAUACUAUAUUAUCACCCGAAGAAACAUUUAGGAUAGAAGCGAGAUUCGAGCAGUUUAAACAAUAUCAAAAUACAUGGGGGUGUCUAGGGUCCGAGAGGCAUUGUACUUCUCGGACCUAAAUGAUACGCGUAAAACCUACUUAUAAAUAAUCGCAAGUGUACAGUAUCGCGUUUUGUAGAAUAGUGAAUUUCAGAUAUCGAUCCACAGGGAAUUAAGUUCCUAAAUCUACCAAGUACCGUAAUUAUACUAUCCUAAACUUUAUCUAGACGAUCGAAAGGGUGGGGGGUGAAGCUAAAAAUAAAGAAACAAUAAUAAAAGCAACGGUCCGCCAGUAUAAACGAGGAAUUCCGACGUGUGAUGGCUUCUAGGGAAAAUCCACCAGUGUACUAUCGAUAAAGAUCUACAUAUCCGAAUCUAAUGUCAAUUCUAUAUUCGCUAACCCAGACACUAAAAUACUCUAACCCCCGUCUCCAGUGUAGUUAGAGUCUACCCACAGGUCCGACUCUCCGUUGGAUACACGCGCUUUAUACGUUUUAAGUGGCGCGGCCUGCCGUCUCCCCUCUUUUUGGGUUCCCUCUUUUUUNNNNNNNNNNNNNNNNNNNNNNNNNNNNNNNNNNNNNNNNNNNNNNNNNNNNNNNNNNNNNNNNNNNNNNNNNNNNNNNNNNNNNNNNNNNNNNNNNNNNNNNNNNNNNNNNNNNNNNNNNNNNNNNNNNNNNNNNNNNNNNNNNNNNNNNNNNNNNNNNNNNNNNNNNNNNNNNNNNNNNNNNNNNNNNNNNNNNNNNNNNNNNNNNNNNNNNNNNNNNNNNNNNNNNNNNNNNNNNNNNNNNNNNNNNNNNNNNNNNNNNNNNNNNNNNNNNNNNNNNNNNNNNNNNNNNNNNNNNNNNNNNNNNNNNNNNNNNNNNNNNNNNNNNNNNNNNNNNNNNNNNNNNNNNNNNNNNNNNNNNNNNNNNNNNNNNNNNNNNNNNNNNNNNNNNNNNNNNNNNNNNNNNNNNNNNNNNNNNNNNNNNNNNNNNNNNNNNNNNNNNNNNNNNNNNNNNNNNNNNNNNNNNNNNNNNNNNNNNNNNNNNNNNNNNNNNNNNNNNNNNNNNNNNNNNNNNNNNNNNNNNNNNNNNNNNNNNNNNNNNNNNNNNNNNNNNNNNNNNNNNNNNNNNNNNNNNNNNNNNNNNNNNNNNNNNNNNNNNNNNNNNNNNNNNNNNNNNNNNNNNNNNNNNNNNNNNNNNNNNNNNNNNNNNNNNNNNNNNNNNNNNNNNNNNNNNNNNNNNNNNNNNNNNNNNNNNNNNNNNNNNNNNNNNNNNNNNNNNNNNNNNNNNNNNNNNNNNNNNNNNNNNNNNNNNNNNNNNNNNNNNNNNNNNNNNNNNNNNNNNNNNNNNNNNNNNNNNNNNNNNNNNNNNNNNNNNNNNNNNNNNNNNNNNNNNNNNNNNNNNNNNNNNNNNNNNNNNNNNNNNNNNNNNNNNNNNNNNNNNNNNNNNNNNNNNNNNNNNNNNNNNNNNNNNNNNNNNNNNNNNNNNNNNNNNNNNNNNNNNNNNNNNNNNNNNNNNNNNNNNNNNNNNNNNNNNNNNNNNNNNNNNNNNNNNNNNNNNNNNNNNNNNNNNNNNNNNNNNNNNNNNNNNNNNNNNNNNNNNNNNNNNNNNNNNNNNNNNNNNNNNNNNNNNNNNNUGAGGGGCUUGCUUCUAUUUAUAGUAAGGCAAGCUUCUUGAGGAAGUUUUGCCUUUUUAGAUAUUUUUUACACAUCCCGAGGCCCAUAUCGCGAUAUGGGCAUCAGUAUCGGGCGAUAUGGUAAAAUUGCAAGCUCUCUGUUUCGUUUCUCCCCAUAUCGCGAUACAGGAUAGCAUAUCGCGCGAUAUGGCAAAAAUGCAAGCUCUCUGUUUCAUUUCUCCCCAUAUCGCGAUACAGGAUGGCAAUAUCGCGAUAUGGUGAUUGUCUGAACUUGAAACUCCGUGUUGACCCUUUUUCAGGCCGAAUUCGUCAAAAAUGCAUUUCACAAAAGUUGUAGCCCUUGCACUUGGCUUUCUAACUCCACUUUAAUCAGCUCAAUCGGAGGUCAUAUGAGAGAGUUAUGCAUGAAAUACCGAACGCUGCCAUUGUCCGCUAAAAUGCAACUUUGCACUUGUUUGGUUUGAUUCUCGGCUUCGCUUCCAAAAUCGUUUCGAAUCGGCAAAAAUAGCUUCUCUUUACCUAUAAUAGAAAUAAAACAAGAAACGCAAUAAUAUGUACAAAUAACGCCGAAACUCGGACGAACGAAGACCAAAACUCGAAGAUUCGAUAAGUAAAUAUCGUGCAAAAUGAACACUUAUCACUAAACGAUUGAAGAUCAACCAAUAAAAAUAUGACACGUCGGAUAAGUACGAACCUCAUAAGAAAAAGUACGACAUAUGGGUUAUAACUAAAAUUACAUAAAUACCCUUAAAUUUAAAACUUAAUUAAAAACUAAUAAUUAUAAUUAAUAACUAGUAUUAAGAUUUGAUUAGAUAUAUAAAUAAUAAUUAUAAUAAAACUAUAACCUAAUUGUCUAUUAAAUCUUUCUUUAAGAAAUAACAAUUUAUAUUCGUCGUCUUCUUCAUAUUACUGUAAGCCCUAAUCACCCAUCUUUCUUUCUUAUGUUUUUCUCCACCUCUCUCAUUCAUCUUUUUUUUUUUAGCAUUCUAGAAAUAGUAUAAUAUAAAACUAAUAAAAGAAAUAUAUAUCUCAAACAGGAAAAAUUGCAUUCAGUCAUAACAAUCCUUCAAAAUCUCCAAAGAUAAUAAUAAAUUCUGAGGCACAACAAAAUUGAAUUUAAGAAACAGAAGGAAAAAAAAUCAUUAUUCUUCCUUCUUCUUCAUCAUCAGUCAUUACCUCCAAUAAGCUAAGCAACAUCCAUUGUAUCUUUCUUCAUCAUCUUGGCUUCUCCCUCGAGAUCCUCCCCAAAAAAAACGAAAAAAAGAAGAAGAGUAAAUUGGCAAUCUCAUGUCACCUUCAGCAAAUGAAUUAUUGGAAUAUCUGGCAAUGGAGUUGUCGACAAACGUUGUUCGAAGCAAAAUCAAAAUUCAAAUUGGACCUUAUUUCCAUAUUGUUAUAAUUUGUCCAUAUUCAAAAUUAUGAAAGUAAUAUUUAUAAAUAUUACUCUUACUGUGAGAUUGAUUUAGAAAAACUAUUACAACAAGCUAUAAGUUAUAAACAAGCAAUUUCUGCAACAAUAUGAUACGAACCAUCCCCAAAUCUCCUAAGAUUCAAUUUGUCCUGAACCAAAAUCAAAAUUCAAUAAGCUAUCUUCCAUGUAACCCAUCAAAUUUUUAUUCUGCUAAAUUAAUAAAAUAAAAUUUUAAUUAGAAAUCAGAAAAAAAAAAAUAUAGUACUUCAAAAUUUAACCCACGGAACACUAAACCUAAAGUCAAACUCAGCUCCUCUUCCAUCAUCAAUUUUCACUUCCGGCAGAAAACGUUUGAAGCGACAAUUCGACGGGGUAAGAGUGAGGGUGAUGGUGAGGAUGGGCUCUUUCUCGGCCACCAGUGAUUGGACUGAAGAACUGUGGUGUUGUGGAAGAAAAGUGUGUGAUUUGGGAAUAAGGAUGAUAAUUUUGGGGGAAUUAUUUUUUAUUUUGGUCAGAAUUUAAUUAAAGAUUUAAGGGUAAUAAAGUAAUUUAAAUCGAGUACGAAGUGAGUACGAUAUGGGUACGACAUAUUUUUGCUAGGUUUGUACUUUAGUUUAUAGAUUCCUAGGGUCAUACUGUAUCGUACUAGGUCGUACUUAAAAUCAACGAUUAUAAUUAUUUACAUAAUAUUUUUAACGCACCAGAUUUAACCAUUUAGGUCCGAGAAGUACAAUACUUCUCGGACCCUAGACAACCCCAAAAUACAUUUGGAUUUUUAUUGAAUAUAAAAAAAUUAAAGUCUUUAGAUGAUAAUACCUUGAAAGAAAGUUGUAUUAAUCGUGAAAAUUCUUUACAACAUAACUCAUUAUCUGAUAUUGAUGAUUCGGAUUUAUAUUAUAAAUUAAAAGUGUUAAGAAAAGUCAUACCUUCCGAAAUAGAUAAACCAAUUGAUGUACUUCAUCAUAUAAAAGUUAUUGAUUAUUAUCCUAAUACGUGUAUAUGCUAUCAAAUAAUAUUUAAGGGAAAGUACAGUUUGCACCCCUGAACUAUAGGGGUUGUCGCAAACACCUCCCUAAACUAAAAAAUGUAACAAAAUGACCCAUCCGUUUCCAUUCCCCAUGCGAUGUGCUGAUGUGGAAGGUUGAACUUUCUCUAGUUAAAUUGUUUUGACAAUUUUGCCCACUCAGUUUUCUCUAUCUCUCUCUCUCUCUAUAUAUAUAUAUAUAUAUAUACCACCAAAUUUAAUUAACUUAACUGAACCUAAAAUAUUAUUUAUAAGUUAUUCCAUUUUUAAUAGCUAUUUAAUUUCAUUGAAAUAAUAUUAUUUUUUUGUUUUACCUGUUAACGUAGUAACUAGUAACAUAUUUAAUUUUAAUUUUAAUUUAGUUAAGAAAUGGGUCUUAUCAUCGUCUCCUAUCUCAAAACCAAAAAAAAAAAAAAACAAAGAAAAAAAAAUGGCUGAUUAUCGUCUCCAACACCUCGCGUGAAACUCCCUCAGUCCCUCCCCUGCCCAUCGACAAUUAAAUAUCUACGAUUUCUCUAAAGUUUUAAAAACCCACUGCUCCAUCUAGACCCAAGAGGAAGAUUAGAGUCGAGAAUGGAGGCGGAUAAAACUCCGGCGAGCAGUGACAAGACGCGAAGGGGCAGCAAACACAUGCAACAGAGAUUGUCGGGGAUGACGAAGCAACAUAGGUUCAGAAUUCUAUUUGAGAUUAAAAUAUUCUGUUUUUGAUGAAGAAAAAUAUUCAAUUAUAUUAAAAUUCUAAAAUACCAAUUUGGUUUUUGUAUUGAAAAUCUUAUUUUGGCGUGUAGGUAUUCGAUGGGUUGAAUUAGACGAUGACGGAUAGCAAUAAUUACAUAAGAAUUGAAUCUUUUAACAUCUCUAAUUAUUAGCCACUCGCUCGAAAAAAGAAUACGCAAAAUGAAAUAUUGGAUGAAGAAGAAAGAACAAGAGAGAGAGUGCGUGGUGAUUUGGCUGAUCUUUAGGGGUAAAUUAGUACAUGCACAUGAAAGUUGAUGGUGUCACUUUUCUUAACGUUGACCAUAAAUGACAGGGGUCAUUUUGGCACGUUUUGUAGUUUAGGGGGUGUUUGCGAUAACCCCUAUAGUUCAGGGGUGCAAACUGUACUUUCCCCUAAUAUUUACAAUACAUGUAACCGUUGCUUCGGCCGAAAGGAGUUUUUCAAAGUUAAAAUUAAUAAAAACAUAUUUACGUUCAACUGUCACAAGAACGAUUAAGUGAAUUGGCUAUUUUAUCUAUAGAAAAAGAUUUAUUAGAAGAACUAGAAUAUAAAGAUCUAAUUAAUACAUUUGCAUCUAUAAAAGCAAGAAAAAUAAAUUUUACAUAAGAUAAAAAAAAAAAAAAAAAAAAAAAAACAAAAUCAGGGCCUCAUUUUUGGGUUUCGCCUAGGGCCCCCAAUAUCCUAGGGCCAGCCCUGCCGGUUUAUAUCAUUUUUAUAUAAUUGUUUUGUAUUGCGAUAUUGACUACAACACUCAAAACACAAGUUUCCUAUCAAUCAUAAUGGGAUAAGUUCAAAAACCAAUAAAAAAUAUCAAACUUGUAUGUUAAAACAACAUAGCCCAAUACAUCGUCAAAAUCAUAUAAAUUUUUCAGUAAAGAAUAAAACAUAUAUUGAACUCCCCUUUUCAGAGAUCGUGAUGUUUUAGCCCACGAGCAUUGAAUGAAGUCUACACACAGGCCCGUUCCUGAGAAUUCGGGGGCCCUAGGCGAGGUUUAAAGAACAACUGAAAAUAGGGGCCCCUAUUUGAUAAUUUUUUUUAUUAAUGGGUGUUCGAAAUUGAAUGUAUUAACAAAAUAUAAAUAACAUUUUCUAAAACUGAUGAAAUAAAGAUGAUGGGGGUUCGGGGGCGGUGCCCCCGAAAUAUUUUUUGAAAUAUAUGAAUAUAAAGUAGCUAAAAAUGUGGAAAAACAUUCAAAAUUAACAAUAUGAUUUGCUAGUUCACUUUCUCCCGUGACGUAUAAUUUUUAUAGCAAAUAGACUUCAUAAAUAUUUAUAAACUUGAAUACACUAAUGAAUAUUGAUUCUGAUGGUAGAAUAAAAUAAGUAAUUAAGACAUUAUAAAGUUAGUAUUUAGGGGCCCCAAAGUUUGGAAAAUUGCAAAAAUAUCUAUUGAUCAUUUAGCUUAAAUUUAUUUUAGAACCCAUGUUCCAAAAUAUUAUAUAUAAUAAAUUUUUAAAAAUAAGUACUAAUAUAUAAAGUGUAAAUAAAAUAAUUUGGGGGCCCCAAAUUUUCGUAAAAAGUUGGGGGCCCUAGGCGACCGCCUACUUCGCCUCCCCUCAGAACCGGCCCUGUCUACACAACAAGAAAAACAUUAUAAUUAGUAAGGAUGUAAUCCACUUUGCACUCUUCAAAAUUGAAAUGUAGAAUUUGGGCACUUUGCAUCCUCAAAAAUAAUUAAUAGCACCAUCUUGAAUUGAAUUUUUAAAACUUAAUGACGACAACUUUAUUUUUUUAUUGGUGUAAUUUUUUCAGAGUGCAAAGUAAGUAAAUAAAUUAUUUAUUAAUAAUUGGUUCAUAUUUUUUAAGUAAUUAAUAAUAAUUGGUUACUGAUAUAUAUAUAUAUAUAUAUAUAUAUAUAUAUAUAUAUAUAUAUAAACACAAUUCAUGUCACAAUAUUGCGACACGUGACACUUUUUAGGGUUUCAAAACCCUAAGGGAAUUUUUUUUAAUUAUUUGAUAACCUUAAGACUAUUUUUAGGUUAAAAAUAACCAACUCACACAACGUUUUCAUUCUGCACGUUCGUAUAAAUGCUCUUGGCGUCUUCUCGUCUCAACUUCGUCCACGGUUAUUCAACUUCGUCUUCCACUAAUAUAAUUUCUUCUCUCCUUUGUCUUCGGUUCUUCUGUUACUAAUUCCUAAUCGUGUUCUUCAUGUAAAUCUCUAUAAUUUUUCUACUGUAAUUUUACAUCUUCAUUUGUGUUUUAUAUAUUCCUAAACGUGGGGCCUUUUAUUUUUCUACAACAUGUGGGCCCAUUUUUUUCAAAAUUAGAACACAUUUCCAAGUUAUUUCAGUUUUACAAUAACGCGUCAUUUAUAAUGACGCCUUUUAGAAAACUGCCACGUGUCAUGAUUAGUUGUGGGCAGAUUUAGAUUUUUAUAUUAAUUUUCUUCUUAUUAUUAUUUCUUAUUAUUAUUAUUAUUAUUAUUAUUAUUAUUAUUAUUAUUAUUAUUAUUAUUAUUAUUAUUAUUAUUAUUAUUAUUAUUAUUAUUAUUAUUAUUAAUAAUAAUAAUAAUAAUAAUAAUACCGCCGCUGCACGGUUUCUCGGGUACUCGGAACCGGACCUUCAUAGAUGGGCCUUGAAAGUGCGANNNNNNNNNNNNNNNNNNNNNNNNNNNNNNNNNNNNNNNNNNNNNNNNNNNNNNNNNNNNNNNNNNNNNNNNNNNNNNNNNNNNNNNNNNNNNNNNNNNNNNNNNNNNNNNNNNNNNNNNNNNNNNNNNNNNNNNNNNNNNNNNNNNNNNNNNNNNNNNNNNNNNNNNNNNNNNNNNNNNNNNNNNNNNNNNNNNNNNNNNNNNNNNNNNNNNNNNNNNNNNNNNNNNNNNNNNNNNNNNNNNNNNNNNNNNNNNNNNNNNNNNNNNNNNNNNNNNNNNNNNNNNNNNNNNNNNNNNNNNNNNNNNNNNNNNNNNNNNNNNNNNNNNNNNNNNNNNNNNNNNNNNNNNNNNNNNNNNNNNNNNNNNNNNNNNNNNNNNNNNNNNNNNNNNNNNNNNNNNNNNNNNNNNNNNNNNNNNNNNNNNNNNNNNNNNNNNNNNNNNNNNNNNNNNNNNNNNNNNNNNNNNNNNNNNNNNNNNNNNNNNNNNNNNNNNNNNNNNNNNNNNNNNNNNNNNNNNNNNNNNNNNNNNNNNNNNNNNNNNNNNNNNNNNNNNNNNNNNNNNNNNNNNNNNNNNNNNNNNNNNNNNNNNNNNNNNNNNNNNNNNNNNNNNNNNNNNNNNNNNNNNNNNNNNNNNNNNNNNNNNNNNNNNNNNNNNNNNNNNNNNNNNNNNNNNNNNNNNNNNNNNNNNNNNNNNNNNNNNNNNNNNNNNNNNNNNNNNNNNNNNNNNNNNNNNNNNNNNNNNNNNNNNNNNNNNNNNNNNNNNNNNNNNNNNNNNNNNNNNNNNNNNNNNNNNNNNNNNNNNNNNNNNNNNNNNNNNNNNNNNNNNNNNNNNNNNNNNNNNNNNNNNNNNNNNNNNNNNNNNNNNNNNNNNNNNNNNNNNNNNNNNNNNNNNNNNNNNNNNNNNNNNNNNNNNNNNNNNNNNNNNNNNNNNNNNNNNNNNNNNNNNNNNNNNNNNNNNNNNNNNNNNNNNNNNNNNNNNNNNNNNNNNNNNNNNNNNNNNNNNNNNNNNNNNNNNNNNNNNNNNNNNNNNNNNNNNNNNNNNNNNNNNNNNNNNNNNNNNNNNNNNNNNNNNNNNNNNNNNNNNNNNNNNNNNNNNNNNNNNNNNNNNNNNNNNNNNNNNNNNNNNNNNNNNNNNNNNNNNNNNNNNNNNNNNNNNNNNNNNNNNNNNNNNNNNNNNNNNNNNNNNNNNNNNNNNNNNNNNNNNNNNNNNNNNNNNNNNNNNNNNNNNNNNNNNNNNNNNNNNNNNNNNNNNNNNNNNNNNNNNNNNNNNNNNNNNNNNNNNNNNNNNNNNNNNNNNNNNNNNNNNNNNNNNNNNNNNNNNNNNNNNNNNNNNNNNNNNNNNNNNNNNNNNNNNNNNNNNNNNNNNNNNNNNNNNNNNNNNNNNNNNNNNNNNNNNNNNNNNNNNNNNNNNNNNNNNNNNNNNNNNNNNNNNNNNNNNNNNNNNNNNNNNNNNNNNNNNNNNNNNNNNNNNNNNNNNNNNNNNNNNNNNNNNNNNNNNNNNNNNNNNNNNNNNNNNNNNNNNNNNNNNNNNNNNNNNNNNNNNNNNNNNNNNNNNNNNNNNNNNNNNNNNNNNNNNNNNNNNNNNNNNNNNNNNNNNNNNNNNNNNNNNNNNNNNNNNNNNNNNNNNNNNNNNNNNNNNNNNNNNNNNNNNNNNNNNNNNNNNNNNNNNNNNNNNNNNNNNNNNNNNNNNNNNNNNNNNNNNNNNNNNNNNNNNNNNNNNNNNNNNNNNNNNNNNNNNNNNNNNNNNNNNNNNNNNNNNNNNNNNNNNNNNNNNNNNNNNNNNNNNNNNNNNNNNNNNNNNNNNNNNNNNNNNNNNNNNNNNNNNNNNNNNNNNNNNNNNNNNNNNNNNNNNNNNNNNNNNNNNNNNNNNNNNNNNNNNNNNNNNNNNNNNNNNNNNNNNNNNNNNNNNNNNNNNNNNNNNNNNNNNNNNNNNNNNNNNNNNNNNNNNNNNNNNNNNNNNNNNNNNNNNNNNNNNNNNNNNNNNNNNNNNNNNNNNNNNNNNNNNNNNNNNNNNNNNNNNNNNNNNNNNNNNNNNNNNNNNNNNNNNNNNNNNNNNNNNNNNNNNNNNNNNNNNNNNNNNNNNNNNNNNNNNNNNNNNNNNNNNNNNNNNNNNNNNNNNNNNNNNNNNNNNNNNNNNNNNNNNNNNNNNNNNNNNNNNNNNNNNNNNNNNNNNNNNNNNNNNNNNNNNNNNNNNNNNNNNNNNNNNNNNNNNNNNNNNNNNNNNNNNNNNNNNNNNNNNNNNNNNNNNNNNNNNNNNNNNNNNNNNNNNNNNNNNNNNNNNNNNNNNNNACCCCAACACCAUGCGAAGUGUUUUAACCCGCGGGCCCCCUCAGUUUUAAAAUUUUUUACUUUAAUUUUUUAAAUGAAAAAUACAAUCUGCCCACAACUAAUCAUGACACGUGGCAGUUUUUUAAAAGGCGUCAUUUUUAAUGACGCGUUAUUGUAAAACUGAAAUAACUUGGAAAUGUGUUCUAAUUUUGAAAAAAAUGGGCCCACAUAUUGUAGAAAAAUGAAAGGCCCCCUAAACGUGUUCAGCCCUAGGUAAUGGUGUUAAUAUUUGUUUUGUCAGACUCGGCCCUAGGUAAUGGCAUUUAUAUUUGUUUUAUUUGUAAUAAAUAUUACACUGAUUUUCGUUUUCCAGACUUCAUGUGUAAAUUUCCAGGAGUAACAAGUCUCAUUCAUAUAUCGCCGUAGCGACUAAACUGGAAAUUGGUAGUUCGAGUCAUGCGUCAUUGGAGAGUUCAUAGCAAAAUCAAUACUGGACAUCGCUCUUCCAGACUUAAGGUAUGUAUUUUCAGAUUAUAUAUGUACACUAAUUUCAAUUUUUAUACUUAAUGGUUUCAUAAUUGUGAAGCAGCAAGGUAAUAUGCGUGUGUAUUAGUUUGUAGCAGCAAUGUGCUGCUAUGCGUGUUAGUGUGAUUUGUUUUGUGUGUAGGCCGUGGGGUUAGUUGUUUGAUGUGUAUAUAUUAUUAUAAUAUUUAAUAAAUGCAAAAUAGUUGUUCUUAGAUGAUUUAAGUAUUAACUUCAAUUUACUGUAUACAAUAGUUAACACAGGUUCAAUGAUGGGUACUUAGAAUCUAUGAUCAAAGUUUAGGGGAUAUGAUCGUUUAUUGUGGUAAUUGUUUUGUCAUAUCGUAACACAUAAUCGAAUAUAGUCAUGGCAUAAUAUGUUGACACGUGGCGCUUUAGGGUUUCAAAACCCCGGGGCAAGUUUUAUAAUUUUUUGAUAGUCGUAGGACUGUUUUGCAAAAAAUAAAAAAAAUUUGUAUAACUCCGUCCUAACUGCAUCUGUAAUCUCUCACAAUUUCUUUUCACGUUACUUCUUUUUAUCAGUUUCUCUAAACUUCUUCUUAUAACUUCUCAAUUCAAAUUGCAUAUCACAUCUGUAUACCAACCCGAAUUAUAAUUUAUUAUUUCGUUCGCUUGAUAGAAUCGCACCCAUAAAUCUUUAAAAAAUUAUUGAUUCGCUGAAAAUUGAAGCGCCACCCAUAAAUCUUUUAACUAUUGAAUUCGUCUGGGCGCAUGAAUGUUUGAAACUGUAGUUUUGAGAAAACAGAGUUCCAUGUUUCUACAUCUUUUGCAACAUACAUGUGUUCCAUUAUUUUCAAAUGCCCAACGGAUUUUGCAAAAACAAAAGUUCUUUAUUUUAUGCAAAGGUAUUAUAUAAUCUUCACCUUUUUCCUCUUUUUUUUUUCAAUCAUUCCAUUUUAUGUUUAGAUUUAGUUUUUUGAUUUCAUGCAAUUUUACAUGUUAAAUAUUUUUGUCUUUGUAUACUAUGAGCGAAUUUAUAUGGAGUAAUAGAAUUAUUUUUGUUGAACCUAUAUUAAUUGUGUAAUGGUUCAAGGAGUACUGAAUUUUGACCAAAUGUUUGUUUUUGAUUGAAAAAAUGACCAUUUGUGUUUUAGUCUGUCGCAAAUAUAUGUGUGCAGUUUGUGAAAAUGUUCUAAUUAUGUCUAGUUUUCUUUUUUCUACAAAAGUUGUAAUCUGUUGUUUUUUUUUUUCCUUACGAGUGAUAACAGUGUUGUGACAGAUAUCUGAGAUGAUCUCCGAUAUGCAUAUGAGGCUGAUAUGAAGCUUGCACAAGCAAUUAUGGAUUGUGUUGUGGUUAUUGUUCAAAAUUCCGACUUAACGCUAUGAUGAGAGAGGUUUGUACUUUAUACUAAAAUUUGCUUAUUAAAACAAUGUGGUUCAAAGACAUCUAAUAUAAUUACAAGUCCGUUGUAGGAAAAAAAGUUAGUCUUUUGUAUCAAUGUUCAGUGUAUUUCUUUCUUGCAGGGGCAAUAUAUGAGCCAGUCUAAUUAUUAUUGUUUCAAAUUCAGACUGCACAUAUUAAGCUCUACCAUGAGGCUCAACCACCUUCUCUAUCAUGAGGCUCAGCCACAUUCUCCAUAUUAUAUUACAUAUAUUUGGUGUUUACAUAUAUUUAUUUAUUUGUCGAUAAGUUAUGUAUUGAAUUUUAUUCUAUAUACAUGCAUAAAGAAAUAUAGCGAUGCACAUUAAUGAGAAUGCAAAUAUUACAACAGUUGUGUUCAAAUAUAAUUUAUUUCAUUAGGGAAAUGAUAAUCUUGCAGGUUCUUUAAAUCUCUAUUGCUUGACUUCUCUAUUAUUGCGCCAUUGUUAUAAGUCUGUUACUUUGGAUAAGUUCAUAUGGUAUAUAUUGCAUUAUAUGAAAUAGUUGAACAAUCUAUUUUAAAUGAUAUCAUAUUGAUUCAUACCGUGGUUUACCCGUAAAGAUAAAGUUUAUAUUUUUUAUUUUUUUUCGUUCCUAUUAACUCUCCGUGGAUGCACAUGUGAAAUACUAGUUAUUUAUUAAUUGUUUAUUGAUUAAUAAAAUUUGUUGCAGUAGUAGUAGAUUGUUUAGUAAUUUAUGAGAAAUUAAUAAUUAAAUUGGUUACUAAUUAUUAAUUAUUUUUUUAGUGAUUAAUAAAAGUAAAUAGGACCGUUGAAUUUUUUGAAGUUUACUUUCACACAACAGGAGUUUAUGUUGUUGAACUUACAUAAUAUUCAGUCGGACCGUUGAUUCAAGCAAAAUGAUUAAAUUUAGCUCAAUAUCACUUUCAUAUAUGUGAAAAGGUUGUGCAAAACAUGCGCAAUCUAAAUUAAAUUUCUAUGCACAAUACAAUUGAAGUAAAAAACUUGGUUUAUUUCUUUCUAUUUGUUGUGAGGGCUUGAUUAAAGGAAAAAUAAAUUUACAACUUUAUAUAUUAAAAUAAAAACUUAUAUUAUACGAAAUUAUGGGUUGGAUAUUCAUACUCACAACCAUUGUAAUUAUAUAGCCUCUCACCCUUUGCGAUAUCACGAUUCACAACUAGAAGCACCACGCAUUCUUUAUCUAUGUUGUACCUCACGCAUUUAAUAUUUUGUUUUUUUCUCCCUUCCCAGUAAAAGAUCAAAUGAUGUCUUUAACAAGACAAUAUCAAACAUUGUAUUAAUUUUCUUAUAAUAAUUAAAAAAAAGCAACCAUUUAACAAAAAAACAAAAUCAAGAACAUACAUCAAAUUUAAGUAUCGUACACCUAAUUGGUAUACAUAACUAAAAAUUGAAUAAGUGAAGAGUGUAUCUAGCUAGUGUACGGUUUACGUGCAUAACUAGAACAAAUCUAUUCUUGAAAUGUUGACGAUGAAAUUUUGAAACAUGGUAUGUACUCUGGUCAUUUGCUUUUCGAUGAUGCAAAUUGUUCUUAGGGUAAAAUUCAUUUUGCACCUUUGUACAAUGUGAAAUGUAUCAUUUACCCUGAUGUAUAGAAACUUUUGGGAGUAUUUUCGUCAAAAAAAGCCAACACUUAUUUGCAAUAGUUGGUCAAAGGAUUUGACUAAUGGAGUUAGGAAAAAAACUAGGGUCCAUUCGAUAUAACCCCCUUAGUCUUACAAAUAAUAGGGGUAGAUCCAAACUCAAAUUUGUCAUUUAGAUAAAAACUCAUAUUUUUCUAAAUUCCAUCAAUAACCUCAAUCAAAAUCCCACAAAUCCCGUUACGUUACCUUUUGAAAUGAUAUCAAAUCCCUCCCUAUUUCCCCGUUAAAACCACUAUCCCCACUCAACCCACUACCACAUUCUGCAAAAAUUCCAAAAAACUAGAAAAAAGAAUACGAUUCACUGGAAAAAAUCACCAAAGCAAACCAAUGGAAUACGAUUCACUAGAAUAUCGUCGUUCACUUUCUAACACAAAAACAGAAAGCAUCAAUGAAAGUCACUGCAAGUAGAUACAACAUUGACAUCGAUUUCGAUUUUGAUAUUGAAGUCGUUAAGGAUUGCCCACAACAAACCAAUGGCCACGACUGUGGUGUCCAUGUUCUGUACUGCAUAAAGCAGAUUUUUCGUCAACGACCAAUCGACGCGAGCAGCGCAAAUGAUGAUUUGAUUAAUAUGCGCAAAGAGAUUGUAGAGACUUUCUUGGAAUGGGGUAACAAAGAGUGUGCUGCAUAGGCCACUCCACCUUGUGAUAAUGUGGUAUCAACCAGUUUUCUGUAUGAUACGUUUCAGUGCAGUUCUACAUCUACAAAACUUAUUUUGAAUAUUAUGUGAAAUAUAAUGUUUUCAGUAUUAACUUAUUGACAAUAAUUUAGGAACUAAAUACAAUAUCUGUGUUUCCUAGGUACAUCUAUGCAAAUGGGAGCACAUAGUAUAUUACAUAAAUGCCAAUAGUAUAUUAUUAUGAUAAUAAUAGUAUAUUAAUAUGGUACUAAAAUAUAUAGUAUUGAAUUGUACAUCCUAUAGCACUGAAUUGUCUGCAACACUUUCGACACACCAAAAAACAAACAUGUGAUGAAUAGCAUAUUACUGCAAUUGAUGAGAUAAUCUCAUCACAAUUAUUAUUUUACAUUAGUAUACAUAAAAAUUUCAUAUAAAUGACAACUGUAUUUUUCAACCACAUAGUAUAUUAAUGAUUUCAAUAUAGUACAUUAAUCUGCUAUGAUAGUAUAUUACGGUUAUAGUAGUAGUAUGAAAUUGUGUUACAAACAAUAUACCACUGAAAAUGACAAGAACAUUGAUAAUAAAACCAACGUAAAGUAAUUCCAACAUAACUAAUAAAAUACUUAAAACACAUCAUAACACAAUUAAACCAAUAUGUCGAGUUAAAAAACUCUAGUACAUUAAUAAUCUCAUGAUAGUAUAAUAAAAUUAUAAUGGUAGUAUCAUACGGUAUUCAUAAUAGUAUACUAAUGUAUUACAACGGUUUAACACUUAACUGAAGUUACCGAGCCAUUACAUCGUAAACACGACAUUAAUUAAACAUAUCAAAUCUUAGGGGGGUUUGGAAAAUAACAACCAUCGGAAUCAAUUGAAUUCAUUGAGUUAACAUCAAUACGAUCCAACAAAAGCUCUGACGACAUUUCAAACAUCGACAUCAUGUCCUCGUUGUCAGCCAAAAUACAUUCACCAAUGUCAUCCAGCCUAUAUGUCAUGCUUAUAUCCCAUCCAUCAAGUUGUGGCCACUUUGAAAUAGCAAAUGCAACCAAUGAACCGCGAGAAAACCCAUUCGAACACCUCUUUAUAGCAACCAAACCACCAAACCUCAACAAAAUCCGUACGAAAUUAGCCAUCUAAAAAAAACUAAAAUCAUCAAAUGAACUUAAAAAUGCAGAAUACGAAAAAUUGAUUAAAUAGACUACCAAAUACAUUUCAAUGACAAAAAACUAAAUCAUCAAAUGAACUUAAAAAAUGCAGAAUACAAAUAAUUGAUUAAAUAGACUACCAAAUACAUAUCAAUGUACUACCGAAUACAUUAAAAUCGACUGCUGUAAACAAAAAAAACAACUAUCAAUCAGUUUCAACUUCAUCAACUCGACCACACCAAAAAUUUAUUUCGAUUACUGCGUAAACCAACUACGACACUCAUAUAAAACAACUCUGGUCAGUCUACGUGAACCCUCCUCUUGCGACUACGUGAAUCCUCCUCCAAGACAAACAUCAUCAGUCAAUAACGAUGUAUAUAUCACGACGUAAUUUUUUUUUAAAAACGAUCGACAUUAAUACCAAUUGAAUCAACACAUCAAGACAAACCUUAUAAUGGCUGACCACCAUAACACAACAACACUUACACAUGACAGAUAAAAAAUAAACGAAAAAAAACUGUACAUACUAACCAGAUAAAACGCUCCGAUCCGAGAAUACUACCACGGCGGUGAAAAAUUCUUCCUAUCCCGAUUGUAUACGCUUUGAUAAUGAUGAAAACGAUGAAACCACCAAUAUACUCACGUAAGUUUAAUCCGUGAUUAUAGGCAACGUAUCAGCAAUCCCAUAUCACGUCGAUAAGGAAAAAACCGACGUCCAAAAAUAAAAUAGGGGUAUUAUAGGGAAAUUAAAUAAUAUAUUGUGCCAAGUUGGCAUGAUUGGGUGUAUCUCAAAAAGGGAAAAAUCAAAUGGAUCAACCUCAUUACAAAAUCUCAACAAGGGGGUUAGCCCUAAUAAAUCCAAAAAAAUAACAGCAGAGGGGGUGUUUGAUGUUUUCUAUACUUCAGGCGGAUAAAUGAUACAUUUCGCAUAGUACAGGAGUGCAAAAUGAAUUUUGCCCUGUUAUUAUUUUGUUAUUUCCUUUUAAUUUUUUGUUUAAAAUUACUCGCAUCAUAUUUGAUAAGAACUUUGAUAUUUUGAGUCGCAGUGUCGCAAAUAAAAUUGAUGAAAACAAGUAUUAAUUAACUUUUUUUUUUAAUUUAGAUUUAUAAAUUACUUUUAAUUUUUAUAAAUUGUUGAAGUGUUGGAAUAUAUAAUUAUUAUUUUUUUACUUCAAAAGUGAUAAAAAAAAUGACAUGACAUCUUAAUAACUAUUAGAAUUAUUUUUUCUUGACAUUUUUUCUUUAAAUUUUCUUAUAAAUAUCAAAAAAAUACUUUGGCUUCAAAAAAAUAUUAUCGAUUCCCUUUUUUUAUUUAAUCCUGAUGUUAGAUUUGAUUAUUUUACAAACAAAAUUAAUUGACAUUAUAGAUGAAUUCUAACCUCGAGACCAAUGGACUCAGUUCUCCCAUACGUAAUUAGUUCUUUCGUAAAAAAAAUUAUUUGUUUCGGGAGUGAAAACUAGUUCCAAUACCGUUCCGAAGAAAAUCGGAAAGAACUGGCAAUGGAAUUUCGGAAAUUGAAAUGAAAAAACUUGUUCCAUAAUAGAAAAAUUUCGGAUCGGAAAUCAGCAGAAUAUAGAAAAUUUUAAUUUUUAGUCACCUAAAAUAUAAAGUACACAAUAAUAUUCGUAUUUUAAGUGUAAUAUUAGAAAAAAUAAAUACAUCGGAAUUUGCGGAUUAUUUUCGGAACAUAAAAUUAGACUGAAAAUCGGUAUCUCAUAUAUAUUCCAACUCCAACUAAUUCAAAUAAUUUCGGAAAAAACGAAACUCGGAAUUUCGGAAUUCGAAUUGAAAAAUGUUGUUCGAGAAUCUGAAAAUUUCGGAUCAGAAUCGGCAUAAAUUAAAAAUUUCUUUCCAAUUUCCAUCCCUAAUAUAAUCAAAACCACAAGUACAUAAGUCGACAAAAUUAACUUAAAUUCAAGAAAGAAUAAUACAAAUAUUAUUCAUUUACUGAGCAGUCCUUCACACAAUUUGAGCAUGUUUUAGGCCACAAGCAUUGCACAAAUUCUACACAACAAACAAAACAUUAUAAUUAUGGUUAAAUACAAAAACAACCAUGUACUAAGGACUUUGUAUUAUAUACUCCCUGUAUUACACAUAAUUACAGGAACUCUCCUACUUUUACAUUUUUUUUGUAAAAUCUGACGAAAAUACCCUUGCUAAGCCUAUAAAUAUAAGGGUGUCGGCCUGGAGAUAUUUUUCCAAGAUUUUCUGAGAUGGUUUUGGCGGGGACUGGAGAUGGUCAAUGCCGGAAAACGACGGCGGAAGGAAUAAAAAAAAAAUCAAGUUGGAAACCGGCGGAGACGGACGAAAUUGUCCAUAAAAUUGUAUUUUGGGUCAAAAUUGAAUAAUUUGUGAAAAUGGGGUGAAAUUGAGGUUAGAUUGAAUUAAAUGAUAAAAUUGGAGCAUAUUGAAAUGUGAGGGGCUAUUUUAGCCUUUUACAAACUUCUGGAUCAUGUGUGGACUUUUUUAUAAAAGAGUUUUUUUAUCUAGACCCAUGAAUAAGGUGGUGUUUGCAAAUGCUUUUUGAAAGUGAUUAUGCGGAUUUUUUUGCUCAUAAUCUAUUUUAAGGUGUUUGCAAAAUCAACUUUUGCUUUUGCUUCUCUUAAAAUAAUCUGCUUUAAGCUAUUUUUUUUAAAAGCACCCGUAACACUGCUUUUUCAAUUUUAGUUCAUUUUUCGAAAUAUUUGCAAACACCCCCAAUUUUAGUUCACAAUCACUAACUUCUGCUUUUAAAUAAUCAUUUGCAAACACCACCUAAGUACUCAGUGAUGGGCUUAUUUGUAGAGUCAUAUAUAUAUAUAUAUAUAUAUAUAUAUAUAUAUAUAUAUAUAUAUAUAUAUAUAUAUAUAUAUAUAUAUAUAUGCAUAAACAUAUUUGUUUGAAUGGAGGCAGCAGGUCGGGCCAGGUACCGAAUGAGCAUUAUCCCGUAAUGGUUUUUGAAGUAAAAUAUAAAAGUGCAAGACUAGUCAACGACACCAUAUAAACUCGUCACGCCACGUUACGUUGUUUGGGUUGACAAUAUAUUAAAGGGACUAUAUGCCAAACACCAUUCGUUGGGAUUUUAAUUCUUGAUAAAUCAUUUAUUUAUAUAUGAUAUUUGAGAUAAAUCCAAUGGGCCUGAAAAAUUAUAUAUGCCCCCACUAAUUAUUAAUUAGUAUAAUUAUUUAAUUUAAAAAAAAAAUUAUACCCAUAAUCUACACCCAAAUCUUCUCCAAAAAUUAUUCCCCUCAUCACGUCAAUUCAGUUUUUUUUUUCCUUUUCUUUUUUAUUUUGUUUAAUGCUUUUCUUUAUUUCGAUUUAAAAGAAAAUUUUGUAAUUAUUUUGUUUUUGAAAUUUUUUUUUCUUAUUUAUAUUUAUCAUGUUUUUUUAUUUUAAUUUGAAAAAAUGGUUUUAUUUUUAUUUUCGUUUUUUCAUGAUUUUUCUUUUUCUUAAUUUUUCAUUGUUUUGAAAAUGGUUUUUUUUUUUCCAGUUUUUUGAAUUAAAAACCACUGUAUAUAAACAUGAAAACCACUCUGUAUAAAAAUCUAUAUAAACAUGAAAAUCACUAUAUAUAAAAAUUAUAUAACAUGAAAACCACUCUGUAUAACAACUAUGUCAACAUAAAAACCACUCUGUAUAUACAGUUAUGUAAAAAUCUAUACAAAAAUUAUUGAAACCACUAUAUUUUUGUACAGAUUUUUAUAGUGGUUUACGUAAAAAUAUUGAAACCACUAUAAAAUCUGUACAUAAUUAUUGAAACCACUAUAAAAAANNNNNNNNNNNNNNNNNNNNNNNNNNNNNNNNNNNNNNNNNNNNNNNNNNNNNNNNNNNNNNNNNNNNNNNNNNNNNNNNNNNNNNNNNNNNNNNNNNNNUUUUUUUUCAAUUUUGCCCCCACCCGCCACAUCAUCAUUGCAUCACGCACUGGUCAUCUGCGGAUUUUUUUUUCUCUAUCAGUUUUAUUAAUCGACUAUGAAGCAUAGUCGAUUAAGGUAAAUCGAAUAUGAAACAUAGUCGAUUAAGGAAAUUCGUUAAUUUUUUUAUUUUAAUUUAUUUUUCUAUAUCAGGUUAUUAAUCGACUAUGAUGAACCAUAGUCGAUUAAGAAUUUGCUAUUAAAAAUAACAAUUCACAACCGCAAAAAAAUGCAAAAUCAACUAUAUUUUACAAAAAAAAAAUAUACAAACAUUAUAAUUGAUUUAAACAAUUGGAAUCAAUAUACAAAAACUCCAAAAUAAAAAUAAAAAAUUGGAGUCGAUCAACCUUAAUCGACUACCAGAGCAUAGUUGAUUAAUUUAAUCGACUAUUGAACAUGUACAUAGUCAAUUAAGGUUCCAGCUUGCGCAAAUUUCUCUACCCACGCCGUCCUCUGCCCGAUCCACAAAAAACACUAGAUUUUCCUCCACAUCGUCACCACACCACCGCCACACCACACUAUUCAAACGAUCCCUAACAAGACUAACAUAAAUAAAAUAAAUCAUUCAUAUAAAAAAACACAAAUUGGCAUUUCAAUGUCCCAAAAAAAAUAUACAGGAACAAUUCAAAGUAUUUUUCAACCAUUACUGGCCAAUUCAUAAACAAUUUCUGAACACAUGACAAAACCAACACUAAAAAACUAAAAAAUAAAAACAAAUACAUUCAUCAACAAUUUCCAUUGAUUCUCCUCCGACGACGAGUGCUUCAUCUUCUUUCUCAACAGCUUGUUCCUCUUCUUCUUCCUCCACAUGCCGACGGGGUGGAACGAGCUAUUGAGAAAUAAGAGUGCUUCUCCUCUACACGCCGAUGACGAGUGCUUCCUCUUCUUUCUUUCUCCAACUUCCGGUGGCGGCGGGGAGAAGAUAAUAGGAGAAAACAGAGAAAAAAAAAAGAAAAAACACUCGAGCAAAAACAGAGAAACGAGAAAGCGGAAGUGGUUUUGAAUAAUCUCUUCUAAAAAUGCUGAGUUUGGGGGGUUCAAACCCGGGAGGCCCAAGUGGUUUUGAAGAGUACUAGACACUCGGGCAAACUUACUUAUUAUAAUAUUAAUCCUAACUCUGUAUAUAUAAAUAUAAAUAACACUGUAAAAUAAUUAUAAUAAUUGUUGAACUAAUGUUUAAUAAAUUAUUAAUUGACAUGUUCACUGUUAUUAAUAUUAAAAAUCUCCACUUAAAACAAAUGGAUAUAUAUUUAAUUUUGAAAAAUAUAAAAAAUUACGAUAUAAUUUAAAAGAAAGAUUGAAUUUUGAUUUUUUUUUUAAUUUUGAAAUUUUGAAAAAAUUCUAAAUUAUUAUUUGCACUUAUAAAUACCCCUAAUCCAAUCUUCACAACUUUCAUUUUAUUUAGUUUAUGUCUCAAGGUCUUCAUCGUUUCAUUUUUUUUCUAAAAUUGUUUAGUGUUUAAAUUAAAUUUUUAUUUUGUAAUUUUGAAUUUGAAGUUAAUCUCAAGUUUUUUUCAAGUUUCAGUUUACGUUUUUUUUUCUUUCUUGUAAUUAUUUAGAAAAUAAAAAAAAAAAUUGUUAAUUAGUUAAUAGUAAAUAUUGGCGAAUCCAAAAUCUUAGUCAAACAUAUUCAAAGUUUAGUGGUAGAUCAACAGUUGCAACUGAACCUGAAAUGAUAAUAUGAUGGGCUCAAAGACAACGGGGUUCAGGGAGAGCGCCCUCUCUUAAAAUUAAUACAAAUGAUCUCCAACUACUCAAAAUUCACUUCAUAACCUCCAUCGCUCUUGCGCAAGUAUUAAUUUUCUCUAUUGUUAAAACUUAAAAUGUGUUUGUCAUGUAUUCAUUUUUAUUACCAGAUUUGAAUCGUGAAAGAAGCUCACUUUACUAUUUUGUUGUACGACCUUUUAAUAGGACGUAGAAUAUACCCACAACAAAGGGAUUCCCGUUACAAUUUAUUUAUACGUAAAUCAUGCAAUCAAGAAAGUAAUAAGUACACACACAUACAAGAAUAUAAGAUCAAACUAUAAAUGAUUAUACAAACCCAAUCAACAGUGUAUUAAAAUCUCAAAGUGGUCGCCAUAGUAGAGUUCAGUACGCACCAUAAGACACAACAGCUGCAGCAACAACACCUACCACAACAACAGUAGUGAUAAUAUGGUGUUGCUCUUAUUUCCCUAUCCACGAAAAGAGUCCUUUGUUAACUGGUUUCUUCUCAACAUUCUCGUCUUUGCAGCAUGAAAAUCCAUCGGCACCUCUGCAACACCCUCCGGUACUUGCCGAAGCAGCAACAAUCUCUUCAGGUUGUUUCUCGUUCCUCUUCACAUUUGUUCCAUUAGUAAGAUUCGGUUCCUCCUUUGACAUUAGCACCCAUUUGGCCCCUGUAUAUAAUCAUCGUAUGCAUAAAAUAUUCAAUUCUUAUCUAUGUAGUACAAACACGGAAAUGACAAUACAAAGAAACGAAAAAAGGGCACGUCGAAACAGCAUGUCCAAAAAUUGGGAUAUGGGAACUUGGGGGAAACGUAUAAAUAUCAAAAGUAUAGGGGCCAAUAUAUAAAUAUGGUAAAAAAAACAUAUAUAAGAUUUUAUUUAUAUAUAACUUUUUUUUUUAUAUUUCCAUACAAAUAUAUUCAAAUUAAAAUUUUUAUCAACAACCAAUUUGUAGUUGAUCAAUAAAUCAUGUAUUUAAUUAGGGAAGUAACAAAAAUAUCUGAAAUUUUACUAUUCAAACAUGUUUCUAAUCUUACAGGAAUUGCAAAAUGGUCCAUAAGAUGUGCGGCGGCUGUCCUUUAGUGUCACACACGAAACAUGUCCGCAACGCGAAAACAUUAAAAUGUUGAAGUUUCCGUACUAUAUAGCUUCUCAUAGUUGUGAAACAAUAAUUAGAUAUUAAGAAAAGGAAGAUGAAGAAAGAAAGCACACCUCCAAAUCCGGUCAAUGGCUUCUCCUUGCCCAAUUUGUUUAUCAAGCAAUUCAUGAAUGUCGCCAGGUGUAACAUACCCAUUCCUGAAAAAUGGAGCAUGAAUCAUUUUAUGAUGUACGUGGAUACACAUGCAACAAAUAAUUUUUUGAGUGACAACACAUCUUUUUACAUGGUUAAUUAAGCAAAACAGCUGUUACGAAGUACUAAUAGGGUAUCACUGAUUCUAUCUAUAUAUAUAUAAACAAUAAAAUGUGAUUGUCACUUAUAUACAUAAUAGGGAAAUUGGCUAGACACCCCUUAUUCUGGACUUAUAUAGGUGGCGAUCAUAACUAUUAGAUGAAUAUAGGUCUAGGUCCUUUGAUAAAAAAAAAUUAAUAUAAAUAAAAUAAAAUAAUUAGUACAUUGACAUAAACACCCUUAAUUAAAAAGAAAUUAAAUUCCAUAUAUCACUCUUCCUCUCUCUCCAAUCUCACGUCUCUUUCUCCCCCUAUAUCUAAUCUCUCAUCUCUCUCUCCCUCUCUAUCUCGUGCCUCUCCAUCGUGUUUCUCUUCUGUUCUAUUUUUUCUUCCGAUAAGCAUCUUUUCGAAGAAAAAAUCUGAUCAAUUUCUUACUCUCUUUCCUUUCUCGAUUCCGAUAUUUUUUCUUCCCUUUUGAAUCCUGCCAUAGCUAGAACCUUCAACAAACUAUAAAAAAAUAUUUUUCGUUUGUUUUUUGGUUGUGGGAUAUGUUGCUUGUUCUUUGUUUGGAAAAAUUGUUUGCUAUUUUGGAGACCUUGUUUGUUGUUUGUAUUUAAUUUAUAUUUCUCCAGUUGUUACGAUGGAAGGCAAUUCAGGAGAUACUCGCCCCGAUCUUGGUUGGUGGUUCUACGGCAAUCGAUCCAUGAGAUUUUGAUGCACCUCUUCACCGGUGUUCGGAAUCCACCUUCUGGUUCGUCCCCAACAAUAUCUUCGUCUCGGUCUCUACCAUCCUCGCCGAGAGCUUUGACUGGUUGCACUCAAUUGAUUGGGUUCAUUACGGCGGCGGCGGCGGUGGCUCUAGGAUUUGUGACGGAGUUAGGACUGGCGACAAGGGAUUUGGGGUGAGCACCUCGGUUUUUUCUCGUAUUCAAUUUUUUCUUCAGUUUGAUGUUUGUAUUUGGAGAAGUCAUAGGUAAUCAUUUUUUGCAACUCAAUAAUGCAAAUUCUGGAUUUUAUUUCCAGUUUGCUGUUUUCUGGGUGAAUCGUUGGUAUUUUGUUGUUUGCAAUUCAAUAAUACAAAUUCUAAUAUUCAGUUUGUUGUUUGCAGUUAACGGAAUCAUAAGCGUCAUUUGCUAUUUGCAGUUCACAGAGUCAUAAGCGUCAGUUUGCUAUUUGCAGUUCACGACAGACGGUGGCGCGGAGACGGUGUCGAUUUUAGAGUAUGAGUUUGUACAAUAAAUAGUAUAUUUUUUUUUACUAAUUUAUUUAAUUUUUUGUUAAUAUUUGCAAGAGAGAUGUUUGGGAAUUUGUUUUGAUAGAGAGGUUUUUGGGGGAUUUGAUUUGAUUUGGCUAAGGGUAUUUUUGACACAAUAAAUAUUAUUAAUUUAUUAAAAUAUAGAAAUUUUGACUUGGAUUUAUACAUAUAAAUUAGAAUAUAGAGGGACCUAUAGCAAAUUGUCCCUACAUAAUAAUAUAGUGACGAUAAAAAUUAUUAAGUGACAACAAAAUGAGCAAUUACUGACAGCAUAUAAAAUGUUGUCACUUUUUAGUACCAACUUUUUUUUUAAGAAGGAUAUAGUUACUAGUUUCCCAAUUCUCCUCCUAGUGUCUCGAACCCAUGACCUAAUGGUCCUAGGUGCAAGAUUCUUACCAACAAGCUACAUUGUCUUGACUUUUUAGUAACAACUUUUAAUAUUGUUCCGGUGCCGAAAGCGGCGUUUGUCACCAUUCCGGACGAUAAAUCUGCGAUUUUAGCUCUUAAGCCGGAACUUUAUCGCGUCAAGCUAAGCAUUAUUACUAAUGAUUAAUGGGUCCACUGCUCAUGAACAUAACAUUUAGCCAAAAAUAAGUGAAACACAAAGCAGAGAAAAGUGUAGUUCUUACCAAUUACCAGCAAUUUUUCCAUGAGAAGUUGCACUAAAGAUGAUCACAUUGCCAGCAUACUUGUGUCCUCCAACAUGUGAGCAAGCAGUCACAGAUACAUGCUUCUUCAAAUCUUUGGAUCCAAUCUCUUUCUUAAACUUCUCAAUCAAAAUUGGGCCACAAACCCCACAUCUUCGGUCUCGAUUGUUAUGACAACAGACGAACACGUAUCAGCCACUCAAGUUUUCGAUCUUUCCAGACAGCUUAACAUUUUCAUUUACAAGCACAUCUUCAACAAACCUAUCGACUUCGGACUCUAUUAAGCCCCUUCAAUAAACCAAAACAAAGGCGUACGUGUUCAUACCUGUAUACAAUAAUUUAGUAAUGAAUGCAUAUAUUCCUUAAGUAUGUCCAUACCUGUAUACAAUCAUUUCGGGAAAAAUCAGUACGUCUCCAUUUGACAACUUCCCAUUGUCGCCUGCCUCGCAUAUGGUCAAACGUGUCUACAAAUUCCCAAAUCAUCAAACUUAAAACGUAUAUGUUGGCACCAGAUUUCUGUUUGUUAAGAUUGAAGAAAUCUGCCAUACGUGGAAACUAAAGAUUGGCAAAGAUUUGUUUUCCAUGUUUAUUUUGGAAUUAAUUAGAGUCAUAUUCUUGUAAUAUUUUUAUUAGGACUUAGAUUUAUUUCCAUGUAUUAUAUUCUAGUUAGGUAUCUUUUGUACUUAUCUAGAAUAGAAGUAGAAAUCGACUAGGAUUCUAUUACCUAUUAAAUCGAUUUCUUAGGGCCCAAGUUAGGUUUAGGUUGGAGAUUUCGUGCCUAUAUGAGUCCCAUGGAGCUUUAAUAACAAAAAUCCCAGCAUAAAGGCUUUGAAGGGUGCAGCCCAUGCUGUAGCCCUGUCGGCACAUCAGGUGUGGCAACAGAACGGGUUUCUUCUACCAGGCCAUAAAGAAGAUCGGCGUUUCGGGAGAAGUGCUUAAAAGAUCUCGGGAGAGGUCGAUCUGCCGUUUGAAAGAAGUUCAACAUUGGAGGAAGUCCAAGAGUGCGGAGGAGGAAUUACUUUGAUUAUCAACAAGUUCGAGUCAUGUGCAAGAACGGCGUAUCACAUAAAGAGGGAGUCUUUAGUGUUUUAUUAAGUUCUUUUAAUGUACACUUAAAUCUGAACUAGUUUUGCAAGUCCUCGUGGAUGUAGGGUACAUUUGUAUCCGAACCACAUUAAAUUCUUGUGUUCUUUAUUCUACUUUUAGUAGAUUUAUUACUGUGACAACACAAGAAUUCUGUUACCACACCUAAUGUCGUAACACGUAGUCUGUCUUAACAGAUGAGUAGAUAGUCAUAUGCAUUAAAAAUCAACAGUAUAUGUAUGUUUUUUGAUAUAUUUCCAAGAAAUUAAACAAGAACCAGGUAAAAGGUUAAUCUAACUAACUAUGUAUGGAUACGCAAAGCAAGCAUAAAACAAAAAUAGAAUAAAUGAAAACGGAAAAAACAAACUCAUCUAGCAUGACAAGAUUUCUAGAUCUUGAAUUCUAAAUUAAUUAGUUGGUUUAGGAUUGCUUGUAAUUUCCAUUUUUUUUUUAUAGCUUAGGAAUCAUGAUACUUUUUUACAUAGGGUUGACCUCUAACAAUAAAAUAAAGGUUUCAUUCCACUUUGUACUCUUAAACCGGAUCAUUUUGACACUUUAUACAUUUGAAAAAAAUACUUUUCUUACAAAUCAAAACAAAAUAGACUUUUAUCACUAAAUUAUUCAAUUGUCGGAUCUUUUAUUGUUGGUAGAAAUCUUUGAAAGAAAAUAUGAUUUUCAAAUAAUUUGAUAAUAAAAAAGCUGAAGGGAUUUUAUUUAUAUUGUAAAAUACUUUUUUGUGAUAGAAAGUAUAAUUUUCAAAUAUGCUGAUGUGACAUAUUUUAUUUUGCACUUUAUAGUUUCUAGAGGAUUGAUGAAUAAAAGAAAUUGAUUUGACAUUAGCUUUAAAAAUUCACCUUGGGCGCAUUAUGCUUAUUUUAUUGUGUUUCGAUGGUGUUAACUGUUAUUAAUUUUUUUUUGAGGGUGCAAAGUGUGAUUAAGCCUAAAUUAAAUAAUAUCUGAUUAUUUAUAAGUUAAUUUCCUCAAACGUUUGACUUUUACGAAUUAUCUAUAAAUCAAUCCAGAGUAACCUAGGUUUUCUUGUUGACUAUUUGUUAUGCAUAAAUAUAGUAUAUUCUACAGCUGUUAAUAAACAACACAACUUUCACUUCUUCUUCAAUGGAAUUAAUACAACGGCUACAUUUUUAAAACAAAUAUGUUUGGUGCGAUCGUACCGACUAUUUUCCACAACAUUUAAAGACAGUGAGAAUAUAAACAACUAAAAUAAUAUAUUCAAUUCUGCUAUUAAUAUUUUUUUUGAAGUACGGACCUUGAGUUUAAUGUCCUCUUUACGAGCUUUUAGGGCAAGAGGCGAGAAGCUUAGGGAGAGGAUCGGCAUCAGAUUCCUCGACUCAUGUAGGCCACGACUCAUGAGACUUGUAGCAUAGGAACAGGUGUCGUUCGUACUGUUCAACACUUCCGGCAAGUUUGCUUUCGUACAUGUCGCUUCUCUCGAAGCCGUAAUUGCCGCUCUCAUCUACGCCGAUGGUGGUGUUGGCCAUGGUGGAGGACGACGGAGAUAUUUUUCCAAGGUUUUCGUAUAUGGUUUUUGGGGGGAAUGAGUGGACCUAAAUAUAUAUAUAUAUAUAUAUAUAUAUAUAUAUAUAUAUAUAUAUAUAUAUAUAUAUAUAUAUAUAUAUAUAUAUAUAUGGGAAAAUUACGACUAUCACUAAGGUAUGAUUAAAUACAAAAAAUCCCUCCUGUUUGGGUAAUUACAGUCACCCCUCUCCUUUUAAAUAUUUUUGCAUAAAAUUUAUGUAAUUCGAUUAUUUACAGAACAAAAUCGUAUAUUCAGUUCGGUUAACAGUAUGAAAUGUCGCGUACUGAAAUUUCGGUUCGGUUUUACCAAAUUAACAUCCCUAAUUUAUUUACCUCUGAAUGGGGUUUUUCAUAAAAUAAUACAUAGUUGAGGGGUGACUAUAAUUAUCCAAACAGGAGGGGGCUUCGUAAAUUAACCAUAACCCAGGGGUGGCUGUAAUUUGCCCAUAUAUUGUCUGAAUUGAGGCAAUAGAUCGGACUAGGUACCAAAUGAGCAUCUCUUAAUGGUUUUUGAAGUACAAAAUAGAAAUGCAAGACUAGUCACACCACGACACGUUGUUUGGGUUGACAUAUAAUAUUUUAGUUUUCUUUUUUUUUUCUCUUAUUUUUAGAGUAGGGUUGACAUAUAAUAUUUUAGUUUUUUGUUCCUUCUUUUUUUAGAGUAGAGUUGGCAUAUAAUAUGUGUUAUAUCAUUCGACUUUUACUUAUAACAUUCAAAUUGCAUACCAUUACAUUGGGCUAAACUUAUCUGCACUCUUAUUAAGACCAAAUUCAGUUUACAAAAUAACUAAUUCCUUCGGCUCUUGUACGGCAUUGACCGCCAGUCUCCAUCGUUACUUUUUUUUUUUUUUUUUAUUUAAAAAAUGAUAUUCUUUUUUUUCUAAAAAAAAAUUCUGAAAUUUUCUUCGGCCACCACCUUUGUCCGCAUUGAUUUUAGGAAUAGAAUUAGCCUUAUAAAUUGGAGCUUACACUAUCCAAAUUUUCAAAGCAAAAAACAUUACAUCAUCACUUAGUUCAUCAAACUAACUAAUUUGUCUUUCCUUGUUUGUUGCUUUUUGCCUCAAUUUUGUCAAAAAUAUUUUGUUUUUUUCCUUCCAAUAAUUCGAAAAUGAAGGACAAGUUUACAGGGACUAUUCUUCAGAGUGAUGCACUCGCCCAGGUAAUUAAAUUUCUUUCUUAAUUUCGCCGCUUUUAUUUUCUUUACUAAAUAUAACAUUUAUGUAUGUUGCUAAAUAUACUACUUGUUAUUUUAUAUUUUCAUUUUUUUUUAAUAAUAUAUUUUCGAAAUUUUUGCAGUAUAUUUUGGAAACAACUGCUUACCCGAGGGAGCAUGAGCAACUCAAAGAACUAAGAAUGGCUACUGUCAACAAGUAUCAGUGGUGGUACGAUAAUCUAAUAUAUUCGAAAUAAUCUAAUUUAAUCUUUUUUUAUUAUUAUUAAGAGUGGUGUUAUUUUCACCUCCAAAUUAUCUCAAUUCACCACUAAAAGUAUAUAAAAUGUCACAAAUACCCCUAAAAUUUACAAUCUACCACCGUUCCUUAUAUUCGCUUAAUCCUCAUGUGUUCAAAGUUAUUUCUAUAUUAUUAUUUUUUUUUUGUAAUGAAAUAUUUAUUACAAGACAUUUAAACUUCCAUUAUUUAAAUUUUUUUUUUCGGAAACGAAAUUAUAUUAAGCUAAACUGGCCAAUUCUAGAGGAAGUUCACGACCUUGUAUACAAACACUCUUAAUUUUUUUUCUCCAAAAACGUGAAUUUCUGCUCUUUUUUAUCUUCGUAAAUGUUUUUUUUUCUGACAAAAGUAUUAUUCACUUAAGGUGGAAAGGGUGAGAUUUUGCGGUAACGAUUCCAGUGAAAAUGUUGGGGUUUUUUUUAUAAAUAUUUUAGUUAGUUUAGUGGUGAAUGGUUUAUAAAUUUGUAAAAUAUAUAGGUGAAAGAAGAAAAAAAAAAUGGUAAAAUGGAAAAUAUAAUUAAUUUAGUAGUCAAAUAAGAUAUUUUGGUGAUGAAAAUAGCAGGUUUCAUUAUUAAUUCUUGAUUUGUUUUAUUUAAUUUGAACAGGAGUAUAAUGAAUGUAACUGCUGACGAAGGACAAUUCAUUUCAUUGUUCUUGAAAACGAUGAAUGCAAAGAAAACAAUUGAAGUUGGAGUUUUCACUGGCUACUCACUCCUCACUACUGCUCUUGCCCUCCCUGAAGAUGGCAAAGUAAGUAAAUAAACUUAACAAUAAAUAAAUGAAUUAAUUCAAAAAAAAGAAAAAACAAAUUGUAACUAAUUAUUAUUUUUGUUUUAUACAGUUAAACCUCUAUAAAUUAAUAGUACAGUCGAGACUAAUAAAAUUCUAUUAAUUUAGCAAAAUAUUAAAUUACCGAACUAAUAAUUUAGUAGUUUUUUACCGAGUCGGAACCAGAAAAAAUCAUUAUUUAAACGAGAUUAUUAAUUUAUUGAGUAUUAAUUUAUCGAGGUUUUACUGUAUAUUUUACAUGUAGAUCAUCGCCAUUGACCCAGACAGAGAAGCAUACGAGACUGGAUUGCCGUUUAUUCAGAAGGCAAACAUGGCCCACAAAAUUCACUUCAUUCAAUCUGAUGCCUUCAAAGUUAUGGAAGAACUCAAGGCCAACGUAAAAAUAUCUCCUCUUCAAUCUAUCUAAUAUUUCUUAAUUAAUUUAAAUUACGAAAACUCUCCUCUUCUUUGGAUAAUUACAACCACCUCUAUCAACUAUAAAUAUUCUUACACGUUCACCUUUGCGGUUUCAAAUUUAGUGGAAUCUUCUAGAUUAUAUGUAAUAUUAUCACUUUUAUCCUGUUUUAUCCCAAUACUAUCACUUUUAUCCUGUUUUAUCCCAUUCGAGCUCCACAUUCUGAAGCGAGAUGAUCAUAAGAUGUGUAUUUCAGCUUGUAUAUAUCAAAUUUUGGUGCAUCAAAAACUGUAUUGUUACACAAAACGAGUACAAACUAGAGCACAUUCUACGGACUCUAGAUGAUUAUGUUGAGUUUGACACCAUAAGGGUGGAGGUGUAAGAAGAUUCACAGUUGAGUGGGGUAGAUGUAAUUAUCCAAUCAAGAGGAAUUUUUUCGUAAUUUGACCAUACCUCAAGGGUGGUUGUAAUUUACCCUAUUGAUUAUAAUUGAAGUAUGCAGGGUGAAGAAGGAACAUUCGAUUUUGCAUUCGUGGAUGCGGACAAGCAGAACUACAUCCACUACCACGAACAACUAUUGAAACUGAUAAAGGUAGGAGGAAUAAUCGCGUACGACAACACAUUGUGGUCGGGAACUGUGGCAGCGUCCGAUGAUGACGAGAUGGAGGAAUAUCUGAGGAGGGUCAGAGUCGACAUCAUGCACUUGAACACUUUCUUAGCAGCUGAUCUACGUAUUGAGUUGGCUCAGCUUUCCAUCGGAGACGGGCUCACUCUUUGCAGACGUGUCAAAUAGAGAGACGACAUUCUAUUUAUUUAUACGUUUUUUAUGACAUAUAUUAUAUAAAAUGUAUCCUUUCUUGUUUGUGUCUUUUUUUCUUCUGUAUGGUUGUUAUUAUUAUUUAUUUUCCCUAUUACAUAUUUAAGCUCAUUUGAUUUGGAGUUUCUAAGUGUACAACUUUGUUGAAAUAAAAAUAAAUUGUUGUCUGGGCUAGCUUUUUCUUCUGUAGCAAUGUUUAUUUGUAAGUAGACUGUCUCUCUCAAAUAUUGGGGUAAAGAACAUAAAAAACCCUUGUGGUAUGACAAAUAUACACCAAAUUCUCUUAUGUUCUUUUUAUUACGUAAAAUCCCACUGUGUUUCAUUUUUUCUUGCAUCAAAUCCCAAAUUCCGUUACUAGUUAACACCGUUAACUAUAAAGAAGGGGAUUUAAUGUAAGUUUUUUGUAAUAUAGGAGGAUUUGGCAUGGUUUUGCAACAAAGGGGGGUCUAUUCAAAAUUAAUUUAUUCAUUUAAAUUUUAAAUUAUUUUCUUAAAUUAAGUCGAAUACAUCUAUUUAUUAAAAACAAAAAAAAUAUUCGAGGUGGAAGUUGGAACGAAUUCUCAAAUUAUUUAUGUUCUUUUCACAUAUACUUAAUCAAGAAUAAAUUAUAAAAAUAUAUAAUAAUUCUAAUAAAAUAAUUUAUAUUUUUAAAAAUCAAAUUUUUUUAAAUACAUUAAUAAAUUAUAUCAUAUAAAAAUUGAUUUAAAAAAAACAUUCACAACACCCUUUAAAUUUCUAUUUUUCAUAUUAUAACUGAAUAAAUGUGUUCGUAUUAAUUUAAGAAAAUAAGAUGAAAUUUAAACGAAUAAAUUAAUUUUGCAUACAAUCCCCUUGUAUUUUAAAAAAUAUACACUAAAUCCCCCUCCAUUAUGAUAAAAAAAAUGUAUAAAAUCUCUUCUAUAGUUGACGGCGUUAACUUUUAACGGAAAAGGGGACUUCGUUCAACGUAAAAUGAAAUAGAAGGAGGUUUUACGGAAGAAAAAAAAAACACGAGGAUUUGGCACAUAUUUUACUUAACACAGGAGAUUUCUGUGCUGUUUACCCCAAAUAUCGAUCUCCAUCGAUUGAAACAUUUAAACCAAAUAUACUAUUAUUAUAAGAGCACUUCAAAUCUACAAAGUUGUUGGGAAUUGAAUAACCAGUUCACGGUGUGCAACACGAACACGUUAACCAUUUUAACUUGUGAUCUUUUUUUUUUUCUUUUUUUUUUCAGAUAUAAAACAAUUGAUGUAAUCAAUUGAGUUAUUCAACUGGUUUUACUUAGUUGGUUUAUGUUUAAUCAAUUAAUUUUUCGAACAAGUCAAUUAUUCAGAAGAACUGGAUUUUUAAGAGUUUUAAAUCUCUUUUAUCAUCAUUAAACAUAAAAGGACCUAGUAUUCUCUUUUCAUUGUGGAACUAAUAAAAAUGAAUGAAAUAUAAAAUUAAGAAAAAAAAUUAAAAAAAAAAAAAAAAAAAGUCAAAGGACCAACUACAAGAACACCAUAUGUGAGCAAGCAUAUGAAACAUCCUAACAUGUCCUUCAAAAGAAAAUUUGCUUAUUUUUUUUUCUAAACUCUUUAUUAUUUUAUUGUAUUUUUCUGUUGUUGACCGGUCAACAUAGUAUGAUUGAUCUGAACACAACACAGUAAUCUUCCUGUUUUACAAAGUAAUUUUAUUAUAUUCACAGUAAUAUUAAAUAUUUUUAACCUUUUUUUUGCAAUUUUAUUUCUUAAACAACCAACACAAUAAUAUACCGUGCUAGCACUAACAUUACGGUCUGAGACAUUAAUACUGCAGGUCAAAACAAUAAUAUUAAUACUAACACAAUAAUAUUACUAUGUUAUUACUGUCCGAGACAGUAAUAUUGCAGGCCAAUACUUACCACAAUAAUAUUACUUCAAUGUCGAUAUCCACUGUGGGAUCGGAGUCGGCAUUUAGUUUUGGCGGUAGGCUUAUUGAUGCAUUUAGGAUUUUUCUUAGUCCUAAGACAGCGGAAGCUCUUGCUUGUGCUCAAGAUUGGAUACAGUUUUCGCCGACGGACAUUGAGCUUUCUGAUGCAAAAUCAAGAAGCAUGGAUGUAGGAGUUUUUGCAAGAAAAAUUAGAAAAACUUGAGACAAGUACAAAUUUUUAAAUACUUCUUUAUGUAUUCUAAUUUAAUUUACUAUACAAUUGUGAUUUUUUUUUUUUACUUAUUAUAUGUAAUUUUAGAGGCAUUUGCAAGUGGAUCGAAGUUUUUCACCAUGCCAGAUAGAUGUUUCUAAAAUGGUAAACUUGUUUAUAUAAAUGUGAUUUCUUUGUUUGAUGUUACUAACUAAAAUUAAAGCUAUAUGUACUUUUUAGGUUGUUACGACAUUUAUGGAACUGUGGCCUCGUGGGGGAGUUGGUGACAAUGUCUUUGUAUUUGCAUUGUUCUUCAUUUUGCAGUUUUUUUAAGCUCUCCUAAACAAACUUUGGUAGAUUUUUGCUACUGUUGAAAGAAUGUAUUAUCUGGUUUUGCUGUGGUUUUUUCAGCUGAUCUUUGAAUGAAUGCUGCUGUGUUUUUUUUUUUUUUUUGUGUGUGAAGUAUUGCAGUGGAUUUAUCAAUUUUUUCAGCUCAAUUUGAAUGAAUAUUAAUUGAUCUUUGGGGUGACUUUUUAUUGUUUUUUUUUUUCUUAAAGUUUGAGCUAAUUUAUUGACAUUUUUCGGCUGGAUUGUUGGGCCAAAAUGAUCCCAAUACCGAACCGAAAACAGAACCAUUAUUGAAAGCGAACCGAGAAUUUAUUAACCGAAAAGCAACUGAAACCGACAAAAACGAACUGAAACGGAUUGGAACCGAACUGCAAGAAAUCGGUCAGUUUGGUUUUUGGUUCUUUAAGAACCGACCACUUCGAUUUUUGUUUGAGGCUAAAACCGAACCGAUCUCACCCCUAAUUUAGGGUAUAAGAGCAUGUUUGGGAUAAAAGAAAAUUUAGGAAAAUUGAUCAUAUUAUGUUUUGAAAUAAGAGUGUAUUUAAAAAAACUAUACUUUAGGAUUGUCAUUUAAAUGUAAUUAGAUUUUGUUUGAGAAACUAUAGUUUAUUAACUCCUUUGAAAAAUCAUAUCAUUAUCACAAUCUUUAAAUAUAUGUCGUCCCUAAAUUAUUAAUGGUUACUUUCGCCACUUUCUUGCACGCUAAAGCAAAGUAAAAGUCAAUUUUAUAUCCUGCGAAAUUAAAGAUAAAAUACUCCUCAACAAUAAUUAUAACAAAUAUCUUAAUAGUUUUCAUAACCGUAUGAGAGACGUAAACCACACCAGACUAACCAUGUGUGACGAACUCCACAUAGCGAUAGCGACCAUUGACAAGGGAAUUCGAACUUGUGUUAGUUGACACAAGUUCACUUGUUCUAGAAGUUAGGUCAUCCCUUGCAGGACAAUGCGAUAUUGAUCUGGGAACUUGUGUCAAGUUUGGUGACAUAUUCUUUUAAUUUCUAUAUAUAUAAUCGUAUCGUAUAAAUAAAUUGAAAGAUAAAUCUAAGAGAUGUCCUAUAGUAUUGAUCUUUGAACGAUCGAUUGGCAUCAGGUUCCGGGAAUUAUUAUUUUAAUUCCACCAUAAUUUUCCUAAUAUAGGCAACUUCUAGACCAUGGCACAACCGACGAAGUCUACAAAAAAAGUGCAACGUUUUGAAAGUUGGGGGCAACGUGUAAAAUACCCUCUAUUCAAAGGAUAAAGUUACCCUAUAUUUAUUAAGAGAUAUCUCCACAUGAUUUGAUAAUGAAACAAAAGUCGAGAGAUUUUAGAAUUUGAAGACGCAAAAGGGUCAUUUGAGCAUCUCCCACCGGUCUCUAUAUCGUUGUUUUCAUCUAAUUUAGGUGUUUUUAAGGCAAUGUUUGGAAGCGUUUUAGAACUUAUUUUGAUUUCAUUUUGAGAAAAUGUGUUUUGGGGGAAGAAUUUGAGAAUGAAAGUAAUGUUUGUUUAUAUUUUGGAAGGAGACAAAAUACACUGUAGCAGUCACAUCAUGUUUAAAAGUGUUAGAAAAAAGUAUUUUAGAAGAAAAAAAUUGAAAGAUAAAGUGAUAUUUAUUUGUUUUUUAGUGAAGACAUUUUUUACUGCAGCAGUCAAAUCAUUUUACAGUAGCAGUCACAUCAUGUCUGAAGGAGAGAUAAACUUUUGAGAUUGUUUUGAGAAAAUUAUUUGAGAAGUGUAAUAAAUAUAAUUUUGUUUUGGGGAAUCAAUGAAAACAAAAUAAAAACAGAACCAAACAUUGCUAGUCUUCCACCCUCAAUCUCUAUAUUACCAUAUACUCAUAUCCUAUUUUCCACCAAAUUUUAUGGUGAAGAAAUUUUUAUCUCUCACCGGUUCACCAUUUUCCUAUUUUUUUUCCACAAAAUCCUAUUUUUCGUAUCAAAUAUAGAGGUGAAAAUAGGAUUUGGUGUAAUUAACAUCAUUUUAUUAAUUAGCAUAUUAAAUAAUAAUUUUAACUAAUUGCAUGUUAUUAUCCACUUAUUAGCAUAUUUAUUGUAGAUACAUUAGUGUUAAUUAAUAAAUUAAUACUCAAAAUAUAAAUACAUUUUUUAUAAAAACAUUAAUUCUAAUAAUUAUGAAUAUGCUUAUUUUUAAUUAAAUUGUGCAUUUUUUUUUAUAUCAAGUUGAUUAGUUCAUGUUUUUUUCUUUAACUAAUACGCUAAUUGUUACUAAUAAAAUAUAAUAAACAACAACAAGAUGAUUGACGAAAUAUACUUUAAUUGACGAAAACACAAGACGAGCCCUUUGAAUUGAAAAUUGAUAAAUCAAGGAAAGCACAAUGAAUUAAAAAGGAGAGUGGUAUCGCACUUUUGAUAAACGUGGUCAAAUAGACGAUUUUGAAGAUUAUGAUGGUGAUGACGAUAAUAAAGAUGAAUGAAACUUUUAUUUUUAUUUAUGAUUUUAGAUUAAUAUAUGUUGUAAUAUUAUUUAUUCAUGCAAUAGUUUAUGAAAUUAUUUUUUAUGUAUGAUUUUAUUAUAUGUAAAAUAAUUUGAUUUAAUUUAUUUCAUGUUUAGAUAGUUUUUAAAAUUUAUACCAUAACUUUUAAAUUGUAUGGUUAGAAAUAUGAUUAUUUAAAUUUAGAUCUAUAGUUAAUAUUUAGGAAAUAAAAUAUAGUAAAAUUAUGAUAAACAUUAAACUUAUAUUUUUGGAACAUAUAUGGUGAAACGCCAUGGGAUACCAAACCAAAUCUCAUCGAAAAUAUAAAAUGUAUUGUUUUUUAUACAUAUUGUAUCGUAUCGUUUAUCAUAAUGUAUCGUAAGAUAUUUGACUAAAUAUUGAGAGGGAAAAUUAGCAAGACCUCCCUCAUCUAUGAAAUAUAGUGAAAGAAAAUUUUCCUCCCAAAAGUACUUAGAAAAAACCUCUUCCCAUUUAAACUAACCCUCCUAACAAAUCUUACUUGUCUAAUAUACCCUUGAAGAACCCUAAUCUCAUUUAUCAUUUCUCUCUUUUUCUUUUCACGCCUCUCCUCUCUCUUUUGCUCUGAUAUUUUUUUCUCUUUUCAAUUUCCCACCCAAAUCUCUAGUCUUUUCUCUUUCGGUCCGAGGUGAAGAACAAGAGUUGUCGGCGCUGCUAGAACGACGCUCUAUCUCCUUCUCUUUCUCUUGGAGAUGGCUUUUCUCGGUGCGUAUUGCCGGAACGAGUGCGAGGAAGAUGACUUUUUCGUCGAUUUGUUGCCGAAAUCGGAUUUUGAUGGUUGGUGGUUCUGCUUUGGUUGGUGGUGUAGGUUAUAAUUUACUUUAUUUGUAAUAAAAUUCGUCAUAAUAUAGAAGUGGGGGUGGUGAUGGUGUGGUGUAGCGGCUGUGUGGAGACGAUGGGGAGGCAGAUCUAAGGUUUUUAAUUUGGUGGAUCGGGCAGAGGACGGCGCAGUAAAGAAACCGCGCAUGGUGGACCCUUCAUCGACUAUGCUUCAUAAUAGUGGAUUAAGUUAAUCGACUAUGCUCUGGUAAUUGAUUAAAGUGUUAAUAGACUAUUUUGGUAGUCGAUUAAGGUUACAUAAUUUUAUCUUUUAAUUCGUUAAUGAUUUUUUUUGUAUUGAUUCCGAUUUGUAUAAAUCAACUACAAUUUAUGUAUAUUAUUUAUUUUGUAAAAAAAUGUUGAUUUACGAUUUUAUGUAGUUGUGUUUUUUUUUAGUAGACAGUUCCUUAGUCGACUAUGCUUAAUUAUAGUCAAUUAAUAUGCUCCAUAGUCAAUUAAUAUACAUGAUAGAGAAAAAAAAAAGUUCAAAAACGAAAAAAAUUAAUUUUUUUUUAAAUGAAAAAAAAAAUAAAAAAAAUUGAAGAGAAAAAAAAGUAACGGCUGAUGAGGUUGCCGCGUGGUAGGUGAUAGUGUUGAUGAGGUGGCAGGAGCAUAAUUGAAAAAUAGGUGGCUGAAAUUAGAAGUGACUUUUCUCAAAUUGUGCAAAAUAGUUUGGGCAUCUGUCAAUUAAAAAAAUAUUAAAAGGUUAUAUCAAAGAACCCCAUAUUGAAAAUAGUACAAAAUAUAUAUAUUUGUAUAAUAAAAAUAUAGUAAACACGUAAAAUUUAAAAUUUUUAAUCAAACACUCGUUCAAAAUAGAUCUAAAUGCAAUUUUCAACAUUAUAUUAUUAAAAUGGAAAAAAAGUCAUAGUUAAUAGUUAGAAAUGCUAGUGUUGAUUUUAUUAUCUUUGUUGAUAUAAAUUUCCUUUCAAUUUUGUAAUGUUCAACAAAUUUAUUAGUUUUGUAUUGAUUUUAUUUUUUUUCUAAUAUUUUUUUUUUCGUAUUUUAAUCGAGAGAAUAAUAAUAUUUAUCUAAAAUAAUUUAUUUUUUCCUUGGCUUAAUUAAAGAAAAAAAAAACAUCCAACACAAUUGUUACAAAUUUAUUUUACUGAUAAUCGCACAAUUCACCACUAAUAUGUUGGAAAUCACACAAAUAAUCCCAAACGUGCUGAAAUCACAAAAAAUCAUUCCACAUAUGCUAAAAAUUGCACAAAACUACCCCAAAAUUUGUUGAAAAUCGCACAAAUCACCAGUUGAGCUGAAAAUUGCACAAAUUUGACCACCAAAACAUAUACAAUAUAUAUUUACCGAUAUUUAAAGAUAACCGAUACAUAUGCCGGUUUAUAUCCUUUUUUUAUAUAAUCGUAUUGUAUCGUGAUAUUGACCAAAACACUUAAAACACGAGUUUCCUAUCAAUCAUAAUGGGGUAAGUUCAAAAACCAAUUAAAAAAAUAUCAAACUUGUAUGUUAAAACAACAUAGUCCAAUACAUCGUCAAAAUCAUAUAAAAUUUUCGAUAAAGAAUAUUACAUAUAUUGAACUUCCCUUUUCACAGAUCGUGAUAUUUUAGCCCACGAGCAUUGAACAAAGUCUACACAACAAGCAAAAAUUAUAAUUAGUAAGGAUAUAAUUCCACUUUGCACUCUUAAAAUUUAAAAUUUAUCAUUUGGGCACUUUAAUUUGCAUCCUCGAAAAUAAUUAAUAGAACUUCGCACCUUGAAUUGAAUUUUUAAAACUUAAUGACAACUUCAUUCUUUUAUUGGUGUAAUUUUCUUAGAGUGCAAAGUAAGAAAAUAAAUUAUUAAUUAAUAAUUGGUUCAUAUUUUUUAGUAAUUUAUGAGUAAUUAAUAAAUAAUUAGUUACUAAUUAUUUAUUGAUUAACAAAAUUAGUAAUUGUAGUAGUAGAUGUUGAGGUAGUAGUAGAUUGUUUAGUAAUUUAUGAGAAAUGUAUAAAUAAUUCGUUAUUAAUUAUUUAUUAAUUGUUUAGUGAUUCAUAAAAGUAAAUAGCACCGUUGAAUGUUUUUUGAAGUUUACUUUCUUACAAGAUGAGAUUAUGUUGUUGAACUUACCUAAUAUCCAAUAGGACUGUUGAUUCAAGCAAAAUAAUCAAAUUUAGCUCAAUACGAGUUCCAUAUAUAUGUGAAAAGGUUGUGCAAAAUAUUCGCAAUCUAAAUUAAAUUUCUACGCACAAUACAAUUGAAGUAAAAAUCUUGAUUUAUUUCUUUCUAUCUGUUGCGAUGGCAUGAUUUAAAGGAAAAAUAAAUUUAAUACUUUAUAUUUUGAAGGAAAAACUUGUAUUAUACGAAAUUAUGGGUUGGAUAUGCAUACUCACAAUCAUUGUAAUCGUAAUAUAGCCUAUCACCCUAUGCGAUAUCACGAUUCGCAACUAGAAGCACCACACAUUCUUCGUCUACGUUGUACCUCACGCAUUUAAUAUUUUGUUUUUUUCUCCCUUUCUAGUAAAAGAUCAAAUGAUGUCUUUGACAAGGCAAUAUUACAAAUUGUAUUAAUUUUCUUCUAAUAAUUAAAAAAAGAGCAACCAUUUUACAAAAAACAAAAUCAAGAACAUACAUCAAAUUUAAGUAUUGUACACCUAAUUGGUAUACAUAACUAAAAAUUGAAUAAGUGAAGAGUGUAUCUAGUGUACGGUUUAGGUGCAAAACUAGAACAAAACUAUUCUUGAAGAUGUUACAGUACAUCGUUUACUAGAAAUUAAAAUGUGUUUCCAUCAUUCUUACACACAUACCAAUGUCUACGUGUGUAAAUGGACGGGGAUAUAUAACAAUUAUGUACAUUCACCAGGUAUAGCUUCUACUAUAGGAGAAGAAAAUUGGCUUUAGAGACUUACUUUGUGUGAUUGUUAAUGCCACUUAUAAAUCUGGAGAUAUUUCCAAGCAUAUCUGCACAUGCAACAAGACUUUUAGACGGUUCAACUAAAGAAAGGAAAGUCAUCAUACUGUCAUAAUCACCUUCCUCCUGAUUUCUUAUGCAAUCAACAUCUCCCGCGUAUUUAGCGAUCAAAAUCAUAUCCUUUAUGGGCCCGUCAUCUUCUACAGUAUACCUACAUAUGAGUUUCACAUUGAUUUUAUUAUUUAUUGCAUUGAACUAACCUCUGCAAUGUAUAAUCGGCGCCUUCUUUUUUUACAAUUAAAUUUACACGUUACAACAAUCAAAUUCAAAUCAAUCUAGAGUUUCAACAUGAAUUUUUUCGUAUUGGGGUAUUGUUGGGUGCUAAAUACCUAACACGCAAGUGCACGUAUCGCAAACAAGUAGUAAAAGUGGACUCGUGAGAGUCGGAUGUCGAUCCCACAGGGAAUACUCAAAUUAUCUAAUCCUAAGUACCAAAUUCUAACAAUUAUGAUUUUUAUUCAGCCUACGCAAAGUUGUUAAAUAAAUCAAUAAAACAAUUAAACUAAUUAUGAAAGCAAAUAAACACGGGAAAAUAUCAAUAAAAACGGACCUAGGAUUUUAUCUUCCCCCUAUGCAAGAAUUGCUCACCCAAAACCCCUCAAUUAUGAAAUACAUGAUUCAUGAUUAUUAACCCGAGACACUUAUUUACUCAUAACCCGCUGUCGCGUGUAUUAUGAGUCUAUUAUUCAUAAACGAUUCACUAUAUGUCUAUGCAAACCAAUUAUAAAUAAAGCAUUAACUAACAAGUCUCGUAAAUGGCUACCUAAGGUGAUAUCUGUAUGUCUACGACACCACAUGCAAUUGACACACUCAUCCGGUGAAAACUACUCGAAGGCUCUUCUACCUACCGUCUAAUUAUCAAAAUAGCUCUGUCGAGUCAAUCCCAAUAAUCACAGAUAAAGCACAUAAAUUGAUCAGGCUCAUGCACUAACAAUCAUAACAGGGAGAAGAAAUAAUCAUAAAAUCAUAAUUGCAUAAUCUCAAGAAAACGGGUUCACCAUCCCCACAUAGGGUUCCGACAAAAUCCUAGAUUAAAAACUUAGCUACUCGUAAUUCUUAUGAUAAGCAAAAUAGAAUAAAUAAAAUAAAUAAGAAAAACUAUGCUUGAGUCUUCGUUGAUCUUCGUUCUUCGCGUUUUGUGGUGUAAAAUUUCGUGCUUAUGGUGUAGAGACAUGUUGCUUUUAUAGGCUUUUCUUGAUAAGGAAGUAGUAGAAACCUAAUAGGAAUCAAUUUCCGCCACUUUCCCCCAUCAGGACUUGUUCUUCGAUUUUCGCCAUGUUGGAGUCCGAAUUUUGGAAUAUUGUGUAAAUAAGAAUUGUAGCCCUUGAAAUUAGCUUUCCAAUGCCGCCAAAAUCACCUAAUUCGGAGUUCGUAUGAGAGAGAUAUCCUCGAAAUCGUGUACACUUUCAAAGCUGUGGCGAGAUUCCUUCUUCCAAUUUGAUUUGUUUCCUUAUUUGCAACUUUUUCCUUUCUUUUUGAUCUUUUUUCCUUCAUGGACACCUAAUUCUCGUUUUUCACCUAUAAAACACAAAAUCAAUCAAUUAAAGCACAAAUAUAAUUAAAUCUAAACAAAAAAUCCACGUAAAGUAAACGUAUUGAGUGUAAAAUCUACACUCAACAGGUAUAUAUGAUAUUAGGGCUAUAAUUUACUAUAUAUAAUUGCAUGAACUAAUGAUACAAUAACAAAAAGAAAAAAAAUAAAUUCCCUUCCAACGAAUCAAACGCUACUACAAGAGGUGGGAAUUCGCCUGUUCUAUACAUAUCCCUACAGUUUUUUAGUGUCUACGUAUCUUCUUUGCAAAGAACCUGACCAGAAAAAUAUAUAUGUAUAGAAUCAAGAAGUUAUAGUUAGCAACCAAUUGAUCGAAACUAUGUGAAUUAAUUAUAGAAGGUUAUUACUAAAAUAGGACCUGCAUGCCACCGUUUACGAAAGAAGACUGAUGAUGCUAAAGUUAGAUCACCUUAGAUAGUUGAAGUAGGAUGAGCUGGAAGAGCAGAGUGGAUCACUGGCUCACGAGCUUGAUGACCUUGAGAUACCUGCGAUCAUAGAACACGUGAACUAGGCCGGGGGUUGAUCCGACGGAAACCCCUCCGACGCUCAAGUCAGGCGUGCUGAUCGUGAAAAUAGUCCAGAGAAUACAUAUUGUAGUAUUGCUCAUGAGUUAAUAAGACGUACCUUAAGGAAUGAGUUCAAACCUUUAUUUAUAGUUUAGUUGAGAUUGUCGGGCCCAAACCUUACUUGAAGGUGAUUGGGCAUCGGUGAUAGUGGUCUUAAAUAGGGUUCGUGGCCCAUUAGAUAAAAAAAAUUGUAGGCCCAUUAGGUUGGCCCAAUUAGGCAUAUCAUUAAAGACCGAUUCACUUAUCUAGGAGCCAUGCUAAGGUUGUAAGUGAGUUCGUUGUUGUAUUCCAAAUUCUGUGAAGUCAUAGCCAUGGCAAGAGAUGUCAUUCGAGCUAGUCUUAUUGCAUGAUCUUGUGAUGGAACAUGUGUCAAUAAUCUUCUUCGUUUCUUGUGUAAUUCCAAUAUACUUGUACGUCUAUGUCGUUUCUUGGUAUCUAAAAUUAGGACAAGAUUCAAAACAUCUAUAUAUAGAUAUAAUGUCAAAGCGUUUUGAUUGUCACAUUCAGUGGUCAAAAUAAGAUUAAAGCUAAGUAAAGCAAAGACAUACUUGUGCAGAUAUUGUUACAUGUGUGCAUACUUAGUGCAUCGAUAAAUAUACAAAAUGCGACCAAAGUGCAUGUAUUAUAAAAAUGUAUUUUAAUCGUGUAUAUUUGUAAAUUAGAAUGGGACAUUGAUUCUGAUUACUAUGAAACAGUUAAAAAAAAAAACACAAACACACACAUAUAUAUAUAUAUAUAUAUAUAUAUAUAUAUAUAUAUACACACACAUAUAUAUAUAUAUAUAUAUAUAUAUAUAUAUAUAUAUAUAUAUAUAGCACACUCAGCCACAGUAUGUGGUGACCUCUCUCACAUGUGUUGCACAACAGCAGAUCAUCAUCUCUUUAGCCGGAGCCGCAUUCCUCGCACCUCAAUUGGCUGUAAUAAUCACCGACGGCGUCAUUCUCCGCUGCCAAGUCCACCCGCUUCGCCACCCUCGUAAUCUCUCUCAUCGACGACCUGUACUUUUGUCCGCCUCCUUGAUCUGGCGGCAACCGCCAGUGGCGGCUGGCUCCCAUUAGCCACCUGAAUUGAGCAAGGCGACAUGUAUAUGCUAAAAAUAAAUUAAAGGGGGGAUUUCUGGCUGUGCUAUUAAUGUUUUUUUUUUCUCUUUUUCUCUUUUUUUUUUUCUUUUGAUUUUUUUUCUUUUUCUUUUUUUUUUUUUUUUUGACUUUGUUCAAUUGUAAGGUCAUCUCCAAUUGCUCAUUUAAAAACGUUUGUCUAUAUCUAUCAAUAGCUAGUUUAAAAAUGGUUGUCUAUAUCUAUAAUUUAGCUGAUCAGCACUGUUAUACACCAUCACUUUAACAUCACACUCCAACAACAUUGUUUAUAUUUUACACAAUUAUUAUAUUUUAUUAUUUUGCAAAAAAAAAUUUUAGUUAAUUUCCAAAAUUAGAUUUCAAGAACCAUAUUCCAACAAAUAUAUUGUAAAAACCAUUAAAAAAUAUUAAAAAUAAUAAUAAUAACUAAUAUUUUAAUNNNNNNNNNNNNNNNNNNNNNNNNNNNNNNNNNNNNNNNNNNNNNNNNNNNNNNNNNNNNNNNNNNNNNNNNNNNNNNNNNNNNNNNNNNNNNNNNNNNNNNNNNNNNNNNNNNNNNNNNNNNNNNNNNNNNNNNNNNNNNNNNNNNNNNNNNNNNNNNNNNNNNNNNNNNNNNNNNNNNNNNNNNNNNNNNNNNNNNNNNNNNNNNNNNNNNNNNNNNNNNNNNNNNNNNNNNNNNNNNNNNNNNNNNNNNNNNNNNNNNNNNNNNNNNNNNNNNNNNNNNNNNNNNNNNNNNNNNNNNNNNNNNNNNNNNNNNNNNNNNNNNNNNNNNNNNNNNNNNNNNNNNNNNNNNNNNNNNNNNNNNNNNNNNNNNNNNNNNNNNNNNNNNNNNNNNNNNNNNNNNNNNNNNNNNNNNNNNNNNNNNNNNNNNNNNNNNNNNNNNNNNNNNNNNNNNNNNNNNNNNNNNNNNNNNNNNNNNNNNNNNNNNNNNNNNNNNNNNNNNNNNNNNNNNNNNNNNNNNNNNNNNNNNNNNNNNNNNNNNNNNNNNNNNNNNNNNNNNNNNNNNNNNNNNNNNNNNNNNNNNNNNNNNNNNNNNNNNNNNNNNNNNNNNNNNNNNNNNNNNNNNNNNNNNNNNNNNNNNNNNNNNNNNNNNNNNNNNNNNNNNNNNNNNNNNNNNNNNNNNNNNNNNNNNNNNNNNNNNNNNNNNNNNNNNNNNNNNNNNNNNNNNNNNNNNNNNNNNNNNNNNNNNNNNNNNNNNNNNNNNNNNNNNNNNNNNNNNNNNNNNNNNNNNNNNNNNNNNNNNNNNNNNNNNNNNNNNNNNNNNNNNNNNNNNNNNNNNNNNNNNNNNNNNNNNNNNNNNNNNNNNNNNNNNNNNNNNNNNNNNNNNNNNNNNNNNNNNNNNNNNNNNNNNNNNNNNNNNNNNNNNNNNNNNNNNNNNNNNNNNNNNNNNNNNNNNNNNNNNNNNNNNNNNNNNNNNNNNNNNNNNNNNNNNNNNNNNNNNNNNNNNNNNNNNNNNNNNNNNNNNNNNNNNNNNNNNNNNNNNNNNNNNNNNNNNNNNNNNNNNNNNNNNNNNNNNNNNNNNNNNNNNNNNNNNNNNNNNNNNNNNNNNNNNNNNNNNNNNNNNNNNNNNNNNNNNNNNNNNNNNNNNNNNNNNNNNNNNNNNNNNNNNNNNNNNNAUAAUAAAGAGGAUAUAUAAAUAUUUUCGUCAAUAUAAUUUCAACAUCGGAUAAUUUUAUUACUUAAAAAAAUUACUUGGAGUUGAACUACCGUAUUUUGUGGUUGAAUGGGAUUUAGUAUGAUUAUUUUAUUAUUUUAAAUGUAUACACAAUUUGUUAAAAAUUAACUUUGGUUUUCCAAAUUUGAGAAAUCAUAGUUACAUUUUUACAUAUUCUAAGUUUUUGUAUUUUGUUGUUGGAGAUUCCAUUUUUGGUUGAAAUUGUGCAAAAUACGUAAAUUUUAGAUUUCGAUCACAUUGUUGGGGUUGCUCGAGGAAGUAGCACGUGAUGUUUGAUGACGUGGCGAUGAAAUUUGGCCCGGCCCAUGGAAUACGGAGCGUUUUUUACGAUGAAAUUUUGAAACAUGGUAUGUACUCUUGGUCAUUUGCUUUUCGAUUAUGCAAAUUGUUCUUUUACUUUGAUAGUUCCAGACUUCCAGUAGCAGUUUCACAAAUUAAUUUGAUGAAAACAAAAUACUAUUAAUUAUAGUUAACUUUUUUUUUUAUUAAUUUAGAUUUAGAGGUUUAUAAGUUACUAUUAUAAAUUAUUGCAGUGUUGGAAAAUGUAUAGUUUUUUACUGCGACAGUGAUAAAAAAAUGACAUUACAUCUUUAUACUUAUUAAAAUUAUUUUCUCUUGAUAUUUUUUCUAUAAAUUUUCUUAUAAAUAUCAAAAAUUACUUUAGCUUCAAAUAAAUAUAGUUAGGGGUAUAAAUCGGACGAAUCGGGUCGGAAUUAGCCCUUUCGUGAACAAACAUGAUUUUUUUUGUAAGUGAAAAACUAGUUCCAAUAUCGUUCCAAAUAAAAUUGGAAGGAAUCGGAAUCAGGAUUUUGGACAUUGGAAUGAAAAAAAAUGGUUCCAAAAUCGGAAAUUUUUUUAUCGAAAAUUUGGCGGAUUUCGAAAUUUUUUAAUUUUUUGUCACCUAUAAUAUAAAAUACACAAUAAUAUUGGUAUUUUAAGCGUAAAAAUCAGAAGAUAAAAAAAUCAGAAAUUGCGGAUUAUUUUCGGAGCUUAAAAUUGGAUUGAAAAUCGAAAAAUAUUUCAUCAGAAUAAUUUCGGAAAAAUCGGAACUCGGAAUAUUUCAGAAUUGGAAUUGAAAAAUAUUAUUUCAAAAUCAAAAAAUUUCAAAUCAAAAUCGACGGAAAUCGGAAAUUCCGUUCCAUAUUCCACCCCUAAAUAUAGUUAAUACCACAUAGUACAAUACGUCAACAAAAUAACUUCAGAAAAGAAUAAUACAAAUAUUAUUCCUUUAUUGAGCAGCCCUUCUCAGAGUUCGAGCAUGUUUCAGACCACAAGCAUUGCACAAAGUCUGCACAGCAAACAAAUCAUUAUAAUUAGUAAGUUAAUUAAUUAUAAAAUUGUUUUAUGUAAACAUACGUAUAUAAUUAAAAAAAUAAGCAAAACUAAAUACUCAAAUAUUGCACCAGACUAAUUUACUUUACUAUAUUUUUUCAUUAUUUGCAUAACCAAAAUACUUAGAAUACAUUUAAAUAAUUACGAAGUUCAUUAAAAUAAAGGUUCCAAUAAUAUUGGAUUUCAUGAAUUAUCAAUAUAUAAAUAUAUAGUUAUAUAUAUAAUGGAUAAAUAUUAAAAGAGAAAAACUCACUUGAGGGCCAUUUGGACCUUUCCUCCAAAGAGGAGUAUUCAUGUUUCCACAUGCCAUGCAGACUUUUGCAUCAUCUGCAUUCAGUACUCCUCUACGUGCAAUAGGUGCACGGUUCACCUUAUAAUUACAUUCAAUUCAAUAAAAUUAAUCGAAAUAAUAAUCACUCAUAUAAUUAAACAAAACUAAUGGGGUACAUACCAAUGUAAAAAAAAUAACACAUGCUAACAUCGAUGAAUGUAUAAUAGAAUCUCGAUAAAUUCAUAUUAAAUAAAUUAAUAAUUUCGUUUAAAUAAUAAAUAAAAAACGGUCCCGAAUCAGUGAUAACGUGAAAAAUUAUUAACUUAAAAUUUUAAUGUCCGCUUUCCCGAACUGUAUUAAUUUAUAGAGGUUUAAGUUUACCUUUUUUGUUAAUUAAAGUUACUAAAUUGUAAGUGCAAUAUUGUUAAUACUUUUGUGAAUGUUGUGUGCACUAAAUGUGCAUAUAUUUUGUUUAUUAUAUUUAUCUUUUAUCAAGAAAUAUAAGCAUUCUAUUUUAGUUGGAAAUAUAAGCAUUCUAUAUAUAUAAUGAAUAUAUUUGUUAUAUAUAGGGGAAAAAAAUGAUAAUAUAUAUAGAGUAAAUUAAAUAAAUACCUGAUCAUUUGGUGCAUGAGCCUCCACUGGUGCAUGAACAUUAUCUACUGGUGCAUGAGCAACCACUGGAGCAUUCCCUUGAUUUGGUGAUGCCAAAGUUAGGGUAAGAUCAAGAUUGAUAUCUUGGUUGUUGUUCGCCAUUAAAUUUAUUUGGGAUCUAUCUUUCAAUUUUUCUAAUCAAGAUACAAAACAUGAAAAUAAGUAUAAUUAGUUAUGUAGGAGUAUAUAUAUAAAUUAUGUAUUAGACAUUACACAAAAAUAAAAUAGAGAUGGAUUUCAAUUAACUUGUUAAAUCAUCUUUAAUUACUUAGAAAUAUUCCUGCAAACAACGGAAUAAAUAAAAAUAAAUACUUUUUUUAAAGGAAUUUUUUCACAGGAAAAUAAUCAGAAAGUCAUUUAAUACAAGCAUAAAGAGCAUUCUUGUCGAAUAAUAGUAAAAAAUUAAAAUGAUAAACUAUUGUCGGGAUCUUAUUGUAAGAUCUCCUAUAAUGGAUACAAAAUACCACAUAGCGAUGAAAAAAGUAAGACGCCAAAAAAUGGAGGAAAACAAAUCACAGUAACAUAAGAAUAAUAAAGAUAUAUUUUUUUUAUUACACAACAACACGUGGAUCGCUGAUCGCAUAUAAAUAAAAGUAAAAGUUAAAAUAAUCUAAGCAUACAAUCAUUAAAAAAAAUAAGCAUACAAUCAAAAUGGAUGUACAUACAUACCACAAAUUAAAGCACAUACAAAUUAGAAGAGUAUAAAAUUUCAAUGAAGUUAAACAUAAAAAUCGAUUAACUUACAAAAAAGUGAUACUAAAAUACUUGUAUAGAACAACUCUAAAGAAAAGAGAAACAAUGAAAUAUAUAGAGAUAGAUUAUAAAAAAUAACACUAACUACAAUAUGUUACUUCACUCUUCUAUUCGUUGACAAUAUUUUUACUUUUGCAGGUACUUUAAAGCAAGUAAUUUUCGGAUGGGUUCAACAUUUAUUGACAGUUCUUGAGUGCCAACUCAUGUAUAAUAAAUACUAUUUAGGUGUAUCACAAAUCAUGUGAAGAAUCUUUUGAGGUUUAGAUAAAUUUCAAAACCGCACAACUAAAUAUUUAUUAAACUUUGUCUAAAUAUAGUUAAGUGUAGUAGUUGAUUGGUACAUUAAAUGUCUUCAAAGCUUGUAUAAUUAUAUAAAUAAUGAUAGUAUACAUUUGAAAAAUCGCGUACUCAUCAAACAUAUGUAUAAUGGGUACGUGUUAUAAUUCUUCAAUGUUAAUGUUAUCAGCGACGAGUUCAGGAAUUUGUUAUAUAGUGGACUUAAAAUUUGUAGGGUGUCGGGAGGUUUGCUCCUGAAGAAAAAAAAAAUAGAACCUUUUUUUAACAAAAUAAAUAAACAGGAAAAUAGAAAAACGAAAAAGAAAUUAGGAUUUCUUUUGCUCUAAUUUAGAUUUUGAGUGGACUAAAAAAAUAAAAAUUGAGUAAUUAAAUAAUUAUAUAUCGGUGAAACAUAGUGGAUAAAUUCUUUAACUAAGGCUGGAUUUGAGUCCACACUUGCCCAUGGAUAGACUCGCCUUGGCAUUAUUAAGUUUGUUAGAUAAUAUUUAAGCAUGAACUGUACAAGAGUUUAUGCAGGAGCUUGCUCUACGAAUUUACCAAGCAAAUUACAAGCCUACUAACGGUCUCCUCAUUAGCAUGAAACAGAAAUAUAUAAAAUUAAUAUCUAGAAAAAUUAAUGCAUGAAGAAAAACAAAUAUAGUUGUUGAUUUUUCAAAAUAUUUAAUAUUUAUGUUAUGUCUUAAAAUUCAUGUCAUCUUGCUACAAUAUUUUGCAUAUUCGUUUGCCUUUUUAUAAAAUUUAAUUUAAAAUAAUUAUGACCUUUAAGAACAAGAAAUUUUAAUAUAUCGAUGCUCUUUUUUAUUUUAUUCUCUAUAAAGAACAUAUUAGAUUUGGGGUUUUUUUUUUUACUUUUAAAAAAUGAAAUUUUAGUAUAGGACAUUUUGUAAACAAUAUUUUCAUUUAUAAAGAUGAACUGAUUCAACAUAAUGGCAUAUAUCUGAGCAGUACUAAAAUUAAGAAUACCAAUAUGUUUUCCUUGUCUCUGUACCCUUGUUAACCUUCUAAAAUUUCUCAAAACCCCCAAAAUCCCCAAAACUCCUAUUAACUCUCAAUAAUUCUCUCCAAUACUAAAAUCUCACCAAAAUUGAAGGUAAUUUCUACUCUAAAUCAGUUCUAUGUCAAUUAUAAUUGGUUUAUUUCGCUAAUUACAUGUUUAAAACCUCUAGAAAUCGAAUUAUUCAUUAAUUACUUACAUUAAUCAGUAAUUAUACUUAGUUUAUUUCGUUAUUAUUAAUUAUUCAUUAAUUACUUAAAAAUUAUUAAUCAAUUAUUAGCUAUUACUAAAUAACUAUUAAUUAGUAAGUAUUUAUUUAUCGAUUAAUUAUCAACCAAUUAAUAAUUAAUUAAAAAUUAAAAAUUGUUAUUAUUUAUUAAUCAUUCAUUAAUAAUCAAGUAAUUACUAAUUAACUGGAAAAAAAAAAGAAACAAACAAAAGACAAAGCAUUCGCGCCCAUGUUGGGCGUGAGAACUAUUGUUCCACUCCCAAAUUGGGCAUGAAAUAGUGGUUCCGACGUCCAAUAUAGGCGUGGAUUGUGUUUUUCUGCUUGAUUUGGGCGUAAAACAUGCUACUUCACACUCAUUUUGGGCGCGGAUAGGAAAAAAAUUAAGGACUUUUAAAAUUCCGAAGAAAGAGAAUUUUCGAAAAUUAAAACCGUAUUCGUAAAAAUGGUACUGCAUUUAUCAAGUCCGAGAAUAUAAUACUUUAAAAUUAAGUUUAAGUGGUGGGGUCCAAUAAGAAGAAGUUAGAUUUCAAGUCCAAUAAAAGGACCACCCAUGCUAGGCAAUUGAUAGUCAGUCCUAGUUUACCAAAACUGUAAAAUUAAUCUUUCUAAAGGCGCCAACUUUAUAAAAUAAACGGUAAAAUGCAAACAUUCCCCUAAAUUAAGAGUCUAAGACUAAUAUCUUGGGUCAUGAUUAAGGUCAUUCAAAACUUUGUUACAAAUUUCAAGGUUUUCUUUGCUUAUGAAAAUGGUGGAAUUGUUUCAUUUUCCUGGUAUUAUCGGCGGUGAAUUUCACCGAUUGAAGUUUUUAUUUUUUUUUACAAUUGGGGUCUCUGAUUCUUCAGCUUAUAAAUGAAGAUGAGAAAUUAUGUAACGCAAGAUGGAUUCCAGCGGUGGAGUCGGCAGCGUGUUACGAACUUGUUAAGAGAGUUUUGUAGGAAAGUACUUAUAUUGCUUGAGUGCCUAUAAUUGCUUUGACACUAGGCCAAAACAGCUCACUUGCGACGUUUUUUUUUGCGACGAUUUAAGAAUAGUCGCGACCUUGCGACAAUUUAUAUUAAAAAACGUCGCCAAUUGUCGAAAAAUAAGAUUUCGGUAGAAUAUCUCGCGACGAUAAUAUUAAUCGUCGCACAUUGGCGACUAUAUGUCCAAAAACGUCGCAAACGGGGAAAAAAAAAUCCUCUCCUAGCGACGUAUUUAUAUAAACGACGCACGAUUUUUUUUUUUGCAAUUUAUUUUUUUACCCUAGCGACGAAUAUGACGUAUACGUCGCUAGUGCAAUUGUGAAAAAAAACAUUUUAUUGGGUUGACGACGAAUUUGGAUAAACGUAGCGUAGUAAAGUGGAAAUAUUAAAUAAUAUUUAUUCGUCGUGGCGAAAGUGUACUAAACGUUGCUAGUAAAAAAUUUUGUUAAAAAAAUUAUAAUUAUUAUUUGCGACUAUAGUGCACUAAUCGUCGCCAAAAGACGAAAUAGUUGGAAAACGUCGCCAAGAGAUUCGUUUAAAGCUGAGUUUGCUACGAUUUGUUAGAAAUCGUCGCAAAUAAUUUAAUUAGAAUACAGACCCUAAUUCGAUUUCCCCAUUUUCUCUAACCCUUUCUUCUCGUUUCUCUCUCUCUUCCAAUCUCUCCACCAUCUGCCAUCUGCCGGUGCCUCCCCCUCCGCCAGUGCCUCCCCAUCCGCCGGCGCCUCCCCCUCUGCCGGCACCUCCCCCUCCGCGUCCGCCGUCGCCGUCGGCCCUCUUCAAUCCCCCUCCGUCUUGCUCGUCCGCCGUCCGCCGCAGCUCUCUGUCCAGCUCUCCGCCCAACAUCCGGCGAGGUCUAUACGACGGCGCCGCCACCUCCCUCUUCUCCCUACGGCCUCGUUCAUCUGUAGCUAGCCCUAAUUUCCUCCUCUCUACCUAGCCCUCGAUCUACAACCACACUAAGGUAACUUUCUUGCCCUAAUUUUUUUUUCAUUAAUGUGAAAUCCUAAUAAAAUUGAUUUGAAGUUGUGUGUAAAUUACCCAGUCUGAAAUUUAUUUUAAAAUUCAUUUGAAUCUGCAGUCGACACUCAAUAGGCAAAUAUCAGAUUGAUGAAAUUAAAAAAAAAAAUAUUGUUUGAGGAUGAUGAUACAGUGACAAAUAUAUAAUAAUUGUUUGCCUUUUGGUGUUGAUUUUAAUGAGAUGUUGAAUGUAAAAUAAUACAAGUACAGAUUUUUAGUAAAGUAUAUUGCUGUGUUCAGUUGACUUUGUAGAAGAUGAAUUGUGAAACACUGAAACUAGAUUUUGGUUAGUUAAUAUGUUUUCAAUCACACUCGAGCCGAUAAUUAACUGUACGUAAUUGACAAAAUCUGUUUGUAUAUGUUCACCUUUAAUUUAGUUUUAGUUUUUCUAUAUAAUCUUCACUUAGAGCAACUCUAAUGGAGUUAUUAAAUGGGUUAUCAAAAUCAUUAACUACUAUUUUGAUAAUUCAAAUUAGAAUUUUCCCCUCCAAUGGAGUUAUCAAAUGGGUUUGUAUUUUGAUAUUUUAAUUUUGGGAUAUAAAAAUACAUCCGGAAGAAAUAAUGUCAAUUAAAAGUUACACAACUUAACCACCUAAAUAACCAAUUAGAUAAUGACAUGUGUUAAUUAAAAUAUAAAAUCACAUUAUUUAUUUUUAACUAUCAACUAUUUGAUAUCUAUGGUUGGAACAAAUAAAUUUAAUUAGGUAUCAAACUAAAAUAUAAAAUAUCAAAUAAAUAUUUGAUAAUUCAUUUUGAUAUUUGUGGGUUGGAGUUGCUCUUAAUAGAAUAUAUUUUUUUUUAAUUUAAAGCCCUCGGUAUUUCUAGGUAUACUUGCUAAGUAAAGAAUGUCAAAAGAUAGGAGUUGGUUUUGUUAGACGAUCGUCGUUUGGAAAUAUUUCAAAAGGGUUGUGUGGAAUUUAUGGAUUUCGCUUUUGCUAACUGUGACAAUGAUAGUAAAAUAAGAUGUCCAUGUAGAGAUUGUAAGUGUCGUAAGUGGGGGGAUCGUGAAUUUGUGCAUAAGCACUUACUUUGUAGGGGUUGGGAUAAACUUUAUGGGCAACGCCGAUGGACUUUGCAUCAAGAGUCUGAAGAAGAUUACAAUGGCGAUGAAAUGAACAAUACUAAUGUUGUAGAAGUUCCCGAAGUUGCAGUUGUAAAUGAAUAUGACGGUAUUUGCGUUGAUGUUGGUCAUAAUAUGGAUGAUUUUAUGCAUGCAUGUUUUAAUCAAGGUCAACAAGAUCCGCUUGAAGAACCCACCCCAGAAACCGAUGAUUUUCGUAAACUCAUUGAAGAGUGGUGCAUCCCCGUUUAUGAUGGAUGUCGUGUAUAUACUAAAUUUUCAUUUAUCAUGGAGUUUUACAAAAUUAAAUCUCGGGGCAAGAUGAGUGAUAAUACAUUUACUGAGACACUUUAGUUAAUGAGGAAGCUUAAUUUUUUAAAUAUACCUGAAACUUUUUAUGAAGUUAAGAAGCUCAUCGGUAAAUUGGGGUGAGGUUAUGUCAAAAUUGAUGCAUGUGAAAACGACUGCAUGUUGUUUUGGAAGGAUGAUUUGAACUUAAAUGCAUGCAAAGUGUGUAAUGAUUCCAGAUGGAAGAAUCCCGUAGAAAAUCAACCGAUUUCUUCAAGCGCUCAACGCAAAAGGGUACCAAAAAAAGUUUUACGACACUUCCCAUUGAUUCCGCGGCUUAAGCGGCUAUUUGUAUGUGAAAAAUCAGCCGUUAACAUGUGAUGGCACGCUGAGUCUCGGUUUAACGAUGGGGAAAUCAAUGUUACUUUUGGCGUCGGCCAAGCGGUGCAUCGAGAUUCCCAAUGGAGAAAGAGGAGUAUCUUCUUCGAAUUGCCGUAUUGGAAAGAUAAUCUCAUACGACACAAUCUUGAUGUCAUGCACAUUGAGAAGAAUGUUGGAGAAUUAUUUCUUAGGUGGUUAUUAAAUAUUCUUGGCAAAAAUGACGGUUUCGACAAUGCUAAGGAGGACAUUGGAAAAAUUAAAAAGCCACCGUCGGGCAAGUCCGGUCCUCGAUUUCCCAACCUCGUUCCAAAAUUAGGAAAGUAUCACAAAUUGUCUGCCUAAUCAAAAAAAGCAGUUUGUGAUGUUAUAGCAAAUGUAAAGGUUCCUAACGGUUAUGCAUCUAAUAUAGCCCGUUGUUUUGGUGAAGACAAAGUAGGGGGAUUAAAGAGCCAUGACUACCACGUGCUAAUGCAACAGUUGCUUCCAUUGGCAAUUCGCAAUGUGGGGUUACCAAAAAAGUUGGCAAGUACAAUAAUCCAAUUGUGCAGUUUUUUCCGAGAAUUGUGUUAAAAAACAAACUCAGCUGAAGAUUUUCGAAAACUGCACUCUGUUAUUGUAAAAAUCUUGUGUGAUCUUGAGAAAUUGUUUCCCCAUGCAUUCUUUGUUGUUAUGAUGCAUUUGCCAGCUCAUCUAGCUCAUGAAGAAAUGGUUGCUGGACCGGUGAAUUAUCGAUGGAUGUAUCCGAUAGAGAGGUAUUUAUAAUUUCUUAAAUGUUAAUGCAUUUUCUAAUAAUUUGAAUUUAUUUUAUUUUAUGUUUUAUAAAAAAAAAUUCAACCUCAGAUACUUGGGUCACUUAAAGUCAUUUGUACGGAAUAAAAAGUGCCCCGAAGGUUCGAUUGUUGAAUUCUAAAUCACUGAGGAGUGCUUAAAUUUUUGCUCAUUGUACACAGAAAAUUCAUCUAUGAAUAUUUGUGACAAUGACAAACAAGGCAAUGAAGUGCGACCUAAGUACAGAACGCUUAGUUAUGAUGAAAUGGAAAAGGCGCACACCUAUUGUCUUUUUAACUCAGAUGAAGUUCAACCUUACAUUAAGUCACUUGCUAAUAUUUCGAGUUACUACUAUCUUCAAUUGAUUUUCACUUAAAAGAAUUACACAAAUCCUUUUAGGGAGCAUUUCGAGACCAUUACGAACAAAAUCUCGACAAGUGACCAAUGCAUACCAAUGGCGCAUUCAGCAAUUACAAGAAAAAGAAUUUCGUCAUUGGUUCAAAUCCUAUGUAAGUGUUUGAUUUGACUUAAACUUCAUUUGCAAAUUAUUUUUAACAAAGUAAUAAUAAUUAAUUGGUAACGAAAUAGGUGCAAACAAAAAGUGAAUUGUCUGAAGAUCUGAAAGCCUUAGCUUGUUCACCUCAAUUUAGAGUGAAGACUUUUAAGAUAUUUGAAUAUGUUCCGCACAAAAUCAUCUGAAGAGUCUCUUUUAACUCAAAAUAGUGGUGCUUUUGUCAAAGCAAAGACUGCUAGUUUCGCAAGCUCAAAGAAUAAAUCUCCUAGAGAAGAAGAUGUAGGGUACUACGGUCUAAUAAAAGACAUCAUUGAACUUUCAUUCGUUGUAGGUACAAAAAAUGUGGUUUUGUUUGAGUGUGAUUGGCCUAAUAUUCGCAUGAAUAAGACGGAUGGUUUGGGAUUUACACUUGUGAACUUAACAAAACCAGAUACACUGAGGGAAACCGGGCCAAGUAUUAGUGAGGAAGGAGAUACAGAAGAACCAUAUAAUGGGAUAGCAACUCCUGAACAACUUCGCAUUUCGGUAAGUGUAAUGUAGUUUUAUUCUUUAAUUGGUUGUAUGUUAAUUAUUUAUAUUUAUUGUUGUCGCAUGUUUAUCAUAUGUAAAUUAUUUGAUAUGUUAAAUUAGUACGUAGUUGAGAUAUGUGGAUAUGAAUAUUUGUUUUAAAUAAUGUUAAGUUGUUGUAUACAUGGAUGGUUUUUUUGGAUAUGUUCAUUUAUUAGUUGUUAUGCUGUCGAAAUUUUCGCUAAACAAGUGUACUUAAUCAUUUUCAGGCUGAUUUGGAACGAGUCUACGAUGAGACAAUGCGUGAUGGGAGUGACGAAAGCACGGCCAACUCAACUGCAAUAGAAAAAGUGCUCGAAAAAAGCAAAGGGCUUGGAAUUAAGAUUGCAACCACCACAAGGAGUUCAAAGUCGAGAUUUUCUUCAAAUCCGCCAGAGGUGCAAAUGGAAAUGAAGUCAAUGAAAGAGCAAAUGCAACUUAAAGAUGAAAAAAUGGAAAGAUUGGAAGCGGAACUGAAAGAAACCCGAGAAAUUGUGAACACCUUGGUCGGCCGUUUUGGACUACAAGCCUCGACAUCGACUCCUUCCAAUGAUGGUGGAGUAUAAAAAGGGAUGAACUUUGUUUGAUUUUUGAAUUAAAGUUUGAAACACUACAUUAUAUGCUUUUAAGUUUUUAUGUACUUUUUUAAUUUAUGUUUUGUGCUACCUUGAUAUUUAAUCCAUAUAAUUGGUUUUAAUAUUUUUGAUAUAAGUAUUUUUUUUUUUGUACAACUGCUGAAUACAGGUUGAAUUUGUCAAUUAAAAAUAUAAAUGAACCAGAAUUUACAUUUUUGUCGCCAAAUUCCGUCGCCAGUCGAUCAUUUUGGCCUAGUGUGAUUUCUUGAAAGCUUAUAAAUAAAGAUCUUACUCCUAUUUUUACCAAGCCACCUCCUUAAUGGAUGGUGGAGAUUUAUUUGAUCUAAGAGCUAGGAGUUAUUCAAUAGAAUACACCAAAAAAAUCCUAAAAAUAUGUACAAAUGGAAGGUUCUAGAAAGUUUUCUAAAAUCCUCUAAUGAUCUCUACAAAACAUAUUUACAUUUGAGUCAACUUGGGCCUAACCUUAUUUGAGCUGAGUCUUAGACUCUUUAACCUCUCCAACCCAAGGAAAGCUGACAAAGGGUUCGGCCAAAACUGGCGGACCGUAACAGGCAAGUGGUAGUGGUGGUGGUGGUGAUGAAUGUGAUGGAGAAGCAUUCCGCGCGUUUAUAUUUUUUAUUUUUUAAUAUUUUUUUAAUUAAAGGAUAAUUUGAGCAGUUUCAUCAUUAUCUUAGAGUUUUGCUCGGAUUGAUAGCUUGAGGGGUAUUCGUAAUUAUCACUACCAUAUGGGUGUGUAAGUUAUUUAUCUAUACCUCAGGAGUGCUUGUAAUUUACACUAAAAUAAAUAAACACGAAUAAAUAGGGUUGAUGGAAUUUCGCUCCCUAAACUAUAGUGCGUUUUGCACAUUACCCCCUAGAAUAUUUUUUUUACAAGUUUCUAUAUGAACACUCGUUAAAUUGUUGCAGAGUACCAUAAAAUUGUCAUUUUCAUUCAUUUAAACUAAUUAUUUUUUUAAUUUGUCAUUCAAAUUUCAAUAAUCACCCCUAAGAACACAAAAAAAUAUUAUCAACAUAGGCUAAUUUGUAAAUAAUAGAAAACAAAAUAUUAAUUUAUAAUUAUUUUAUAAUUUGUUAUAACCUUAAAUAAUUUAAAAUGAAAGAAAAAGUUAAAUAUAUAUUAAAUAUUUCGGUAUACGGUACGAUAUACCGGACGUUAAUACCAUAUACCAUACCGAAUACCAUAAUUCAAAAAACAAAUUAUACAUAAUACAUAAUCGAAUUUUCGGUUCGGUAUUUAACACAUAUCGAAUUUUUGAUUCGGUCGGUUUACCAAUCAAUGAACGCCCCUAGAUUUCAGUAUUGAAAAGUAACAAAAUAAAAUCAGUAGUCAUUUUUUUAUUAUUUGAUUAUAUUACAAAUAAAAUUAGGGAAAAUUUGCUAGACCCCCCUUAUAUAGGUGGAGAUCCUAGUUGCUAGAUGAAUGCAUGAACAGGUCCUUUGAUCCAAAAGAAUAAUAUAAAUAAAGUAAAAUAAUUAGUAUAUAGACAUAAACACCCUCAAUUGAUAAGAAAACGUACAAAUAUCAUAUAUCACUCCCUCUCUCUCUCCAAUCUCACGUUUCUCUCACCAUAUACUUAAUCUUUCAUCUCUCUCCCUCUAUAUCUCACGCCUCCCUCUCUCGUUCUUCUAUGUUUUUUUCUUUUUCUUUAUUAUUAUUUUUUUAUGAAGAAAUAUUAUAUAGAAGGAUAAAAAAAUAUUUUUAGAUUAUGAGAUGAUUUAUUGGUGAAAGAGUUAAAGAGGACAACAAACAUCCCUUCCCCCUCCCAAUUUUUUUUUCCAGCCAAAAUUCGCGUUGUGUCUUCCGUAUGUAGAUACUUCCCAUCGUUUGUUGUUAGCAAUUUCCGUUUGCAGGUUGGUUUGACUUCGUUUAUUGUUUGAAGAAUUGCGUUUGGUGUUGAGAUUCGAUUCCUCUCGUUUACAAUUUAAAAGGUAUGUCUUAAGUUACAUUUUACAAACACUUUGUUUAAUGUUUUGUUGUUUGCAACAAGUUCCAUAAAUAAUGUUUUUGUUGAUGUUUUUAAUUAAUGAUGCUGAUUUUUUUUCAGUUUGUUGUAUACAUUUGGCGAAGUCAUAGGUAAUUUAUUGCUUGCAAUUCAAUUAUGCAAGUUCUGUUGAUUUUUUUAUUUUCAGUUUGCUGUUUGCAUUUGGCGAAGUCAUAUGUAGUUUUUUGUUUGCUUCAAUAAUGCAAAUUCUGGAUUUUUUUUUUUACUUUACUGUUUGAAUUUGGCGAAAUUAUAUGUAUUAUGUUGUUUGCAAUUCAAUAAUACAAAUUCUAAUUUUCAGUUUGCUAUUUGCAGUUUACGGGGUCAUAGGCGUCGCAGUUCACGGAGUCAUAAACGACGGUAACCUUUUUAGCAUAUGAGUUUGUAAAUUAAAUAUUAUAUUUUUUUAGGAAUUAAUUUAAUUUUUUAGUUAAUAUUUGGAAGAGAGAGGUGUUUGGGAAUUCGUUUUGAUAGAGAUGUUUGGGGGAUUUGAUUUGAUUUGACUAGGGUAUUUUUGCCACAAUAAAUAUUUAUUAAUUUAUUAAAACAUGAAGAUUUGACUUGAAUAGACAUAAAUUAUAAUAUAGAAAGACUUAUAGCAAAUUUUAUAGCAAAUUGCCCUAUAAAAUUAUGAUAUAAAUCCAAAAUAAGAAAUGAAAAAUACCUUGAAGCUAAAAAUCGCUUUAACUACUAAAAUAUUGUGAGUUUGUUUGGAUCAAAAUCUAACAAAAAAUCAUUAAUCAAUGUCAAUGGGCAGCAAAACACAAUUCAUCCGCCGGAAUGAAAUAUAACAGAAGAUCAAAAGGUGAGGGAAUGAUUUGAAGUCAUAAUAUGGCAACAAAUUUGAGAGAUGAAAAUGAAUUUUAAAAUACUCAAAUUGCAAAAAUAUUUUUUUUAUUUAGAUAAUUACAAUUAUUUAUCAAUUAUGUAUUGUCUUACACGUAUGUCCUUAUGGUUACACUUUUAACUACUGAAUGACGAGUUUUUCCAUAAACUAUACAAAAUUGAUGGGUAGUUGUAAUUAUCGAAAUAUGAAUUAUUUUUUGUAAUUUGAUAUCAUCUCAGUGUGGCCGUAAUUGACCCGAUAAAAUAUCUUUUUCUUUACAUGUAAUUGUAAAAUAUAUGAGCCAUAAUAAAAAAAACCAUACUUUUAAACGGCGAAGCCCAUUCCUUAAAUAAAGGGUUGUUGCUCUGUGAAUCUGCAGGCAACAGUAAAUAAACAAAUCCUUCUUUUUUUCCUCUCCACUUUCUUUUCCAAUUUUAUUUAUUUAUUUAUUUAUUUAUUUAAUUUUUAUAAGAGAGAGUCUAUCCACUUGAUUUAGAAUGUACGUUUAAUUGAUAGCUUGACCAUCAUCAUCACUUUCCAUCCAUCACACGGACGUGCGUGCCUGUUUGUUUCCUGUACCUACUAUUUCACCUUUUUUGACAGCUCAUUCAAAUAUAUAUACCAAAUUAAUCAUCCAACUUCACAACCCACAAACUAUACUAAUUAAUAAUGCAAUUCUUCAAUAUAUAUAUAUAUAUAUAUAUAUACACACACUUCACAAUUUGAUUUAAUUUUUAGUAAAUAUCUAGUUAAUUUAAGUUAGAGGAUUUUAAAUUAAAUAUGCACUUCUUAAUUUUGCAUUUUUCUUCAAGUUUUACGACAUGAUGCUUUCCGUUUUAAUUCGAGUUGGUCGUUCCAUUUCUUGCUUGGCUAGGCCACUUUUGCGUUGUCGUUGUCUGCAUGGAAUUCAAUUUUGAGUUUAUUUAUACAACGAUCUAAUCCCCCCUUGAGGACCUUUCAUUAGAAAAAAACAGUCAAGAAUUCAAGGAAAUGCUUGUUAUUCUAAAAAUUAACUUGAUUCAUUAGGGUCAUACUAAAAUUCAAGGACAACUCUCUCAAUAUACCCUAAUAAUUGAAUUGCUAAUAAUUCAAAUAUCAAAAAAAUGAAGAAAAAGAAAACUACAAGAAGGAGCAAAAAGUUGGUCAAUCAUGUAGAAGAAAUAGAUGAGUAAUUAGUCCGAUCCUAAAACUUUUUCGAUCGAGCUCGUCGCACAUGAUCAGCCCAAUUUUAGUUUAACUUUCUCAUGCAAUAUUUAUUUUUUCACUAAAUGCAUAAUAGAGAGUACAAAAGGAGAGCUAGUUUAAAAUGUGAAAAGGAGAGGGGGAGACAAGUAUUCAUGUAAUAGGGGUCUAAAACAUGUUGUGCACAAUAUCUUAGUUGUCCAUUAAUAUGAGAUGGGUCCUAAACCCUAAUAAUCAUACACUCACCUAACCAUAAGAUGACACAACCCUACCCCCCACCCUACCCCUCUAUCUUUUUAAGUCUCUCCAUCUUUCUUUUUCUUGGCAUUUGUGAUUUGACAAAUAUAGAGAGAGAGAGAGAGAGAGAGAGAGAGAGAGAGAGAGAGAGAGAGAGAGAAACUAGCUAGAAUAAAAUCUAAUUAUAUUUUGUGUCACCUUUCCUUUUGUCAUGAUCCCACACCCAUUCUACUGUAUACCAAUUUAUCUCUAUAUCUAUCCAUCUAACUAUUAAGCAGCCAGCCUUUUUGAUCAACUUUCUGAUUAUAAGCUUACUACCACACAAGUAUCCAUCUCUCUCUCUCUCUCUAGAUCGAUCUCUCUCUCUCUCUCUCUCUCUCACUCAACCACACACAAUACAGAGUAUAUAUAUGCAAUCAUAUAUGGAGUAAAGGUUGAUCAGUCUACACACACACACUCUUUCAUCAGAAAUGAUUAAUAGUUGCAGAUUAUAUGUAAAUAUUAAUUAUGUUAUGUUAAUGUUGUUGUUGUUGUUUAGUAUAAAUGAUUGUAAUGCGUCGAGAAAAACAAAUGUGUUGGAAACAAGACCCGCGGCAGAAGUAUUAUUACAUCAUCAGAAUAAUAAUUCAGCAGGAGGCCAUUUCUUACAUAUGCUGCCAAAGAGAAAAGUACCCGCCUCCGCUCCUUCAAGAAAACACAACGAUCUUGGCCUCCAAACACGGCGAUUUCCUUGAGCACCAUAUAUAUAUUUUUUUUAUUUCUGUUUUUGUUAUCUGUGUAACUGAUGAAUAUAAGGGGGUGUUAAUUAUAUAUACUGAAAUUGAUAUAGUUGCACGAUCAUUGAUGAUCGGAUAUACUAAAAAGUAGUUGUAUGUUUUUUGUAUGUUUAGAUGUAUAACAUCAUUAAUUUAAUACAGGUGUGGCGACAACAUAAUGUUUGCGCACGGAUGCUCAAAUUAUGUGUUCUCACCUUUUUGGAGGAGACAACAUGCUACAAAAAGAAUUCAACACUUACUAAUAAAUAUAGUAAUUAUUCAUCGUUCUACUUAGUGUACAUAUACAUAUAUAUAUAUAUAUACAUAUAUAUAUAUAUAUAUAUAUAUAUAUAUAUAUAUAUAUCUUUGACAUACCCUGGAGAGGUGAAAAUACUAUAUGUUGGGUGCUAAAUACCUAACACGCAAGUGCACGUAUCGCAAACAAGUAGUAAAAGUGGACUCGUGAGAGUCGGAUGUCGAUCCCACAGGGAAUACUUAAAUUAUCUAAUCCUAAUUAAGUACCAAAUUCUAACAACUAUGAUUUUUAUCCAGCCUACGCAAGUUUGUUAAAUUAAAUCAACUAAAUAAUUAAACUAAUUAUGAAAGAAAUUAAACACGAGAAAAUAUCAAUAAAAGCGGACCUAGGAUUUUAUCUUCGCCCUAUGCAAGAAUUGCUCACCCAAAACCCCUCAAUUAUGAAAUAUAUGAUUCAUGAUUAUUAACCCGAGACACUAAUUUACUCAUAACCCGGUGUCGCGUGUAUUAUGAGUCUAUUAUUCAUAAACGAUUCACUAUAUGUCUAUACAAACCAAUUAUAAAAUAAGCAUUAACUAACAAGUCUCGUAAAUGGCUACCUAAGGUGAUAUCUGUAUGUCUACGACACCACAUGCAAUUGACACAUUCAUCCGGUGAAAACUACUCGAAGGCUCUUCUACUUACCGUCUAAUUAUCAAAAUAGCUCUGUCGAGUCAAUCCCAAUAAUCACAGAUAAAGCAUAUAAAUUGAUCAAGUUCAUGCACUAACAAUCAUAACAAGUAUAAGAAAUAAUCAUAAAAUCAUAAUUGCAUAAUCUCAAGAAAACGGGUUCACAAUCCCCACAUAGGGUUCCAACAAAAUCCUAGAUUAAAAACUUAGCUACUCAUAACGAAAAACAUAAUAAAAGUAACAAAAGUCAUAGAUUAAGAAAAGAUAGGUGAAAGAAGAAUUAUGAUGAAGAGUUGUCAAUUCUCCGUCUUCGAUUCUUCGUUUUCUCGCUCCUCUCGCUCCAAGGUUGUGUCCAAAGUUCUCUAAUUCGUGCUUGGUUUUGGGCUUAAAUAGAUGUCCCAACUUGGUAGAUGAUUUUAGGUUUCCUUGUGUGAUUAAAAGUCCAAAAUUGUCUCCAGCGUGUGUUGGCACGGCCGCGCGAAAAUCAGUGCAGUUCUCACACGGCCGCGCGAGAAUCGCCGAAACCUUAUGCCCAAUUUCUGCUAUUGGCACGGCCGUCCCAUUUUUAGCUGUAAAUUUGGGACGGCCGUCCCGUGCCAAUUUCUUCAGAUUUUUAAUUAUUUCACUUUUGGCCCAUAUUUUCUCCAAAAUUGCAGUUUUGACCCCAAACUUUUCGAAUUCUUCAAUUUAUACCUAAAAUACAAUAAAUCAACUUUUUAGACAUCAAUUAUCGUUAACUCACACCAAAAGCUCAAAUAAAAAGGUACGAUAAAGUAUAAAAAUAUAUACUCAACACACCCCCAAACUUGAUCUUUUGUUUGUCCUCAAGCAAAAACUAGCAACUUUCACAGCAACACUCUCAACAAAUGCCUCUCAUCACAUAGAUUAAUGGUCAACUUUCAUUUUUUCAGAACUUGCAAUUAUCAUGACAAUUCUCAAAAAUUUACAAGCUCGUAAUUCAAAGAUACGUAUUCACUCACCAUUGCUAAAAAACACAAAUCAUGCUAUCGCUUCAAGUAUCUCAUAUUUGUACAUUAAAAAUUGAGAAAAUUUAUACUUACAUAUUAAUAUUCAACUCCAAAUACUCACCAAAUUUCUUUACUCGGCUAGUAUCAAAUAAUUGAGCUAUUGGGAUCAUUGGGACUUUUUGGCUUUCAAAUGUUGGGCUUUUUGGUUCGAGGUAGGAGAUAUGGGUAUAGGUGGCUAUGCUUCUUGAAUUGAGAUGAUUACGCUAAAUUUUGAUAGAUAGGCGUUUGAAACAAUGAAUUCACCUCUAAGGACUUUAAUAAACUCGAUUCUUAAGAGUUCAAAAGUCUCCACUUUUGCUCUUAAGACAAUGGAUCAAGCUUACAAAACAAUUCAACAACUAGUCCUUACUUCUCCUUCUAGUCUCUUCUUCUUCUUUUUCUUUCUCUUUUUUAUUAUUUUUUUUUAUAUUUCUUUUUUUUUUUUUUUCGAAGAAGAAGAAGGACCUUAUAAAAAAAUUCGACCGAACUCCAAGGGUUAAUUUUUCAAAAAUCUCCACUUAUUCUACCUUAUACACAUUAGCUAAAAGAAAGAACACCGUUUCUCCAAGGCUCAAUCAAGGUUCGAAUGAUAAAAAUUUAAAGGUAGGCUUGAAAGGCUCAAACGGUUCAAAGAUGGCCCAAAUCACUUCCCAAAUUGCUCAACAAUUUAAUAUUUCACUUUGUAAAUUCAUAAGACAAGUUCUAAAACCGAAUAGCAUAUGAUAUAACAUAAAUUAACUCAAAUUUUAAAACACAAAACUUUCAACCAAAGCAACGCAUAAUUCGAGAUUCCUAACAAUGACUCCUUCUUACGACACUUUGAAUCAAAAGCUCACCAAAAUUCGAUCAAAAUCAAGAUAAAACAAGCAAUUUCAUCAUUAAACAUCGACCAUCUUUCAUCAUCAUGAUUCAUCGAAGCAUUUAUCUCAAGCAAUUUUUUUUUUAUUUUUUUUAUUUUUUCGAAAGAAAUAACUAAAAUAAAAUAACUCAAAUAAAAAAAACUUAAGGCAUGCAAACUAAAAAAUUAAAGCACAUAAAAACCAGUAAUUUUCCACCCCCAAACUUAAAAUUUACAUUGCCCUCAAUGUAAUUAACACGAAGUUUAAGGAUAGAAUACACCUGAAUAAGUCGUCUUGGCCGUCUCCGGUUUUCUCUCCACCCUCGCCUUUAUUAUGCUUCUGUUGAGUUUCGCACGGCUGUAUGAGAUUUUGAACUAUUUUCCGCACGGCCGUGCGAUUUGCCAAUAUUGGGCAGUAACUUCCAGAUUUUUCACACGGCCGUGUGAAAUUAAGCCUUGUUUUGGGACGGCCGUAUGAGCUGCAAAAUUGCGAUUUUUGGUCCUAAAAAUUAAAAACAUGUUUAAUUUAUUAGCUUGCAUGCUUAUAAAAUAAAUAAACAAAAUAAAACAAGAAAAAUAAAUAAAAUAAAAUAAAAAACGAAAAUCUUGGGUUGCCUCCCGAGAAGCGCUAAGUUUAUAGUCUUCAGCCAGACUUUGUUCUUGCUCUUCAAUUCCUUAGCUUUUGAACCCAUCUCCGUACUUCCUUUUGGAGGUAGUCUUGAAUAAAUGGGUUGAUCCGAUUCUUCUUUCGACUGGUUCGCUUAUUCUUCUUGAUGUCAUGAGGCUUGCCAACAUCGUCUUUAAAACCCCAACUCUUUUGACUAUCUCCCGGAAGAGUUGGAAUUGAGUUCAUAAAAUAAACUUGCUCCUUCCGACUCCCGUUUCCGCCAUCAUCUCCUGCACUCAAAGAUUCUUUCCCAUGGUCCAAGAUCGAAACGUCAAAUUUUUCAUGAUUUGUAAAAUCCAUAAGAUCAAUAGCAAAACAAUCAUUAUUAUCACAUGGAUUUUUAUUAGCACUAAAAACAUUAAAUUUGAUCGUUUGAUCAUGCACCGUCAUUGUAAGAUCACCACUAGAAUAAUCAAUUAGAGUUUUCGACGUGGCUAAAAACGGUCUCCCUAAAAUAAGAGGUAUCUCCAUAUCUUCUUCUAUAUCAAGUAUAACGAAAUCAACAGGGAAGAUAAAUUUGUUCACUUUUACUAGCACAUUCUCUAAAAUACCUUUUGGGUAAACUAAAGACCUAUCGGCUAAUUGAAGAGUUAUAGCCGUCGGUUCAAUCUCACCUAACCCAAGAUUUUUAUAAGUCGAAUAAGGCAUAAGAUUAAUGCUAGCUCCUAAAUCAUUGAGCGAUCUAAAAUUUUUACCUCCUAUAGUACAAGGAAUAGUGAACUUACCUGGAUCGCCGAUUUUUUGUGGAAGGGGCCGUAUAAGAAUUGCACUGCAUUGCUCCGUGAGUUGGAUCAUCUCGUUCCCUUGCAAUUUCUUCCUCUUUGUCACGAGAUCCUUAAGGAAUUUCACCCACUUUGGCAUCUUUUGAAGGGCUUCGAUAAAAGGGAUGUUUAUGUGAAUCUCCUUCAACUUGUCCAAAAACCCUUGGUAUUCGGCAUCGAGCUUCUUCUUGAGAAACAUUUGAGGAUAUGGAAUUGGAGGGGCUCAUGAUUUCACUGUUGAUGAUAGUGAUUCUUCGUGAGUUGCUUCUUUUUCCCCAAUCACACUCGUCUUCUCGAUUACCGUACUUCUCUUCUCUUUUCGUGGGGCUUCCUCCAAUUGUCUCCCAUUCCUUAAACUUACAGCAUUGCACUACUCGAUGUUGCUCUUUCGAGGAUCUUCCGUAUUCGACGGCAGUGCUCCCGAUGGCCUCGCGGUUAGCUGGGUUGCAAGUUGACCCAUCUGUGUUUCCAAAUUUCGGAUGGAGGCUUGGGUGGUUGUCAUAAAUUGCGCCAAGAUAUUUGCGAGAUCUCCAUCUUGAGGUUGAGCUUCAAGUGGUGCUUGCCUUUGUCCUUGCUGAUUUCCUCCCCAUCCAAAGUUGGGGUGAUCUUUCCAUCCCGGAUUAUAGGUGUUGGAGUACGGGUUCCUCUGUUGUCGGUUGGUGUCAUUCACGUAAUUUAGAGACUCUGUUUCUUCUAAGCACUGGUUGGGACCGUUGAUUGCAUGGACUUGCUGAGUCUGCAAAGCUGCUACUUGCUUUGAUAGCUUUUCUAACUGGGCGGUGAUUGCGGUGACCCCGUCUAACUCCAAAAUUCCUCCCGUCUUGACGACUCCGCUAUUUGACCGGUCCGAUGCCCGCAUGUAUUUGUUCCUUGCGAUUCGCUCCAAAAGUUCGUACGCUUCGUCAUAGGUCAAGCUCAUGAACAUACCGCCAGCUGCUGAAUCGAGCACCGUUCUCGAAUUAUCUUGCAAUCCAUCAUAAAAUAUUUGAAGUUGCCGGCACUCUUGAAGUCCAUGAUUCGGGCAUCUCCGAAUUAAUUGUUUGAACCUCUCCCACGUCUCGAAUAGCGCUUCACCGGCUUCUUGCAUGAAAUUUUGUAUUUCUCUCCGGAUUCUCUCAGUUUUUGUUGGGGAGUUGUAGGUGUUCAUGAAGAGUUGUGCUAAUUGGGGACAAGACGAGAUGGAGUGCGGUGCGCAAGUUUGUAACCAUUCUCGGGCUGCUCCUUGUAAAGAGUGCUUGAACAAGCGGAGUUGCAGUGCUUCGGGUGAUACUCCGUUCAUCUUGUGCGAGUCGCACGUCUCGAGAAAAUUGACUAAGUGGAGAUGCGGAUCUUCGUGAGCUAAUCCGCUGAACAAUCCAUUGUUUUGGAGCAUCGUAAGGAGUCCCGCUCGAAUUUCGAAAUUGUUUGCUUCAAUGGGGGGCUGCUGGAUGCUUGAUUGAAACCCAUUGAGUGUUGGAACGGUGUACUCAUGCAAUGCUCGUUGACGAGGUGGUGGAUUAAUUAGCUGAAGUUGCUCUUGCUCGUUGACGAUAUUUCCUGCCGCAUUCGGUAGGCGCCCUUGGUCAUCUUCCCUACGAUUAUUCUCUUCUUCCAUUGUCGCAUAAAAAGUACCUAAAAAAAAUAAAAAAAUAAAAUAAUUAAAUAAAACAAAUAAAACGGCUGAAGUAAGAAAAAUUGCUCAAAUUUAAUAUUAGAAUAAAUAGAUAAUUUAGCCGUAUUCCCCGGCAACGGCGCCAAAAACUUGUUGGGUGCUAAAUACCUAACACGCAAGUGCACGUAUCGCAAACAAGUAGUAAAAUUGGACUCGUGAGAGUCGGAUGUCGAUCCCACAGGGAAUACUCAAAUUAUCUAAUCCUAAGUACCAAAUUCUAACAACUAUGAUUUUUAUCCAGCCUACGCCAGUUUGUUAAAUUAAAUCAACUAAAUAAUUAAACUAAUUAUGAAAGAAAUUAAACACGAGAAAAUAUCAAUAAAAGCGGACCUAGGAUUUUAUCUUCCCUCUAUGCAAGAAUUGCUCACCCAAAACCCCUCAAUUAUGAAAUAUAUGAUUCAUGAUUAUUAACCCGAGACACUAAUUUACUCAUAACCCGGUGUCGCGUGUAUUAUAAGUCUAUUAUUCAUAAACGAUUCACUAUAUGUCUAUACAAACCAAUUAUAAAAUAAGCAUUAACUAACAAGUCUCGUAAAUGGCUACCUAAGGUGAUAUCUGUAUGUCUACGACACCACAUGCAAUUGACACACUCAUCCGGUGAAAACUACUCGAAGGCUCUUCUACUUACCGUCUAAUUAUCAAAAUAGCUCUGUCGAGUCAAUCCCAAUAAUCACAGAUAAAGCACAUAAAUUGAUCAAGUUCAUGCACUAACAAUCAUAACAAGUAUAAGAAAUAAUCAUAAAAUCAUAAUUGCAUAAUCUCAUGAAAACGGGUUCACAAUUCCCACAUAGGGUUCCAACAAAAUCCUAGAUUAAAAACUUAGCUACUCAUAACGAAAAACAUAAUAAAAGUAACAAAAGUCAUAGAUUAAGAAAAGAUAGGUGAAAGAAGAAUUAUGAUGAAGAGUAAAACUACUCGAAGGCUCUUCUACUUACCGUCUAAUUAUCAAAAUAGCUCUGUCGAGUCAAUCCCAAUAAUCACAGAUAAAGCACAUAAAUUGAUCAAGUUCAUGCACUAACAAUCAUAACAAGUAUAAGAAAUAAUCAUAAAAUCAUAAUUGCAUAAUCUCAAGAAAACGGGUUCACAAUCCCCACAUAGGGUUCCAACAAAAUCCUAGAUUAAAAACUUAGCUACUCAUAACGAAAAACAUAAUAAAAGUAACAAAAGUCAUAGAUUAAGAAAAGAUAGGUGAAAGAAGAAUUAUGAUGAAGAGUUGUCAAUUCUCCGUCUUCGAUUCUUCGUUUUCUCGCUCCUCUCGCUCCAAGGUUGUGUCAAAAGUUCUCUAAUUCGUGCUUGGUUUUGGGCUUAAAUAGAUGUCCCAACUUGGUAGAUGAUUUUAGGUUUCCUUGUGUGAUUAAAAGUCCAAAAUUGUCUCCAGCGUGUGUUGGCACGGCCGCGCGAAAAUCAGUGCAGUUCUCACACGGCCGCGCGAGAACCGCCGAAACCUUCUGCCCAAUUUCUGCUAUUGGCACGGCCAUCCCAUUUUUAGGUGUAAAUUUGGGACGGCCGUCCCGUGCCAAUUUCUUCAGAUUUUUGAUUAUUUCACUUUUGGCCCAUAUUUUCUCCAAAAUUGCAGUUUUGACCCCAAACUUUUCCAAUUCUUCAAUUUAUACCUAAAAUAUAAUAAAUCAACUUUUUAAACACAAAUUAUCGUUAACUCACACCAAAAGCUCAAAUAAAAAGGUACGAUAAAGUAUAAAAAUAUAUACUUAACACUAUACUACCCUUGUAUGCAAUUUUCGGCCAAGCUGCAUUCAGCAUUUCUGAUGAUAUAUUUUGUAUUUUCGUUGAUUUAUUUAUUAUUAUUUUUUUUAUAAACUUGUUGUUUAAUUUAUAUUAUACAUUUUUUUAUAUAUUUUUUUUAAAUUUUAAUUUUGUUUUAAAUAAAUAUGUUUACUGUAAAAAAAGUAACUACAUGUAACUUUGGUAAGCUAUAGUAAUUCGUAGUUAUGUUCUUUUUCUUUUACCAAUAUUUUUAGUCAAUCAAUUAUGUAUACACACAAAUACUGACUUAUACAAAAGAAAUUCAUAAACCCAAGCAAUAAAAAUUUACAAAUUUCAAUAUUUAUAUUAUAAAUCACCUCAUAACAAAUAAAAUACAAAUAAAAAAUACACAAAUAUAUAUAUAUAUAUAUAUAUAUAUAUAUAUAUAUAUAUAUAUAUAUAUAUAUAUAUAUAUAUAUAUAUAUAUAUAUAUAUAUAUAUACAUGUUAUUAUAUGUAACUAGUAAUGUAUAGUAAUGUACAGUAAUAUAUACAGUGUGUUGAACAUUGUAACUUGAAGCAGAUGUAACUUCAACCAAUUUUUUAUCACCUUAAAGGAGAGGAUCAAUGGCUUUCAUUAAGCUGCAAUAGCAAAAUCAAAACAAAGAAAAAAAAUUGGUGCAAAUAAACAAAAAUUGAAAAACAUCAAAACACUCAAAAAUCAACAAACACUUAGAGAUCGAGAGAUAAAGACAGAAAGGCCAUAGCUGCGAAAUGCUACGAAUUUUAGACCAAACCACCAAUGACUCCUCACUCCAAUCGCCUCCUACCAAAACCCUAGCCGCCGUUAACCACCCAAGGUUCCGCGCUCACAAAUGAAAAAUUAUAGAAAUAAAUCUGACAAUAUAAAACUGAACCAAAAUUACCAUCAAAAUAUAGAUUUCGACAAGAGGAAUCCAACGGUGGGUAGCCCGUCAAAUUCCGACCGACGGAACACAAAUUACACCUCCGGCAAGACCCACCGUCGUCGAAAUACGCGCCGAUUAAAAAACAAUUGCAGAAACAGAUCCAGCGCUCCAAACUGAAUGAAAUCACCACCAAAAGUAAGAGCUCGACGACAGAAAUACAACGAUAGGUAGCCUGUCAAAUUCCGACUGGUGGAACACAAAUUACACCUCCGGCAAGACCCAUCGUCGUCGAAAUAUGCGCCGACUGAAAAAAAAUUGCAGAAACAGAUCCAGCGCUCCAAACUGAAUGAAAUCACCACCAAAAGUAAGAUCUCGACGAGAGGAAUCCUGCAGUAGUUAAACCAUCAAAUUCCAUUAUGACUCCGGGAAGCAACUUUGCCGGUGGGAGAUCUACGGGGGCGGGAUUUGAAUCUGAGAGUUAAGAGAGGAAGAGAGUGAGACGACUGUGAGUGGCUAGGGUUUAAAACUUAUUUUAAAAGGGCAUUUUAGGUACUUCAGUGUUGGCGAGGGGAUUUUUCAAAUUAAUUUCAAUAUGAAGGGGUAUGCACAAGUAUAUAAUUAACUUGGUGGUUAGUCAUACAUAAUUUCCAUAUGAGGGGUCUCUAAAAUAAUCCAUAUAUAUAUUAUUAAAAAAAUGGCAUUUAGAUUUCUUAGGUUACCCUAUUUUUUAUUAUUAUAUAUAAAGAUAUAUGUUAGGGCUAGGUGCGGAUCCAUCCGACAUACCAAUUUUGCUUAAAUUUAAGGGAUAAUUUGACAAAAAUCCCCAUUACACAAACGGUCAUUACAUUAGGCCAAAUUUUACUUUUCACUUUUAAGAAAAAUCCAAAAGAGCUUUUAUUAAUUAAAAACCCUUAAUUAUCACUAUUUGUGCCUCUAACUAAUUAAUACACGUGUUUUUAAUAUCUGUUAUUAGAAGAUACAUAAUAUCUUCUACAUAAAUAUUUUAAAUAGCACAACGCUUAUUGAUUGCUGAUUUCCGUUUAUGUGGAAUCGGAAUUGUAACUCACAUAAAUGAUAAUCUGUUUGUGUUAUUGGAUAAGUGGCGGUGGUGCAGAUUAACAUGGUGGUUUUCGGCUCACAUGAGAAUUUAAGGUGAGUUAUAUGUGAGGUUUUGUAUUAAUUUACGCUGGGAAGUAAUUUGUAUGUGUUUGUACACGUUUUGUUGAUGUAUAUAAGAUUUUUAUGUGUCUGGUGCAUUGUACAGGUUUUGUUGAUGCUUAAACAAAUGUAAGAGUGGUUAUUGCAUGCAGAGUGGUUUUCGUGCACAAAGUGAUUUUCGAGCGCAUAGUGGUUUCUGCCAUUUUCUUAUUAAAUCCAUAGAUUUUGACCUUCACAUUUUAUUAAAUCCACUAUUGUGCAAAGUGAAUUUUGCCAUUUCCACUGUAAUACACGUCAUUUUUUCACCGGAAAAGCUUAUGUGACGUUAAACCUAUAUAUGUAUGUUGUUUGUCCUAAAGAGAAUAAGUUUUUGUCUGAAAAUAAUAGUAGAUUCUCUUACAGUAAAAUGAAGCUAUUGUUGCAGUUUUUUGAGAUCAAGAGAAAAAAGAUGAAAUGGAUUUUCAAGAUACUAGGGAAGCUAGGGGCGAGAUUUUUAAAGAGAUGGAGAAAGAUUAGAUGUGAUAAACAAAUUAACAGAAUAAUUAGGUAAUGCGAUUUUGUCGGAGUGGAUUUCGAGCGUGAUUUUGGGGGAGAAAUGUUGGCAGAAUUUUUAGGUAAUGCGAUUUUGGGAGGGUUCUGCAUUUAAUUCACCGUAUUUUUAAUUUAAAAUAAUUAUACUAAUUAGCGGGGGCACAAAGGUUUUUUAGGCCCAAUGAAUUUAUGUUAAAUAUCAAUUACAAAUUAAGGAUUUAUCAAGAAGUGAAAUCUCAAUGGGGGUGUUUAACAAAUAGCCCCUAAAUUUAAAAAUCAUUAUAGACCUAACCUUUUUGGAUCUAUUGAUGGUUGGCAACCGAAUAUUUUAGUUUCAAAAUUAAAUUGGUCGGUUGAUGGGUUAUAUGCGCCACAUAGUUUACUUAAAAAAACAUUGAGAAAAAAUAUGCACAUUCUACAUAAUGCCAAUAUCCAUGAUCAUUUAUCAGUUCAAAAUAGUUAAUAUCCAUACGACAAAAAAUUUAUAACUAUAUUAACAAAAUUAUAUUAAUAUAAUUGGUUGGCCGAUAAUUAUCGGUCAACCGAAUUUUGAUAAUAUUAAAAACCAUCAACCGUCCAUUAUAAAUGUGUUGGUCAAAAAUUUCGACCCAAUCCAAUAUGUCGGUUUAAAAUUUAUUGUUGGCCUAGUAAUGGAUCGGUUGUUGGGAAAAACCAACUCAAUCCCAACCCUAAUAUAUAUAACGGUAAUGAAAGCAUAACCGACUGAUUCCUUCCUCUUUUUGGUAUUUUGAUAGGGGUUAGUUUGACAGAACCCCUUCAAAACACUUAUGUGUUUAUUCUUUUUCGGGCAAAUUCUACUUUCUCCCUUUGUAUUUUGGCUCGAUAUCACUUUACCUCCUUCUACUCUUGAUUGCAUCGAUUAGCCCUCUGCACUUGAAAAAUUGUCUCAAUAUGGUCAUCACAGUUAGUUGUCAGUCAUUUGACAUUAACACCGUUUGGUCUAAGUUCUGAAAUAUCAAAAAAUGUUACCUCUCCCAGUUUAGAUAAAUAUUAAAAAAAAAAAAAUCAAGACAACGAGAAAACAUAUAGUCCACCACAUAUAUUUUCCGACUCCAUGGGGGGUGCAAAUCGAUGCAAUCGAGAGUAAAGGGGAUAAAGUGAUAUCGAGCUAAAGUAUACAAGGGGGAAAGUGGAAUUUAUUCUUCUUCUUUUUUCCCCUUUAGCAACACUAACCAUGUUUGUCUUUUAUAAUUAUUUUCAAUCUUCAUGCUAUUGAUAUGCCUAUCAUACCCUAAUAAGACAUAUAUUUUUCACCAAAAACCCUACCCUACAACACAUCUCGUCAUUUGCAGCCUUCUCUCUAUCUUCUUUGUUCUCUCUCUUUGUUUCUCUCGCUCUCUCUAUACUUCUCUCUUCCCCUUUUCUGCUACGGCGAGAGACACAGCGGCUAGGGUUAGAUGGUGAGAAUAGCGAUAUUGGCGAUGCCGACAACUUUUUUUUUUUUUUUUUUUUGCGGCGGUGGGUUGGUGUUGGUGUUGGUCGCGAUAUAGGGUUUGGUGGCAUUGUGUUUUGGUGGCGGCGCUAGAUUUCACACAGCGAUGCAAGGUUUUGGUGUUGGUUGCGGCCAUUCUCGCGCAGUGCAGGCCCAAAGAGGGGGUAUUGAAGGAGAUUCAUAAUUUGUAGUUGUUUUGAAAAUAAAACGAUAUAUAGGUAAGGUUAAGAGGGCUGAAGAGUUGGAAUAAUGUAACGGUAAAAUAGGGUUAUGAUAAGUUAGUUAGGAUCAAAUACAAAUAAUGAAGUAGGUCUAGUUCUAUGAAAACAAAUAAUGAGGGGGGUCUCGAUAAUAGACCCUUUUGACAGUGAAUUACUAUUAAGACACCAAUAUUUAAAUAAAAAGCUAAUUUCACAUACCUCCUUUCAUUAAUGCAUAAAAUUUACUUAUCUCCCUUGUAUUAACUAAACCUUCAAUUAUCGUCCUCAAUUAUAUUUAACACCAACUGUUGGAAUCACGGCUGCACUCAGAGGAUUGAUCAAGAAGUUUGUGGUUAGGACUUGAACUCUAUUUGUUCACUCUUUUUAUUAUUGACAUAAUAAUUCACGAUUAUAUAAAGAUAGGCAAGGUGAGGCGCGGACUAGGUCGCUCUCUUAAGAUGAAUUUCACGAUCCCUUCUCUAAUGAGGUGCAGAAAGGUUUCUCGUGUCGCCUAUGGGAUAUAACCGCUCAGCCUAUCUUUCUAUUGUAACUUCACCGAAACUGCAUGUUCAAGUGAAGUAGAAACUUACACCCGUCACACAAUAAGAGCUCAAAAUAUAUCUAUAUAAUAUAGAGAAUACAUGAUCUUUAGAAAUACAUUUUUCUUUCACAAUUUUUGUUGUCUCCUCUCCUUUGUCAAGCCACAAAGCCACCAUUUUAUAGUAUAAAAUAAGGCCAUCAUAAAAGCUACAUUUAAUAUAGAAUUAGGGAGAUUUAUAGAGGUUUUUGUUAGGGCAUGUGACCGAGAAGCCAACUAAUUGUUGUGCUUUCCUACGUUACUCGUAAAUAAUCUAUUUCGUAUUAAUGAUAAAAACCCCGUUUGGCAUUCUAUAUCUUUGUCUCUUGCAUAAGCAUGGGUUGAUAAGCUCUUACGUCUGAUAAGAUGUUUUUAGAGCUGAUAAGUUGUUACAUCUUAUUUUUAUGAUUAAUUUUUAGAGUGUUUGAAUAAUGAGCUCAUUUCCUAUUUUUACUCAUUAUAAGAUCUUAAAUAAAAAGGUGGGGUAGAGGUACUUAUUUAAAAAGAUUUUAUUUGGUCUCCAACAGCUUAUUUAAAAAAAAUAAGAUUUUUUUUCAAAAAUUUACCAAACACUUUAGAAGAGCUUAUAAGCUCUAAAACAUCUUAUAAGCUCCUUUUAACAUCUUAUAAGCCAAACACCCUCUACAUUAGAUAAUCUUGAUGAUAAAAACUGCAUCAGUUGCUGCAAUUGUUGUAUGGUCAUUUAGGUUGUUGCUGCCAACUCUCAUUAAUAUAAAAAGAACAGAUGAAAAUUUUAAAAAUUAUAAGUACAGUUCGUUAUUUAUUUUGUAAUUCUUUGUUAUAAUAUAAAUAAGUUUUAAUAAUGAAAAUCAAAAAUUGAAAAAUAAAAAAAUAAUAAAAAGAAUAAGAAAUGAGCUUCGGCUCGAGGUCAAGCUAAACAAACGCAAGUUAACUAUAAUUUAUUUAUUAUUUUGAUAAGUUAGCUAUAAUUUAUUAAUUGUGAGUAUAUGGUCAUUAUGAUUAGUUAUAUAAAUUUCUAAUUGAAAGAAUAAAGAAUUCGCCAAUUUCGGUGGGCGAGCCUUGAAUUGAUGUUGAUUGUUGAGUUAAAGCGGUGGCAAAAAAAGUGAAUUGGUGUUUGGCUUUAGCUACUACUCGCACGGCGACUUUUGCAUCGUCCAAAUCGGCGGAAAUCAUUAAAGUUGCCCAAGCCGUAGGCGUCACAUGCUUUUUUUCAAAUUGAAUUGAAAAUACCACAUACACACACACACACAGCGCGUACCCAGCUCAGUCUCGCAAAGCCCUUUUUUNNNNNNNNNNNNNNNNNNNNNNNNNNNNNNNNNNNNNNNNNNNNNNNNNNNNNNNNNNNNNNNNNNNNNNNNNNNNNNNNNNNNNNNNNNNNNNNNNNNNAUAUAUACAUAUAUAUAUAUAUAUAUAUACAUAUAUAUAUAUAUAUAUAUAUAUAUAUAUAUAUAUAUAUAUAUAUAUAUAUAUAUAUAUAUAUAUAUAUAUAUAUAUAUACAUAUAUAUAUAUAUAUAUAUAUAUAUAUAUAUAUAUAUAUAUAUAUAUAUAUAUAUAUAUAUAUAUAUAUAUAUAUAUAUAUAUAUAUAUAUAUAUAUAUAUUGGUAUUUUUUCCCGUGCGUGCGAUGCAUGGGAUCAUAUUUUAAAAGUGAAAAAUAUAAUCAAUUUAAUACAUAAUAAAAAAAAUAUAAUAUACUAAUCCAGCAAAAUUUAAGAAAAUUGUACUAUUCAUAUUUUACAACAUUUUUUUUAAUAGGUUAAGAAUUAAAAAAUCGAAUUUCUAUCUUUAUCUCAUAAAUUUGAGAUAGUGGCAAAUAUUUUAUAUAUUUCAGUAGUUGUCUUUUAUAUUGUAAUAACAAAUAGAGAAAGAAUAUCUAAAAUUACAUAAAAAUAAAUAAAGAAGAAAAUAAAUAGAGAAGGAAAUAGGGGGAGGGGGCAAAAACACAUAUCUUAUAUAUAAAAGAAAGAAACGCUGGGCAACCCAAAAAACCGUAAUGGCACAUCUGUAAAUUUGUUUUUUCAAUAUUUGUCUCCUAAAUAUUAUUUUCGAUUUUUAUCUCCUUAAUAUUAUUUUAAAUAUUAUUUUCGAUUUUUAUCAGAUUUUUACCUCCUAAAUAUUAUUUUUGAUUUUUAUCGAAUUUUUAUCUCCUAAAUAUUAUUUUAAAUAUUAUUUUCGAUUUUUAUCAGAUUUUUACCUCCUAAAUAUUAUUUUUGAUUUUUAUCGAAUUUUUAUCUCCUAAAUAUUAUUUUAAAUAUUAUUUUUGAUUUUUAUUAAAUUUUAUAACCUAAAUAUUAUUCUAAAUACUAUUUUCGAAUUUUAUCAAAUUUUUAUCUCCUAUAUAUUAUUUUAAAUAUUAUUUUCGAUUCCUAUCAAUUUUAUAUCUCUUAAAUAUUAUUUAAAAUAUUAUUUUCGAUUUUUAUCAAAUGUUUAUCUCCUAAAUAUUAUUUUUGAUUUUUAACAGAUUUUUAUCUCCUAAAUAUUAUCUUUUAGUUUUAUCAAAUUUUUAUCUCCUAAAUAUUAUUUUAAAUACCUAAAUAUUAUUUUGAGGACCGUAAUUAGCUUCUUCAGAAAAAAAAAAUUCAAAAAUUUCUAAACAUCCAUUCUAAUUUCAAUAGGCUUGAAAAUUUUGGGGGGAAUUUUUUUGUCGUAAAAAAAUAGUCGUAGCUUGUUGGAUGAUUAUCUCAUCAUUUUCAUUAAUGUUUUAUAUAUUACUCCAAUUAACCCCACAUGUGAAAUCAUCUUAAUCAAAUUUUUUAAAACUUCUCAAAUUAAAGAUGCAACACUUUUCGAUUGAUUUUUUUUUUAAUUUUGACGAGAAUAUGAGAAAAAAUGCCAUAAAAGAUUAAACAUACAUGACGAGCACAUGUUUAGUAGUCUCAGUACAUUGGUACGGUUGACUAUGACUUUUUUUUUAUUAUUUUAACAAAAAAAAAUUAUGUCAAAGUUUGACUAUUUCGUACGUUGAUUCACAUCUUUAGGGCAACGCCAAUGGUAGGCAUUAAAAUUGAGUAUCAAACUUUCAAUUGAUGCUUGAUAUAAUACGUUAAUACUUCCAAAAAAUUCUUGUUUUCCAACCUAUAAGUAUCAAAUAGAUUAUUAUUUAAAUAAAAUUGAUUUAAAAAUAAAUUAAUAGAUAUAAUAAUUUUCAAAAAAAUUAAAAAAAUUCGAAAUUAGCUUCAUCCAAAAAAUUUCGAAAUCUAGAAAUCCAUUCUAAUUUCAAUAGGCUCGAAAACUUUGGAAUUUAAGAAAUUCUAUAAGUUUUAAAAUUUCAAAACUUAGUAGAAAUUUUCCAAAAAUAAGAACCGCGUCGAUAAAAAUAAAACGAAGUUGUAACUACUAAAUUUCAGUUCAAAAAAAAUAAAAAAAAGUUAAAUCAAAUUAUAAUAUCCAAUAAAACUUCUAACAAAAAUUCAAUAUGUCAAAAUCCUAAACCAAAACUUGCAUUAAAUUUAAUGCUUCAGAAAAAAAAAAAAAAAAAAGAAAAGAACAUUUAAAAUAAGUAUUAUAUAUUAUAUUAUAAUUUAUGGGUCUAUUUCUCGGGAAAAAACGGAUUUUUUCACAAUUAAUUUUGAUAAUUAAAUUGGAUUGAAAAUCGAAAAUUCCUAUUCUUUUUUAUAUAAUUCCAAUUCUUAUCCAAGAGAUUUGGGAAAAUUCGAAAAUCAAAAUUUUGGAAACCGAAAUUUCUGAAGUCGGAAUGAAAAUUUUAUUCCAAAAUAGAAAUUUUUCUGAUUGGAACCGGCGAAAAUCAAAAGUUCCAUUCCAAAUUGCAUAUAUAUAUAUAUAUAUAUAUAUAUAUAUAUAUAUAUAUAUAUAUAUAUAUGUGUGUGUGUAUCCUUUUUUGGGAAGUAAAAUAGGAAACAAAAAUUGAAAUACAUAAAGAUAGAUAUUUGUGAAUAGAUAGAUAGAUCCAGGUCAAGCUUAUGUCAGAAUUAUCCAUAGCAGAUAUGGGCAAUUGAACUUUAUGGAUAAGUCAAAGAAUACAUUUCUAUUAGGUGUCAACCUAUCCAUAACUUGAAGCUCAUUACUUUUUACUCUUAUAUAUACAUAAACCCAUACCAUAUUGUACAACUCAAUACCUACAUUCAAUUAUUCCCCAUAUUUUAACGAUCAAAACCAAAACAAAAUAAAACACUAACACUAGAGAAGAAGAAAUUAAUACAAUGAGGGCAAUCUCUUUAUACUCAUCUGCUACCUUACUCCCUCAAACUGUUCCCCAUGAUGUAAAUAAUAGGUACUAUUAUUUUCAUUUUGAUAUUAAUUUUUUUAUUUUUUAUUUUUUAUUUUUUUUCACAUUCAUUUUGUGGGUUCCUCAAUUUGUAAUUUUUAUUUAUAUUUUGGCAUUUUUAGGUGUGUUUUAGUGUCUUCCUCAUCAGCUGUGAUCAAGUAUCAGGCUUCGCCCACCAGACGACGUAGUUUAAGAACUAGCAAUAUUAGAGGUGCUCCCAAUUUGAGGUAACAUUUAUUCAAUUUGGUUAUUUGGUGUUUAAUUAGCAUAUUGGGAUUUUUAUUGAAAAAGAAAAUCUCAUUUUUUCAUAAUUAAAUCAAUCCCCUGCAACUUGUAAUUUUUUUACAUUAACACCCUUUUAUAGGCGGUGGCAGAAAUUUAUAAAACUACAUAUCGCUGAAUGUAAUUUUUCAAAAAUAAAAAUUUCUUUUUAAUUACACUUUACCUGGUGGAGAUUGUUGUAAUUUCAGCGAUUAAUACAUCAGUGAUUUCAUUAAUUAAUACACACGUGACAUGUAACACUAUCUUUUUUUCAAAUGAAAUAUGAGAUGUAGAUGUCAUAAUAAUCAUAGACACCGAAUACGGUCUAAUUAUUUGAUUAUGUAUCAUAACUUAUCUUAUAAGAACAAAAAAAAAUGUAUAUAUAUAAUAAAUUUAUCGCAAACUAUUAACGAUUUUGACGAAAUUGUACUUGUACAUAUUGUUCUUGAACAUUCGAUUUUUUAUUUUAAAUUUUUUUCGUUUUUAAUUGCAGUGGGAUGGCUACAGAGACCAGAAAUCUGCAGUGGACUAUUGCUCCGACCUCUGUUCCGGUUCGUGUAGCGAAUGAGCUUCUUCAAGCCGGUCAUCAUUAUUUGGAUGUUAGGUGAUCUAGUUAAUUUUCUUGAUUAGCUACUAAUAAGACUUCCUUAGUUAAUUUAACGCUUCAAUUAAUAUUAAUAUUAGUAUUAAUAUAAUAUCUCUAUGGUUGAUAAUCGAUAUUUGAUUAUUGCAUAAUAAUUUACAGGACCCCGGAUGAAUUUAGCGACGGGCACGUUGUUGGCGCCGUCAAUGUUCCUUUCAUGUUAAGACUUGGUCCAGGUUCGCCAUCGUUUCCGUUAUUUUUUGGACAUAAAUAUUAAGGAUGAUGAAAUAAUUUUAAAAAUAUAUUAUAUUUUUCUUUAGAGAAAUGAUACAAAAUCCCCUCCGAAUUAAAAGCUACCUUAAAAUACAUUUUGUUGUCGGAGGGCAUUUUUGUUAUUUCAAUCUAAUAAUCGCCUGAAACCGUCACAAAUGCCAUGAGCUCUAAGAAUUUGCCUUCGACUAUAUUUAUUAAUUAUUAGUUAUUAUGACAAGGGAAUUUUCGUUAAGUAUUUAAUUUCUCUCUAUGAUUUGAAAAGGGGUUGUACGAUUCGAAUCUCAUUGACAUCCAUUUACGGAGAAAAGUACCUUUACUUUCACGGGCUAGAUUUCAAGCUGUCGAAGAUAUUAAAUACAUAAUGUUUCUAAAUUUACUAGUAAAAACGGUGCCAUUAAUCAAUAAUUAUGAAUCCUUAGAAUUGCUCGUGUUUUGAUUAGUUAUUUUAACCCUACUUGUUCGAAUUAUUUUAACAUGUGAUGUAGUGAAUCAUAAUACGAAAUCGAAAUCAACAAAUUUUUAAACGUUCGAGUCUGGUUAAGCAGGUAUGGCAAGGAAUCCAAAAUUCUUGGAGCAAGUGUUGGCUAUUUUUAGGCAAGAUGAUGAAAUUAUUGUUGUAAGUUCAUGUAAAUUGUUACUGUCUUAUUAAAAAAAAUUAAUUAUUUUUGGUGCUAAAUAUUAGUAUUUGUGGCAUUUUAUAAAUUUCAGGGAUGUCAAUUAGGGAAAAGGUCGUUCACGGCUGCUUCCGAGCUCGUAUCUGCUGUAAGUUUCCGUCUCUUCCCAAAUUAUUCGCCUGCGUUUUCGUGUACAAAAAAUUGAAUAGUUGCAAUAUUUUGUGGGUCGUACUUUUAGUCAUGUUUGAAUUAAUUUUAGAUAGCAAAUCUAUCCGAUAUCUUUAUUUUGUGUAGCAAUUCUGGGUUUUUACUAUACUGCUUAGGAUGAAAUACACCGAAUACGUCUUUAGUAUUCAUAUACACACAAACACCCACACACCCACAGGUAUGUGUAGACAACGAUAAAAAUUCACUUGGUCUAAUCUUCACCGGAUUUAGCAUAGACAUAAUCGCAAUUUUGAUCCGGUUCUCACAUAAUAUUUUCGUGAAAAAACAUUGGAAAAAUGCGCGACGCUUCUUUAAUUUGAGGAUUCUUUGUCGUACAAAACUAAUCAUAGCUUGUUGAAUGAUUAUCAUUUUCAUUAAUGUUUUAUAUAUUACUCCAAUUAGCCCCACAUGUGAAAUUAUCUUAGUCAAAUUUCUUUAAACUUCCCAAAAUAAAGAUGUAACACUUUUCGAUUGAACUUUUAUAAUUUUGACGAAACUAUGAGAAAAACUGCCGCAAAAGAAUAAACAUACAUGACGAGCGCAUGUUUACUAAACUCAGUACAUAUGUAUGGUUGAUUCCGAAUUCUUUGAUUAUUUUAACAAAAUAAAGUACGUCAGAGUUUGCCUAUUUCGCACGUUGAUUCACAUCUUUAGCCAUUACUACUUUAAUUAGGUUACCCAAUAAUUUCUUGAAUUAUACCUCUUUGUUAAAAAUUUGAUAAGCAAUUUUCAUAAUAUUUAAAUAAUUAUCUCUUGCCUUAUAAUUAAAGCUAAUGAAAUUAUUUAAAUAACUUGUAGGGUUUUACUGGAAUUACUGAUAUGGCUGGAGGAUAUGCUGCUUGGAUACAAAAUGGACUUCCUUCCACGUAGACUAAAAUUCUGGAAAUAUGUAAAAUAUAUUAAAUUAAUGUAUAUUUCUUUUAUCUGCUACUUUAAAUAAUAGAAUGUCUCACAUACUUCCUGUAUAUAACCACAAUCUGAAUAUUAAUGUUUUAUUUGGACAGUAUUGUAUACAAAAAGUUCUUCUUUACUUAGAAAUUGUAUACAAAAUUAAGAAUAUUAGUUUUUUGUUCGAAAGCUAUACCAACUUCUCAAAUCUAGAACUAAAAAUAUUAAUUAACAUGACUUUAAAGGACUCUCAAACACAUUUAAGAAUAAAUUUAAUUUAAUAAAUUAAAAUUUAGGAUUAAUUGAUUAGUUUGUACCAGAAGGCGAAAUCCAUCGCCUCCAGGGCUCCCAUCGCUUGGCCCGACAAGUAUUUGAUGGAGAAAUGUAAAUUAUGGUGACUCAACGGCCUGUUAAGGUAGCGGACCCGGACUUGGUGCCCAUAAGGAACCAACCCUCAUUGGAGUUGAAAUUUCCACACUGAGGCUACCAGGAUUCGAUCAUAGGACCUUGUACCAACGUACCACCUUCGGAACCAGUUGAGCUAUAUCCAUGCGGGCAGACUAAUUGAUUUAGUUGUGCAUUGCUAAGCAUGAAUGUUGGCAUAACAAGUACUCCUUUUGUUUCAUUUUAGAAUACUCCUUUUCUUUCAUUUUAAGUGUCGCAAGGUUAAUGCACAUCAGUUAUUUGACAAAACUACCCCUGUGUGUUUUUCAACUUACUUUUAUUACGUCAUUAAUUUGUUAUUAAUGCUGGGUAAAGUCGAAGAAAAAAGAAUUGUCUAACAUUGAAAUUCCAGAGUGACACUUAAUAUGAGAAAGUAAAAUUAGUUAAGGAGACACUUAAAAAGAAACAAAGGGAGUAAUAUGAGUAUUAGAAAUGGGGUUUUUUGCAAAAACCACCCUUGUGAAAUCUCAAAUGGCUAAAAAAGUCCCCAUGUUAAAAAUAUUAGCAAAAACCCCCCUAUGAAAAUUAGUCAAAGCCAGAAAGUCCCCUGCGGGCUGAUUGUGUGUUACACGCGCUGUGUGUGCGACUCUUUGUUAUAUUUUUUGUCAUGAAAAGUCCCAAAUGCCCUCUAAAAUUAUUUUAUAACUAAACAUAAAUUUAUUUGGAUUUAAAAAUAAAUAAUCCAACUUUUUGGAUGAAAUUGCAAUUUAAAAAAAUUUAUUUACACAACUUUUUCUCAGCACCAUUUCAUCGUCACCAUCAAACCAUCCUUCCAAUAGUGCAACCCAUAUCCCCACUAUGUACCUCAUUGCCGCCGCCACAUCGACGACUAUCGGUGCUCCAGAAUUUAUCGAAAUCUUCAUCAAAAACGAAUUCAAGUGUAAAAGCCCUACUUUAGGGUCUGAGGUUUUGGGCUUUCUCAACAUAGAGAAAGAAGAGUGCCAAGAUUCAAUUUUCAAUAGGGCCGCCCUAACCCUCGAGACAGAGAAAGAAGGGACCAAAUUCCAGAUCCAAUUUUUUUUUUAUUCCGGAUUUUGGGAUUUUGGAACAAAGAAGAUUCACCCAUAUACACAGGGGCAGAGAUUUAAUUUGUGAGUGUAGCUCCACAAUGGAAUCCGCCGCCGGUUUGCAUCGUCACACCUUCCUCGAUGCUGGUUGAACCUCCGUUUUUCUGCGGUCCUUAUAUUAGGGGAACAAAGAAGAUUGUUGGAAUUUUGUUAGUUUUUUGGGAAUUUCUGAAGGAGGGGACGGAGAAGAGGAUGUAAGUGGAGGGGGAGGGGGUACAACGACAAAAAGAGGGAGGAGGAAGGAGAUGGAGAAAAAAACAAAAGAAAAAUAAAGUUCCUACCGGAGAAGAUG